AAUUACCCCCCCUGUAGUUUUAUUUUUAUCUUUUCGGCAACUUUUUUCUUAAUAUUUUAUUAAAUUAUGUACAAAAAAAAAAAACUUCAGAUACACAUAUAGAUUUAUCGAAUAUUUACUUUAGUACUCUUUAAUUUUAACUUUGUCACUGAUUUAAGAAAAAAAUAAUAAUAAAAUUGAUAAUAAAAAGAGAAAAACGAAACCACAGGUGCAAAUUGAUACACUUUAAAUCAUAGGGUACUAAAGUGAGAAAGUGCGAAACCACAGAGGAAUUUUUUGAAGUUAUCCCUAUUAUAAAUAAGACCAAUUAUAUCAAAUAUAGAACUAUUUGAUAUAAUAUAUCUUAUCCAUUUUAUAUCUAUUUAAAUUAAAUAAAACUUUAAUAAGAUUUUAAUGGAAAGUCGAUCUGAAUGCUAUACAAAGAGGGUAUUGGUUCUGUCAUUUUCUCAUGUGCAUUCGGAUAAAAAAUUAUCAUCUGUUUCACAUCAUACAGGAGAGUGUCUGAAAUAGGAAGAAAAACUAAAUUAUCCGAGUGCAGUUGGUGACGUUUAGAUUAUAAUGGAAAUUUUCGCUUCGGUAAAUUGAUCAAAAAUUACUUCUUUAUGACGCUCUAUAAGUUAUUUUAUUUUACUUUAUAAUACUGAAUUUUGAUAUAUUUAUUUUUAUUGUUUUCUUACAUACAUAUCAAUAAAGAGCUAUCAGUUUAAGCUUAAAACGAUUUUUAGAGUGUUUUUUAAUUCUUUCAGGGCCUUUUCUGUAAUUAUCAAACUGAGGUACUAGUACUGCAAACCUUUUAAUAAUGGAAAGAUUCAUCGAAAGUAGUACUCAAACUUAAAAACAAUAAAAAUAAAAAUAAAAAUUCAUAAAAAUUAUUGAGAAAUCUUAAAUGACAACACCACAAAGAUUCGGAAAAAAUAUUUAUGCAAAUAAAGUGUAAAACACGAUACUUAUAGCUGGACCAUUGCUUGGUAAAAGACUUUUUUUUAUGUAAUUAAAGCACAAACCACAAUGUAAAAAAAACAUGAAAUAAACAAAAUAUGGAUUUCGAUAAAGAGGUGGUAGGCCCCCACCUUAGCCAAUGAGAGGACUUUUUUAUAAAAUGAUCCUUCAAAAUUUUGAAAUUAAAAAAAUGAUCCUAUCAAAUUUUACUUUAGAACUUAGACAAAUUUUACUUUAGAACUUAGACAAAUUUUGAUAGGUUUACAGUAUUUUACAUUAAAGGCGGUGAUUCACCACCUUCAUUAUAUCAUAGAAAAAUUCCGACGUGAUGCCCACGUGACGAAAGAAGAAUUAUUUUUUCAAAUAAAAUUUUGACAGAAUUAUUUUUCAAAUUUUCAAAUUUUGAAGGGUCAUUUUAUAAAGCCAAAAUCUUAGUCGCAACGCAAAUUGGGCGGAUACCUAAACUUUUUCGCACAAGUCGGCGGAGGAAAACAUUGCUAGUGGGUGAAGUAUUACAAAACUUCUUAGGCUUAGUUUGGUAUUAAGAUCUAUCUAACGUUAUUAGAUAAAAUGGAGUUGAGGAAAAAGUAUAUAGGAAUAUGUUUCUGCGUUUUCCGAUGGAAUCGCAAAAAAUAUAUCGUAACCGACUCGUCGAGAUAUGCGGAAUGCAAUAUUAUCUACGGAAACAAACAGGAUAUUUUUUCAACGUACUUUCUCACCGCACGUAACGCAAUUUUUCCGCAAUCCCAAAGUAUUAUAGAAAUUUAAAAAAAAAAGAAAAAAAAAAAAGAGAGAGUAAUCGAAAAGGUAUUCAUACCUGAUGCCUGCACCCAAAAGCAGGAUCCUUCGUUUGGCACAGGCAGAUCGGACAUGUCUGCUAAUAAGAAGAAAAAUAAAAAAUUACUUUUGAGGUCCUGAGAAAAUUAAGUAUUACUUUUGAGGUCCAUUCAUCGUGUGCGCGCGUGUAAUAAAAUGAUAAUAAGUUCAUAAAUCUGUUUACAAUCUAAUUUUUCUUUUUUAUGAAAAUAAACUCUGAUUUUUUUGCAACAACCGGGAACCAGCACCACACGUUCCGAAGGUUGAUUCCAAGUCCAUAGCAGGAAAUUUCUUUAAAAUAAAUGUCAAAGGUUGAUUCCAAGUCAAUAGCAGGAAAUUUCUUUAAAAUAAAUGUCAAGUCAUUUUUUGGAAUUUCUCAUAGUUCCCUUGUACUGCCGGGAAAAGACGACUAAAAGCCACGCGCACAUCACUAUUAUAAGAUCCAAGGGCAGGAGGGGACCUUUUUUUAUAAAAUAAUUUUUUAAAAUUUUAUAAUUUGUGAAAUAAUUCUGCCAAAUUUAUAUUUGGCAAACUAACUCUUUAGAUUAUUUUUCAAGAAGCGAUGAAUCAUUCCCUGCAUUCUCCAAUUUCUUUUAAAAGCUUUCUCCCUUUUUCUUUUUUUCUUAUUUCUUUUAAACACGGUGAAUCGUUCGCCGUAUUUAUUAAAAUUAUGCGUGUAUUAUAUAGGAAAUAGAAAAAAAUAAAGUUGUUAGGAUUAUAUGUGACUCAUUAGAAUUUUUAUUUGAUUAUUAAGAUUAUAUGGAUAAAUUAUUAGAAUUUUUAGACUGUUAAGAUUAUAUAAAAUUAUAUGCAUAGAUUUUUAGAAUUUUCAGACUGUUAAGAUUAUAUGAAAUUGUAUGGAUAGAUUAUUAGGAUUUUCAGGUUGUUAAAAUUAUAUAUGAUUUAUUAAAAUUUUUAAUAUGGUUGUUAGAAUUAUAUACAUGUAAUAUAAAAAGAAAUAGUAAAUAAGCGAAUGACGAUGAAUAAUUCACCAACUUUGUGAAAAAUUAAGAAGGCAGUGAACGAUUCACCAUCUUCAUCCGCCCCCACGCCUACUUGACGAGAGGAGGAUUAGUUUUACAAAUAUAAUUUUGAUAAGAUUAUUUUACAAAUUUUAAAAUUCUAAAGAGUUGUUUUAUAAAAAAGUUUGCAGGAGGAAACUGGUGCCCCGGCCCAGAAUCAUCUCUUAUUAAAAGUAAUAAUUAAUAAUAAAAAUAAAAGAUGAAUCAUGAAUCCAAGGAAACUCACUAACCGCUCCUGUGUAUAUAGUGUAUACCCAUCUAAAAAGCACAUAAUGAGGCACCAUGUCAGAUAUGAAUUUAUACAUACAUACCUGCGUUCAUCUACAUCUACUAGCGAACUCUCAGCAGGGGCGGAGGCUUUUUUUUUUGUUUUUUUUUUAACUCCUUGUUCAUGGCUGUUUGGAUAUGUAAAUUUUUUGAAUCUAAACAUCCAAAACCCUGGCACUUAAUUGGUGGAGGUAGACAAAUUAAACCUUUCUUGCAUUCCCGUUCGUUUACUGCAAUAAAUCAAGAGAUUAAUUAAUAAACCUUACCCGCCAAAUUAGUUCUUCGAGAAAAUGGUAUGUUAAUGAAAAUUACAAAAUUCAUUCCCAAGAAGUUGGAGAUCCAUUGCUGGUUUAUACUGCGAUGGGAUUUCCAUCAGCGCUGCGAGAGCAAACUGUGCAUCCUUUCUGCUCUCGGGGAUUAACUCGACAUGAUCUCUGUGAAAUUAACAAACUAUAUUGUACCAAUGCAAAUAGCCAUGAUCUUUUUAGUACGCCAUAAUAGUAUAGUAUCUUAUUUUGUUCAGUUGAAACCUGAAAAUUACCCAAUGCACGACACGGUAGAUGUUGCCGUCAAAUUGCUUCAUCACAAACUCCAACCGGCACGAUUGAUAACAGGUAGUGAGUCACUGCAACAUAGAUAAGUAGAUAUAUUACUUUAAUAACCCAGCAGAAUUACACAAUAUCUACCCAGCGAAAAUUGGACUUCCAUUUAUAUGCUGAUCAUAUUAUUAAUGACACACAACCCUGAAAAAUCAAGAUGUUCAUAUACGCCAGACAUGAAUGCGCAAUAAAGACCAACUUCAACACCCCCCCAAUGGCGCUAUUCCCCUUUGCAGGAAGGUUCAACUUUUGAAGGGUAUAUGCAAAUAUAUCACAUCUAUCGAAUUAAAGAAUUAGAUAUACACACUCGUCCGCUGCCAUUCAUUCACAUGUUUAAGGUAAGUAGGUGAAGGGUGAUAUUUUGCGAGAGAUCUUUAUACAGCAUCCAAAACAAUACUUAUUUUCUAAUUUAAAAGCAUUACUUAUCUUUAAUUUAAAUACAAUCAAUUAGGAUCAUUCUAUUAUAUAUAUAUAUAUAUAUAUAUAUAUAGAGUUAGACUGGGCUACUAUUAGUAGCAAAAUUCCAUUGUUGCUAUCAAUUUUUUAGCCUUUGGAUCAACUCUUUUUGUCAUUCCUAACCAUUGGAUUAAAUACUAUAACCCAGUGGGGACCACUCAACCCUAGGGGGACCACUUAACUCUAACUAACUAAUAUCAUCCUAACCCUAUAAUUUUUCAUCCAAGGGUUAAAAACUUGNNNNNNNNNNNNNNNNNNNNNNNNNNNNNNNNNNNNNNNNNNNNNNNNNNNNNNNNNNNNNNNNNNNNNNNNNNNNNNNNNNNNNNNNNNNNNNNNNNNNNNNNNNNNNNNNNNNNNNNNNNNNNNNNNNNNNNNNNNNNNNNNNNNNNNNNNNNNNNNNNNNNNNNNNNNNNNNNNNNNNNNNNNNNNNNNNNNNNNNNNNNNNNNNNNNNNNNNNNNNNNNNNNNNNNNNNNNNNNNNNNNNNNNNNNNNNNNNNNNNNNNNNNNNNNNNNNNNNNNNNNNNNNNNNNNNNNNNNNNNNNNNNNNNNNNNNNNNNNNNNNNNNNNNNNNNNNNNNNNNNNNNNNNNNNNNNNNNNNNNNNNNNNNNNNNNNNNNNNNNNNNNNNNNNNNNNNNNNNNNNNNNNNNNNNNNNNNNNNNNNNNNNNNNNNNNNNNNNNNNNNNNNNNNNNNNNNNNNNNNNNNNNNNNNNNNNNNNNNNNNNNNNNNNNNNNNNNNNNNNNNNNNNNNNNNNNNNNNNNNNNNNNNNNNNNNNNNNNNNNNNNNNNNNNNNNNNNNNNNNNNNNNNNNNNNNNNNNNNNNNNNNNNNNNNNNNNNNNNNNNNNNNNNNNNNNNNNNNNNNNNNNNNNNNNNNNNNNNNNNNNNNNNNNNNNNNNNNNNNNNNNNNNNNNNNNNNNNNNNNNNNNNNNNNNNNNNNNNNNNNNNNNNNNNNNNNNNNNNNNNNNNNNNNNNNNNNNNNNNNNNNNNNNNNNNNNNNNNNNNNNNNNNNNNNNNNNNNNNNNNNNNNNNNNNNNNNNNNNNNNNNNNNNNNNNNNNNNNNNNNNNNNNNNNNNNNNNNNNNNNNNNNNNNNNNNNNNNNNNNNNNNNNNNNNNNNNNNNNNNNNNNNNNNNNNNNNNNNNNNNNNNNNNNNNNNNNNNNNNNNNNNNNNNNNNNNNNNNNNNNNNNNNNNNNNNNNNNNNNNNNNNNNNNNNNNNNNNNNNNNNNNNNNNNNNNNNNNNNNNNNNNNNNNNNNNNNNNNNNNNNNNNNNNNNNNNNNNNNNNNNNNNNNNNNNNNNNNNNNNNNNNNNNNNNNNNNNNNNNNNNNNNNNNNNNNNNNNNNNNNNNNNNNNNNNNNNNNNNNNNNNNNNNNNNNNNNNNNNNNNNNNNNNNNNNNNNNNNNNNNNNNNNNNNNNNNNNNNNNNNNNNNNNNNNNNNNNNNNNNNNNNNNNNNNNNNNNNNNNNNNNNNNNNNNNNNNNNNNNNNNNNNNNNNNNNNNNNNNNNNNNNNNNNNNNNNNNNNNNNNNNNNNNNNNNNNNNNNNNNNNNNNNNNNNNNNNNNNNNNNNNNNNNNNNNNNNNNNNNNNNNNNNNNNNNNNNNNNNNNNNNNNNNNNNNNNNNNNNNNNNNNNNNNNNNNNNNNNNNNNNNNNNNNNNNNNNNNNNNNNNNNNNNNNNNNNNNNNNNNNNNNNNNNNNNNNNNNNNNNNNNNNNNNNNNNNNNNNNNNNNNNNNNNNNNNNNNNNNNNNNNNNNNNNNNNNNNNNNNNNNNNNNNNNNNNNNNNNNNNNNNNNNNNNNNNNNNNNNNNNNNNNNNNNNNNNNNNNNNNNNNNNNNNNNNNNNNNNNNNNNNNNNNNNNNNNNNNNNNNNNNNNNNNNNNNNNNNNNNNNNNNNNNNNNNNNNNNNNNNNNNNNNNNNNNNNNNNNNNNNNNNNNNNNNNNNNNNNNNNNNNNNNNNNNNNNNNNNNNNNNNNNNNNNNNNNNNNNNNNNNNNNNNNNNNNNNNNNNNNNNNNNNNNNNNNNNNNNNNNNNNNNNNNNNNNNNNNNNNNNNNNNNNNNNNNNNNNNNNNNNNNNNNNNNNNNNNNNNNNNNNNNNNNNNNNNNNNNNNNNNNNNNNNNNNNNNNNNNNNNNNNNNNNNNNNNNNNNNNNNNNNNNNNNNNNNNNNNNNNNNNNNNNNNNNNNNNNNNNNNNNNNNNNNNNNNNNNNNNNNNNNNNNNNNNNNNNNNNNNNNNNNNNNNNNNNNNNNNNNNNNNNNNNNNNNNNNNNNNNNNNNNNNNNNNNNNNNNNNNNNNNNNNNNNNNNNNNNNNNNNNNNNNNNNNNNNNNNNNNNNNNNNNNNNNNNNNNNNNNNNNNNNNNNNNNNNNNNNNNNNNNNNNNNNNNNNNNNNNNNNNNNNNNNNNNNNNNNNNNNNNNNNNNNNNNNNNNNNNNNNNNNNNNNNNNNNNNNNNNNNNNNNNNNNNNNNNNNNNNNNNNNNNNNNNNNNNNNNNNNNNNNNNNNNNNNNNNNNNNNNNNNNNNNNNNNNNNNNNNNNNNNNNNNNNNNNNNNNNNNNNNNNNNNNNNNNNNNNNNNNNNNNNNNNNNNNNNNNNNNNNNNNNNNNNNNNNNNNNNNNNNNNNNNNNNNNNNNNNNNNNNNNNNNNNNNNNNNNNNNNNNNNNNNNNNNNNNNNNNNNNNNNNNNNNNNNNNNNNNNNNNNNNNNNNNNNNNNNNNNNNNNNNNNNNNNNNNNNNNNNNNNNNNNNNNNNNNNNNNNNNNNNNNNNNNNNNNNNNNNNNNNNNNNNNNNNNNNNNNNNNNNNNNNNNNNNNNNNNNNNNNNNNNNNNNNNNNNNNNNNNNNNNNNNNNNNNNNNNNNNNNNNNNNNNNNNNNNNNNNNNNNNNNNNNNNNNNNNNNNNNNNNNNNNNNNNNNNNNNNNNNNNNNNNNNNNNNNNNNNNNNNNNNNNNNNNNNNNNNNNNNNNNNNNNNNNNNNNNNNNNNNNNNNNNNNNNNNNNNNNNNNNNNNNNNNNNNNNNNNNNNNNNNNNNNNNNNNNNNNNNNNNNNNNNNNNNNNNNNNNNNNNNNNNNNNNNNNNNNNNNNNNNNNNNNNNNNNNNNNNNNNNNNNNNNNNNNNNNNNNNNNNNNNNNNNNNNNNNNNNNNNNNNNNNNNNNNNNNNNNNNNNNNNNNNNNNNNNNNNNNNNNNNNNNNNNNNNNNNNNNNNNNNNNNNNNNNNNNNNNNNNNNNNNNNNNNNNNNNNNNNNNNNNNNNNNNNNNNNNNNNNNNNNNNNNNNNNNNNNNNNNNNNNNNNNNNNNNNNNNNNNNNNNNNNNNNNNNNNNNNNNNNNNNNNNNNNNNNNNNNNNNNNNNNNNNNNNNNNNNNNNNNNNNNNNNNNNNNNNNNNNNNNNNNNNNNNNNNNNNNNNNNNNNNNNNNNNNNNNNNNNNNNNNNNNNNNNNNNNNNNNNNNNNNNNNNNNNNNNNNNNNNNNNNNNNNNNNNNNNNNNNNNNNNNNNNNNNNNNNNNNNNNNNNNNNNNNNNNNNNNNNNNNNNNNNNNNNNNNNNNNNNNNNNNNNNNNNNNNNNNNNNNNNNNNNNNNNNNNNNNNNNNNNNNNNNNNNNNNNNNNNNNNNNNNNNNNNNNNNNNNNNNNNNNNNNNNNNNNNNNNNNNNNNNNNNNNNNNNNNNNNNNNNNNNNNNNNNNNNNNNNNNNNNNNNNNNNNNNNNNNNNNNNNNNNNNNNNNNNNNNNNNNNNNNNNNNNNNNNNNNNNNNNNNNNNNNNNNNNNNNNNNNNNNNNNNNNNNNNNNNNNNNNNNNNNNNNNNNNNNNNNNNNNNNNNNNNNNNNNNNNNNNNNNNNNNNNNNNNNNNNNNNNNNNNNNNNNNNNNNNNNNNNNNNNNNNNNNNNNNNNNNNNNNNNNNNNNNNNNNNNNNNNNNNNNNNNNNNNNNNNNNNNNNNNNNNNNNNNNNNNNNNNNNNNNNNNNNNNNNNNNNNNNNNNNNNNNNNNNNNNNNNNNNNNNNNNNNNNNNNNNNNNNNNNNNNNNNNNNNNNNNNNNNNNNNNNNNNNNNNNNNNNNNNNNNNNNNNNNNNNNNNNNNNNNNNNNNNNNNNNNNNNNNNNNNNNNNNNNNNNNNNNNNNNNNNNNNNNNNNNNNNNNNNNNNNNNNNNNNNNNNNNNNNNNNNNNNNNNNNNNNNNNNNNNNNNNNNNNNNNNNNNNNNNNNNNNNNNNNNNNNNNNNNNNNNNNNNNNNNNNNNNNNNNNNNNNNNNNNNNNNNNNNNNNNNNNNNNNNNNNNNNNNNNNNNNNNNNNNNNNNNNNNNNNNNNNNNNNNNNNNNNNNNNNNNNNNNNNNNNNNNNNNNNNNNNNNNNNNNNNNNNNNNNNNNNNNNNNNNNNNNNNNNNNNNNNNNNNNNNNNNNNNNNNNNNNNNNNNNNNNNNNNNNNNNNNNNNNNNNNNNNNNNNNNNNNNNNNNNNNNNNNNNNNNNNNNNNNNNNNNNNNNNNNNNNNNNNNNNNNNNNNNNNNNNNNNNNNNNNNNNNNNNNNNNNNNNNNNNNNNNNNNNNNNNNNNNNNNNNNNNNNNNNNNNNNNNNNNNNNNNNNNNNNNNNNNNNNNNNNNNNNNNNNNNNNNNNNNNNNNNNNNNNNNNNNNNNNNNNNNNNNNNNNNNNNNNNNNNNNNNNNNNNNNNNNNNNNNNNNNNNNNNNNNNNNNNNNNNNNNNNNNNNNNNNNNNNNNNNNNNNNNNNNNNNNNNNNNNNNNNNNNNNNNNNNNNNNNNNNNNNNNNNNNNNNNNNNNNNNNNNNNNNNNNNNNNNNNNNNNNNNNNNNNNNNNNNNNNNNNNNNNNNNNNNNNNNNNNNNNNNNNNNNNNNNNNNNNNNNNNNNNNNNNNNNNNNNNNNNNNNNNNNNNNNNNNNNNNNNNNNNNNNNNNNNNNNNNNNNNNNNNNNNNNNNNNNNNNNNNNNNNNNNNNNNNNNNNNNNNNNNNNNNNNNNNNNNNNNNNNNNNNNNNNNNNNNNNNNNNNNNNNNNNNNNNNNNNNNNNNNNNNNNNNNNNNNNNNNNNNNNNNNNNNNNNNNNNNNNNNNNNNNNNNNNNNNNNNNNNNNNNNNNNNNNNNNNNNNNNNNNNNNNNNNNNNNNNNNNNNNNNNNNNNNNNNNNNNNNNNNNNNNNNNNNNNNNNNNNNNNNNNNNNNNNNNNNNNNNNNNNNNNNNNNNNNNNNNNNNNNNNNNNNNNNNNNNNNNNNNNNNNNNNNNNNNNNNNNNNNNNNNNNNNNNNNNNNNNNNNNNNNNNNNNNNNNNNNNNNNNNNNNNNNNNNNNNNNNNNNNNNNNNNNNNNNNNNNNNNNNNNNNNNNNNNNNNNNNNNNNNNNNNNNNNNNNNNNNNNNNNNNNNNNNNNNNNNNNNNNNNNNNNNNNNNNNNNNNNNNNNNNNNNNNNNNNNNNNNNNNNNNNNNNNNNNNNNNNNNNNNNNNNNNNNNNNNNNNNNNNNNNNNNNNNNNNNNNNNNNNNNNNNNNNNNNNNNNNNNNNNNNNNNNNNNNNNNNNNNNNNNNNNNNNNNNNNNNNNNNNNNNNNNNNNNNNNNNNNNNNNNNNNNNNNNNNNNNNNNNNNNNNNNNNNNNNNNNNNNNNNNNNNNNNNNNNNNNNNNNNNNNNNNNNNNNNNNNNNNNNNNNNNNNNNNNNNNNNNNNNNNNNNNNNNNNNNNNNNNNNNNNNNNNNNNNNNNNNNNNNNNNNNNNNNNNNNNNNNNNNNNNNNNNNNNNNNNNNNNNNNNNNNNNNNNNNNNNNNNNNNNNNNNNNNNNNNNNNNNNNNNNNNNNNNNNNNNNNNNNNNNNNNNNNNNNNNNNNNNNNNNNNNNNNNNNNNNNNNNNNNNNNNNNNNNNNNNNNNNNNNNNNNNNNNNNNNNNNNNNNNNNNNNNNNNNNNNNNNNNNNNNNNNNNNNNNNNNNNNNNNNNNNNNNNNNNNNNNNNNNNNNNNNNNNNNNNNNNNNNNNNNNNNNNNNNNNNNNNNNNNNNNNNNNNNNNNNNNNNNNNNNNNNNNNNNNNNNNNNNNNNNNNNNNNNNNNNNNNNNNNNNNNNNNNNNNNNNNNNNNNNNNNNNNNNNNNNNNNNNNNNNNNNNNNNNNNNNNNNNNNNNNNNNNNNNNNNNNNNNNNNNNNNNNUAUAUAUAUAUAUAUAUAUAUAUAUAUAUAUAUAUAUAUAUAUAUUUUUUUUUAUAUAUAUAUAUAUAUAUAUAUAUAUAUAUAUAUAUAUAUAUAUAUAUUUUAAAAUAGAAAAAAUAAAGAAAAAAUGAAAAAGAAACUUUAUUUGUCAUCUGUCACGCGCAUCUCACAUGCCACUUGGAAGGUUAUGAUGCAAGUUGCAACGAAAACAACACGUAAUAAGAAGUGGGGCCUACUCUCAUUGAAUAAACAAUAAGCAUUUAUUCAGGGUGGAAAGGAGAAUAUGUCAGAGUGAGGGGAUUGGGAUUGCUUGUGGUUAGGGAUGUAAACGGAAUGGAUCCGGGGGUAGGAGAGUUUCUCCGUCUUUCGUUUUAUAUUUUAUUGAAUCGGAACAGAUUUGAAAUGGUCGAGACAAAUUCGAAACGGAUUAUUUUUUAUUUUAUUUUGGAAAAACUUCAAAUCCCCCUAUGUGGUUUCGUCGUUUCUCAUUUUAUCCCAUGUUGUUUAAAAUGUAUCAAUUUGUCCUCAUGUGAAUUUUUUUUUAUCAAUUUUAUUAUUUUUUUCUUAAAUCAGUGAUAAAGUUAAAAUUAAAGGGUACUAAAGUAAAUAUUUGAUAAAUCUAGAUGGGUAUCUGAAGUUUUUUUGUAUAUAAUUUAAUGAAAUAUUAACGAAAAAGCUACCGCAAAAAUAAAAACGAAAUCAUAGGAGGGCAAUUUGAUAUAUUUUAAAUCACAGGAGGGCAAAAUAAGAAACUACGAAAUCACAUAGGAGCUUUUGAAAUUUUUUCUUUUAUUUUUUACUCUAUUUACCGUCCUAUUUGUGGCGGAUCAAGACGAGAGCGAAUUUUUGAUAGAUGGAAAUAAAUUGAAGGAAGAAAAGAAUCUCCCGCCUCCAACUUCAUUUACUUAAAAAAUCAGGACAGAUUCAAAACAGAUUAUCUUUUUUAUAUUUUUUUAUUCUCACUUAUUGUCUUAUACUGAUCGGAUUGGAAAAUCCACAAACCAGGACCCAUUUGUGGUUGUGGAAUGGUUACAGAUUCUGGUGAUUAAAGAGUGGGGCCCGCGUGGAAUCGUAAAGAUACUUGCCUUGUCCACAUGGGAACUUAGGGCCCACAAAAAAAAAAAUUUAUUUAAUUUUUUUCAUUUUAAAAAUAAAAAAUGAUUCAUAAUUUUGCGUUUCAAUUGGGAAAGGGACAAAGGGACCGAUCCUAGUCGUGUGUUGUGACGGACCCCAAGACAACAUCCCCGUUAUCUCUUCAAUGUCACCGUUUUGAUUUAUAUGCAAUAUAUAAUCAUUGUUGUUGUAGAAAUGCAAUAAAAUAAUUUUUUUUUUUUUUUUUGAGAAAGAGGUAGCAUGCUACCCGCUUCAUUCAUUGAUCAUUUGAACUAAGCUACAAAUGUGAGGCAACCCGGCCCCAGAGAGGGAAAAAAAAAAAAAAAAAAAAAAUUAAAUUAUGACCGGAGGAGAAGCUCCCACUCCUUCACAAGCAGUUUGAAUCUAUGGACCGCUAUCCCCGGGUUAGGGGGAAUAUUCUGAAAUAUUACAUCGUUUCAGACCUUCCAGAUCACCCACCAGCAUCCCGCUAGUUCAGCAAGUCUGGUACGCUUAUUAAGAGGGUCUUUCUUGCCAGUCCACCUAUCCCAAACAAGAUUCACCUCAUCCCCCAGGUCUUGGGCCUGGAUCUCGUCGUCCCCUAACACCAAGAUGAAUUUGCAGAAUACACAGUGGGUAAACAGGUGGUCCACUGAUUCCUCGUCCGACCCGCAAAGCACGCAGGUGGGGUCAUCGAUCCACCCUCUCUUCGCAAGUCUAUCGAUAUAUUGUUAAAUGAUAACAUUGUUCUAAGAUAAGCCCAUUGGAGAUCACAUUGUUAGAUCUUAAUUAUGGGAAUAAAAGUGUUACUAUAAUAAAAAUCAAAGAUUUAACUACCGUAGUACGAAAUCGUUUAUCCUGAAUCAUACCAAUAUGUACUGGUCAUAAAAAAAUAUAUAUCUGGAGACAUGUAACAAUAUGAAAUAUUUAUUUUUUUAAUAAUAAAAUAUUUUAACUGUUUGUUACGUAUCUUUUUCAAUUUUUUAAAAUUUUAUUAAAAAAAUUACUUACUAAUUCAAAGAAUAAAAAAUUUUUAGCUAUACUAUUGAUACAAAAAUUGUAUCAUGUUACUAUUUUAUUAGCACGAUAUGGUACGGUAAAUAUGAUCCAUACUGACGGACACUUAAAUUCUUGAUGAGAAUACUUUGGUGAGAAUUAAAAAAGUCAAAUAAACUUCUCCUUUAUAGUAAUUUAAUUAACAAAAAAAAAUUAUUUAAAGUCUUAAGUUUGAAAUCUAUCUGCUACAUAUUUUAACUGUUUGUUAUAUAUUUUUAUUAAAUCUCUUGAAUUUUAUUGAGAAUAUUACUUAUUAAUUCAAAAAAUAAAAAGUUUUGAGCUAUUCCAUUGGCACGGAAAUUGUAUUUGCCGAUAUCUUGUUGGCACGAUACGGUACGGUAGAUAUAAUCCGUACCAAUAGGCCUUAAAUUCCUAAUAAGAAUACUUUGGUGAGAAUUAAAGAACCAAAUCGACUUAGGCACUUAAAUUCCUAAUAAGAAUACUUUGGUGAGAAUUAAAGAACCAAAUCGACUUCUCCUUUAUAGUAAUCUAAUUAACAAAAAAAAAAAAGUUAAAGUCUUAAGUUUGAAAUCUAUAUGCUACAUAUUUCUUGCUAAGUACAUUUUCAAAGAAAAAUGAACGAAGAAAUAAUUUCUAUUUUUCUCUUUUUAAAAAAAAAAGAUUAUUAAUUGUGCCAUUUGUUUAGUAGUCAAAUUUCCACACAACGUACGUUAGAAAUAUUCAAUGUUCCUUAAAAAGUAAGAAAAACUUUAAAUCAAAUGAAUGCAAGGUGGUUGUAGGAAUUGCUAAACUGAUUUUAUUUGAGCCCAACUUUAGUUUAAAAAAUUUACUAUUUGACAAUUCUAAUUUAAAUUUACUAUUUGACAAUUCUAAUUGUUAUUUUAUCAUCAUAAUCUACUGUUAAAUAGGAUAAUAAUAUAUGUCAUUUACAAAUCAUAAAGUGAUAGCAUAUAACAUUUUACUAUCCUUGAAUUUACAUUUUACUUUCUCAUAAUUUGAAAACUAUUUUGGCUAUCAUGCUUGAAAAUAGAUUUUUGCCGUGAAAUAAAAAUAAAAUCAUAGAAUGUCAACUUACAUUUUUUUCUUUCAAAAGUAUAUGGUGGUAAAAUAAAAUUGCACGAUGGUCAAAUUAUAAUGUAUCCAGCCAAAUGCACACACUUUUAUAUAUUUAUAAUUAGUCCUUUUUUAUGUUAAAGCCUACAAGCAUUUUAUAAGAAAAAGUACAGCUUGAUUACAUCAUUGUAAUUAAAGUUUUGUGGAAGAAAGAUAAAUAUAUUUUCAUAUCAAGAAAGAAGAAAAAUAUAUAAGUAACUUCAAAAUUAGAGAAGGACAAAAUAUAUAAAUCGAUCUCCAAACUUAAGCAGCUAAUAAAGCUCAUAAACGUUAAGCACAGACUAUCAAAAAAAAAUAUGAAGAAUAAGAUAAAAAUAAUCAUUCAGAUUGCAUUUUCAGUACAGUUUUCGCCUAUCCACUCAUAACGGAACAUCUCUCACUUCAAGUCCAUCAAAUUCCGGCAUAAAAGAUAAGCACCAAGUCGGGGCACUUUGACAGAUUACAUAAGGGAAUAAAUUCGAAGAGCGAAAGAGCGAAGGAAAAGAUGAUGAGCUAGAUAGAUGAUUGUGUAAAAGAUCAUCGAGAAAAAUAUAGAAGCCAUUAAUCAUCUUCAAAAAGCAUAAAUUACCCUAAAGUUCUAAAGUUUAUGUAAUAUUGAGGGUUCCCUAGCCCAUCAAACAAGAGAGAGAGAGAGACAGGUGCCCUCUUUUUUUAGCUAGGGUGUCAUCUUCUUAAUUAAUUUACACAGAGACAAAAUAAAUAAAUAAAUAAAUAAAUAAAAUCUUUGUUCCUGUACAACAUACACCUGUGCACCAGUUCCCCUAACCUUGGUGCAUCUGAAUUGGUGGUUGGUGAGCACCAAUUCUUCAGGAGCCUCCAUGUGGCCCUUUGAUCUCAAUCAGAGGGCUCCACAAUUAAAAGCUCCCCACUCUAAAUUGUCAAAUAUAGGAUAAGAGUAUUGCAAGACUAAGUAAGAUAACAAGUUAGGUAUAGGUUGGUGAGGAAGGAAUUAAGUCCUUACACUCCAUGGAAACAAAAAAAAGAAAAAAAAAAAGAUGAAGCUAAAUUGUACUUUUUGAUUCUCAAAAUUAUGAAUUACGUGAUAUUUUAAUUUUCAAAUUUUUAUUUAUUAUACUUUUUAAAAUUUUACAAAGUUAUUAUAAUUAAAGUGUCAGAAUCUAUAUUAAUUUACUAGAUACCAAUAUGUUGCUGGUUUACUAUUGAUACAAUAUUUUAAACAUCGUUUUUACUAUUUAUAUCAUUUUCACAUCAGUAAUGCAAUAGUAGUUAAUCAACUAAAUUAAAUUAUAAAAUUUAAAAAAUAAAUUAAAAUUUGAGAAUCAAAAUAUACAGUAUUUGUUUAAUGGUUUAUCAUUGGCUGGCGGAGACUUGACUCCUGCAGUAGUUCCAUCACAAAUUCUUAUAAAUAUAUUUUCUUUCUUUUUAUAUAUAUAUAUAUAUAUAUAUAUAUAUGGAGAUAUUAAUUAUCAUUCAUAAUAAAUUUUUAAUUAAGUUGCCUCCUCUCCCCAGUGGCAUAUAAAUUUGCAAUCAACAGCACACAAAUUUGCGAGCGCAGUAGGACCAAAGCAUUUUCCCUUCUGCAGUAGUGUACACUGCUGCAGCAGAGGAGAGCGCAGCAAUACUGGUAAAGCAUUGGAAGUGGAGUGAAAGCCAAUAAAAGAACCAUCUUUCUCUUUCUCUUUCUCUUUCUCUUUCCCUCUCUCUCUCUCUCUCUCUCUCUCUCUCUCUCUCUCUCUCUCUCACACACACACAUCAGGUAAUAAUUUAAAAAAAAAAAGAAAAAAAACCACAGCGACUUCCCUGUCGCAGCUUCUGCUUCCGUGGAAGCAAUUCUCCGGCCCACAACCCGGAAAAACCUUUGCGUGCCGAAUUUCCCUAGAAACUAUAGAGCAUAUUACGACUCCUCCGCGCCUUCUCCUCUCACUCUCCUCCUUUACUCGUUUGUUAGUACAUGAGGAGGAGGAGGAGGGGGGAGGGGAAUUGGAGGAGUAGUAGUGGGAGGAGGAGCGGUGGAGAGGAGGAGGAGGAGCGGCGGCGGGAGGCUAAACCUGGGAAAGGCGGGGGAGCUGUUGGGGUUGCUGGAUUGCAUAAAUGAGGCUGCAGCGGCGAUCGCGGCGGCGGCGGCGUGCUCUUCUUCUGCGUUCUGGGCGGCGGGGAUGAGCGACUCGGCGUACCGCGUGGACACGACGCCGCGGCUCGCGCAAUGGCGCAUCGACACCCUCUCCUCCUGCACCUACCGCAAAUCCGACCCCUUCAAGAUCGGACUCUGGAACUGGUCUCUUUCCAUCUCUCUCUCUCUCUCUCUCCCCAAAAGAUUGGAUUUUUUUUAAAAAAAAUUAUUAUUUUGGCCUUUGAUGGGUUUGGUGUUUUUGCACCCAAAGGGGAAAACAUUUGGUUUUGGAAGUACCCAGAUGAGUUUUGGGUUGCUCAAAGAGAGAAAGGUGGGAUGUUAGUUUUUUGGACCAAAAGAGGGGCGGGGGGAAUCUGAGUUUGGAGCGUCCCAGAUGAAUUUGGCGUGGAGAGACUCGAAAGAUUCUUUUAUUUCACUUGGUUUUUCGGGAUUUUUCACCUGUUUCUUUGGGGUUUUACUUCUCUUUAGAUUCCAUUUUUUAAAUUUUUUUUUUUUCGUUUCUGUGGAGGAAAAUUUCUGUGUCUCACUAUGUUUUGAGUCUCUGUUGAACUACUUAGAUCUCUCUGAUUCUUGUGACUUGGGGUUUUUUUGGGGUUUUACUUCUCUUGUCGAAGUAAUCGCUCAAUUUGGUGACUUAUUCUGAUUUAAUUUUCUUCUCAUCAAAAUAGAAAAGCUUUGAUUUGGUAAAUACCCAUAUAAAUUUUCCUCAUCCAACAAAAGGUUAAGAAAUUUUUAUGAUAUUCUCUAUGUUUCUUACUCUAAUUCUUUUGCUAUUGUAAUUGAAAUUUGUUGUAGAGAUUAAAUAUAGAACUACUGCUUAUCAAUUUUGUGUUGUUUUUUGGUGAUAACUUGUGAAGGUACCUCACUGUGGAGAGAAAUAAGCAGCUGUAUGUGAAGCUCUACCCAGAAGUCUCAACUGCAACAAGGGAGCAACCCCCUAUAGCUUCCUUCGUCAUCAAGCUCGUCUCCUCCGCCUCUCCGAAUCGCAAAACCCUAGUCCAUCCAGGUCGAAUUACUCUUCUUCUCUUUGUUCCACUCAAGGUUAUUAAAGGGCCGGAUUUGGUAUCGACAGAUAUAUUCAUUCGUUAAAUUCGCUCGCUAUUCAUCGACCAACUUUGGCCGGAUUCAAUGAUCUUAUUUGUUUCUAGCGAAAAGAAUGGCUAUGUGAAUAUCAUUUUCCAUAGAUAGAAGCAUCUAACCGGUCACCUAAUUCCGACCCUUAAAAUGUUGCAGGAGUUUGCGACAAGCAGCUAAAGAACAACGACGAUUUUGUAUGGGCCGUUGAUACCCUUCUCACUGGCAGAUUCGUAAUUGACGUCGAGUUUCUCGACUUAAAGAUUGCGCCGCCAACUGUAAGCGAUACUUACUCGAUCUCUUUUUUCACAUCAUCCGUGGUAACUAAGAUCAAAGAAUUUUUGUCCUGUACAUGUGGGGCUGGAUUCGUGGAUCAGGGGAUGACAUAAACCUAAAGUCUUGCAUCUUCAAGUCUUUAUCUGCAUAUAUCACAAAAAUAUCUCUAGUUGCUUCUCAGUACUAACAUCUAGAACAUACUUUUCGAGUGUUGUUGAAUAUGUCAUGAGAUCCUUACUGCUCCAUGCUCUGUAACUAUCGUCGCAUCAUCAGGAAAAAGAUGGUAUGGCCAUUGCAUAUUCAUAAAAAUUAAAGUCGUAGGGUACUGUUGAUUAUGAUGUAUUCACUCUGUCUCAAUAAGCAAUAAAACUAAAAUUGUCUGGUGCUGGGCAAAAAAGUGCUAAUUUGAUAGGUGUUCUCGACCUAAAAGAUGGUCGCAACUUCCUACUUACUACUAAUUACUUGCCAUGAUCCUAAUCAUUUGAUUCUAGCUUUAUUUUUUUUUGGAAAAAAAUAUAGCAAGUCUUUCUUACUAAUACUACUCUCCUAGAAAUAUCGUUGAGUGAGAAGCCCUCAAUUGUUGUAGCCUUUGCACCUCAUACUUUACACUUAACCACAGGGCGGAGAACCGAUCUCCAUCUGGACUGGUUACCACAUCGAGAAGCACUCCAAAUCGACCGCCCUAUCUGCCCUAGGCCGGAUGCUCACAGAAGCCAUCCACACCGACAUCACGAUCAAUGCCGCUGACGGAAGCAUCGCGGCCCACCGUGCCGUCCUCGCCUCGAGAUCCCCAGUCUUCCGGAGCAUGUUCUCGCACAACCUCAAAGAAAAGGAGCUGUCCACUGUCAACAUCUCCGACAUGUCCUUCGACGCCUGCCAGGCAUUCCUAAACUACAUAUACGGAAACUUUAAGCCCGACGAAUUCCUCACUCACCGCCUCGCCCUUCUCCGCGCCGCCGAUAAGUACGACAUCUCGGACCUCAAAGAGGCGUGCCACGAGAGCCUUCUCGAAGAUAUCGACACGAAGAAUGUGCUCGAGAGGCUUCAAACUGCGUAUCUUUACCAUCUACCAAAGCUGAAGAGCAGCUGCAUGAGGUUCCUGGUGCACUUCGGAAAGAUAUACGAAAUCCGCGAUGAUUUCAAUGCAUUUCUUCUUAAUGGUGAUAGAGAGCUCAUUGCAGAGAUCUUUCACGAGGUUCUCGCCGCGUGGAAGGGUCUCUAGGAAAGCGCCGAGAAGAAGAUAAAAUUUGUCGUUUGAUACUUUACUUUUGAGUUAUAGUUUGUGUGGAUUGUGGAUGCAUAAAUGGGUUAAAUGGGUUAAUCGGAAAAGAUAAUGUACAGGAUAUAUAUUGGUUCCAUUAAAAGUGUGUAUUCUUCAGACUAAGAAGCAUAUGUAUAAAUUUGAUUGGAAGGAACAAUUCAUUGAAUAUAUAGUAGAAAAGAUCAUUGUUUCUUGUGCUUCGUUGUGGAAAAUUAUUAUUAUUAUUAUUUUUUUCUUUUUAGAACUUGUUUAUGGAUCUGUUAAUUUAAACCAUCAUAUUAGAUUAGAAUUCAAUCUGAAAGAAGUACUUGCAGAUAAUGCUCCUAUAAUGACCCAUCAAAGAGUGACUCAAUAUCAAUCUAAUAAGGAUCUACGAUCUAAUCAGAAUUUUAAUCUACAAAUCUAGUCAAAUCAGAUUAAAAUGGUGGGAAAAGCAGGACAAUUGCUGGGGCUUUUGGAUUGCAUAGAUGAGAUCAGAGCUGCGAUCGCCGGCAGCAGCAGCAGCCUCUUCAGCAGCGGCAGCAGGGAUAAGUGCAUCAUUCGAAUAAUGGCGAAUGGAGCCCUCCUCUGACACCUCGCUCAUAUCCAAACCCUUCGGGAUCGGAAUCCGGCACUGGUUGGCCUCUCUCUAUGAAGAUAUGAUUUUGGCCUUUUCGGGUUUAGUUUUCUGCUUUAGGCGAACAAAGACGUGAUUUUGGAAGCGCACCCACAUGAAUUUUUGGCUGCUUAAUGCAUCUCUAAUUGCUCAUUGCUAGUAACAUCUAGAUCAUAUUUUUUGUGUAAACUGCGCAUCUUUCUUGUCUGCUGGGGCUGAAGAUUUACAGUUGCAUGAAGAUAUACGAAAUCCGCAACGAUUUCAAUGUGUUGUUUCUCCUGAAUGGUGACAAAGAGCUCAUUGCAGAGAUCUUUCAGUGAGUUCUCACAGCCUGGAAGGGUUUCAGUGUGCACCGGUUAGAAGAUGCAAUGUAUUAUGUGAUAAUUUAUUUCCUUGAGUAACAAUUUGUCUGGAUAUUCAUUAGAUUAUGAUUAAGAGAAGCAAUUUCGAGUAGAGCUACUAUAUUUUCGAAAGUAUAAAAGAGCCGAUAUUUUUUUUACUUGUUGGCUCUUAGAUCAAUCCCUUUGACUAUUUCUGAUAUUUGGAUUAAUAUUAUUACCUUAGGGGAUCACUCAAUCCUAAAAAAAACAACUCAAUUUUAAGGGGGACUACUACCGUCCCGACUCUACAAUUCUUGAUCCAAAAGCCAAAAACUUAGAAACACUAAUUCUCUUAUACUUUCGAUAGUAUAGCAGCUCUACACAACAAUUUAUUAGACACUUUCCUGAGCCUAACAUGUCCUGGCCCAGCAUAGGCCCAUUCAUAAUAGGCUUCCUAAUACUUUUUGGGCUCACCUAAUUUAGAUCCUUGACUCAAUGAUAUAUAUAUAUAUAACAUAAAAUAAAAAAAACUUUAGAAAAAUUAUCCAUCCAUUGUACAUAUUUUGGCAAAAUCAUUUAUUUCAAUUCAUCCCUAACGAAAUGAUCUUUUUGGAAAAGUGGCUUUUUUUUCUUAUUUUUUUCUGAAACAGAAAGUUCCCACUACUUUCUGUUACAAAAAGUCCCCUCCUCCCAUUUCAGUUUCGGGCUUAUAAAACUAAGAGACCACACACACACACACGCACACACCCCACUGUUACUUAACCUUACUCUUUAGGGAAAAAAGGAAAAAAAAAAGCUCAUUAAAAAUUAGGAGCAAUGGGUUCUAUUAUGAAGAGGAAGAAGAAGAGCUAUUUUCUCCUCCCUUUUCUCUUUCUUAUUUCCAUUUUGCUGCAGAAACCCACCUCUGCUGCUAAAAAGGUGUAGUGUUUUUUCAUCAUUGGCCUCUCAUUUUCUUAUGUAAAGUUACAUAAUUUCUAACCUGCAUGCUCUACUUAAAAAACCAAAACUUUUUUUUUGGGGGGGUGUUUUUUGCAGUCAUAUGUGGUUUACUUCGGAGGCCACACUCAUGGCUCUGAAGAAGCCUUUUUAGACUCCUAUGAGAGAGUCACAGAUGCCCAUUACGAAUUUUUGGGCUCAGUAUUAGGGAGGUAAGAGAUGACACACAAAAAAAGAAAAAAAGAAAAAAAAACUUUUUGGUUCAUCUCCUUCUUUGUUGAACUUCUUUUGAUCCUACUUAAUAACACAGCAAGGAGAAGGCCCAAGAUGCAAUCUUUUACUCGUACACAAAUUACAUCAAUGGCUUUGCUGCUUCCCUCGAAGAAGAAGAAGCAAUGGAGAUCUCAAGUGAGUAAAAGAGCACCAUUUUAUUUACAUCCCUCUGUUUUUUUUUUUUGUUUUACUCUGUUUUGAUUUUUUUUAAAAAAUAUAUAUAUAUAUUUGCAGAGGAUUCCAGUGUUAUAUCAGUGUUUCCAAAUAGAGGGCACAAAUUACACACAACUCGAUCCUGGGAUUUCCUUGGGCUGGAGAGGAAUGGGAGAGUGCCCCUCAACUCCAUUUGGAGCAAGGCCAAUUUUGGAGAAGAUGUUAUUAUUGGAAACCUUGAUACUGGUACUCAUCAACCUCACCACCUCCUUUUUGCGCACACACACACACACACACACACACACACACACACACAAACACUCACAUGGAAGUUGUUUCUGGAGUUUCCUUUUAUAUCUUUUUAAGUAAUAAUGUAUCAGAUCUUUGUUUGGUUAUUUAAUAGUGUAAAUUUUAUCUGUUCUUUUUCUUCUUUGUUACCUUCACAUAAUAUGGUGCAGCUUAACUCCACUGGCCAUUUUGGUCCUUAAAUUUUAGUUUACUGCACUAUAUGGUAGUAAUCUAAGUUUCGCAAUCUAACAUUAGUUGAAUAGAUAAUAAUCAAGCCGCUAAUGUGGCAAAUAAUGUGAUUUUUUAAUUAUUAUCACGGCAUCCAUUACUAUGCUAUUAUAUCAAUUUUGUUAUAGCAAUUUAGGAUGAUUAAGAUAAAAAUAUAUAACAAAUUAAAAUUCAAAGAUCACAAUAUCAUAUGUCUUUCAGUCUGGGAACUAAAAAUUAUCAUACAUCGUAUUUUAAAAUUACUCGUAAACCAUUUUUUUUAUUUGGUCAAUAGAUUGUUUCGAGUAAUAAUUUGUGAGAAAUAUGAAUUGUACACCCAAAAGUUGGGUAUAAAAUUAUACCAUUUCCGUUCAAAUGUUUAGAUGCUUUUAUUUUUUACUAUAAGACCGACCGUCUCUAGAGCAAGUGGUAAAGGGGUUGGUGGUUGGUAUCUGAGGUUUCAAGUUCGAAUUCUAGUUGAUUCACAUUUCCAGCUAAGUUUAUUUCUAAAUGAAAUAAACGAAGCGGAUAGCGUGCUAUCUAUCUCUCAAAAAAAAAUAUUUUUUACUAUAAAAUGUAAUACAAAAAAAAUUUGUCUGUAAAUAAAUAUGUACCAACUCAUUGGAUGUACAAUUAGCAUUGUUCACACCAUCCAUCACAAGCAACAAAGUUGGGCGCAUAUUGUUGUGUUUGAGUGAUCAGGUACAGUGGCUAUUUCCCACAUUAUCUAAAAGGCACGUUUUUGAGUUUCCAACAGUACACAUCCCAUAGCCUAGUGGGUUCAUUUCACAUUCCCAAAAGGAUAAGUUAUUUGAUCUAUUUUUCCCAGAAAAAAAAAAAAAAAGUUAUUCCAGAGGAUCAUAUAUUAAUAAAAUAUAUAAUCAAACACCACACCACACAUGCAUUUAAUUCCUAGUAUUACCGACCGUCUCUAGAGCAAAUGGUAAAGAACUUGAUGGUUGCCUGAUUGGUAUCCGAGACCCAAGUUCGAAUUCUAGUUGAUUUAUAUUUUCAGCUAAGUUUAUUUCUAAAUGAAAUAAACGAAGCAGGUGGUAGCAUGCUACCUAUCUCUCAAAAAAAAAAAUCCUAGUAUUUGCAGUAGUGUUUGAUUGUGAUAUUAUGAAAACACUUGGAUCAAACUGUAACUUAAUUAGUUCCCAUUAGCCCUGAAAAUUAAGAAAACAAGUAACUGGAACCAAGUGUUCUCUUUGACCAGAAAUUUUGUUUUCUUUUCAGUGUUAAUCAAGUUGUCCUUUUCACAAAGUUUUAAUAUUUUUGUUUGGUUUUUUAUGAAAUUUAAUUAAUUUUGUAGGUGUGUGGCCCGAGUCAGAGAGCUUCAGGGAGGAAGGCAUGGGGCCGAGCCCCUCGCAGUGGAGAGGAAUCUGUCAGGAUGAGCCUGAAAAAGGAGCUGGUUGCAACAGGUCCCUCCAUUUUGUACCCCCACCCUUUCAUUUUUUUUUUAUUUUUAUUUUUCACUUUGUCCCUUUCAAAUAUUAUUAUUUUUUUUUCAUUUUAGUCCACCUUAUUUUUGUCACGUUACUUGCUAUAAUCACAGUAUUUUGUAUAAAAACCAAAUAGUUAAGCGUAGUGUGACACACUAUAAGCUUAUAAAUUUAUAAUUUUUUUAUUUAAUUUACUGUAAGAAUAUGCGGCCAUUAUUAUUAAUCAUGAUAGUAAAUAAAGUGAUAUGUUUUUUUUACAAACUACAUGAUGGUACAAUAUAAUAAUUUACCUUUCGCUAAUCUAUAUUUUCACGUUCUCUAUUUUUUCUUAAGAAAAUCUCACUUUAGUUUAUUGUUUGGUGGUAGAUACUUAUGUGAAAUAAUAAUAAAAUAAAAUCACUAAACAGUUUAGUGUAAUUUUGCAGAGCUCGUGGUAAAAAAGUAAAAACAGGCAGAAUCAUAAAAAAAAAAAAAGCAAAUUAAAAUUUAUUCUAUGAUAAACGAUGAAGUACGUAGCAAAUUGAAGUUUACUGUAUUUUUAAUUCCUUUCUAUAUUUAUUAUUGUUUUCACCUGCAGGGCCAACUUGUUUUAAGUAAUCCACUAUACUUUUCUUUUUCCCUCGCUACAAUCACCAGUUGCUUUAUGAACAAUUAAAGUAAACAUAAUUAACAUAAUAUAUUACGUAGAAACACUUGUCACUUGUGUGAAAUAUUAUUUGGCAAAAUUAUUUGUUUUUAUUUAGUAAAAAAUAGAAAAUAACGCAUAGGAACACGUUUCCCAUCUCCCUCGUUGGGAAACGAAACGUCGAUUAUUAUUUUAAUGAAUUUAUAUUCACGCGAAACGACAUAAUUUCGAUAUGAUAAAAUUCUAUUUCGAGGCCCCGUUUCACGGGAAACCCGGCAAGUGGGCCCGGACUCAGAACAAUGACCCCGUUGACCGACCGUUACUAGCCCCAAUUUUCAAAAUUACUGUUCAUUGUUUCCCAUUUGAAUUCCAUCCGUUGAUCACGAAUCUAACGGUCCGCAGCACAUUUAUCAGGAAGUUGAUCGGAAUGAGGUACUUCAACAAGGGGUACCUGUCGGCGGUGGGCCCCGCCGUCUCCGCCGCCUCGGCCCGCGACACCGCCAAAGGCGGAGCCCCGAAUGCACGCGCCGCGGCGUACAAGGUCUGCUGGCCCCCGGUCAACGGCAGUGAGUGCUUCGACGCCGACAUCCUCGCGGCGUUCGAUGCCGCCAUCCACGACGGCGUGCACGUGCUCUCCGUGUCCCUUGGCGGGGGCCCCACCGACUACUUCAAGGACGGCGUGGCGAUCGGCUCGUUCCACGCCGUGAAGAACGGAGUGACUGUCGUUUGCUCGGCCGGCAACUCCGGGCCUGACCCGGGCUCGGUGUCGAACACCGCACCGUGGAUCAUAACCGUCGGGGCGAGCACGAUGGACCGCGAGUUCCCUGCCUAUCUUUUGCUAUCCAAUAAAAAGCAAAUCAAGGUUAUCUCUUUUUUUUUUCCUGAUUUAUCUAUACUUAAAUCAAUCAUUAAUUUUUCAAAAAUUUUGGAUUUUAGGGACAAAGCCUUUCUCCCUCGGGGCAUCCAGGAAACAAGUACUAUCCUAUAAUCCGCUCUGCACAAGCCAAAGCUGCAAAUGCGACAGAGGAUGAAGCGUAAGCAUUAAUUUAGAUUUCAAAUCGAAUAUCGAAAAGAUGAAUAAAAAGCAUAUUUGCCCCCUAUAAAUCCUUUUGUGAAUCUGCAGAGAUUUGUGCCUGCAAAAAUCUCUCGACCCCGCGAAGGCGGGGGGGAAGAUAGUCGUUUGCAUCCGCGGAAACAACGCGAGGGUGGAGAAAGGAGAGGUGGUUCGCGAGGCUGGCGGCGUCGGGAUGAUCCUCGCCAAUGACCAGGCAACGGGAAAUGAGCUCAUCGCAGACGCGCACGUUCUUCCCGCCACCCAUAUCUCCUAUUCCGACGGCCUCGCCCUUCUCUCCUACAUCAACUCCGCCAAGUAUGCUCUUCCCAACUCUAUCUUCGAACAAACAAAUGUUCUUCGCAAACUAUUUGCACUAUUUGAUUGUUAUGAUCCGUGAAUGGCUAAAUUUAUCCGCGUAUAACGAAACGAAGCAAACAAUUACGUGCAGGUCGGCAGCGGGGUACAUUACAAGCCCUAAAACCGAUAUCGGUACGAAACCGGCUCCUUUCAUGGCCGCUUUCUCUUCUCAGGGGCCAAACACUAUCACCCCUGAGAUCCUCAAGGUUCAUAUUUGACAAAUUUUGGUAUCUUUCUAUAAUCUUUUUCGACUUUUUAAGUUUUCAAAUUGCAUGAUCGAUACUUCUUCGCGUUGUGCAUAGCCUGAUAUUACAGCACCAGGGGUUAGUAUUCUCGCUGCGUACACCGGUGCAUCGGGGCCGACGGGAUUAGCCUUCGACGACCGCCGUGUGCUCUUCAAUUCGGAAUCAGGUACGUCGAUGUCGUGUCCCCACGUCUCGGGCAUUGCGGGCCUCCUCAAAGCUCUUCACCCGGAGUGGAGCCCUUCUGCAAUCAAGUCUGCUAUCAUGACUACAUGUGAGUUUUCGUAUCGCCUCGCCUUUUACUGCAGCAUCCCGAUCUUGUUUAAGAAUGUUAGUCACAAUCAAUUCGACGCGAUUUACUCAUCCAAGUAUGUUUGUCGCGAACCUUGUAAUGCAGCGAGAAUUCAAGACAACUUGAAAGAGCCGAUGAAGAACUCGUCCUUCUUGAAAGCCACUCCGUUCAGCUACGGCUCAGGCCAUGUCCAGCCGAACCGCGCCAUGGAUCCAGGCCUUGUUUACGACCUAGGCGCGAACGAUUACUUAAACUUCUUGUGCUCCUUGGGCUACAACUCGACCCAAAUCGCCACAUUCAGCGUCGAGCCCUACACAUGCCCUUCUAAACCUGCAAAGCUCGAAGACUUAAACUACCCCUCCAUCUCCAUCCCGAACCUCGCAGGCGAAAUUACUAUAACCAGAACGGUGAGAAAUGUCGGUACACCGGGAACGUACAGUGUUCGCGUCGAGGAGCCGCGCGGGGUUUUGGUGCUUGUGGAGCCAACAAGCCUUAAAUUCGACAAAGUGGAUGAGGAGAAGAGGUUCAAGGUCAUUUUCAAGGCCAAGGAGAGGAAUUUGAGAGGAGAGUAUGUGUUUGGUAGGAUUAUAUGGUCAGAUGGAAAGCACUUUGUGAGAAGCCCAAUUGUGGUGAAAACAGUGAUGCAUAAGCCUUAACUGGAACAUAAGUUUCUUCAUCUUACAUUGUGGAUUAGAUUAUCAAAAUAGGUCGUCGAUGAAUCGAUUUGACGAAAAAGUUCGGUUAGAUUUAGUUGAGAAGUGAAGAUGGAUGGAUGUAUUGAUCAUUUUGCAAAUUUUCAUGUUUGGAAUAAGAGCAUGAGUGAUUGCAAGUGUUCAGAGUAUGUUGUUGACUGAUAAAAACUGAUGCAUUAAUUUACAAAGCACAAAUUCUAGCAAUUUUCCAAUGACUUCUCAGCCAGCAUCAUUGCUGAGCUUGAAUAAUUACAGCACAAAUAACAUAAUCUAGGGAUUAUUAUUAUUCUGUUGUUUUAUGGCAUUAUUGUGGAACAUAAUCCUGUGAUUGAAACAUGUAAUUAAUGUGCUAAAAUGACAAACCAUUUGAUUGGAAUUUUCGAUAAACAUAAACUAUAUCUACACCAUGUACACAUCUCAUCCUGUUUAAUAACCAUGAACCACUGGUAUCUUCUUCCUGAUGAUCUAUUCAAUGGGUCAUAUCCUCAUGGCGAAAAGAGUAUGAAGCACAAAUAAGACUAGACAUAAUCUAACCGUCGAGCCAAGAAUGGACGGCCUGGAUCCGAUAUCGCCCUGAAAUGGAUGGUAUUGAGGGAUCAUUGUGCAGAUAGAGACCAUGGAAAGGCACAAAUGGCUGUAAUAUGUACUCAUGGUUUAGACUUGCUUUCGUCGCUAAAUCAUCUCCAUCUAUUCAUAUUGUGCCGAUUCCAUCCUGUUGAAGUUCAGACAAUGACAAAAUUGGCUCGAUUUCCAGCGGCAACCCUCUUUGGAACUCGACAUAGGGAUAAGCCAUCGGUGUGUCUUCACCUUCAAUUCGCCAUCUACAACGGGACAAAUUUUACAUCUGAUCAAUGUUUUAGAGCAACAGAGAUUUGUUCUUAUGAUACAUCAUUGUUGAUUCACUACGGUUGGUCCACCUAUAUGAAAAACUGGAUCCAGCUAUGAUUUUUCUUUGGUGUCAUAUUUUUUGUCACUUUUAAGCAACAAACACGGGGUUAAUUCCUCGAUUUCGAUUUCAUUUUCAUGGUUUCGGUUACAGCAAUUUAGUCCUGAAAUUUGUUUUGACAGCGCCACAAAAUUCUCCGAUUGGUGAUGAAAUUUAAAUUGGAGGUCAAACAUCGAGAACUAAAAUUGUUAAAACCGAAACUCUGCCGAUGAAAUUCAAAUCUGGAUUGAACUCGAGGGACUAAAUUUCUAGCUGACCCAACAGAUAUCAUGGUCUAUAAAGGGGAAGGAGUGUGACUGAAAACUAUAAUUUCUUUUUUUUUAUAUAUAUAAACUGAAAUUGAAAAUUGUAUGUUAUUUACCUGAAGUUGAGUACAAGGUGGUGGAGGAAAAAAGCAGUCUCUAAUUUCGCAAGUUCAGAUCCUGGGCAGAGCCUUGGUCCACCACCAAAUGGAAUAUGUUUCUUGCAUGUUGCUUGGUUUGGGCCCUAUCCAUCAAUUAGAGAAAGAAACAUUUGUUUCUACUUAAAUGAGAGCUUAAAAGCAUAGCUAAAGAUGCUAACUUUUGCAGAAAGGUGACAUAAUUAGGACUACAGGGGUGGGGGGAAAGGAAAAAGAAGAAAAAAAAGGUAAUGAGCCUGAGUGAGUUGGCAUCUGGAAAACCAAGUGUUACACAUAAUUAUAGCAAAGUUAAAGUUUCACCAAGGAUUGAAAGAAAAGGAUCCUUCAUAUAUGACACAUUAAAUUAUUCAGAGGUUCAUGUAAUGAUCAAGGGGCAACAAAAUUUGCUUAUUUCUGAGUACCACUUUNAAAUAUAUGUUAUAUUAGAUUCUAGAUUAGAUUAGAUUUUGACUAGAUUUUAUAGAUUAGAUUAGGUAAUUCUAGAUUAGAUUAGAUUAAAUUCUAGUAUAGAGAAAAUUAGAAUCAUUAGAUACAUACACACAAUAAAAGAAAUAUAUAUAUAAAAAAAGCCUAGAUACCUACAAAUAAAAAUCUCAUGACUGAGACAAUUUCUUCAUGAAACAACCAAUUACCUCCCAUCUGCUAGGUUGAAACUCUGUGGCAUUUCCAUGAAGAGAUGGGUCCAAAUGUACUGCACUGAAAACAGGCAGCACCUUCCAACCAGAUGGAAUCAGAUAAUCUGCCAAACCCCAGAAAAAAAAGCUAUAUUAGAACUAAUACUAGAGUGUAAUAAUUCAAUGCAUGUAUGGUCAUGUGGAGAGCAUGAAAAAAGAAAAAGGAUUGCAAUUAAGCCUCAAAGUGGAAGUGCACCUUUGUAUCUGACAUCCUUGAGGGCCUUUCUGUGAACAAACUUAACAAUGUUUCCACAUCUCAAAGCCUCACUAAUCACCUGAGAGGGGUAAAAUCAUGCCACAUCAUUCACAACCAAGCUAAUUAAUUUAUCUUAGAAAAUUUUAAGUGAGAAACAAAAACAAAAAUCUUGUCUCCCUCAUCUUACAUAUUGAGUAAAUUCCAUUUUCUUAUAAUCCUCUGAAUUCAAGUGUUCACCCUCUUGCUUGCUGGCUCUGAUACUCUGAUGCUCACUCUGAGAAAAUAAAGAGAUAGAAAAGUAAACAAUUCUCAGCUUUGUCACAUAAUUAGAAAAAAAAAAAAAGUACCUUGAAAAUAUAUAAAAUAAAUGCACCUUGAGCUUUUCUAGAGAUUUUGUGGACUGUGCAAGAAAAUAUAUAGCCAUGGAAAUCAAAAGUGAGGUGGUCUCAUAGCCACCCAAUAGGGAGUCCAACACAAAGCUGAUUUUCUCCUCCUCAGAUAGCUCAGUAUUGGACAGAAGCACAUCAAGAAAAUCACCCCUGGUGUUCAAGUCCCCUCCUUUCCUUCUCCUCUCUUCAACUAUGGCCUUCACAGUGAGUGAGAUCCUAGCUCUAGCCUGUUAAAUCAGGAGAGAGAGAGAGAGAGAGAGAGAGAGAGAGAGAGAGACUAAGAUGCAGUGCACAAGAGACAAUGAGGAAUUUUAGUUUCAAUAAUCACCUGAACUGCCCUUGCAUAGGGGGUUCCUGGGAUGUAGAGAGGGAAAGAGAUGAGGCCCUUCAUGAAGGUGAGAAAAUCUUCAAGGAUCCUGGCAGUUUGGGGCUCAUCUGGUGACAGGCCAAGCACUUGCUUCACUAUCACACUGAAGGUGAACUGUUGAGCCAAAGCAAAAGUACCAUUCAAUGAACAGAUACAUUGCACCUGAUUAAACUCUACUACCUGCCAAAAAUUUACUACACGCAAGGCAAACUGCAGUGAGUUUCCAUGUUUUAGGGGAUCAUGUUUUGCUCUGACCUUUCUAGCCUCCUCACAGAAAAGGACUCUCUUUUUGUCUCUCCAUGAGGCUAUGAUGUGAAGUGCUGUUUUCUCCGUGUCAUGUAGGAACCCAGCUUUUGACUUGGAUGAGGUGACAAGGGUGAGGGCCAAGUUCCUGAGCCUCUUGUGGGUGUCACCCACCACCACUAUCAUGGAGGAUUUACCAAGGAUUCCAUGGAUGGGCCUGGGGUAGCUGCACUGGAAGAGCCUCUCCUCAUUUUGGAGGAUGAAAUGGUUGAGUUCUUGGUCACAUGACACUAUUGUUGGGGUGCAGAAGAGAUGUGACUUGAACACUUUGCCAUACCUGCAUAUUGAAAUGCGGACCAGUUUCAUUAGUAUGUGCAUAUAUUUCUUCAGAGCCAUUUACUUAUCUUUUAAGUCAUAUUUAUUGUUUCUGUAUUUGAGCAUGUAAUUUUCUUGGUUUUAUGUGCUAAUGCUUGGAGGGCGCACACACACACACACAAACACACACACACACACACACAGAGAAAGAGAAGGCAGACUAGAUGGAGUUUCUUAGCCCGCAAAAGAAAACAACAAAAUACUUUAUUCUUUGAAGUAAUUCUUCUGCUUACACAUAUUAGACCUCCAGAUAAUAAGCUUUCUUUGCAAUAUAAAGUAAGAAAUAUAUAGAUGAUAUCAGAAAGGACCAGUGGAAAAGCUGAGAACACCGUACUAUUUAUUAUACUUUGCCAACCUUUACUUCCUUUCCAAUUUACAGUAAGAUCUCACUCAAUGGAAGGUAAGGUAAGAAGAAAAAAGACCAAAAAAAUGCCAAUAUUUAAAAAACUAUUACUUUAGAGAGAGAGAGAGAAAGAGAGAGAGGGAGAGAUGCAGGCAUGCAACUGCAUGAAAUAAUGAGUUACUUGUAGAGACAAAAAUAUGGAGAGAGAGAGAGAGAGAGAGAGAGAGAGAGAAGAUGAUAAAAGAUUACCUGGAACAAUGCUCCUCUAAGAAGCUCCCAAGGGUGUUUGAUGCAUGUGGUCUCAAAAACCUCAAGGUUUCACCAACCAAGGGCCACCCAAAGCUGCCCCUUGGAGCUGAUCUAAGGUUCAAGACCAAAGGGAGAAAAUGGUCCAAAACCAAACCCAGGAAGAGCCCAAUCAAUCCCACCAAAGCAGUGUGGAGAAACCCAGAUCCCACCAUCAUACACCCCCACUACUCCUCCAACUCUCAUCUCAAAAGGCCACCAACUAUAAGGGCCUGCCUCUCUACUUCUCUCUCUCUCUCUCCUCUCCUCUCUCUCUCUCUCUCUCUCUAUUGUGAUUUGUGAAUGGAGGAGAGGGAGGUUUCUAUAUAUCAACACCUUGUGAGUAAAGCAAGUGAGGGCUUUUGGCAGUUUAUUACUGUUGGGUGAUAAAGAAAUUUUAAAAAAAAAAAAUUAAGGAAAAAAAAGAAAGAAAAGAGCUUAGCUUUUAUCAGAGCCUAGGAAAUGGUUCAAAGCUAGGCUAGCAUCUAGCCUUCUUAUCGCUAAGGGCAGUGUCACACACAUGUAGGGAAUUGGUGGUCUAAUAUUUUAGAAUGAGUGCUGCAACUGAUAUAUAUAUAUAUAUAUAUAAAUAUAAUAUUACAGGGUUACAUGUAUAAUUGAAUCCCUAUAAAUACGUGGAAGAUUGCCCUUCAUAAUCUAAAUAACUGCACCACAUGCCAUUUCAUGAGAGUCAUGAAUAUCACAAGAUUUAAAGAAGCUUUAGAUUGCGUAUGCUUGGGGAAUGGAGGGGGAUAAGGGGUUAUCCCUCUUAUUUCUUUUUUUUUUUUUUUUUGAGAAAAUCCCCCACUUAUUUCCGAACACAAAAAAACAAGGUGAAAUAAACUGUUGAGAAAUGGGAUAGCUAUAUUGUGUGGGAAACUGGGAAUAAGGAUGGGGACAGCUGUUUCCAUCCUUAUUUAAUAUUUAUAAAAUUUUAAAUUUUAAAUUUUAAAUUUUAAAAUUUUAUAAUUUAUAAUCUUAAAAUUAAAAUUUUUAAUUUUUAAAAUUUAAAAUUUUGAAUGUAAAAUUUUAAAUUUUAAAUUCAAAUAUAAUAUAAGGGGCAAUAUCGAGCACAAAAAAUUUCUUCUUAUUCCAUCUUAUCUAUCCAAACGGUAUUUUUUAAAUUUUUUAGAACAACUUAAUUUUCAUCCAAUCGCAAAAUUGGUCUAUUCCAGCCUUAUACUUGAACUUAUACACAUCACUGUAAUAGACAGUUCUUGCUUAUACUUGAACCAAACGUAGCCUUAUAAUACUACAAUUGUUUUUUUAAAAAAAUUCCAGAAACAGAAUUUGGGUAAGAUAAGAUAAUUUGAUUAAAUUUUCAUUUAUUUGCUUGAUAAUUUCAUCACUUUUUUUCGCUUCUUAAUUUAUCUCAGCAUGUAAUUCAUUUUUCCACUUUAUUUAAGUAGAAUAUUUUUUAAAAAAACUUUCAUACUUUCAGUAAGAGUGAUCUACAUAUGUUUCGAGAUAAAGAAUAUAAAUAAAAAUACAAAUUAUCGAGCAAAAAAAAUUAUCUCGAUCGAACCGUCUGAAUUUGAUCAGAUUCAUUCAAUAACAUCACUUAUAUUUCCAUUGAAGCAUAGUUGGACCCAUUUGGUUACUUUGUAAUUUACUCCACAAGGGAGGCGAAACAAGUAAUUAAGGAGAGGCACAUAAUAUUAAUCUUUUCUAACGUGUGGAGCUCGGACAAAGUUCCAACCCCUCCUCCCCUACUUACGUGGUAAGAAAUAAAUAAACUGAAAACAAUAUGACGAAUAAAUUAAUACAUUACACUAAUCUCCAAUUUAUAUGUGUGUGUAUAUAUAUAUAUAUAUAUAUAUAUAUACACACACACACACACGAGGAAUUCUACACUGUCACACUUGUACCACGUCAUCAAUAACAAGCCAAUCACAUUCCUUCUUUUUAAACAAAAGUAUAAUAAAAAUAUUUUUUUACAAUCAUGAUGGGACAUAUAUUUUUAAAAGGACUAAUUUGAUUGGUUUGUUACACCACGUCACUAAUAUACCCGUUGCAUUCUAGAAUUUUUCCACACACACGCAUAAUUCGAUAUAUAUAUAUAUAUAUAUAUAGAGUAAAACUCUAUAUAUAUAUAUACACACACACACACACGCAUAAUUCUCUAAACAGGUCAGUAGUGGACACUUUUUAUUAUUUAAGUAGCCGCACGAGUUGCAGCGAUGCAGUACAGAUAGGUCCACCUUAGCCUCAUCGAGGGGGCUGUUCACUUUUAUAUAUCCUAAGCUCCCUCUCUUUAUUCCUCUCUAUUAAUUAAUUAAUAAUUUAGAAGUGUUGAUCCCUCUCUCUCUCUCUCUCUCUCUCUCCUGUUUAAAAACAUUAUAAUUAAAGUACCAUCAUUUAAUUUAUUUGUUACUUUUGAUUUAACUCUUAACUAACCUAGAGAGAGAGAGAUUACCCAAAGCUAAUUGGGUUAGAGUGUACUAUGCACGAUAGGGUGUUGUUAUUGAUUAUUAUUGUAUCAUAUCCACAAUAGACGUUCGAGCGACCGUUAGGAUGAUCACGUACAAAUUCCAAUGGCCUGUUUGUGUAUUAAAACAAGUUAUCUUAUGGUACUUAUGCUGAACCGUAGCUUUUGUUUGUGUACAAAAUAAUUCAAUAGAAAGAGAGAGAAAGAGAGAUUACCAAAAGCUAAUUGGGUUAGAGUGUACGAUGCAUAAUAGGGUGUUGUUAUUGAUUAUCGUUGUAUCAAAUCCACAAUCGACGUAUGAGCAGGCAUUAGGAUGAUAAUGGACAAAUUUCAAUGACCUGUUUGCAUAUCAAAACAAGUUAUUUUAUGGUACUUAUGUUGAACAGUAGCUUUUGUUUGUGUACAAAAUAAUUCAAUUACCAUACAAAAAAAGGUGUUUGAGAGCUCUUAUAGUUAAGGAAAGGAAAGGAAAGGAGUACGUAGCACACAAACUAGAGGUUUGUUAAAGGAGGCCUUUGGAUAAAAUCGAUGAACUUCAUUAUAUUACUAAAUUUGCAAUUUACACCUAGAGAUAUGUAUUGCAUAACCAAACUUUAUAAGUAUAUAUGUUUGGUGACCUUAUUAUUGCACAUGCUCAUUCACAUAGUAAUUAGGGUGAGAACUUUCGUGUGGAAACUGAAUUUUGCUCUCCAUAGAAUUACGUACGGGUUGCAGUUGUGUAAAGCAAUUCUCUUAAAAGCGCCUCAUAUGAAGAUGACUUAAUUAAAUGCACUUAUUGUAUUGAGUUACACGAGAUGAUAAAGCCCUAGCUAGCUAUCAAAGUAGUGUUAAAAUAAAAGUUAUUGAUCCCAUAAAUGUUUUUUACUACGUAAAAAAGUGCAAUGAUAGUGGUACAUUUCACAACAACAAUAAGUAGGCUUACGAGUAACAUUUUUCUUCGAAAGAAUUUGCAAAGCAAUCAAAAACAAUUAUACAAUAAGCACACAUAAUUUACCACCAAAUUAAUAGGGUAUCAAUUAUAAAUACGUAUAAUUAGUCGUCAUGUAUAGCAUAUAUAAUUACUACACUUUAAUAAGCAUAAAUUUUUUUAUACUCAUAAAGCAUUUCUGAUGAUAAAUCUUUCGAAUCAAUAAUUCUUACCGUUAAAUAUAUCUUCUUUUUUAAUCAUCUUUUUAAGAGAUUUUGCCAUUAAAGAACCUAAGAGGAGAUAGUUGGUGAUCAGUGGGAUUCCUAGAGGGGAUACCUUUUCCUUAGGGCUCGAAGCUAUAAAAAAGAUAAACUUUUUUUUGGGGAUUGCUAAAGGUGGUGGCCCCCUUAGACCUAAUAGCUAUUAAGUUCUGCCCUCAUCCAAAAGGCAGUUCCUUACAAUAAUCUUUGAAUGAAGGAGGUAGCUCGCUAUCUCGUUCUUAAAAAAGAACAAUCUCCAGAAAAUUUAUCAUUUAUACAGCUUUGACUCUAAAGUCCUGUUUGGUUCGAAGUAUAAGCGAAGAUAACAAAAGUUAUUCCUGCUAUUCUGCCAAAAAUGAUGAUUUUUAGCUUGAAUAUUUUAGCCCGGUCAAACCAUGUUAUUUCCGGCUAUUCCGGAAUAGCUUGAGAUUUGCUAUUCCACCAUUUUGAUAGAAUAGUGCUAUUCUAAUAUUUAAUUUCAAACUUUAUUAAAAUUAUAAAUUGAAUUAAAUCUAAAUUAUAUAAAUAUAAUAUAUUAUAUAUUAUAAUAUAUUAUUCUUAUUAUAAAAUUAUCAAUUGUACUAUAUUAAUACAUAUUAUUUUAAUUUAAAUAUUAUUUUAAGUCUAAUUAAAUUGAAAAUUUUAAUUUUAAGUUCUUUUGAUAGCAAAGUGUAUAAUAUCAAAGUAUUAUAACAUUUAAUUUAAAAAUAAUUAAAUAAUUUAUGUUGCAUUUUGUAAUGUAGAUAAAAUUUUAACAUUGAAAAAUAAUUUAUGAAUAUGAAAAUAACGGUACGUAUAAAAAAUGGAUUAAUUUCAUAUACAUUCCUAUAAACAUAAUGAAUUACAAAUAUAUCCUACAAAGAUCAAUUUUUAUAUGUUGUCCGUACAAAAGUUAACCAUAGAUUAAAUACUUAAUCCUAAUUAGUUAAUGAGGUAAAAUUGAUAUUUUUACCCUUUUUUAAUUAAUAGUUGAUACUUUGGGAGGGAUAUAUUUGUGAUGGUGAAAAGAUCAUUUUACUUAUAAAAUAAACGAUGUUUUAACCGUAAGAAACUAGAAUAACAUAUUUGAAAAUAUUAUAAUUUUUUAGAAAUAAUAUAUAAAAAUUAAAUUUUAUAAUGAUCUAUUUGUAAUUUAUUAUAUUUGUAAGGGCGAGUAUGAAAUUAAUCCUAGCUUAAUAAGUUUGGUGCAUCCAUGUCACGGUCUCAAUCAGAUACCGUUGAUUUGACUUGCGCUUGGACCGUGUCAUACGUAAACUUUGACCGGUUUGCGACCUUCGGUGUGGUAACGCUGAUUUUAUUUUAUUUUUUAUUUUAUUAUAUCACUAUCGUAGAGAAUGACAUGUGAGGCCCGAACGAGUCGCACUCACCAGGUUUAGUUUUUUUUUUUUUUUUUUAAAGAAAAAAGGUUUUUUAUUAGAGGAUUUUUGGGGAUUUUGUGGGACAAUAUAAUAAGAGAAGCGAAAGGGAGAAAAAGUGGGCCCCUUUUCGGCCCCUCACGAGUCAAAGUACUUAAUUGCAAAAUCCAUGCUUUCUUGGGCUCUUCAAAUUCUCGGUCUCAACUCCCAAAGACACCAAUUAUCAUUUAAUUUUUUUUAUUUUUACCAGGCAAAACUUUAAGAAAUGUACAGUUAAAAAAAUAAUGAUCUUCUAAAAUUAAGUAAAUAAUUAGUUGAAUAGUAUAAUUUAACGAAUACAAAUAAUUAAAGAAUAAAUCUAAAAAUGCAAAAAAUUGAGUAGUAUUAAGCGCUAAAUGCUAUUAGAAGCAAUAUAGUCGGACUCUAUAUAUAAAAUUGGGGCAAUUUCAUAGAUACCCCUUCCAAAGCUUAAAAUAUCAUGUAUGCCAUUCUAAAGUUUAAAAUAUCACAUAUACCCCUGUAAACAUCGAAAAUUAAUAUCAAUACCCCUACUAUUAGUUGUUUUAAUUUUACCAUAGUUAUUAAAUGAUUAAAGAUGGGUUAACUUUUAAUAUGACCAGUUUACCCUCAGCUCCCUUAAGUAAAAAUGUAUGGAGACCCCCUCAACUAUAUGUCCUUUUAAAACAGCUUUCUCAACUUUUAUAUUUUAGUUGACAUUCCAUUAAUUUUUAGUUUUUAAAAUAUUAACUAAUUUUAGUACAUGGAAAAUGAGAAUUUUGUCAAGUUUUUUUUGAUGAUUUCACUAAAUUUAGUGGCGCUAUUUAUAUUUUUAGCAAAUAAAUAACUAUGUAUAAAAAUUUAAAUAAAAAACAAAGUUGAGGAUUUUUUUCGAUCUUUCUUUAAUCUUGGAAGCUUCCAAAAUAUUUUAACCAAAAUUAUUCACGAUAAUUUUAUCUGUAUUAAAUGCAUUAAAAAACUGAAAUAUAAUAUAUUUUAGCUUUUGAACAAAACUCUCUCUCUUUUUUUUCAAUCGACAAAAAAAAUGCAUGCAUAUAGUUUUGUGAUUUAUUUUUUGCUUAAGAUAGAAAAAAAUUAAAUCUACCAUUUAUUUUAAAAUUACUAUUACUUGAUUAGGAAUGCGAAUUGAUAUAGGUAUAUCUGAAUCAAUUUUGAAUGGAUACUUAAUUGAUGCUGAGUAGAGAUAGUUUCAGUUAUAAGUGCAAAAAAAAAAGUCUCAUUAUAUUCUAAUUCAAUUAUGAUUGAUCUAUAAUCCAAACUUAACUUGAACUGAAAUCCGAAGUCAAAAACAAAACCAAAUUAUAUAAAACAUAUUAUAUAUAAAAUAUAUUUUUUAUAUAUUUUUAAUAAAUAAUAUAUAUUAAUAAUUUAGUUUAAUAUUAAUAUAUUAAAUUAUCAAAUUUACAUUUAUUGAAAUACCUAUUAGUAAUUUAACUAUGAUAAGAAAUAAAGGGUAAAAAUGCAUUUUAAAAUUUAACCCAUUUUCAUAUGAGUACUACGGACUUUAACUUAGUGGAGGGUAUGUAUGAUAAUUUUUUUAUUAUUGGAGGGUAUUUAUGUAUAUUAUCACAUUUUAGAAGAUAUUGAUGAAUUAAUGGUUUCCAUAAGGAUCUAUGAAAUUAUCCCUUAAUAAAUUCAAACCAGUAUACUUUAAUAGUUUUAUUAUCUAAUUUUUUAUUCUUGAAUUAUUACUAUGUUACGCGACCAACUACUAAACUAGGCAUCCAAUAAUCACAAAGAUGAUAAAACAUUAUAUUAAUAAUAUUUCAGGACAGUUCUAUAUAAUAUAUAUAUAUAUAUAUAUAUAUAUAUAUAUAUAAAAUUCAGCUACUAUCUUUUUAAGAAGACGGAUGACUCUAUCUUUCUAAAUCAUUAUAGAUGAUACAAAUUUCGAAUUGAUGAUCGAACCAUUAAAGUUGAUCUAAAAUAUUUGAAAUGUCUAUAAACUAAAUUUUAUAAAUUUUAAAAAUUAUCUUCGUAGUGAUCAAAGGAUCACAAAAUCGAUAAUUUUUAACGGCUUAUAUCAGCAUUUACUUAUUUAAUGGUGUAAAACAAUCCAAAUGACUUGAAUUUUUUAUAGAUUUUUUUUUUAUUAUUUAGAUAAUAUUUGAUAACUAACUCCAGCCAUGAAUUGCAAAAGUCUAAUAUCUAUUUUCACAAGCUUUGUUCAUUUUUUACCGUUCAUUUUUCAACUCUUUAAUGAAUUGGAUAACGAAUUUUAAAAUUUAUAAAAUUUAGUUUCUAAACGUUAUAAAUAUUCUAGAUAAACUUUAACUAUUUCGAUCAUUGAUUCAAAAUUUUAAUCAUCUAAAACGAUUUGGAAGGAUGAAAACUUUCAUCUUUCUUUAAAAAAAUAGUACUAGACACACACACUCUCUCUCUCUAUAUAUAUUAUAGAUAAUUAAUAUAUGAUUUUUUUUUUUUAGAGAUAGACAGCAUGCUAUCCAUUUUGUUUAUUUUAUGUAAAAAUAAACUUAGCUAGAAAUAUGAAUCAACUAGAAUUCACACUUGGGAUCUCGAAUAUCAACUACAGUAACCCGUGAGUUAUAUGUUGCAGUGAAAAAUUUGUGGUGUGUUUUACGAGGUGGGCCAUCUCAGGAAAGAGUUCCUUUUUAUGUGUCUUUGAGCUCUUCGAGAUGGCACGAGGCCCCGUCAGAGUUGAGCCCCAACCCCCUCUCUCUCUCUCUCUCUCUCUCUCUCUCUCUCUCUCUCUCUCUCUUAUAUUUAUACAUAUUUAUUUAUUUAAAAUAUAUAUGUAAAAAUUAUCUGAAAUAAAAAUUACUUACUAUACUGCUAAAUGAAGUAUUUUUUAGCGAGAAAAUUUUAUUCCGGUCAAAUUUUAUUGUUUCCUAUUAUUUUAGGAUAAAUUGGCGUAAAUGAUUUCACUCUUUGGAUGAAAUAGUAUUAUUUCAGAAUUUAAUUACAUGCUUUAUUAAAAUUAUAAAUUAAAUUAAAAUAAAUUAUAUAGACUUGACAUAUUACAUAUUAUAAUAAAUUAUUUUUAUUAUAAAAGUUAUUAAUUUGCACAGUAUUAAUGCAUAAUAGUUGUAUUCAAUUUAAAUUUUAGUAAUUCCUUAAAAAAAUUAUAAUAAAAUUAUUUUUAUAACCAAUACUUUUAUUAAAUUAUAAUUUAUAUUAAAAUCAAUAAUUAUUUUGUUUUACUAUUCUCUGCUAGUCUAUAAAAUUAACCAAGCGCACUUUUAAUUAUUUCUGAAAAUAGCGAUAUUAUAAACCAAAUAUAACUAUUUUUUUAUUCUUUACUCUUUCAAAAUAAUAAAUAAUUUUAAAAAUUAAAUAAAAUUAUAUUAAUCAUUUUAAUUCUCAAUAUUUAUUAUUUUCCAACCAAACGGAACCUAAAAAGGUCAGAAGAGAGAGAGAAAAUGAGGAGGAAGUUUACUAUAUCAUAAUUGCACCACAUCAGCAAUAACAAUACAAUUACAUAUUUUCUUUAAAAAAUAUAUAAUAAAAAUAUUUUUUUAUAAUUAUGAUGUGACAGAUUAACUCAAAAAAGCUAUUUAAUUGGUUGAAAACAUCACAACAUCUUCUAUUAACCUAUAUAAAUUCCCAAUAAUUUUGCCACAUGGCAAGUUUUCCUCCAUCCUCACUAAUCCUUUUUUUUUGAAUUAAUCUUUAAUUUGGCUUUUCCCCUCCCCUCCUCUCUAUUCAAUAACCUAUAAUUAAUGUGCUUUUUAAUUUAUACGUUUAGUUUUUUCUCUUCAAUAUUAGUCAUUUACUCUUCCUCAAAUAAUUUCUAACAUGAAAAAUUAAAAAAGGAGAAGAUAAAUAGUUACUACAUUCAAAUCUAGAGAUUAGAGAAGAGUAAGGGAGUCCUCCAAGCCUUCGGAUUUAGGGGUAGGUUUGGGAAACGAAAAUCCUAAACCUAAUUUUUCUUUUCUUUAUUUUAAUCGCAAAUUCUUACUAAGUAUCAAUUUAGAAUUAAUUUAUUUACAUUAUUUUUUAUAUAGUGGUUGUAUCAAUCAAGGAUUUGAUUUAUGUGCAUUAUUUUGAUUAAUUUAGAUGUCAGUUUUAAUUUUAUAAUUGAUGUGGUAGUUCUAACCCGCAACUUCUGAUCAUUCCAUAUCCAAAAGAGUGCAAAAUCUUGCAAAUUUCUAUGAGAUUUUCAUCACCAUUGUCGUCAUUAUCGCAACAUUAUCAUCUCUAUCUUCAUACGACCUUUUGUAAGUUUUUUUAGUGAUGAUUCUAGACAUUUAUCGAUUUUCAAUGAUCAUAUUAGUUAGCUCAAUUCAUACAUUUUUCUAUCCAAAAAAUAAAACACACUUGAAAUUUUAUUUUCCAAACUCUUUUCUUCUUCCUCUUCAAUAUUUUUUAUUUUUUCUUCUAUUAUUUAUCCGCCGCAUCGCGCAGGUUACUACACUAGUAAAUAUAAUUAAGUGAUUCAUUUUAGAUUUUUUUUUUUUUUUUUAACAGAAGGAGAGCCAUGCCCUAAUGCUCCCAACGUGGUGAUAUUCAUUUCAAGAGUGCACGAGGGGCGCAUUCAAAGCUUUCCCAUGGAUUUUUCCUGCAUACAUAUAUGCCCCUAGUCUAUGUAGUCUCUGGAGAUGUAGUACACUAGUACUAUAUGAUACAGCGAAGGGAAAGCCAUGUUAAAAAAGCUUGGCCCCACAUGACCAAGACGAAGGGUUCAAUUAUAACUCCUUUUUUGGGGUUCUUCAUAAGGUACCCAAAACUAUAUAGAGAUAUCACUAAUUAAUAGUGAAUCACCUUGCAAAUUAAUUAAUUUGAGAUUUUUAAUUAAUUAAAGGUCCUCUAAUAUAAGAUAGUUAUACAUACACAUAGGUUGAAGAGGUUAGAACAACAGUGCUAUAGUUAUUUGUCAUAUAAUUAAUUUUUAUGUUAGCUCCUAGCUAGUGUAUAUAUGUCUUAGUAAAUUGCCAUUAGUUUUAUUAAAAAUGCAUUCACGCACACUUUUAGCUGGAAAUCGAAUUCAAACAUCGAAUUUCUUAGCUAGCGCGAGGGUACUGAUCACGUAACAACCGCGAUAAGCACUAACGGUAUUAUGAAAAUUUUGAGAAGUUAAUUAAUUAUAAACUACCAUUUAUUAUGUUUAUAAAAAGGCAUGAUACAUCAAUUGUAUUUGGAGAUACAUUUUGAGGUGCUCAUAGUAAGUUGGUGGGUGGAGACAUGUGGAUAUGCGCAUGGGAGCAAAUGUACUUAUGCUUCUCCAUGGUCUCUCGGAAGCUUUUGACUCACUUAUUGGCAUCGAUCUCCAUGCAAACACACACACACACACACACACACACACACACACACACACGCACACAUGUAUAUACAACACCCACCAAUUAAUUAAGUACUCUCACAUCCUCCUUGUUCCCUUUUCAAAACAUAUAUAUAACUUUUUUAUAAUCGGAGAUAUAUAAAAGAUGAAAAAAGAAUUAAUAAUUUUGAUUUGUGUACACUAUGAAAAGUAUAUAUUUUUAUCUAUAAGUUUAUGUUUUUGGGUUGAUUAGAAUCUUUCUUAAAAAAUAAUCUUUAUUAAUUGUUAAUUGCUUCUCACCUACUAAUUAACUAGCUAGAUUCUGAGCAAUUAAUUAAUUUUUUUUUUGUUAUUAAUAACAUGAUCCUUUUUAAAUGUGCGUCGUAUAUACUCUCCUUCGUAUAAAAUAAAGUUAAUUAAUAUACGCGUCUUCUACUUGCCAUAUUGGAUAUAUAUUUUAGGACCGCAUGAACAGCUCCAUGUGCCCAAGAUUAUGAACUCAACUUCAAGGCGAAGGCUUCGUUGUGGCUUUUCAUCUGAGGCCACAACUAAUUAAUUUACACUAUUAAUAUGUUCAUGCUACUAAUUGAUCGAGGCUAAACCUAUAGAUCAUGUGUGUGUGUGUGUAUAUAUAUAUAUAUAUAUAUAUAUAUAGAGCAGGACUGCUGUGCUUUCAGGAGCACGGAGGCUUCCGUGCUCCUGAGCCGUUUUCGAUAAUGGAAUUUUCGAAUCGACGAUCGGCUCCGUUAGACUUGAUCUAGCGCAUUUGAAGUUUCUAGAAAAUAAUUUUUGCGAUUUUUCGAUAUCAUUUACCUAGUGAUCGAAAGGAUUCAAAAUCCAUAAUUUUUAAUGGUUGAUAUCUGCCGUUUUUAAGUUUAACGGUGUAAAAGUAUUCAAAUCAGAUGAAAAUUUGAUAGAAAAUUCUUUAUACUAUCUACAACAAGAUCUAUAUUUACGAUCGAAAAUUUUAGUGCUAUAUCACCACUUUUUAUAGGAUUUUUAUUUUCAGCCAUUAAAUAUUAUUGAUUUUGAAUCCUUUCGAUUGCUAGGUAAAUGAUAUCGAAAAAUCGCAAAAAUUAUUUUCUAGAAACUUUAAAUAUGCUAGAUCAAGUUUAACGGAGCCGAUCGUCGAUUCGAAAACUCCAUCAUCGAAAACGGCUCAGGAGCACGGCUCCUGAGAGCACAGCAGCCCUACUCUAUAUAUAUAUAUAUAUAUAUAUAUAUAUAUAUAUAUAUAUAUAUAUAUAUAUAUAUAUAUAUAUAUAUAGGGUAAAUAGGACCACAUGCAAGAGAAUGGCCCUAUAACACUUGAAAGGGCUUUAUAGAUGGUUCACAACACCUUGGGUCGAGACCAUAAAUAUAUAUAUAUAUAUAUAUAUAUAUAUAUAUAUAUAUAUAUGCAACCAUGUACUUGUUACGUACAUAUAUAAUACAAGCUACAAAAUUGCACCCGAGCAAAUGUGUUAGCUUUAAUUAAUUAGGGUUUGUGAGAUGACGAGCUCAAAAGGGUUGUUUGCUUUCGAGUGAUUAUGACUUUAGGAUUCUCUAAAAUAGCUUUUAUUCUUCACACUCAAGGGAUGGAGAGGACCACCACCAACAUUGAAAUAAGAUGCACUUCCCUCUCUACUUGCAACAAGAAUAAAGCUUCAGGCACCCUUAGAAAAGAAUACUUUAAUGCAAAAUUAAAUAAUAAUUUUCCUACCAUUACUCGUAUUAAAUAAUUUGCUUGCUAAAUUGAAAAGGGCCAGCAUCCUGUCAUAUGGCGGAGGCCGAGAUGAUCGAGUUUAGUCACAGUAAAAGCUUGCGAACUGCACGGCGGAAACCAAGAUCGGCCGAGUCAUAAUCGAAAUCAGUUAAGGGAUGUACUUGUACACUUUAAGCUUGAGCUUUUGAAAUUAGUGGUUAGCACGAACAAUCUGAUACUAUUUUUGUAUUCGAUUUCAUUAGUACUAUUGCUAUGCUGUCAGAAGAAAAAAAAAAAAAAUUCUGUGGCAUCUUCGUCAUUCUCUUGUGUAGUAUCUUACGCCAUGAGGAAAUCAUCAUCUUAUUGAUCUCUGGGGCCCAAGAGAGAAGCAUAAAGGAAUUUGAAAAAAAAAAAGAAAAGAAAAAAGAACAAAAUGAGAUCAUUCGCUUAAGUUGCACAAAUAUAGUUUUGGUUUGCAUGUGGGAAACAUAUCCUUUGGUUCCUUUUGUUGUGGUAGCUAGUGGGUGUGAGAAGUUAUGGGCAUCUACAUAUAAGCAUGCUUUAAAUCAAGUAAAAGGAGUCCAACUAAGAGCUCAUUUUAGCUGGUUUUAAGUGUUUCUCAAUGAUUAGCCGUUAUGUCAUUAAUCAUUUAAUGAUCAAACUUUCCAUAUAUGUUAUCCACAAUUAGUUGGGUGUUAUAAUUAUAAUUAACUCCAUAUAUAGAAGCAUGUUGUGGGUGCAUGUCACUUUUUGAUAAGGAAAUUUUGCACCCGAACUUCCAAUGGUAGAUCAUAAAGUUUUCUUAUCUUAUAUCCAAAUUAAGAGUUUAAUUUAUGCGCUUUGCUUUUAGUUGAUUUAUGGAGCACCUCAUUAAAUUGCUAAGUUUGAUUCGAAUUCAACCCAACUAAUUAUUUGUUUUAGAUAUAUUACGAAAAUGUGAACAACUUAAGAAGUUACAUGCACGGUCCUUCAGUAAUAAUAUAGUAACGCUUAUAGCUUACUAUAUAUAUAUAUAUAUAUAUAUAUUGAUCANUAACUUAUACAGUGCCAAACCGCUAGGAUCCCAGUAAUAAUAUAGUAACGCUUAUAGCUUACUAUAUAUAUACAUAUAUAUAUAUAUUGAUCAUAUUCAUGUCCUCUAAGGAUCUAUUCUUAGCUUUAAAAGGAGUGCUACUAUUCUUAGGCCCAGGUAAGGCUCCAUUAAUGGAAGCUUAAGUGGUACUUACUUCACAUGUUGCCUUAUAUAGUGCUUGAGCUUUAUGCGUUGAUUAAUUAAAUUAAAUCAUGCAUAGGUUCUAGUAUUGUGAUCAACUGGCCCAUUGCACCAACAUUUAGCCUUUUACUCAAAGCGUUUACCUUCAUUAUUUUAUGGCCAAACCUAAUGUACUGUAGUUAAUAGGAGAACCUUCUAAUCAAGUACGAAAUGAUAAUAAAAUAUCACCGCAAACAAGUACGGAUGAACUAAUUUGCACGUUACAUAAGUUUGUAAAAAAUGUUUACAUGAUUAUUAGAGAUAUAAAUUCGACAGUACCAUUUGAUCGCAGGUGAUUGAAGGGCUAUGAGGGUGUGUCGGUUGGGUUUGUAAUGGGCCGUUAUUGGGCCAUUUGGGUUAUGCAUGUACUGGGCCUAAAGGACAGGACCAGGGGUGGCUCAGUGUCGAUAAAUGGACGGGCAUGAUUGAAAGGUAAGGAGACCCGCCCCAGUGUGAGCUAGAGCCUGUUGGGGAGUGGACCUGGAUUUUUUCUUUUUUAUUUUUUCUUUUUUUUUUUUAACGUGCAGAAUUUAUACGAGCGAUCUACUACUUUGAUUUGGCUAUUUAAUUUUUUAAAAUUUUAAUUUUACUAUCUAAUCUUAAAAAAAAAAAAAUUAUUUAAGUUAGCCAACGGCGCUUUGACUUCAAAAUUGAAUGUGUCGUUUACCUUUAUGGUUUUAGUUAGUAUACUUCGUGCGUUCCUCACUGUUAUAAAUUUAUUAAAAUAAGUAAUUAACUUGUUUUUAAUGUCAAGAUACUGUUUGCUGAUUCAAAUCAAAUAAAUUAAAAGAUUGAGUAAUAAAAUCAAAAUUUUAAAAAAUUAAACAGUUUUUUUUUUUGGAAAAAGAGAAAGGUAGCAUGCUACCUGCUCCGCUUAGGGUGUGUUUGGAUCCCUGUAAAACUACUCCGAAAAUUUCUUUCAGUUGAAAAAAAUUUUUCCGACGUUUGGUUGCCUGUAAAAAAAUUUUUUGGAAAACUUUUUUUUACAGAUUCUCUAAAAAACUCAAGUUUUCGUUUUUCGCCGGCCGUCCACGAAAAACGAAAACCCAUCGAUGAAAAGGCGCGGCUCAAGAGAGGUUUGAGCACACAGUCCACAAGGUCAUCCUCGCCUCGUGGACCGCGUGAGACGAUGGUGCACUCGUGAAAAUGAAAACCUAUUUUGAAAAAAGACGCGGCUCAAGAGGUUUGAGCACGCGGUCCACGAGGUCAUCCUCGCCUCGUGGACCGCAUGAAAGGGAGGUCUACAAUGGACCUCCUCUCAUUUUAUAUNNNNNNNNNNNNNNNNNNNNNNNNNNNNNNNNNNNNNNNNNNNNNNNNNNNNNNNNNNNNNNNNNNNNNNNNNNNNNNNNNNNNNNNNNNNNNNNNNNNNNNNNNNNNNNNNNNNNNNNNNNNNNNNNNNNNNNNNNNNNNNNNNNNNNNNNNNNNNNNNNNNNNNNNNNNNNNNNNNNNNNNNNNNNNNNNNNNNNNNNNNNNNNNNNNNNNNNNNNNNNNNNNNNNNNNNNNNNNNNNNNNNNNNNNNNNNNNNNNNNNNNNNNNNNNNNNNNNNNNNNNNNNNNNNNNNNNNNNNNNNNNNNNNNNNNNNNNNNNNNNNNNNNNNNNNNNNNNNNNNNNNNNNNNNNNNNNNNNNNNNNNNNNNNNNNNNNNNNNNNNNNNNNNNNNNNNNNNNNNNNNNNNNNNNNNNNNNNNNNNNNNNNNNNNNNNNNNNNNNNNNNNNNNNNNNNNNNNNNNNNNNNNNNNNNNNNNNNNNNNNNNNNNNNNNNNNNNNNNNNNNNNNNNNNNNNNNNNNNNNNNNNNNNNNNNNNNNNNNNNNNNNNNNNNNNNNNNNNNNNNNNNNNNNNNNNNNNNNNNNNNNNNNNNNNNNNNNNNNNNNNNNNNNNNNNNNNNNNNNNNNNNNNNNNNNNNNNNNNNNNNNNNNNNNNNNNNNNNNNNNNNNNNNNNNNNNNNNNNNNNNNNNNNNNNNNNNNNNNNNNNNNNNNNNNNNNNNNNNNNNNNNNNNNNNNNNNNNNNNNNNNNNNNNNNNNNNNNNNNNNNNNNNNNNNNNNNNNNNNNNNNNNNNNNNNNNNNNNNNNNNNNNNNNNNNNNNNNNNNNNNNNNNNNNNNNNNNNNNNNNNNNNNNNNNNNNNNNNNNNNNNNNNNNNNNNNNNNNNNNNNNNNNNNNNNNNNNNNNNNNNNNNNNNNNNNNNNNNNNNNNNNNNNNNNNNNNNNNNNNNNNNNNNNNNNNNNNNNNNNNNNNNNNNNNNNNNNNNNNNNNNNNNNNNNNNNNNNNNNNNNNNNNNNNNNNNNNNNNNNNNNNNNNNNNNNNNNNNNNNNNNNNNNNNNNNNNNNNNNNNNNNNNNNNNNNNNNNNNNNNNNNNNNNNNNNNNNNNNNNNNNNNNNNNNNNNNNNNNNNNNNNNNNNNNNNNNNNNNNNNNNNNNNNNNNNNNNNNNNNNNNNNNNNNNNNNNNNNNNNNNNNNNNNNNNNNNNNNNNNNNNNNNNNNNNNNNNNUAAUUAUUUAUUAAUAUUUCUAAAUAUAUAACUCUUAUAUAUUAUUAAUAUAUAUUUAUUAUAAUUUUAAAUAUAUUUAAUUUAUAUAUAUAAAUUAUAAUAAUAAUAUAUAUAGUAUAUUAAUUAUUAUAUAAUAAUAAUAUAUAAUAAAAAAAUAUUAAAAAGGUUUCUAUCUAUUUUUUUUUUCCUUUUAGCCAAACAACCAUCAUGUAAAACUUUUUUUUUUUCCUACAAACAAACACUAAACUACGUAAAUUUUUUUUCACUGAAAAUUUUUUCUACUGAAUUUUUUUUUUUUUCCAGUUUUACAUCGAUUCAAACAACCUCUUAGUGAAAUAUAAAGCAAUUAUGUUUCAAACUUGAAAUCUCAGUACGUGCGCUAGUGGUACGUAUAAUUUGUACCAAAUUGUACAUGUUGCAGAAAAAGCUAUCCUACUUUCUCUUUCACCAAUCACCACCGAUAAUCUAGUUCGUAAGUCGCAUCCCUAGCUAGGGAGGGAAAGAGGGGUGGGGUUUAGCCUCUCUCGGAUGCGUACCUGCAAGCAUUAAUUAAAAAUAAAAGAAGAGGAUAGUAAUCUAGUUGAAACUUGAUAGCUACCUCCCUUGCUAGGGACUAGGGAGAGUGUUUGGGAUUAAUCCUUCUUCCAUGCGCGUCUAAGCAUAAUAAAAACUAGUUAAGGAACCCCGGCUACGGAUUCAUUUAUCUUUUUUUAUAAAUAAUUAAUAAAUAAUUAAAUAUAUUUUUUAUAUAAUAAAUAACAAUAUAUUUUAGUUAAUUAAAUAAGAAAGUUUUAGAAAUAUUUCACAUGUGAUCAAUUAUAUCAGAUAUGUAAGUUUUGAUUGCAAAUAAUAAUGCUAAUCUUAACACCCGUUCGGUUUCAGAUUGUAAAUUCAUAAAUUUGUGGUUUAAUUAUAAUAAAACUUUAAAAUAUAUAAUUAUUUAUGCCUAAUUUUAAAAUAUUUUAGAUUAUAUGUAUUAAAUAUUAAUUUUAAUUUUAUAAUUAUUUAGAUAUAAAUAAUCCAUUUUUAAUAAUGGAAAACUGAGCUUUCCGUGCUCGACGCGUGGGAGAGGUGCGAGGGCGGAGGGGGCGAGGAGGCGGGCGGCGCGAGCCUGGUAGUGGGCGAGUGGCGCGCAGGGCGCGGGCCGCGGGGCGGGGGACGGGCGGCGCGCGCUGGUGGCGUGCAGGCUGUGGGCGCGAACGGGCGCGGAUGGGCGAGCCGCGCGCUGGCAUGGCGCGAGCGAAAAAAAAAAAAAAAAAAGAAAAGCUAGCAGGAAAAAAUCGGGGUCAAUUUCCCUUUUGCACGGGUCCACGAGUAAGCAUCACCUGUGGAAUCGCAUGGUUCACCUGCUCUCUCUCCCUUUUGAGAUUAUAUAUUAANNNNNNNNNNNNNNNNNNNNNNNNNCUUAUCAACAGACAGCAUAAAAAAAAAAAGAAAAAAAAUUCUGUUAUGAGUACCAUACAAUUUUGGAUGUGAUAUUAUUAUUUGUGUGAUCAAUAUAUGCAAAUAUAUUUUUGUUAUUUUGGGUUGUGGAUAUUUUGAACAUACUGUUUCAUUUCAUCAAAUAUAUUCAAUUUGUGGAAGUAAUUAAAAUUUAUUUAUUUUGAUUAUGAUGUCUAAAUGAUGAUCAAAUUUGGUUAGGUAAGUUUUAUAUAUUUUUUUGUUUAAUUUGUAUAUCUGUAGAAAAUGAUGGAAAAUUUAAUUUUUAAUGCUUAAUAAUUUUUAACUUAGAAUUGUUAUUUGUUGUAUUUCAUUAUAAUUUAUAUGCAAACAAAUAUUAAUUUUUAAAAUUUAUUUUAUAUAAUUAUACACUAUAUAUAAUUAUAUAAAUAAUAUAAUUAUAUUAAUUUUAUUUAUUAUAAUUUAUUAUCAUUAGUUAUAAAAUUGAGAAUUAUAUCACUUCGGAGGAAAUAUACAGAGGUGGAGAGGCUACACUUUUUUACGGGCUAUCUAUUUCUCCAAAUAAACAACAGAACGUAGCCAGAAAUGCCACUUUUACAGUAAGAACAAACAGGCAAAGUGAAUUAAAUUUCACCCCAAUUACUUCAAUCCAAAGUCCACUUCCACGCCAGUCUAUUUUAAUUAAAAAAACAUGCCUUAAAGGAUUGAAGGUUAAGUUGAACAGAAGCAAAAUAUCGUUAUAUAUUUUGAAUAUAUGUAAAAUUAAAUAAGAUAUUGAUAUUUUAUUUUAUAAUAUUUCAUUGAAAGUAUAAAAAUGUAAUUGUCAUGUUAAAAAAAUAGCUGUUUCAAAAAUUUUUCAUAAGUUUUGAUGGGAAUGUAUAUUACUUCAACUAAUGAGACUUAAUUUACAUCGAACAAAAUUGAAAUAUCAUUAAACUGAAUGGGAAGUAAAAUGAACAAUCAUAUGACAACAACAAAUAGAACAAGGAUACAAACAGGAUUAACGGAUUAUUUCAUUUUUUAUCAGAAAAAUUUAAUUUAAAUUAACAAACCAAGCUAGAUGUAAAUGUUUUUUUUGAAAUCAAAAUACUAUGAAUUUGGAUAUUUUAAGCUAAAAAUAAGUGAUUCAUCUUGAUCGAUAUUAAUCAAAUUUAAUGGUGUUUAUUGCAAUAAAGAGGGCUUAAAUAGUACCAUUGAAUUGUUGACGUCGGCUUUUAGUUGUAGUAAUAAAUUUUUAUGAUAUUAUGUUCAAAAAUUUGGUCCUAUUAUUAAGGUGGAAAUAUGUCUGGGCAUGUGAUUUAAUAAAGAAAUAUCAGUUUUUAUCUGCUAAAUUCUUUGAGCUGCCUUAAAGUUGAAAUUUUUUUGCCUCGGCACUCUUUUUUUUUUCUUUUAUUUUUUUGAGAGAGAUAGGUAGCACCGCUCCUGCUUCGUUUAUUUCAUUUUAGAAAUAAAAUUUAGCUAGAAAUGUGAAGAUCAACUAUGUAGAUUCGGACUUGAAUCUCAAAGUACAACCAAUCCUUUGAUCAUUCUCUAAGGAGAGGGAGCAGGGGUGCAUAUUAUGCUAGGGAGAUUUAGAGGCAAUCCCAAAUUUAUCUAUUUAUUGAAUGGCGAGACUAUAAAAUUCUAUUAGAAUGUUUGCAGAGUGCAAAGCAAACUAAACUCGAGUUCAAUUUGUUUUGAAGGCUAGAUCGUGACAAAUAGUUGGAAAAGAGUGCCAGAUUAAGUAGAUCUUAUGUAGGUUUGAUUUUAUGUGCUACUUGUUUGCUAGCUUUACUUUUUGUCUUGCCUUUGCUCUCUCUUCCUUUGCUGAUGCCUGUGGCUCAGUGAUAUAACUUUAGUUAAUCUUCCUGCUAUUAAAAGAUAGCAAGCUUCUUUUACACCAACAAAGAAAUAUAUUAUUUUGAUCAAUUGAAGGGCAAUUUACAAAAUUUGAUUAUUUAAAUUGCAUAAAGUUUUUUUAUAUAUUAUAAAAUUUCUAAAAUAAUAUAACACACAGAUAACAAGUUUUUUUUUUUUCUUUCUAAAAAUAAAAAUUAUCAGUAUAAAUAAUUCGAUUUGUAGGUGAUAAUGUGUACCAAAUUGGGCAUUUUAGUUUAAAUUAAAGAUAUAAAAUUAUUAAAAUUUAAUGAGGAUAGUGUAUGGUAGUGAUACGAUACACUGGAUGCCAGGGACGAAUUUUUUCAGAGUUUUUCGUGGGCUUACGGCGUACCAUAGUAUUGUUUACAACUCCUCCACCUUCAAAAACCAUCUCAAUGCUUCUUUUUACAUAAUACCUAAUUCACUCAUAUCUACAAUCGCAUUCCGAAAUCUCAUGCAACGAUCCAAUCAAGCGGCCAAGCAUCGCCGCAUAUUAAACAAUUACAGCCCCGUACAGACCAUCGUUCCACGUUACAGCUUUCGUUCACGAUUAUUAUAUAUUUACAGAUCUCGAGAAACUGCUGAUUUAAAAGUUUAGUACGAGUACAACGAAUAGAUCUCUUCCCUCUUUCUUUCGCUCUCUCUUUCUUCUUUUUUCGUGGCGUGCGUGAAUUCGCUGCUGGGGCGGAGGUGGGCGAGAAUCGAAGGCGAACGGUGGGAGAUGUGCUGCUUUUCCCGAGCCGAUCGUGUAUGCCUCUGCCUCCUCUUGUUGUCGGCAUCAUCCUCGUGGGCUUCGUUCUUCGGCUUGGGGUCGCUUAGCCAUGGCUUCCACACCCCCCCCUAGAUCAAGGGCACGGCGCUUCCACCUCGACCCCUCGCAUGGCCUCGCCACGCUUCCGGCCCCCAUGUAUCGUAAGGUACCCACCCUCCUUCCUCCCGAUCCGUGCUCAAUUUACUAAAUUUAGGGUUUCUGCUGCCGGGAAUUGGGGCGACGGGGGGCGGCGAAAUCUAGGGGUUUGGUUCCCGGAUUCGAGAUCUUGGGAAAUGUGGAGGGAUGAGAUGAGAGUUCUUUGGAUUUUUGAACAUUUUAAAAUUCGAAGACAAUUCCUCUUUUUUUACCAGUUAGUUUUUUAUAUUUGUAUAGUUUUGAUUUGGAUUUUUUUUCAGAUAUUUUGAAUUAAUUAAUUAAUUAAUAAAUAUAUUUUACUUGAUACGGUCACGGGUACCAAUCAAUUUGAAUUAUGAAUUUUGGCUUUUUUUUUUUGAAAAAAAGAGCAUUUAUUCUAUAUGGUACUUUUUGGCGUUCAUUAUUUAUGAAUUUUGGGUACCUUGGAAGCUGAAGAAGGUAGGGAGUGGUUUUGAAUCAUUGAGGUGAUAUUAUAAUUAAUUAUUUGAUUGAAAUACAUUUAAUGUUGCAUGUAGGGCCCAUUAUAUAUUAUGAAAUCACUGUUAGUUGGGAUUAAAGUUUUUCUUCGUUAUCUGCUUUUACGAUUUAAAAGAAUAAAAAUUAAAAAAUUUAUGGUAUGUGAGGAGGAAAGAUUAACAAUCUUUUAAAUCUUGUUGGAGUCUUUUAAACUAAAGUAAUAUUUUUAAGCUAUUGUUAUUACAGGCCAGGCAUAAGAGUAUAUAUACGCGGGCGCGAUGCAGCAGUUGCACUUGUAUUGCUGUUUGAUUAUUGGUUUCAAAAACGCUCUCACUCUACAGCAAUCAAAUUAACUUAGUUGGUAUUUACAAAAUUUUAAGUUUAAAGUCUUAGUUAUUUUAUUUUUUAUUAAAAUGUCUAACUUAGUAAUAUGUUGAAACAGUUAAGUAAAAGCAAGAAAGUAGAGCAAGGCUAUACAAUAAAUUAAUAUAAGGUUUAGGAGAGAAGAUGUUUUUUCGGUUGAUUCUCGUUCAAUCUCGAUUAAUGAUCUGCCUAGUUUGUAACGUCACGCAAGCAACAUAUGUUUGUUUUAAAAAAAAAAAAAAAAAAUAGUUUAACUACAAUCAUAUCAUAUGGUAGGGGUGAGUGGGAGUGGGCCGGACAGACAGAGUGGCGUGUCGGGUUCGCCAUCUCUGUUGAGGUCAUGCUGGGUCGGUUUCAGUUAGGUUUGUGUUUGGUCAUCGUAGUGGCAAGUUAAUGUAAACCCACUACUUUCAAUGCCUUUUUUUCUUUUUGUUUUUUUUUCGUUUGUCUGAAGAAAGAAAAAAUAUUUUAGGUUCUCUAUCAAUGAGUAGAGCUUGUUACGAGAACAAGAGUUUUUAGAAAAAAGGGUUGAACGUAUUUCUCUUUUUUUUUUUUUGAGAAGAAAAAUUAGCAUAUUACUUGUUAUCGUUUUUAAAAAAUAAAUUUAAUUUAAAUGUAAAUCAACCAUGAUUUAAAAUUGAGAUUUUCGGAUACAACCUCUAAAACUCUUUGCCACUUACAGGAGGAACAGCGAUAAAGGGGGUUGAAUAAUUUAAAACUCACGAAAACAAUGAAUAUGGUGCUAGUUGAGAGAGUAACUACUAGUUUUUUUUUUUAAGAAAAGUAAGUGUGCAUCACAGAUGUAAGAUUUCCUGGGGUGUUUGGCUUCAGUUUUAUCCUGCAUAUUAUAAGUAAUUCUAGUUCAAAAUGAUAUGCUUUGUGUUUGUUCGUCUGUAAUUGGGUCCGGUAGUGUAAUCUUAAAAUGAUACUAGUUACUGUAUAUUACAUUUAAAAAUUAUAAAUUUAUUCUCAAAUCUCUCUCUAAAUCUCUUCAAUAUGUCUUUUUGUAGAUGUCUUUAUAUUUAUGUCUUUUUGGUUAGGAUGACUAUAUUUUGUUUUUUGAGAGAGGGGAAAAAAAGGGUAGAAGGGUAGAUAUUUAUUUUUUAAAUUAUAAUUUAGCUAAAAUGGUGACAUAAUAAAUUCAAGUUUUGGACUUAGGUUGACAUCAUAAGUCAUUUGCCUACUUGCGCUAGUAACAGACUGUAUGAUGAUUUAUUUUAUUAUAUUUAAAAUUAUUAAAUUUUAUAAACCAAUUAAAUAUAGUAAUUUUAUUUUACAUCUCAAUCCAGUAUUGGAUAUUACUGCUUAAACCAAAGACUAUACUACAGUAUAAUAGUAAUUGAUUCAAAUUUUAGAUACUAUAAUUAUGCGAAAUAUUAUAAUGUUAUUACCACGCGAACAAAGCACUCUCCAGUAAUAAUAUUCUAUGGGUAUGGGGUUGGUUUUGUUCUCGUAAAACUGCAGAAAAAAAAAUUUUCGUGUAGAAAAAGUUUUCAGAGGAAAAUAAUUUUACGCUUUGUAUUGGUUUGGUAGGAAAAAAGUAAUUUUAUUUGGUUGUUGGUUGUUGAAGGAAAAGAAAGGAAAAAAGAAGAAAAAAUUAAUUAUAAAUAAAUAUUAUAUAAUUAUAUAUUUUUUUUUUUUAUAUUUAUUAUAUAUUAAUAUAUAAUUUAUAUUUGUAAAUAAAUAUAUUAAAAUAAUAUAUACAAUAAGUAAUAAUAUAAUAAUGGGGCAAUUUCAUGGAACCAUCCAAAGUUAUAAAAUAUAUAAUGCCCUAUAAAAAUUUAAAAAUAUCACCCAUUUCCUUUAAACACAAAAAUUAUAUCAAUACCACCUUAUAUUAGUUAUGUUAGCUUUACCAUAGAUAUUAAUGUUUAAAAUAAGGUUAAUUUUAAAUGACUUAUUUACCCUAAGUAUUUUCUUAAGUUAAAAUGUAUGGAGACCCCUCAACUAUAUGCCAUUUUCAAAUAUGGCUCUUAACUUUAUUUUUUUUUUUCAGUUUGAAUAUUCCCAUUAGCUUUUAGUUUUUUAAAAGAUAUAACUAAUUUCAGUGUAUGAAAAAUGAGAGUUUGUAGUUUUUUUGAUAAUUUUAACAAUUAGUGGCUUAUUUAUAUUUGUCGAAUAAAUAAUUAAUAUAUAAAAUUUAAUAAAAUAUGUUAUGGAAAUUAUCCGAUAUUUCUUUAAUGUUGAAGCUUAAAAUUUUUUUUAAUCAAAUAUUGGAUAAUUUUAUCUGCAUUAAAUCAAUUAAAAAACUAAUAUAAAUAUAUAUUUAGCUUUUUUGACAAAACUUCUUUUUGUUUCAAUCACGGAACAAUGCUUGAUAAUAGUUAUGGUGAUUUACUUUUGAUUAAAUAGGAAAAAAAAAAUCUUAUAAUUUAUUCAAAAUUACUAUUACUACUGAAACCUGACGAAAUUCCAAAACUUAAAAACAAAACAAAAUCAGAUAAAAACAUACUAUAUUAAUAAUAUAAUUUUUUAUAUUUUUUUAAUAAUUAAAUAUAUAUUAAUAAUUUAUUUUAAUAUGUAUAUAUUAAUAUACAUUCAAUUUAGAUUUACAAUAAUAUCUUGAAAAUACAUAUUAGUAUUCCUCUACUAUUAAUAAGGAAUAAAGGAGUAAGAAAAAUGGAUUUGAAAAUUUAAAUCUUUUCAGAUGGAUUAUUUAACGGAUUUUAACUGAUGAGGAGGAUUUAUGAUAUUUUAAAACAUAUUGGAGGGUGGGUAUUUGUGUUUAUCAAUUUUAAGAAGGGUAUUGGUGAAUUAAUAGAGUAUCUAGAAGGGAUCUAUGAAAUUAUUCUAUAAUAUAAUAGCGUAUAUAUUAAAUAUAUAUAUAAUAAUAUAUAUAUAUAUAAUAACUAUAAUAAAUUUGUAACAAUACUUAUAAAUAAUAUAUACAUAUAGAUUGAGCUAAAAUAUUUUAGAAUCGACCCAAAGACCCCUUAGUACUUCUAAGUUUUAAUCUAAGAUCCACUUUAAUUACUAAUACCUUAUUAGAUUCAAACACUAUUUCACCUCAUCACCGACCGCCCAUCAUCAACAUGCAAUCUUCCAUCAAUGAUUUAAAAAUCAAAAGCAACCAAUCUCUUAGUGACUUUUGAGAGUAUUCUAAAUAACUCUUUUCUCUUCUCUCUCAAUAUAUUAUAUAUAGAGGGGCAGAAAGAGAUGGUCCAUCUGGACUUCUCACAGCGGUCCACGGAGUGGGAGUGGACCUGUGGACUGCGCCUUUUUACUCCGCGCGAAGGCCGCAAAGCCGCGCACAAUGCGUCCAUAUGGACUUCCUAUGCAGUAAGACGUGGAGAGGACCUGGUGGACCGUUGCUUUUUCCCCGCGCGGCGCGUUACGCGCGCAACGCGUGCGUUUUCGUUUUCGCUAGUAUUCGAAUAAAAACGAAAAACCAUUAGCUUUUCCUAACGAAUCCGCUAAAAAAAAAUUUCCGGACGAAGCACCAAAACAUUUUUUUGAAUCUCACUUUCAACCGGAAAAAAAAUUUGUAGAGAGUUGAUUUUAGGAGGAACCAAUUCCGCCCUAUGCAGAUUCAGCGAAUUCGGAUAUGGGGCGCAAAAGGCUUUUUCCGGUGUACGUUAAAUUGAAAGUUUAAUUUGGAAAAUUAACUUCGGCAUUAAUUAAAAAAGCUACUGUCUAUACAAGAUACUAAAUUCAAAUGGCGGUCAGAGUCCUGUGUCGACCUUCAUCAAUUUAAUGGAGCGGCACGCGACAAAGCAUCUAGGUCAAACAAACAAGUCUCUGGAAUACUGCUUAUAGCAGGUUCGAGUAGUCAAAAGCGACAAGAGACAUUUUAAUUAAAUAUAAGAAAAUAGUAAAGCAUUAUUAUUAAAUAUUAUUAAUUAUUAUUAUUAUUAUUUAUUUAAUAAAACUUGGAUGAGAUUGGGAACUGAGCUUUCACUGGCUCGAACGGUGGCGACGGGUGCGAGAGCGCGGAGGCGGGCGAGCGAGGCGGGACGGCGCGAGCUGGUCUAUGGGGCGGAGUGCGCGCGCAGGGCGCGGGCUCGGGCGGCGGGGGACGGGCGGUCCUAGCGGCAUGGUGGCGUGCAGGCUGUGGGGCUGCGAACGGGCGCGGAUGGGGCGAGCCGCCGCUGGAUGGGCGCGAGCCGAAAAAAAAAAAAAAAAAAGAAAAGCUACAGUGCAAAAAUCGGGGUCAUUCCCUUUUUGCACGCGGUCACGAGGUGCAGCAUCACCUCGUGGUCGCAUGGUUCAUGCUCUCUCUCCCUCUUUGAGAUUAUAUAUUAUUAUAGAGAGAGAGGGAAAGAGAGUUAUGGCUGCUGUGCUCAUUAGAUCUUGAGCGUUUUUCGGAUUAUGAAAUUUUCGAGAUCAAAGUCUCGCUCGUUAGAUGUGAUAUAGGAUAUUUAAAGUUUAUAGAAAUAAUUUUUAUAAUUUUUUUUUGAUAUUAUUUAUACAUAUGAUCGCAAAGGGAUUUAAAAUUAAUAUUUUAAUAGUUGAUAUCUGCCGUUUUCAAGUUACGUUGUUUAGAAGUAGUUCAAAUCAAUAAAAUUUUGAUACAAAUUUUUUAUAUUAUUAGCAAUAAGAUCAAUAUUUCUGAUAGAAAAUAUUUAGUACUGAUAAAUUACAUUUUUAUAGGAUUUUUAUUUCUCGGCGAUUAACAAAUUAUUAAUUUGAGAUCUUUCGAUUGUUAAGGUAAUGUAUCGAAGAAUCGCAAAAAUUAUUUUCUACAAACUUCAAAUAACGCUAAUCCAGUCUAACGGAGCCGAUCGUCGAUCAGAAAUUCGUACUAAUUCGAAAACGGAUGGAGCACGAAGGCUCGUGCCUCCUGAAAGCACAACAGUUUGCUAAUAUAUAUAUAUAUAUUAUAUAUAUACUAUUUAUAUAUAUUUUUAAAUAUUAAUUAUAUAUACUAACUUUAAUAUUUUUAUUAUCUUAAAUAUUAAUAAUUUAUUUUGGAAUCAACAAAGAUAGUAUUUUACUUUAAUUAAUUUUUCUUAUUUUUUUAUUUGUAAAUUUACACAUGAUAUAAAUAAAAAAAUAUUAUGUAUUUUUUAAUAUUUAAAUGGAUUUUUAUUUAUUUUAAACUGUUUAUUUAUUUUGAGACCCACUUCUAUCUCUCUUUCUUUAUUUGAUUUUUGUUCUUUUCUAAACCUUCUUAAUUUUAGCAGUGUUAUGGCACAUACAAAAAAUAAAUUUAAAUUAAAAUUUAAAUUUAUGAUUAAUGGAAUUUUGGAAUUUAUUGCUUAGCUUCUAUAUUAUUUAGUUAGUAUUUUUAUCGUUAAUUAUUGCUAAUUAAAUAUUAUAUUUUAAAAACAUUUUGUAGUGUUUUUAUAAUAAGUUUAUAAAUGAUAAUAAUAAUAAUAAUAAUAAUAAUAAUAAUAAUAAUGCUUUACUAUUUUCUUAUAUUUAAUUAAAUGUCCUUGUCCCUUUUGAACUACUCGACUUGGCUUAUAAGCAGUAGUUCCAGAGACUUGUUGUGGUUUGACCUUAGAUGCUUUGUCGCGGUCGCCCUCCAUUAAAUUGAUGAGUGGUCGACAAGGACUUCUGACCCCAUGUGAAUUUAGUAUCUUGUACUCGACUAGUUAGCUUUUUUAUUAGAUGCCGAGAGUAAUUUUCCAAAUUACUUUUCAAUUUAACGUACACGGAAAAGCUUUUGGCGCCCAUAUCCGAAUUCGCUGAAUUGGCAUAGGGCGUGAUUGGUUCCUCUAAAAUCACCUCUAAAAUUUUUUUUCGGUUGGAAAGUGAGAUUCCGAUGUUUGGUGGCUCGUCCGGAAAUUUUUUUUUACGGAUUCUUAGGAAAAGCAUGGUUUUCGUUUUCUAUUCGAAUCUAGCGGAAAACGAAAACGCACGGCGUUGCGCGGCGUAACGCCGCGCGGAGAAAAAGCACGGUCCACCAGGUCCGCUCCACCUCGUGGACUGCAUGAGGAAGGUCCAUGAUGGACCUUGUGCGCGGCUUUGCGCGCGCUUCGCGGGAGUAAAAAGGCGCAGUCCACGAGGUCCACUCCACCUCGUGGACCGCGUGAGGAGAGGUCCAUGAUGGACAUCUCUUUCUGCCCCUCUUAUAUAUAUAUAUAGAGAGAGAGAGAGAAAGAGUUGAGUUAGAAUACUCUCAAAAGCACUAAGAGAUUGGUGUUUUUGAGUUUUUAAUCAUUGGAUGGAGAGAUGUGAGGUUGGGAUGAUGGCGGUAGGUGAUGGUAGGUGAAAUAGUGUUUGAUCUAAAGGUUAUUAGUAAUUAAGAAGUGGAUCUGAGAGUUAAAAACUUAGAAGUACUAAGGGGUUGGUGAUUCUAAAAAUAUUUUAGCUCAAUUCUAUAUGUAUAUAUUAUUUAUAAGUAUUGUUUACAAAUUUAUUUUAUAGUAUUAUAUAUAUAUAUAUAUAUAUUUAAUAUAUACGCUAUUAUAUUAUAGAAUAAUUUCAUAGAUCCCUUCUAGAUACUCUAUUAAUUCACCAAUACCCUUCUUAAAAUUGAUAAACACAAAUACCCACCCUCCAAUAUGUUUUAAAAUAUCAUAAAUCCUCCUCAUCAGUUAAAAUCCGUUAAAUAAUCCAUCUGAAAAGAUUUAAAUUUUCAAAUCCAUUUUUCUUACUCCUUUAUUCCUUAUUAAUAGUAGAGGAAUACUAAUAUGUAUUUUCAAGAUAUUAUUGUAAAUCUAAAUUGAAUGUAUAUUAAUAUAUACAUAUUAAAAUAAAUUAUUAAUAUAUAUUUAAUUAUUAAAAAAAUAUAAAAAAUUAUAUUAUUAAUAUAGUAUGUUUUUAUCUGAUUUUGUUUUGUUUUUAAGUUUUGGAAUUUCGUCAGGUUUCAGUAGUAAUAGUAAUUUUGAAUAAAUUAUAAGAUUUUUUUUUUCCUAUUUAAUCAAAAGUAAAUCACCAUAACUAUUAUCAAGCAUUGUUCCGUGAUUGAAACAAAAAGAAGUUUUGUCAAAAAAGCUAAAUAUAUAUUUAUAUUAGUUUUUUAAUUGAUUUAAUGCAGAUAAAAUUAUCCAAUAUUUGAUUAAAAAAAAUUUUAAGCUUCAACAUUAAAGAAAUAUCGGAUAAUUUCCAUAACAUAUUUUAUUAAAUUUUAUAUAUUAAUUAUUUAUUCGACAAAUAUAAAUAAGCCACUAAUUGUUAAAAUUAUCAAAAAAACUACAAACUCUCAUUUUUCAUACACUGAAAUUAGUUAUAUCUUUUAAAAAACUAAAAGCUAAUGGGAAUAUUCAAACUGAAAAAAAAAAAUAAAGUUAAGAGCCAUAUUUGAAAAUGGCAUAUAGUUGAGGGGUCUCCAUACAUUUUAACUUAAGAAAAUACUUAGGGUAAAUAAGUCAUUUAAAAUUAACCUUAUUUUAAACAUUAAUAUCUAUGGUAAAGCUAACAUAACUAAUAUAAGGUGGUAUUGAUAUAAUUUUUGUGUUUAAAGGAAAUGGGUGAUAUUUUAAAUUUUAUAGGGGCAUCUAUGAUAUUUUAGACUUUGGGAGGGGUAUCCAUGAAAUUGCCCCAUUAUUAUAUUAUAUACUUAUUGUAUAAUAUAUUUUAAAUAUAUUUUAUUUACAAAUAUAAAUUAUAAUAUUAAUAUAUAAUAAUAUAUAAAAUAAAAAAAAUAUAUAUAUAUAUAAUAAUUUUUUAUUUAUAAUUAAUUUUUUCUUUCUUUUUCUUUCUUUUCCUUUCAACCAAACAACCGUAAUAGAAAAUUACUUUUUUUUCCUACAAACCAAAUACUAAGAGCGUAAAAUUAUUUUCCUCUGAAAACUUUUUUUCUACCGAAAAUUUUUUUUUCUGCAGUUUUACGAGGAAGCAAACAACCCCAUACCCAUAGAAUAUUAUUACUGUGAGAGUGCGUUUGGUUCGCGUGGUAUAACAUUAUGAAUUAUUUCGUCAUAAUUAAGUAUCUGAAAAUUUUGAAUCAGAUUACUAUUAGUACUGUAUUAUAGUCUUUGGUUUAAGGCAGUAAUAUAAUACUGGAUUGGAGUGUAUAUAAAAUUACUAUAUUUAAUUUGGUUUAUAAAAUUUAAUAAUUUUAAUAAUAAAAUAUAAUCAUCAUACAGUCUGUUCCUAGCGCAAGUAGCAAAUGACUUGAUGAUUGGCACCUAAGGUUCCAAACUUGAAUUUUUAUUGAUUCACAUUUUUAGCUAAAUUUAUUAUUUUAAAAAAUAAAUGAGCUACCCUUCUACCCUUCUCUCUCAAAAACAAAAUAUAGUCAUCCUACAAAAAGGACAUAAAUAUAGACAUCUACAAAAAGGACAUAUUGAAGGAGUUUAAGAGAGAUUGGAGGAAUAAAUUUAUAAUUUUAUGUAAUAUACAGUAAUCUAGUAUCAUUUUUAAGAUUACACUACCGACCAGAUUACAGACUGAACAAACCAAAUGCAAUAAUUUUGAUAGAAUUACUUAUAAUUAUGCAGGAUAAACUGAACCAAACACGCCCUAGGAUAAUCUUACACUGUGAUGCACCUUACUUUUUCUUAAAAAAAAAAACUUAGUAGUUACCCAACUAGCACCAUAUUCAGUUGUUCGUGAGGUUUAAAUUUUUUCAACCCUUAUCGUCUGUUCCUCCUGUAAGUGGCAAAGAGUUUAGAGGUUGGUAUCCGAAAUCUCAAGUUUAAAUCAUGGUUGAUUUACAUUUCCAAUUAAAUUUAUUUUUUUAAAACGAAACAAGUAACAUGCUAUUUUUCUCUCUCAAAAAAAAAAAGAGAAAGAGUUCAACCCUUUUUCAAAAACUCUUUGUUCUCGUAAGCAAGCUCUACUCUUGAUAGAAUACCUAAAUAUUUUUUCUUUCUUCAGACAAACGAAAAAAAAACAAAAGAAAAAAGGCAUUGAAAGUAGUGGGUUUACUUAACUUGCUCACCGAUCGACCAAACACAAACCUACUGAAACCGACCCAGCAUGACCGCAACAGGAGAUGGGCGAACCCGACACGCCACUCUGGUCUGGGUCCGGCCCACUCCCACCACCCUACCUAUGAUAUGAUUGUAGUUAAAUAUUUUUUUUUUUUUUUUUUUUAAAACAAACAUAUGUUGCUGCUGUGGACGUUACAACACAGAUCAGUAAUCUGAGAUGGAAACGAGUCAACCGAAAAAACAGCUUCUCUCCUAAACUCUUUUAUUAAGUUAUUGUAUAGCCUUGCUUCUAGCUUUCUUUGCUUUUACUUCACUGUUUCAGCUAUUACUAGAGUUAGACGAUUUUUAAUAAAAAAUAAAAUAACUAGACUUUAAACUUAAAAUUUUGAAUACCAACUAUUAAAUUUUUGUUGCUGUAGAGUUGGAGGCGUUUUUGAAACCAUAAUUCAAACAACAAUACAAGUGCACUGGCUCAUCGCGCCCGCGUAUAUAUACUCUUAUGCCUGGUCUGGUAAUACAAUAGCUAAAAAUAUCUACUUUUAUAGUUUAAAAGACUCCACAAGAUUUAAAAGAUUGUAAUCUUUCCUCCUGCAAUACAUAAUUUUUUAAUUUUUAUUUUUUAAAUGUAAAAGCAGAUAAUCGAAAAAAACUUAAUCCCAAACUAAGCAGGUGAUUUUUCAUAAUAUAUAAGUGGGCCCUACAUGCAACAUUAAAUGUAUGCAAUUAAUAAUUAAUUAAUAUAUGGACCUCAAUGAUUCAAAACCACUCCCACCUUCUCUCACUGCUCCAAGGUACCAAAAUUGCAUUAAAUAAUGACGCCAAAAAGUACCAGAAUAAAUGCUUCUUUUUUUAAAAAAAAGAAAAGGCCAAAAUUUCAAAUUCUAAAUUGAUUGGUGAUUCCCGUGACCGUAGUCAAGUAAGAUAUAUUUAUUAAUUAAUUAAUUAAUUCAAAAUAUCUGAAAAAAAUCCAAUCAAAACUAUACAAAUAGUAAAAACUAAUGGUAAGAAAAAGUAGGAAUGUGCUUCGAAUUUAAAAUCGUUUCAAAAUCCAAAGAAUCUCAUCUCAUCCCCUCCACAUUUCCCAGAUCUCGAUCCGGGAACCAAACCCCUAGAUUUCGCCCCGUCGCCCCCAAUCCCGGGGCACAGAAACCCUAAAUCUUAGUGAAAUUGAGCACGGAUCGGGAGGAGGAGGGUGGGGCUUACGAUUACAUGGGGGGCGGAGCGUGGGCGAGGCCAUGGGCGGAGGGGUCGAGGUGGAGCGCGUCCUUGAUCUUGUGGAAGCCAUGGGCGAAGACGCCGAAGCCGAAGACGAAGCCCACGAGGAUGAUGCCGACGACGACGAGGAGGCAGAGGCAACACGAUCGGCUCGGGAAGCAGCACAUCUCCACCGUCCGCUCGAUCUCCCCCACCUCCGCCCAGCACGAAUCACGACGCGCACGAAGAGAGAGAGAGAGAGAGCGAGAGAGAGAGAGGGAGAGAGAGAAUAUUCGUUGUAUCGGUUAUAAACUUUUAAUCACAGGUUCUCGAGAUCUGUAUAUAUAAUAACGUGGAACGAUAGCUGUAACGUGGAACGAUGGGUCUGUACGGGUGCGUGUAUAAUUGUUUAUAUAUGCGGGGGCGAUGCGUUGGCCGUUGGAUUGGAUGUCGUUGAUGAGAUUCGGAUGCGAUUGUCGUAGAAUGGACGGUGGAUUAGGUAUUAUGUAAAAAGAGCAUUGAGAUGGUUUGAAGGGUGGGAGGAGUUGGUAAACAAUACUAUGGGACGCCGUAAAGGCCCACGAAAAACUCUGAAAAAAUUGUCCCUGCACCAGGUGUAUCGUACAUACCAUACACUAGCCUCAUUAAUGUUUAAUAAUUUUAUAUCUUUAAUUUAAAAACUAAAACCCAAGUUUGGUACGACAUAUAUCACCUACAAGAUCGAAUUAGUUUAUACGUGAUAAUUUCUUAUUUUUUAGAAAGAAAAAAAAAACUGUUAUCUGUGUGUUAUAUAAUUUUAGAAAUUUAUAAUAUAUAAAAAAAAACUUUUAUGCAAUUUAAAUAGAUCGAAAUUUUGAAAUUGCCUUCAAUUGAUCAAAAUAGAUAUUUUCUUUUGUUGGGUGUAAAAGAUAGCUUGCUAUCAUUUUAUACAGCAGGAAGAUUAACUAAGUUAUAUCACUGAGGCCACAAGGCCUCAGAAAGAAGAGAGAGCAAAGGCAAGACAAAAAGUAAAGCUAGCAAACAAGUAGCACAAUAAAAUACGACCUACAUAAGAUCUACUUAAUCUGGCACUCUUUCCAACUAUUUGUGCACGAUCUAGCCUCAAACAUAAGUUGACUCGAGUUAGUUUUGCUUUGCACCUGCAAACAUUCUAAUAGAAGUUUAGUAGUCUCGCAUUCAAUAAAUAGAUAAUUGAUUGCCUCUAAAUCUCCCUAGCAUAAUAUGCACCCUGCUCCCCCUGCUGUCCUUAGAGCAAGUGACAAAGGAUUUGGUUGUUGGUACCUGAGAUUCAAGUCCGAAUCCUAGUUGAUUCACAUUUCUAGCUAAAUUUAUUUCUAAAUGAAAUAAACGAAGCAGGUAGCGUGCUACCUAUCUCUCUCAAAAAAAAAAAAGAAAAAAAAAAGAGAGUUAGCGAGGCAAAAAUUUCAACUUUUAGCAGCUCAAAGAAUGUAGGAGAAAAAACUGAUAGUUCUUUAUUAAAAUCACAUGCCCAGACAUAUUCCACCUUAAUAAUAGGACCAAAUUUUUUGAACUAAUAUUCAAAAAUUUAUUACUCACAACUAAAGCCGACGUCAACAAUUCAAUGGUCUAUUUAAGCUCUUUAUUGCAAAUAAACACCUUAAAUUUGAUGUAAUAUCGAUCAAAGAUGAAUCACUUAUUUUAGUUCAAAAUAUCAAUCAAAUUCAUAUUUUUGGAUAUUCAAAAAAAAACAUUUACAUGCUAGCUUGGUUUGUUAAUAAGUUUAAAUUUUUCUGAUAAAAAUGAAAUAAUCCGUUACCGUUUGUAUCCUUUUGUUCUAUUUUGGUUGUUGUCAUGAUGAUUGUUCAUUUUACUCCCAUUCAGUUUUAAUGGAGAUUUCAAUUUUGGUUCGAUGUAAUUAGUCUCAUUAGUUUGAGUAAUAUACAUUUCCCAUCAAAACUUAGUGAAAAUUUUUGACCAACUAUUUUUUUAACAUGACAAGACAUUUUUAUACUCAAUGAAAUAUUAUAAAGUAAAAUCAAUAUUUUAUUUAAUUUAGAUAUAUUUCAAAAAUAUAUAACGAUAUUUUGCUUCUGUUCCAUACUUAACCUUCAAAUCCUUUAAGGGCAUGUUUGUUUUCAUGUAAAUAGACUUGGGUGGAAGUGGACUUUGGAUUGAAGUAGAGUUGGGGUGAAAUUUAAUUCACUUCUGCUGUUUGUUCUUAACUGUAAAAGUGCAGUUCUGCGAGUUCUGUUGUUUAUUUGGUAGGAAAUAGAUAACGUAAAAAGUGUAGCUCUCCACCCUCUGUAUACUUUCCUCCGAAGUGAUAUAAUUCUCAAUUUUAUAACUAAGUGAAUAAUAAAUUAUAAUAAAUAAAAAUUAAUAUAAUUAUAUAUUUAUAUAAUUAUAUAUAUGUAUAAUUAUAAAAUAAAAUUUUAAAAAAUUAUAUUAUUUGUUUGCAUAUAAAUUAUAAUGAUACAACAAAUAAAAUUCUAAAGUUAAAAAAUUAUUAACAUUUAACAAAUUAAAUUUUCAUCAUUUUCUAAAUAUACAAAUUAAACAAAAAAAUAUAUUAAAACUUACCUAACCAAAUUUGAUCAUAUUUAAGACAUAUAAUCAAAAUAAAAAAUUUUAAUUACUUCCACAAUUGAAUAUAUUUGGAUGAAAUGAAACUAGUAUUGUUCAAAAUAUCACACCCAAAAUAACAAAAUAUAUUGUGCAUAUNCAAAAUAUCACACCCAAAAUAACAAAAUAUAUUGUGCAUAUCAUUAUCACACCAAAAAUAAUAAUAUCACAUCCAAAAUGUAUGGUUACGUCCAUACCAGAAUUUUUUUUUUUUUUUUUUAUGGUGUCUGUUGAGAAAAAAAAAUGGCGAUGUGGAGUUGGAUCUGGGACUCGGCAGAGGAAAGGGUAGAAAAGAGGAUAACCCUAACACAUCAAUUCCCACUCUUGCCUCUUUUCACCUCACCGAAAUUGACUUCGCCUCAUGGGAAGAAGAAGUCAAUUUCAUUAUUUUGGAUGAACUAGACUUUCGGGCGUAAUAAAAUUACGGUAAACCAAACAACGGAAGUGGUCAAUUUUUACCGAAAAUUACUUUCCCCUUCCCACUUCCACCCCACUUCAGUGCAAACAAAUAUAUCCUAAGUAACUGGAUCUAGAUCCUAAUUUCCAUAUUGAUCCCCAAUACGAAUCCAAUGUAUCAGGUGAGUCAAACUUAGCUCAAGAAAUUAGCACACACGACACACCUAAAUGGGAAUUUAAAGUCUUUCUAUUGAUCUCGGUGGCAACGUUGACGCUCGGAUAGAUGUGAUUGUAAUUUGACUUUAAAAUGAAACUAGUAAAAAAUACACCUAAUUGUGGCCUAUGUUUCUAUUCAUUUCAUUUACGACAAUUUCGAACCUUACCAAGUCAAAGCUGUUUUAAAUAAAAUAGUUGUAAACUUAAAUUAUGGCUAAAUUACGAUUAGUUUAACAUAAACGCGCGUGCUAAGUUACAUGUUUUCAUCCAAUGAAUUAAUCAAAAAGCUAAAACCAUACUGGGAUCCGAAUGAUGUUAAUUGGUACUUUAUUAAAGAAACUUUAUUAGCUUUAUUGCUUCCUUAAAAAUUUUCCCAUCCAAUAAAAUGUUCUUCUUUAAGCUUCUUUUGUUUAGCUCUGACCCUUAUUUAUAGCUGUGCUUUGUCCUUUUUAACUCUUCUUUAAUUCUCACAACAUAUAUAAUAGGGAUAAUUAUCUAUAUACCCCACAUACGUUUGAAAAUAUCCGAUUUAUCCGUACUUUCUUUUUCUUUCUAAAAUAACUCCUCAUAUGUUCCACCGUUAUUGCAAAAUACCCCCGCAGUUAUCUCUUGUUAAGUUAAGUUGGAUUAAACGUGAGUUAAAUAUCUACCACAGUUUAAAAAAAUUAAAAUGCCAAUUUUGCUAUUAACUUAAGAGCAAAUAAGAAAUGUUGGUGUAUAUUGAAAAAGACCAAAAAUCAAAAUACUUUUUGUGUCCCUGACUUUAAGGGCGAAUAAGAAAGUCAGUGAUGGUGGAAGGGUAUAUUUGAAAGACAAAAUAGUAAUUUUACAGAGAUAACAGAGUUAAUUAAUAAAUUUUAACUCUAGGGAUAUAUUAGAAAUAAGUUGUAACGUAAAAAGAAUAUUUUUAAUAUUAGCCUUCUAAGAUGGGUAAAUCGAAAAGUCGAGAACUUUUUAGGGGUACGUAAGCAAUUGCCCUAUAUAAUAUUAUAUCAAUCAAACUUAUAAGCCUGAAUUAUGCAAAGUUCAUAUUCUCACCGCGAGUGAGCACAAGAUGCAACCACUGUUAAUUUCCCAGCAUCCGCAAGACAAAUUUGUACAAAUAUUCUCCCAUUUUGGGUUAAACAUGUAAGGAGCACCCUCAACUAUACCACGUUACCAAAUGUACCCCUCAAACUAUACCACAGGAUUCUUACAACCAAGAAGUUCUUGAUUGUAAGGCUUGCCUUGCCCAUAUUUUUAUCUGAUUUAUAACUUCUAAGUUUUUUAAUUAUCUUUAUUUAUUUUGUUUUAGUCAUUCAAAUUUAAAUUUUAGGAGUGUUUGGUCCCUGGUUGCAUGAGGCCACGCAAAAUCUCCGCUCAGGAGCUGCAUCAUGCAGCUAAUCAACCCCUUUAUCAAGUUAUAUCUGUAUAAAGUGUCACCCUGUAAUUAAUUUUCAUUCAUAAAAUAUUUGAACUUUAUAAAAUAAAUUAUAAAUAUAUAUUGUAUAUAAAAAUGAAUAAAAAAUUUUAUGUCGACAAAUGAAAUUUUAAAUGCAAUAAAGAGUAUUUCAUACACAUUGGAGGAAUUUUUAAAAAUAAUUAACUAACUAAAAAUAAUUUAUGUUGUGAAUUCGAUCUAUAGAUUUAAAUCUAAAUUCAAGCUUUAAUAUAAAUUUUAAAAUGAAUUCAAAUGUUUAAACUUAGCGUAUACACUAAAAAAAUAGCAUGUUACAAACCACAUAUUAAAAAUAUUUAUGAUAUAACAAAAUUGAAAACAUACUUAGAAAUAAAUAAAAUUUAGAAAAUAAGUCAAUUAAAAACUAGACUCGUGCCACAAAUAAUCAUUUAAAUUUAAAAUAUAGAUUUCAAAUCUAUUUGUAAAUGUGACAUGCAUCACACGUACACUAUACUAGUAUAAUAAAAACCUGCAGUCCGCUUUGACAUUACCGCUAUUUUUAUUUUUUAAUAUUAAUUUUAUAUAAUUUGCUAUAAUGCUAGAAUUACUAUUAUUUUAGAUAUGAUUAGUUAGCUAGAAAUGGACUCAAGUGAUAGGUGACGAUCUCUAAAUUUUUUCUAAAGAAUAUGAAAGUGGUUACAAAUAUUUUUUUAUUUCUAAAAUAAAUAAAUAUUUGAAUGUAUGAAUUUGGAGGUAAUCUAACAUUCCUUUGCAUACUAUUUACAUAGAAUUGUUAUAUAUUUUUAGUUUGAUGUAAAUGAUAUUUAUAUUAUUAAAAACAAUGGAAAUUAGGAGGGGUUAGGUGUUAACCAAAAAAAAAAAAAAGGAGAGGAGUUGGGGAUGAAUGUUAGAGGAACAAAUAGUGGAGGGGUGUCUAUACAUUUUUACCGCUGUUUCUUUCGCUUUUUCCAGUCGCCCCCCUCGUCACUUCUCGUUCUCCAUUUUCAUCAGUCUCCCGACUCUCCACCCAGAUCUACUAACCUGCGCCCCCUCCUCUCCACCCGGCGCACGAUAGCCGGGCCCAACCCUUCCCCUUAAACCCUAGACCCCGCCGCCUCCGCCGUGCUCGGAGGAGUCGCCGCCUCCCAUGGCGUCCCCCUCCGGAAACCCUAACCAAUCCAGCCCCUUCGAGCUCGGGAAGCUGUUCAAGCCCCCUCCCAACCCUAACCCUAACCCUAGCGCACCCCCUCCCUUCCCGCCUCCGUCCUCCUACGCCGCCGCUCCGCCGCCGUACCAGGCGGCGCCGCCGCCCCUCGGGCCCUACUCGUACCCUCCCGCCACGCCGCCGCUCCACCACCACCCCUUCCUCCACUACCCCAAGGAGCCCCUCCACCGCCCCACCAUCUCCUACCCCGCGCCCCCUCCCCACCUUACGAGCCCGACCCCGAGCCCGACCCCGAACCCUAGCCCCCCCGCGGGGCCGAACGCCGGCGCCCGCCUCAUGCAGCUCCUCGGGAACGCCGCCCCGACCCACCUCGAAUCGGUGGUCUCGAUGCCCCUCCCCUCAUCCAUCCUGCAGGACUUCCCGCCGCCGCCGUCGCCUGCGGCGAGCUCGCCGAUCUUGCAGGCGAUCCCGUCGGCGCCGCCGGCCGUCAUGGCGGGGGUCGCGCAGCCGCCGCCGGCGAGGAUGCCAAGCAGCAAGAUGCCGAGGGGGCGGCACCUCGGCGCCGGCGAUCGGGCCGUGUACGACGUGGACUCGAGGCUGCAAGGGGAGUCGCAGCCGCCUCAGCUCGAGGUGACGCCGAUCACCAAGUACACCUCGGAUCCGGGGCUCGUCCUGGGCCGUCAGAUCGCGGUGAACAGGUCGUACAUUGUUUACGGUCUCAAACUCGGCAAUAUCAGGGUGCUCAACAUCAACACGGCGUUGAGGUCUCUUCUUCGGGGGCACACUCAGGUUUGAUCUUGUAGAACACUUAUUAUCUGAGCUCUCUAUAUGGUCCACCUCUUCAUACAAAUGUUUAACUUUGAAGUUCUUGUGAUAUAACGGUAUUCUUCGCCAUAUUUGGAUGGUCUUGUGAUUAUUUGUUAUCCCAAUUCAUAGUGGAAUGACCAUACACCAUACGCCAUACGCCAUACGCCAUACGCCAUACGCCAUACGCCACCUAUAUGAGUAAAGAUUUGGAGUGCCUUUUUCUUCGCCUCCUUUUCAAGAUUUGGACUUCUAUUAGUGAAAUCUUUGCAAAAGUUUUAGCAUUCUCCUGAUGCGGAUGAGAUAGCUACAUGAGAUAGCUACGUACUGGCUUGUGAGAACUGGUUUUGUAGACUCGAACUUCGAAUUGAAUUCUCAAAUCUAAAAUAAAGGUUGAGGGAUUCUUCUUGUGGUCAUAUUACUUCAUCUCCUAGCUUGCUUUUAUUUAGUGAGCUGACUUGGUAUGUAUCAUUGUUGGAUGAGAUCUAACUUUGUCAAAGCAGUCCAUUUAAGUUCUAUAAUUUCUUGAAAUUGAUUUGAUAUUUGUAAUUGCUGGGAUAUUGAUUUGAUUUCAGGUUCUUAUAUAGUGGUUUUUUGUAUGCUUAAGAUGUGCAAGAAUCAUGUCCUUUUUACUGCAAAUUCUGCUCUUUACCCUUCGUGUUAAUUACAUUUUUAUUUUCUUUAGAGGGUUACGGACAUGGCUUUCUUUGCUGAAGAUGUUCACCUUUUAGCAAGGUAACUUUGUGUAUGUUACCUCUUUGUCUCUUCCCUGUUUUUUCUUCAAUGCAUUUUAUCGAUUUCCCUGGUUUUUUUACAGUGCCAGUGUAGAUGGGAGGGUUUUUGUGUGGAAGAUUGAUGAGGGACCUGAUGAGGAAAAUAAGCCACAAAUAACAGGAAAAAUUGUUAUUGCGAUACAGAUUGUCGGAGAUGCAGAAUCGUUUCAUCCAAGAAUAUGUUGGCACUCUCACAAACAAGUAAAGCCAGCUUUCUAAGAUUACUCUUACAUUGAAGCACUUUUUUUUUCCCCUGAAUUUUAUUAAGUUAACUCCGUGCCAUGAUUACUGUAUCUCAGGAGAUUUUAUUUGUUGGAAUUGGCAAACUUGUCCUAAAGAUUGAUGUAACGAAAGUAGGACGUGGAAAAGAGUUUACUGCAGAGGAACCUCUUAAAAGCCCAAUGGAGAAGCCGAUCGAUGGAGUGCAGCUUAUUGGUAAACAUGAUGGGGAUGUGACUGAUUUAUCGAUAUCCCAGUGGAUGACAACUCGAUUAGCUUCAGCAUCAAAAGAUGGCACGGUUUGUAAUUCUUCUUGACUGCACGCCGCUGUGAUGUUUGUCUUUAUUUGUAGUAGUAAUAUAUCUGUUUUCAUGCAUAUAAUAUAUGUAGGAGAUAGUUGUUUCCUUCAUUUAAUAGCAAAUGAUACUUUAAGUUUGCAUAUUGCAUUCCUAGCCACACACUAUUGGACAUGAAUACAGUGCUAGUGUUACUGGCAGGAUUCGGCAAUACUUCCGUUUUGAUACUGGUUGCCCUGUUUGGAUGUUGGAAUUAGUUUUCCAAGAAUAAGGUAUUCCGUAUAAGAUUUUCUAGUAUGAUUGUAAAUAAGGAGUUUGAUUUUUGCUCCUUCAAAUAUUUUGCAAUCAAUGAUUUGGUAGGACAACAUAUUUCACCUACGAGGUGAUUUAUCUUAUCUAAAAAGAUGAUUUGAAGGCCAAUAUAGUAUCUAAUUCUAAACAUUCGAUCACAUUCCUUAUCAAUCAAAAAUACAAAAUUUUUGAAUAAAUCAAAGGGAUAUGCCAAACAAGAUAUUCAUGUAUCUAAACAGGAUCUUAUUCUUUCUGCCUCUCCCAGUACUUCUGGAUUAUAAGCCUAAUGAUUUUGUGUAACAUCUGAAUGCAUAAGCUGUUUAAACUUGUAUGAUGCAAUGCUUCAAGAGGAUUUCUCAUAAUAAAUAAAUGAGUGAAACAAUGUUUUAACUUGUAAGGCAGCAUAGUUUUUACUUUUCUGGUGCAGUUUUGGUUACUAACACCCUAUUACAACUAUAUUUUUACUACAGGUAAAGAUUUGGGAUGAGCGCAAGGGAGUGCCUCUUGCUAUUUUGAAGCCACAUGAUGGGCAAGCUGUUAACUCUGUUGCAUUCUUGACAUCACCUCAUCGUCCCGAUCACAUCAAUCUUAUAACAGCUGUAUGUGUUCUUAUUGCCAUUCCGAUUUCUUCUUGAUGGUAGUCAUUUUAUAGCUUUAUUCUUUAGAUAUAUUUUCUGACAUGAUCUUCUCAACAUUUAUCAAUUUUGCAUUCUUUAUAGUCAAAUUAGUCAGCAUUAACAUGCAUCUGAUCCAUGGUGACUUCUCUAACAGUUUCUUAUUUGUGUUAUUAGGGUCCGCUAAACCGAGAAGUUAGAAUUUGGGCUUCUGAGAGUGAAGAAGGUUGGCUAUUGCCAAGUGAUUCUGAAUUGUGGCAGUGUAAUCAAACCUUGGAUUUGAGAAGUUCUUCAGAACCUCGGCUUGAGGAGGCCUUCUUUAACCAAGUUGUGGUUUUGCCUCGAGCAAGCCUCAUUAUACUUGCAAAUGCAAAAAAGAAUGCAAUAUAUGCAGUCCAUAUUGAAUAUGGCCCAUUUCCAGCUGCUACACGCAUGGAUUACAUAGCAGAUUUCACCGUUACAAUGCCAAUUUUGAGUCUCACGGGAACCAAUGAAUACCUUCCUGAUGGAGAACAGGUCGUUCAAGUCUAUUGUGUUCAGACAAUGGCUAUUCAGCAGUAUGCCCUGGAUUUGGCACAAUGUCUACCUCCACCAAAUGAUGGUAAUACUACACUGGGAAGAGAUUCUUCUGUCUCUCGUUCUUUUGACGCCCUUACUUUGGAAACAGCUGAAGCUUCCCGUGGAAGUACUUCUAGCAUCGCUGAGAGUGCAAUUGCGACUUCAGACCCUGCAUCCUCGGCUUCUGCAGAAGUUAUUAGUAGUCGUGAUUUCUCUGUAUCUAAUCUUGAAGUCAAACCAUCAGCACCUCCACUUCUUUAUUCAGAGGCUGAUGCCUCACGUGUUCCAACAUUGCCCAUUCCUUUGGAUAUAGAUCUUGCAGGAAUUCCUGCUUUAAAAAGCCCUUCAAAAGGUUCUGAACAUGCACCUGAUACUCCUGCAAAUAAUAACAUGGCAAGGGAGGAACCUAGAGGGGGUCAAACUGAUAUAUCAUCAGUUCAGGAUCCUCAUUUAAUGUUUAAACCAGGUGGCAAUCCAACCCAUCUUAUAACUCCAUCUGAAAUUAUGGCAGGUGUCUUAUCUUCCUCUGAGAAUACUCAGGUCAAUCAAGCAAUAAAAAGCAAUGAAUUGAAAAUUAAAGAUAGGGCCGCUAGUGAUAGCUAUGAGAGUGUAGAGAUGGACGUAAAGGUUGUGGAUGAGAGUAGAUUAAACCAAAAUUUGGAAUUCACUAGAAAAGAUUCUCAAGGUGCUCUCGAGGAGAACAAAGAAAAAAUCGCCAAAAAUUCAGAAACCAGUACUGAGGUAGUUGAUCGAGAUUCUGCACUAAAAGAGAUUUCUGGUUUGGAAGAUUUGCAUUCUAGAGAUGAAAAGACAACUGCAGAGUUCUUGGAGCAGCCACCUGGUACUAGUAAGGAAGAGGUGCAAGACAGCACGAAAGAUGUCCCCGAGAAAUUUGAAGAGUCGGCUGUUGCUACUGUAGCACAAUCUGCUUCAGCUGCAAAAGGGAAGAAGCAGAAAGCGAAGCAACCUCAAGCAUCCAUUCCAUCGUCCCCUGUUGUAAGCCCUUUUAACUCUACGGACUCAUCAAAUGAACCAGGAAGCAGCGAGAGUGUACCUCCAACUGAUGCUGUUUUGCCUCAAAUCUCAUCCAUGCAUGACAUGUUGAACCAGGUGAUUUUUCACUCAGAAGCAACAUCCUUAUGUCCGUGUAUUUAGCUUUUAACAUUAGAUUAGUUGCUUCUCUCUAUUCACGUCUCACUUGAUUCGUAUUAGAAAGUUCUCUUCUAAAAUUGGUAAAUGCAUGAUUAGAAGAGUAGUAUUUUAUAAGAUGUGCAACUUAUACUACAUAUUUGUCAAUUUUCUUGUGAUUUUAGCAUCCUUUUCUAAUGAUGGCAUUUCUCUUAUGUUUUUGAACUGUUUAAAUAAUAGUACUGAGAUUGCUGGCCUUAAACAUGGAUGAAAAAUUAAUUGAUUUGUGCAAAUUACUUAGAAAAAUCUUCUAAUUGUUUUACUGCUGUCAGAAAAGGAAGUGUUAGUUUGUAAUAAUUUGUGUGGUUAUUGUUACUUUUGUUCUGUCUUAUUAAUAUUUGCUUGGAUGGAAAUGAACGGUAAAAUUGUUUAAUGAUUGACUUCCUGGAUUACUUGGUUCUUAUACAAAAAUUUGACCACUAUUUGUUAAUCUGAAGAUUCUAUAAAGCUUUCGCAUGCAAGCUAAUAUAAGUCUAGUUGAACAGGAGUUUACUGAUUGCCAUGGGCUAUGUCACAGGUUAUUGCAUUGCAAAAGGAUCUGCAGAAACAGAUGAGUGUAAUGGUUGUUGUUCCUGUUACCAAGGAAGGCAAAAGAGUGGAAGCAGCCCUAGGGAGGACAAUGGAGAAAUCUAUCAAGGCUAAUGUCGACGCUAUGUGGGCCCGCUUCCAAGAGGAAAAUGCGAAAUUUGAGAAGGCUGAGAGGGAUCGAACCCAACAGAUUACUAAUUUGAUCACAAGCUGUAUGAACAAGGAUCUACCUACCUUAUUCGAAAGGGCACUAAAGAAGGAAAUAUCAGCUCUGGCUCCUGCUGUAGCUCGCGCAAUGACACCGGUUGUCGAGAAGACCAUAUCUUCAGCUAUAGCGGAUGCCUUUCAGGUUGUGUUUAAAUUCAUGUUACUAUUUUGUCAUUGAUUUGCUGAACUAUCCGGGACCAUUAAUACUUUUUUCUUUCAGAGAGGGGUUGGGGAUAAGGCAGUGAAUCAGCUGGAGAAGUCGGUUAAUUCGAAACUGGAAGCUACGGUGGCUAGGCAAAUCCAAGCACAGUUCCAAACUUCCGGCAAACAAGCUCUUCAGGUGUGAUGGCUUUGCAAAAUCUUCUUUUGUACACCUUGCAUUAUAUUACCCAUGAUUUAAAUCAGUGUUUUAGUGCUUGUAUAGUUUGUCCUUUUAAGACUAUCGUAAGGUUUUCUUUUUUCUUUUCCUUUUUUCCUCUUCUGAUAUUCUGAGACUGCUAUCUACAUGAUGCCAAGUUCUCGCUCUAUAACUAUAUUGCACUAGUCCUCUGGAAAAGCUAUCUUUUCUGAUUACACAGUUUCAUAUGUAAUUAAAGAAGCUGUUCUAAUAAUGGAUGCAUAUACAGGAUUCAUUGCGAUCUUGUUUGGAAUCAUCACUUAUCCCUGCAUUCGAGCAAUCUUGUAGAGUAAUGUUUGAGCAAGUUGAUGCCACAUUCCAGAAAGGCAUGUCUGAACACACUGCCGCUGCUCAGCAGCAACUGGAGGCGGCACAUACUCCACUGGCUAUUACUCUGAGGGUAAGUGUUAGCCUUGUAUAUUAAUAGUUAUCCCAAGAGAAUUUUUUGAUAAUAUAAUGUUUAAAUUGCAUCGGAGGUGCCUCCCCUUUCUAGAAGCUCUAAAUUUGUACCUAACUUUCAGUCGUUACAAUUGGGCCUCUAACCUUCUUAUUAAACUUUUCUUCAAGUUCAUCAAUAUUAUGAGCCCCUCUGGUUGAAAUUAUGCUAAUAUAAACAAUGUGAACUAGUUAAUUUACUAAUAGACAGUAACUUGUGUUCUUUCUCUUUUACAGGAUGCAGUCAACUCUGCAUCAUCGAUCACCCAGAGUCUCACCACUGAAUUAGUUGAUGGCCAGCGCAAGUUGUUGGCUCUUCUUGCGGCGGCAAACCCUAAAGCAGUCAAUCCAAAUGCCCAGGCAAACAAUGGCCCUAUGGCUGGUCUUCCUGAUUUGGUAACACUCUUUUCUUUGUCCAUUUCUUUGAUUUCUGCCUCUCUUAUUUUAUUAUGGGUGUCUCUUCCUCUCUCUCUCUCUCUCUCUCUCUCUCUCUCUCUCUCUCUCUCUUUAACUGGCUUAUUUUGGAAACCAAUAUAGCAAAAAGUACUUGCGCAUGAUGUGUACAAAAUAUUUCACACUCACUUCUAGCAGGCCUUAUCUGUUCAGCAGGUUGAGGCACCAUUGGAUCCCACAAAGGAACUGAAUAGACUGAUAUCUGAAAGGAAGUACGAGGAAGCUUUCACGAUGGCUCUUCAAAGAAGCGAUGUCUCCAUUGUCUCUUGGCUUUGCUCUCAGGUCUAAGUUCAGAAAUUACUUAGCCCGGAUGUUUCAAGGAGCUUAGAUAUAAAGGGCCUGUUUUGCCUUGGAGUUUUUGCAGAAAUGCUGUUUUUGAGAGCAGUUUAAAAAAGCACUAAUAACUUUUUUGUGAAAACCUUCUUCAUUGCUUAUUUCUGCUGCAGAAACAGGACCCCCAAAUUGAAGCUUUUGCCUUUUGAGCCGAAAAUCUCAUUUUAGUUUCGCCCACAAAACUGUCUGGGCUAUUUGUUAUUAAAUGGUCGAUUUCUAGGAGUUUCUGCGUUGUAGAUGAAGCUAUGCCAGAAGUGACACCACUCUUGCUACAAAUAGGUUUCGAUAACCUCGGCACUUUAAAUUUUACUAGUUUGUUUUCAUGUUUCCCAUUUUGGGUAUCCUUUCUUGCAGGUUGAUUUGCAUGGGAUAUGCUCCACCGUGCCGCUUCCGCUUAACCAAGGAGUGCUCCUCGCUCUUCUACAGCAGUUAGCAUGCGACAUCAGCAACGAGACGUCACGUAAGGUCGCGUGGAUGACGGACGUGGCCGUUGCGAUCAAUCCCACCGACCCAAUGAUCUCGGUUCACGUGCGGCCGAUAUUCGAGCAAGUCUACAACAUUUUGGCCCACCAAAGAUCACUACCGUCCACGACAGCUUCUGAAGCUACCAAUAUCCGGCUUAUAAUGCACGUCAUCAACUCGGUGCUAAUGAGCUGUAAAUGAUCUCCGUCUCCCUCCCCCCCCCCACCUUCUGUGAUUUGUUAGUGUGCAGCUGAAACCUUUUGUAUAGGCUAAAAAAUAAAAAAAAGGAGAGAAAUUAGAGGGACAAUUGAGUAACGUUUGGACUUUUACUGGGGGUGUUUUGUAAUGUAAAUUAGAUGGUAGGAGACCGGUAUCAUCCCCCCUUUUCUCAUUUCGUCCAUCGUCGCAGUUCUUUUAAAUUUAGGGGGUAAAAAAAUUGCCAUCUUUUUUUCUUCUAUUUUAAUUUUGUUAAGUGUCUAUCAACAAAAGGUGGGCCUAAAGGUUUGUAUCUUCUGCUUUGUCGAUGAGCUAUGCUUUCUCUGUGGUGGCUAUCUUUUAUUAGCAGAGUCCUAAAUUGUUGUUACGUCCUUUGAAACUCUGGGAUUAUGAGGCUGAUAAUAUUUGCAGUAGCACAAACAUUUACUUGCUACAUUUUUUUUCUUUUUUUUGUAAGUGAAAACCAGUUUACUUCAACACAAACAUUGGUUGUGUCGAGUUCAAAGUUAAGCUUGUUUAGUCUCGCAGAUUUAUCCUUGCGACUGACCUUAAAAUUGCAUUCUAUGUACAUUGCGAAAAGCUGCUAAUGGAAGAGUUAUAAAUGAUAGCUGAAUCGUUGCUUUAUAAUCGAAACGGAAUAUUAUCUUAUGUCAAAAAACAACAAAAAAAUAGACUGAAUAAAAUGUUUCUACGUCCGAACAAAACUAAAUCGCAAUAUGGAAAAGAAAGGUUCAGCCACUUGAGAAAGAUUGGAUUCGGAAAUUUUUGUCAUAUCACGUUGUUAUCGCGUUUCGUCGUAUCCUAUUCAACGUUGGGUGCUCCAAAGCCGCGCAGCAAAAGUACCAAAAAUCUGAGCUACGCAUGACUGGGACAAACAACAGCAACAACAACAAAAACCGUGAAUACGAAGAUACACAUGCACGUGAUCCUCGAUAAAAAAAGACAUACUGAAUUCUCAGGUAAGUUUGUCUCCUCCGUGAUGGCGGUCCUUUUCGGGGAGCCACUUUAACUUGGAUUCGCGUGGCUAGUUAUGGCCUGCUGCUAAUCUCAGCCUACAGUUUGAUAUUAUAAUUGCCAAAAUUUCCUCUUUAAUUUGCAUUAUACAAAGCUAAAACGAUAAAAAAAUAUUUUCAAUUUAUUCUUCUCGUAUACUGAAGAAUUGCAAUUACAAUUGCCGCCGAAAGAAGCAUGUCACGCUCAGCAAUUGCGUCUCCUCUGUGAUCGUGGUCCUUUUUGCGAACCACCUUAUUUUGGACUCACAUAUGUGGCUAGUACUUACCAUUUACUUGUCCCAAAAACCAUUAUUUUUACGCUAUAUAUAUACAUGGAAAAAAAAAGUAAAAAUUAUUUUUAUAUUCUUUUAUACUACAAAAUUUCGGUUGCAACCGCUAUCUUAGCAUCAUUAUGUGCUAGAUGGUUGCAGUUGUGAUUUUAUAGCAUAAUAGGAGAAAAAAUUGGAAGAACUGAUGAAUUUUUUGAACCUUUCCCUGGUGUAAAAAUAGCAUAUUUUUUUAUCCACCACAUUACCAAGCUAAGCUUUACUUGGAUAUAACACAAUUGCACAAUCCCUCCAAACUUAAUUAGCUUGUUUUAAUUCCAUGGCAUUUUCAUUUUCCAUUUUUGAGCUCGACAUAAUAGUGCUUUUUUCCUUCUAAGUAAUUACAGUUAGUUCUGAAACCCUUCAUUCAUAAAGAUGGUGGCUUCAAUUCCCUACGUCCAUGCCUACUUCAAGUGUAUCUCAUCUGUUCCCAUCUUUAGGCUUUUGUCCGGGCAAAUUUUUGAUAGAUAAAUAGUUAAUUAGUUAACAGGUCUCUAAAGAGUAAUCAAGGGCAUAUUUGGUGAACUGCUGUUAAAUAAAAGCUAUUAGAAGAAGAACCAUUUCAUUCAAAAUCCUCCAAGACCUAGAAGCAUGUUAAUAUUGAUCAAAUGAAUGUUAAACAAUAUACAAAAUGGAUGUUGUGAUACUUCCAGAAGUAGGUGGAGGUGCAUGUGUAUAUGGUAGCUACCCCUCUCAUGCCCAUGAGUAAGCAAGAAUCUUAUUUAUCUCACAUGUGAUCUAUAAUCUUCUCGGUUGAGGACAAAGAUGAUUUGUCGAGAAAUUCUAAAAUGAUGGUCUAAUUAUGUUUUGAUUAGUUUUGUUUUUGCUUUUUUUUUUUUUCUGUGUAUUCAUGUUUCCGUGGUCUGACUUUGUUUCUGAAUUGAAUAGCAUUUUACUUUUUUGUAUUAAGUUAGUGAUAUUAAAUUUAUAAUUUCAUUUUGAGUAUUUCAUAUUGAAUAGAGCAGAACAGAUGCCCUUAAUACAUAUACAUCAAAAAAUAGUUUAAUAUACAACUUAUUAAUUUGACCCCUCACAUAUUAGACCAACAAUUAACUGCUUAAAUAGCAUAAAUGUUGAGGCUAAGUAAAGAGAAUUAUAUGCGCAAAAGCAAAGGGAAGUGGCUCGUCUUUGUUGGCACAACAGUAUCAUUCCCUUGUGUGUACAUUAAGGCAAAUGAAUGAUGAAUAUUAAUCAAUAAACCUGGUUAAUUCACUACGUAAUCUUCAUAAUUUUCGUGUUUUAGAAGAAACAAACUCAUCCAAUGAUUAUUCUAUUAUCAAUCAUUAGCUUUCUCUAAAUUAUCACAUUGCAAUCUCUCUGAAAUGACAAAUUUAUCCUUUCAAUUCUAUUAAUAAAUUUUAUACAAAUAAUAAUAAUGAUUAUACUAAUUAGUGUAAUUUGUUGGUACUUUUGUGAUUUCAAACUAGUUUUAUAAGAACUUCGAAAUAUAAAUAAGGGAAAACUUCAAACCCCCCCUGUGGUUUCACACUUUUUCAUUUUAGUACCCUGUGGUUUGAAGUGUAUCAAGUUAGUACCCUGUGGUUUCUCACUUUAUCACUUUAGUACCCUGUGGUUUAAAAUGUAUCAAGCUAGUACCCUGUGGUUUUGCACUUUAUCACUUUAGUACCCUAUGGUUUCACACUUUAUCACUUUAGUACCUUGUGAUUUAAAAAACUAUAGGGUACUAACUUGAUACAAAAUUAAAACCACAGGGUACUAAAGUGAUAAAGUGCAAAACCACAGGAUACUAACUUGAUACACUUUAAACCACAGGGUACUUAAGUGAUAAAGUGAGAAACCACGGGGUACUAACUUGAUACAUUUUAAACCACAGGGUAUUAAAGUAAAAAAAAUUGAAACCACAAGGAGGGUUUUUGAAGUUUUCCCUAUAAAUAAUAUAAAAUUAUAGAGGGUAAUUUGGUCAUUUUACUUGGGGCUCCAACUAAAACCUCCCUGUACUCCCGAUACGCCACCUAUGAUCCGACGCAGACGAUUAGACGAUCGUGACGCUUUGACUCAACACGUCAAACCGACGUGUCCUUUGGCUCUGACUCGGACCUAAACCGGCCCACCCAGGCACCUCACCCCGAGAUCCGGUCGGUCCACGGCCGGUCCGAACCCGGGCCCAAAAAACCGGGUCCAGUCCCGCCAGAAUAUAUUUUCUAGCAGCCAAUAGUAACUCGACACGUCCGUCCUUCCACGUCAGCAGGACAUAUUCACCACUCAACUUAAAAGCAGUAAAGCACCCACCGAAAAGUGUGGGGCCCACUUCCCAAAGAGUGGGUUCAAAAAGUGGGUGCGAAUGGCGGGUGAGAGGUGCGCCGAGCCGACCGUUGGGCACUUCCCGCCACUGCCACCCUGUCUACGGUUGGGAAUUGUGGUGGGCGCAUUUAAUAAUUAGCUUUUUAAUUUUAAUUUUAAUUUUUUUUUCAUUUAUUGAUGCUCCACGAUCCUAUAAAAGGGAUCGGGGAGGCAUAAUCCCCCUUUGUAAUUUGCUUUAUCUGUGUUUGUUCGAGGGAGUUUCUCUGAGAUCAAGAGAGAUCUCUCCUCUCUUAUUAAUUUGAGGGUUUUUUUUUUUUUGAAAAAAAAAGAUUUUUUGGGAGGGUUCGUGAGUGAUUUCGAUCAAUUUGGGGGGAUUGAAAUUGUGGGUUUGUUGUUAAUUUCUUAAUUUGAAUUGCAAAUUGGGGAAAAAUGACGGUUGGGGCUGGGAUUAGUGUUCAAGAUGGGAAUUUGAUGGUGUUGGGGACUAGGAUUUUAUCCGAUGUUCAUGGGAACAUAAUUUUGACCCCGGCGAGUGGGAAUGGAUUGAUGAACGGGGCGUUCAUCGGCGUUCGAUCCGAUCGCGGCGGAAGCCACAAUGUUUUCCCCAUUGGAAAGCUUCAGUAAGUUCUCGGAAAAAAAAAAAAUGCGUUUUUUGAUGUAUGAUGUAUCAGUGCUCUUUGAUUUCCUUUUCUUUCUUUUAUUAAUUUUUGUUGGUCUCUUUUUUCAAGUAUGUUUAUUGUUUCUUUCUUUUUCUUUCUUUUUUAGGUCGAUUUUCUUUCAUGGUGGAAAUAAAUAUAAUUGUGACAUGCAAUAAUUUGGCUAACAGAUCGCAUGCUAAUGAUUUAGUUUUUAUAAAUUUAUUUCCUUUCCAUCAGAUUCUAUGCAGUUCAUCAAUUAUUUCAUGGGUUUUAGUCUCAUGCAACAAUUUAUUAUUAUCAUUCAUAUAUUUCUGCUAGAAUUGUAUGAUAAACUCUAUAUCAUGCUCUCGGAAUCACAGGGAUUUACGAUUCAUGUGCACCUUCCGAUUCAAGCUGUGGUGGAUGACACAGAGGAUGGGUUCAUCCGGCCGAGACAUCCCCUUCGAAACCCAAUUCUUGAUUGUCGAGGGAACCGAUUGUUCACAAUUUGGGGAGGGGAGUGAAGAUGGGUUCGGUCGAUCCGCGGUCUACACCGUGUUUCUCCCAAUUCUGGAGGGUGCCUUUCGCGCUGUUCUUCAGGGCAACGCGAACGAUGAGCUCGAAAUUUGCUUAGAAAGCGGUACGAGUUUUUAGUAUUAUCUCCUUUUCCUCUUGCAAGUGUGAUACUGAGCUUAAAGAAAAAAGAAUUUCAGGAAAUCAAGAAAUUAUAAUUGUUUUCUGAGAGGUUAGUGAUUAAGGAUUAUUGCAUUUUGAUAUUUCAGGUGAUCCAGCGGUUGAAUCUUUCGAAGGAACCCAUUUAGUUUUCGUCGCUGCUGGAUCGGAUCCGUUUGAGGUCAUUACAGAUGCUGUAAAGUAAGUUUCCUGUACCUUCUACAAUUGGAAUUAUUUAGCCUUAUUGUCAUGCUCUUAGCAGGGCUUCCUCGCUUAAGUUAAUAGAUGGACCAAGCAAGAUAAUGAUUGUGUCCAACAAGUUUGGUAUAUAUGCGACUCAUCAAGUUUGUACUAAAACCUGAUUGAUAUAGUUUUUCUCGCAACCAAUAGAGACCGCGUAGUCUGUCAAUAAAGAAUGAUUUCAUAUUUUCGUGCCUUAGCGGUGGGAAAGAUCACAAAUGGAAUGUUAGUAAGAAAAGAUGUGCUUUUUUAUCGUUUGUUAGUCAUUACUGUUGGCUCAAAAUAGAGCUGAUUGAAGGAAUAAGCUCAUACGGCCGAUACAGAAUAAUUGAGGCUGAAGCCUUUUUGUAGGUGUUUAUGUUUCUAAUCCUAUGUCUACUACUUAUUUAUCUUGUAAACCUUUAACUUCUUAUAGGACCAUCGAAAGGCACUUGCAAACUUUCUCACACAGGGAAAAGAAAAAGGUAUAAUAAAAUCCUAAUAUCAUUAUAUAUAGGUUUCAUAUAUUCUUCAAUUGGUUACUUGGACUUAAUUAUAUUCAUGUUCUCAACAGAUGCCAGACAUGCUAAACUGGUUUGGUUGGUGCACAUGGGAUGCUUUUUAUACCGAUGUAACAGCGGAGGGAGUAAAGCAAGGACUCGAAAGGUGCCUUCGUAUCCUUCUACUUAUUUCUAGUGCUUAAUCUUGGCUGAUAAUUAGACAUCUCAUCUGUUUUGUUUUGUUCUCAGCUUAGAGAAAGGGGGAAUUGCUCCUAAAUUCGUCAUAAUCGAUGAUGGUUGGCAAUCGGUGGUCAUGGACCCAACUGAAAUUGCUACUGAAUCUGAUAAUGCAGCAAAGUAAGCACUCAAGAAGCACUUCUUCUGAAGCUGCUAUUUUGCAUGAACAUUUUUCGUUAUAAUUUGUCAAAAUGUUCUUGUAUUAACCGUUUCCCUCCCCCCCCACCUUUUUUUCCUUUUCUUCUCGAUUAGCUUUGCAAAUAGGUUAACCCAUAUCAAGGAGAACUAUAAAUUCCAGAAGAAUGGGAAAGAGGGCCACCGUGACGAGGAUCCAGCGAACGGCCUUGCUCAUGUUAUUUCCGAAAUUAAGGAAAAGCAUGAACUGAAGUAAGACAUCAUUGCUCUCUAUUAGACAAGAUGUAAAUUUUCAAUUUCUAACUGUAUUUUUUGAUAAAAUUGAUCGAUAAUUUUUUAUCUGAUUUUGAUUUUGAUUUUCUUCUCUCUCAGAUAUGUCUAUGUGUGGCAUGCAAUUACUGGUUACUGGGGUGGAGUAAAGCCGGGUGUUACUGAAAUGGAACGGUAUGAAUCGAAAAUGCAAUUCCCUGUUUCGUCCCCUGGCGUUCAGUCCAACGAACACUGUGAUUGUUUGAAUAGCAUAACAAAUAACGGACUCGGCCUUGUUAAUCCAGAGAAAGUGUACAAUUUUUACAAUGAACUUCACUCUUAUCUUGCCUCUGCCGGGAUAGAUGGGGUGAAAGUAGAUGUCCAGAACAUUCUAGAAACACUAGGUGCCGGCCACGGCGGAAGGGUACAGCUUGCCAGAAAGUACCACCAAGCUCUAGAAGCUUCUAUUGCAAUGAACUUCCGCGACAAUGGGAUUAUAUCAUGCAUGAGCCAUAAUACUGAUAACUUGUACAGGUAGGCCAUUCAGUCUGUAUCUGAAUUCUUUGGCAUGUUGCUUAUAUGGUGAAGUAUUAGGACAGGUGAAUUAAUACUCAAAUCUCUUUUGCUUUCUUUUUGGGGUUUUAGCUCGAAGAGAACGGCAGUUGUGAGGGCUUCUGAUGAUUUCUGGCCGAGAGAUCCAGCAUCGCACACUAUACACAUUGCAUCUGUUGCAUAUAAUACUGUUUUUCUUGGAGAAUUCAUGCAGCCUGAUUGGGAUAUGUUCCAUGUAAGUGAUUUUACAAUCGCUUUUUUAAACACCGCUAUGCGAUAAUCUACUAUAUUUAUUGCUGACUUUGGCUCUAUUUAUAAAAGAGUGUUCACCCUAUGGCCGAGUACCAUGGAGCGGCUCGAGCAGUCGGCGGUUGUGCCAUAUAUGUUAGGUAAAUUGAAAUUGCUUAGAACUUAAGUUUAGUAAUAAUUCAAAUUAAAGAUUCAUUACGUAUGUAUAAAAUGUUUCAUGCAGCGACAAGCCGGGAAACCAUGACUUCAACCUAUUGAAGAGACUUGUUCUUUAUGAUGGGUCUAUCUUGAGAGCUAAACUUCCUGGGAGACCCACAAGAGACUGCUUGUUUUCAGACCCUGCUAGGGAUGGAAAGAGGCGAGGAUCAGCAAUUUUUUGUUGAUUAACUUUUUUUUUAUCUUUCGCUUUAGUAAUGCUUUCUAACUGUAGUUUCUUUGAAUUUUUGAAUUCUUCGUUGCAGCCUUCUAAAGAUAUGGAAUUUGAAUGAGUAUUCUGGAGUUAUUGGGGCCUUCAAUUGCCAGGGAGCCGGCUGGUGUAGAGUUGGGAAGAGGAAUCUGAUUCACGACGAACAACCCGGGACGAUCACUGGGGUUAUCCAAUCGAAGGAUGUAGAUUAUCUUCCGAGAGUCGCUCAUGACGGCUGGGACGGCGAUGUUAUCGUGUAUUCUCAUUUAGGAGGUACAUUGCUUGCUCUUUUCCUUCGAAAAUCACUUGAUUCAGUUUAUCACAUAUGUUUAUCAUCUUGUAACUGGUUUUAAUUUUUGAUACAGGAGAGGCAAUUUACCUACCGACGAACGCAUCUUUGCCUGUGACGCUUAAACCACGUGAGUAUGAGGUCUUCACUGUCGUUCCGGUCGCUAAGCUAUUAAGUGGAGCCUCUUUUGCUCCCAUCGGAUUGAUCAGAAUGUUCAAUUCCAGUGGAGCCAUUAAGGAGCUAAGAUAUGAGUCUGCGGAAAAUGCGACCGCGGAAUUAAAAGUGCGCGGUUCGGGCACGAUUGGGGCCUAUUCAUCGGUUAGGCCAAAGAGAAUAACAGUUGAUUCAGAGGAGGUUGAGUUUAACUAUGAUGUGAGUUGUGGGUUGGUAACCUUUGAACUGGGGGUACCACAACAAGAGUUGUAUCUGUGGAAUGUCUCAGUGGAGUUGUAGAUUGGAGUUAUAUGCUGCACUUUCGGAGACUUUUCCACUCUAGGACUGAGAGAAGCCGAGUUACAAAGUAUGUAAUGAUGGAAGGAUCUCUUGCUUUCCUAAGCAUUGCACCUAAUCACUAGAUGAUAAGGAUGGAAGUGAGAUUUCUCUUUGCUUUGAUGCAUUUGCAUAAGAAUGGAAGUAAGGUCACCUUUGGAAGAGUAAGAGGGAGCUAGGAAUUUAGAAUGAGGGGGCUUAUGCAGUAUCACAAAACACUAACAUUUUGUAUUUUGGGGAGCUAAGGGAGUAUUUAAAAGAUCCAUUUAUGCGGAUUUAUCCUAUGCUUUUGCUGUUCUUGUUGUUGUAUUUUCAUUAUUUUCGGUGCUUAGUGAUGAAUUAAAUGUGCCCACUGUUGUAACCUUCAGAGCAAAAGGAGAGGCUAGUCUUUACUGUGGACUCGGGAUUAUUUUUAUUAAUAGGGUAUUAACUUCUCCGUGCUUUCAGGAUGAAUUGGGGACGAAGCUGAAGGGCGCCGCGUGGCGUGCGGGCGCCCAUCACGACCGUCCCUUUUCCUCACUUGCUUCUUUCUCUCUCUCUAAAAAAUCUGGAGUCCACAAUUUUUCCUUUUUUUUUUUUUGUUUCUGAGGGUCAUGAUGGGUGCCCGCACACCACGCAGCGCCCAUCGGCAUCAUCCCCAAACAAAUUCUUUAGGGACGAUGCCCACAAAAUUUUUGAGCACUAAGCCUAGGCAAAAGAGUAACUGGCUGGCUUUCAAAAUGGCUUGUCACUACUCAAACACAGUAGUAAGAUUACUGUAAUCACGUUGGGCAAUACUAUUGAUACAUCCUAAAAUAAUAUGCAUGUUUGAGGGUGUAAGAUCUACACCUCUUUUCGAGUGUAUAAGUAAAAUUUUUCUAACUUUCUCAUAUAUGGAGAGAUACUGUUGAGGUAUAAAUAUUUAUUUAGCAUAUUUUUUUAAUCUACAUAACAAGAUAUAGAAUUUGAUAGUCAAGAAACAUUCAAUUUGGUCUCUAGUUGAUGAGAACUAUUUGGUAGAUAUAAACUGUGAUUAAAAAAAAAAAGAUACAUGUACAUUUCAUUAGAGGUUAUACGCAAGGUUUGAAGUGCCGUGACAUGAGAGCGUACCGCUGUCUGCAUGAUACGAUACAACACUGGCAUGCUUCCUUGCCGAUAUAUGAUACGUCCGUAUGCUGAUGGAUACGUAUGACCUCCUACUGGCAUGCUUUCGUAUAAAUUUAUUUUAAUUUUUUUAGUUCCAAUAACCUCUUAUAACAUUAUUUUGAAAAAUUUAAUUAAAUAAUUAUGAAUAUUUGCUAUAUAUAAUUUACUAAAGUCAUCAAUUAAUAUACUUGUAAAUUUUUUUUUAUGUAAAGUACAAUUACACUUGAUGCAGGAUAAAAUUUUUACAUGCCAGAAUUUUAAAAAUGUAAAAAUAUCUUUUUUUUCUUUCUUUCGACCAUAUUACAAAUUUUUUUAAUAAAAUAUAAAAAAUAUUUUUUAAAAAUAUUUUUUAAAAAAUAUUUUUUUAUUAAUUUUUUUAAAAAAUAUUAGAUCUAUCAAAAAAAUUAAAUAAUAAAUUGUAUGAUAAAUAAAUUAAAUAAAUCUAAUUAUCAAUUGAUUUAAUUUAGCUUUUAAUUUUAUUAGUAUUUUUAAUCUUCUAACGCAGAAAUAUAGUUUUAUGUUUAAUGUCACUCAAAAUUUAUUUAUUGAAUUCUAUUUUGUUUCCUUAAUUAGCUAAAAAUUUUACGAUGCGACAAAUUUUGAUAAAAUAAUUAUGAAAAAAAAAUGUCUGUGAUGGAAAUGAAGGGCUCGGGCCGAUAAGGAAGGUGCGGGGGGCUUUGCCUUCUGCAGAAUGGAUCAGAUAUAUAAAUUAAAAUUUUAUCUGUAUAUUGAUAAAUAAAAAAUUUAAAUUAUUUUUUUUAAUUUAUCAAAUAAGUAAAUUUUCGAUUUGUAAUAUUCUUCGAAGGUGUGGAUGCUUCGGUGUAUCCCACAGAACAAAAUAAAAGAAAAGCAAAAAAAAAAAGUGUGCUGCUAAGGCACAGUGCUGUAGCAUGGGCUUGCGUAUCACUCCCUCUCGCGUGAUAUAUGUAGAUCCGUGCUGCGGCAACGGAGGGGGGUUCGAGACCCCCCUACACCGUGCCACCUUUUUUAUGGCACGGUAAGUGUCAUCCCAUGCCAUACAACAUAAGGCGGAACUUAAAACCUUUGGUUAUGCGUCUCAGUCACACACUAAUAUCAUUUAAAGGUUUGAAAACCAUUGAUAAGUAAAUCUAGACUUUUAAAAGGGCAUGAAAAAAAAAAAAAAAAAAAAAAAAACAUGGCGUAGACGACGCCAACCGCGCUCUUUAACUAAACCGCCGCCCGCGGUCGUCGUCGUCGUCGUCUCGCAUUUUCUCGCCGAAACUGUGGGCGCUCGAAGAGGCGAUGCUCGGGAGCAGGGUGGGAGCUCUCCUUCGUCGGAGCACCAAAACCCUAACCCUAAUCUCUCGAGAUCUGAGAGGCUCUCCUAGGGUUUACUCCCAUGAGCACCCCCUACUCUCUAACCCUUCGCGAUUCGCCGUCUCGGAACCCUGCGGGAGAUGCUUCCUCUCCAGAUACAGCUCCUUCUCCGCGUUCAGAUCCCUACCGAAGGUUCGAUCGCAUUUCCGCUGUGGUUUCUGUCAAAUUUCGAUUUGAUAUGGCUCUUAUGUACCAAUGAAUUUGUUGAUUUAGUUGUUCAUAAGAAUCCUUAUUUAUCAUUGUGUGGAUCAAACUUGCUGAGCAAUAUCCGAUCUUGAUCGAUGCAUUGUAUUUCGAGAAAUCUAUAAAGAUUUGUUGGAAAUGAUAUUUUAAGUUGGUUAGGGUUUUGGAAAGGUUUAACAAGCCACGUAAUUCACUAAUUUGAUCAAAACUAGCUGUAGAAGCAAGUAGGACCUAAAUGGCUUACUGUUUGAAGGAAAUUGGCGAUAAAUUAUAUUCAUUUUGACAUCUGAAGAUCACCAUAUUUCUGUCAUACUGUAUCACCGUAGUAAUUAAGUUAAAGAUUAGUUUCUUUCUGGGUGAACCUCAUUGUAGUAUUAGAAAACACAAGACGGAUAGUGGAGUUUCCAUUUCUUGAGAUUAUGUUCAGCUUGAAAACAAUCUAACAGCAAUAUUUACUUUCCUUUAGAGCUUAUCUGGUCAAUCUUCAAGGAAAAUGUCCACUUCAGCGACGCUUCUGAAUAAAACCAGGACAGAUGUAACAAAUGCAGGAUUGAAAUUACUCGUUACGAAGGGACCCCAUGCACAAAAGGUAGUCGGGAUAUGGCUUUUUGGUUGUGCUGCUUGGGUUUUCAGUUUGGUGGUUCUUGGUGGAGUCACGCGCCUCACUCGUUCUGGUCUAUCGAUGACCGACUGGAAAUUCACUGGUGCUCUGCCUCCAUUGUCAGAGGAUCAGUGGCGUCUUGAAUUUGAGAAGUAUCAGCAAUCGCCCGAAUACAAGCGGUAAAAUUACAUUCACUUCGCUUUUUAACAAAUGAAUGAACAUAUCAUUUACUACAGUGAUGGUGCAUGACUUUGUGCAGGGUGAAUAGAGGAAUGAAUAUGGAAGAUUUUAAGUUCAUUUAUUGGAUGGAAUAUGCACAUCGGAUGUGGGGAAGGGCGUUAGGUGUUGUGUUUGCUGUCCCAUUUGCAUAUUUUCUCGCAAAAGGGUACAUUACCCGCCAACUUGGAGUUAGACUGUCAGCUCUUUUUGCUCUUGGUGCUGGGCAAGGACUUAUCGGCUGGUGGAUGGUAAAAAGUGGUCUGGAGGUAUAAAAAUCCUUCAAUCUUCUAGUGCCAAACUGCUGAAAUGUCUAUUUACAGUUUACAAUAGUACAAGUUCUUCUUUUCCAAUUUUAGGAACCGGCUUCUGAGUAUGUUCAACCUAGGGUUAGCCCAUACCGUCUGGCAACUCAUCUCGCCUGCGCAUUUGGUAUAUAUUGUGGCAUCUUGCGGACUGCUCUGUCGGUAGUCAUGCCUGACCCUCCAACUGGAUCGAUGAAUUGGGUAAAUGGGGCAGCAAAAAUCCGAAAACUGGUUCUUCCUGUAAGUGUCCUUGUGGGCAUUACUGCUGCAUCAGGGGCUUUUGUUGCAGGAAAUGAUGCGGUAUAUGAUAGUAUUCUGCUGCUUUUCAUUUUUUUUGCUUUUUUUGAUGAUUGCUGCUUGACGAAUUUUCUACAUAAUUAUGUCUAAUUCUUGAUGUGAUACAGGGUCAUGCAUACAACACAUUUCCUAAGAUGGGUGAUUCCUGGAUCCCUGAUGACAUAUUUGAUAUGGAGCCACUCAUUCGCAAUUUUUUUGAGAACACGUCCACAGUACAGGUAAACUGUUUUUAAUGCUGGAUCAAAUUUUUGCUGUCUUUGCCAAUAUGCGGAAUGAAUAUUCAAAGUUUUAUUAUUUACGCUCUAAGUUUUUGCCAGAGUACUAAGGUAAACUUUGGACAAAGACAAUCUUAAUUAGAAUUUUCUGUGUUUGCAGCUCCAUCAUCGCAUUCUUGCAACAAGCACGUUGGUGUCAGUUGGUGCUUUGUGGUUGGCUGCAAGGAAAAUAGAGAUGCAUCCUGCAAUCCAGUCAUUGAUUGGGAGUACAUUGGGAAUGGCCGCACUUCAGGUAAUUAUCUUCCCUAUUUGAAGUACCACUUCGGGUGUCGUAAGUCACUUAGGAGAAACAGAAUUUUUCUUCUUAUGAAUUAUGUCUAAUUAUGAGAGGAGUAUCAUAUCACUUGAACUUCCAAAUAAGCUAAUGCAACCACGGAAAAGGCCCUAAGAAUGAAGUUUGUGUAGGUAACCAUUGUAUGACCUUGAAUCUUUCCAGGUGACACUGGGGAUAUCGACACUGCUGACGUAUGUCCCAGUCUCUUUAGCCUCAGCUCAUCAAGCCGGAGCAUUAACUCUGUUAACCCUAAUGGUCCUUCUUGUUCACACUGUGAGGAAGCCGUCGCCAUCCCUUCUCAAGUCGUUAGCUUCAGUGCCAAAAUCUAAGGGCUGACUUACAAAUUCCAUAAUACGUCAUAAUCUUCAUCACUACUGGAAGAUAAAAAAAACUGGCAGCUUUUCAUCUUUCAGUAGAAAAUUAUCGCCCAAAGGUGGUAGUAUAUUGUCUUUACUUCUUUAUAGUCCCUUAAUUAAGCAUGGGACUUCUUGCUGAGUAAAAUUCUUCAUUCGCCUGUCGCUGUUGCUGUGCUCUUCAAGCCCUCUGUGUUAUUGAUCAGGCCUCUGUAAGUGUACCUGUAUUACAUCUUUGGUUGUCUGACGAGGAGUCUAAGAAUGACUAAAAAAAUUUUGCACUUUCAUGUACUAUCUGCCAUGUAUGUUAAUAGCAGGGUAUUCUAGCAUCUUACUAGAGUUAAAUUUGCUAACUAAGUCUUAUGUUAUGAAGAAGAAAAAGAAUGAUUAAUCAAUUUCUAGCUAAACAGCUUUUAAAUCUCACGGGUGAGUGCUCCGAAGUUUUAAAUACUGCCAAAAAUUGACUUGUAGCUUCCUUUUCCCUCUUCAUUUGGCCCCCGUUUAACUUGACAUGAAAAAAUAUCAACCGCACCUUAAUGCAGGCAACGAGCACAAGCACAACAAGAUCACAUCCAAAAUGACAUCUUUUCUGCUGCUUCCUCAACUUUUCACAGCAUUCCAAGUGGAAUGAACAGUGUUACUUGGUUCAUUUGGGGCUUGAUAUCGGUCCCAGAUACAAAUGCAGCCUCUUUUAUUUAACAAUGCAUGCAACAUUACCCACCUUCAUUAUCCACCAAGGAUGAGAUAAUUCAAGCAACAUUCAAAACCCACAAAGCCAAAUUCUGGUCUCCAUCAAACUAGGCACAAUCUUCAAAUAAGUGUGCAGAUCUUUUGCCUGAAUUGUCCACACAUACAGCAUGCUAAAAGUAAGCUCAUCUACCGACAUAAGCUAUAAAUUCACAAGAGACACUAACUCUCCAGGAAAGAAAGCAAUUAAAAAGCUGUGAACAUAAUCCUUUGAUCAGCCAAUUCUUGAACCAAAAAGCUUAAAAUAGAUCUCAAAGCUAGUACAGAAUACAUGCUGCAAAAAGUGAAAAGCAGGCAACACUUCUAACGGCCCCGGCCACGACCACGGCCACGUCCGCGGCCACGACCACGCCCCAGCGGUCUCCCUGUUUUUGCAAAAACAAUAGCAGUGGGUCACGUAAAAUACUAUCUAAAAGGUAACAAAAAAAUUUUAAGCAUAAUAUAAUGAACAUAAAAAAUAGUAAAUAAAAAAUUAUAAUCUUACCUGCAGUCGGCUUUUUAGGCUUAACCCUAGGCGUCUCCUCAACCAGUAAAGUCUCCAGAUUUAAGCUGUCAGGUAGGAUAUAAUACCGAAUAUUGUUACCUCUCACACUGAGGUGAUCAAGUGUAACUGGAUUUUUUCCUUUCAGUGUAAGCUUCACCGUUUUUAGGUGUGUAUUCAUACUAAUAUCAACACCUGCAUUUAAAAAAGAAAAAUCAAUAUAACAAGCCUUAGUUCCUAUAUCACAAAUGGUUGGUAGAUGCACUACAACAACAAUACGACUCAAUUGGCAUGUCAAAUGAGCAUCAAGGGUAACAAUAUCUUUCUUGCAUUGCAUAAACUCUAUCUACAAUUAAAGCAUGAAGAUUCACUAGGCUUACUAAGUGCCGCACUUGGAAUGGAAUAGUUGUUGCAAUGGGAGUUAGGUCUAUUGUGAUUUUACAUGAUUAUCAAGCUAGUUUUAUUUGCUUAAGCUAAGCUCGUGUUCGAAAGUCCCGCCUGUAUCCAAGACAGCAACAAGUGACUCUUACAGGAAUCAACUGCUCAUUCAGAUUCACAAUUGAUGCAAAACAGUCCUCAACAUGUGAUUUUCAGAGAAACCAGAAACAACAUACCGCCUAUUAAAACCAUCCAUAUAGAGGUAAAAGAUUAAUGCAUAGAAAGUGAGAAGACAUACAAAAUUGACUGACAUACAAUAGAGAGCCUUCCCUGAUCAAAACAAUCUAACAUACCCUCUUACAAAGAAGCAAUUCCUCUUUUUUUUUUUUUUUUUUUAAAAGUCUCAAAAUAGCCAAGCUUAGAGAGGAACUAGCAAACACAUGUUGAUGCACAAUGUUCCGGCAGAUAAACCAAAAUAAAGAAUUUACGAUGAGCAAUCCUUGUUUUAUAUUGCAAAUAGCACACAACAAAAGAAAGAGCAAUCCUUGUUUUAUAUUGCAGAUGAGCACACAACAAGGAUUGCAGAUGAGCAAUCCUUGUUUUAUAUAGCAGAUAGCAUAUAGCCAUCCUUCUUCCUGCAAUUGAUCAGUUACUUCGUAAACUCUCUACCCAUACUCACUACACCUCUAUUAUCUGGAAGAUGUGAUAGAACAUAUAAACUACUUCCAAACCACCUACAGUGACUGAGAAUCAGUUCAAGACAUAAGAAUGAAACAAUUCAUUACAAAUUUCAACUCUAGUGCUCGGCAAGUCCAAGACAUUCGUUACUCAAAGGAGAUAUAGUAAGAUUCAGAUGUGCCUAAUGAUGCCUCAAGAAAAGAUGAGGUUAUCACAGUUCCAUUGUACAUAGUUGGAAAAACAUACAACUUACAACACCAUAGAUUAGAAACAACGACUAGUUGUAAUAAGUCAAUGAAAUUCUGCCAGUGAUUGUAUAUACUGAAAAAUGUAGCAGCUGAGCUGGUACAGCUCAGGAUACAUAACUUUUCAGAAUCAUCAAAAGCCCAGCCUACCACACACUAUAUCACUUAAAAAACUGAUAAAACUACAACUUCUUGAGCUGGUUAAGUUCAGGAUAUUGCAAAUAGUUUUUUAACUAUGUGAAGCCCAAUAAUAUCACUCAAUAUACCACACUCACAAAUGUAAUAAUCACCGAAAGCCCAAUUCAUCACACGCAAAAUUGCUUUUAAAAUCGAUAAAUGUAUCGCCGUCUAUUUGGUUAAAUUCGGUAUGCCUUCUCCCUUGUUGCCGUAAAAACUCUCUCUUUCCAAGCUGAGGCACCGCUUAAUACCCCAUAAGCAAAGGUAAGAGAUCUAGGUUCAACUGAGACUAAAAAUAACAGAUGGGGCCCGUUAUUGCAUCUGGUGAUAGCAGAGGUAAUGUGGUGUUUCUGCAGUCCUCUUGAAAGAGAAAAACACGCUUUCUACGCCAAAUUGAGAGGAUUUGAAUGAGAGAAAACAAGAACAGUUAUCUCCAUGGAAUUAAAAAACAAGAAGAAUCAGGGAGCAUUCUCGUGUUUGUUCAUUCAUAAGCACUUUCUUCUACAUGACAAAUCAUUUGAAAUCAAUAUGACGCACAAUCUACAUCACUCCAUUUCCACAUGCGGUCACCCCCGCAAAAUCCUUCGCAAAGGGGAAGCGAACAUAAAACCCUAGCAGCAUCAUAAAAGCAAAUCCCUAUCCACGAAUUUUCACAAAACCCUAGAAAACUACACUACCUGAGAACAACUAGAGACCAUAAAGAGAGAGAGAGAUAGAUGCGACGCAGCUAGGGCUUCAAAACCUGUGCGCAAAGCCGGCUUGUCGCAAGCGGGAGCUUAAACCCUUAUUAUUAUUUGUAAAUAAAAGACGAAUAGCCAGUGCAGAUGGAUCGGACCGGCCCAUUUAUCCAACGGCCCAUUUCUCUAAAAUAGCAGUUGCCCAGUUGCUUUAAGAUGGGUCGCAUCCAAUUACUUUCGACGCGGGGGAUGCAAAUAGAUUUAAGUUGGUGGAGCUCCCACCAGCGAUCCAACCGAAUAGGGCAAAGUAAAUGGGGGGCCAAAAAUUUAAAAAAAAUAAUAAUCUAUCUUUGAUCCUUUGAGAAAAAUGAAACGGAAGUUGGGUCAAAAUUUUGCUCCUGUCCUAAUCCAGUUUGAAUGAAGUAUUACGUAGAAUUACUUAAAAAAAAAGAUAAAAAUUAGCCUAUCCUGACCAAUCUGAUUUGUUACAUAAAACGCAAAGUAUUGUAUUUCAGCAUAAAAAUCAUAACAAUCGUAGGGAUGCAAAUGGAUCUGGAUUGGUAGAGCUCCCAUCCCAAAGGGGUAAUAAACAGGAAGAAAUAAACGGAUUAAUGACAGAAAACGAGAUAAUUUUUAUGAUCCAAAAUGGAUUCGGGCAGAAAAUGAAAAAAAAAAUUUAUCCACUCCGAAUCCGCCCUGCUAUGAUCCGUCUCGAAUCCACCCCAAAAAUUAUUUAUAGUUUAAAAAAUAUUCAUAAAAAAUAAUAUAUUUAUAAAAAGGUUCAAAAUACAAAUGAAUUGACGUCUUAUUUCUCAUAUAUUUGAAACUUUUAAAUUUUACUUCGAUUUGUGAUUGAUAUUUUUUAUUUUUAUAAUUGAUGUUGUUAAUAUAUAUAUAACUUAGUAAUAUUAUUCAUUAUUAUUAAAAAAAUAUUAAUUUAUAUUUAUAAAAUAUUAAUAAUAUUAUAAUUUUUAAAACAUAUUAAUUGGCGAGGCAGAUUCGAGGGGUUGGGAAGGUGGGUGUGACGCCCUACUUCCAAGGGGUCAUCCAUUCUAAGAUUACUCUUAAUCCUAGCACGCUUAACUCUUUAACCUCUCGGACCUAGUUACCAGUAAAGAGGUUUAGGACUACUAUAUCUUAUAUAUAAGAUUAUUUGGGAUCUCAUAUUCUCCCAUCCUUUAAGUUCUUAUGUUCUCGUCAGAUUCACACUCACAAGUUCAAGCAAUGUGAGACUAGUCUCGUAAAUCUUAACCGACCUUGUUGGGGAGCCGCACUCUAUCGACAACAGUUAUCAGUAUGAGAAUUUCACUCUCCCCGCUGUAUAACCUGACUUAGCCGAGAUUAAUCUCACAUUUUCGGCUGGUAAUUGACUCUGAUAAUAAUUGUAAUGCUUGACUUUGCAAGGGGUCAUCCAUCCUAAAACUACUUUAACCCUAGCACGCUUAACUCUCUUAAACUCUUGAACUUAGUUACCAUCCAAAAUACUAUAACUGGUUAAGUGAUUUAGCCAUAUAGCAUCUCGUAUAUAGGACUAUCUCGGGUGUUAUAGUGAAGCGGAUUAUGAGAUAUAUUUUUUAACCCAUCACAAAUUCGGGAUGGGAGGUGGGACAGAAUUUUUAUAGUCGAAGUGGGAGGCGGGACCGGACUCCUGCCUUCAGACCCGCCGCGUUUGCAUUCCUAAACAAUCACUGCAUAGAGUUGUAAUUUAUUAUUCAAAGUGUUAUCUACGAGGUUGUUAUUUGACCCCAUCAUGCACCUAGCAACUUCAAUAUUAUUAACUUCAAAAUACUAAGGCUCGGUUUGAGGUCCUAGGAUAAUCAUAUCGUAUUGAAUAAUAUUAAAGUUCCUUCACACAAUUUCUGUUAGCCGAGUAAUAUUAGGCGGCCCUUAAUACCAAAUACAACCCUAGUUAAUGGUUUAAAGUUACUCCUUUUUCACUUCAUUAAACUCUUCAUUGGAUUCCAUGGUCUUUCCAUUUAUAGCUUAUCCUCACAGUAAAUGAGCUACUUAAUUGACCAAUUAAUCAAGCGAAGAUAUUCCACUGGCACCUGCGUUUCCUGCAGUAACUGCUAAAAUUAGAGGCUCCCCACUUUUUGGUAGUCAUGUGUAUUAAUUCGUGCAAUUAUUACCUCACUAAGUCAAAUCAACAGUAUUAUCCAAAACUGAUAAUAAUUAUCAUUAAAUUUGAAAAUCAAAUUCUCAUUUUUGUAUAUUGUACUUAUUACAUAAUAAAUAUUUUUAAUAUCGUUGUAUUACGCAAUAUCUUAUAGCCUUAUGGGAUAUGUAAAAUUGGUAACUAAGCUCCUAAUGGUUCACAAACUGGUCCCUUUUGCACGCAUAAGCUGUCACCUUAAGGGAGCACAGGAGGGCCCACUCCUUUUCGAUUGAUCCAAUUGUGCACGAGCUUACGACAGCUAAUUAUCAAUAAAUUUGUAAUUAAUGAGCUAAUUAAUGGUUGAAACUAAUAUUCAAUAGUAAUAAUAAUAAUUGGUAAUGAUAAUAAUAAUAAUAAUAAUAAAGAUAAGUAUGAAACAGUAAGAGCUCCUAAUCUCUCGUACAAAUUGUGGUUUGUAUUCGACCCGUGUACGGUGCAUCCAGUUAAUCACCCUUCUACGCGAUCAAGCUAAUCUUAUGAUUUUUUUUCUUUAGAGAGAAAGAUAGAAUGCUAUUUGUUUCGUUUAUUUUUUAAAAAAAUAAAUUUUUAGUUGAAAAUAUGAAACAACUAAGAAUUUAGAAUUUUGAAUAUUAAUUAUCAAGCCUUUAAUCAUUUACUCCAGAAACAGUCGGUUAAUCGCAUGAUUGUUAUAUUCCACGGAUCCAAAUCUUUGAUAUGGACAAAAUUUUAAGAUUUUACAUUGCACUUGUGAACAACUUUUAAUGGUCUUCCAAAAGCUAGGUGGUGCAUACCUUCCUAACUCUGUCGCAAAUUACUAUAUGUGCCCCUAUAUUACGAUUCAUACCGUUAAAUAUUAUUUAGACCAUUUAAAAGUUUUAAAAAUCAAAUUUUAUAAUUUUUUAACAUCAUUUGUCUUACGAUCAAAAAGUCAUAAAAUUGAUAAUUUUCUACGGUAGGUAUGGGAUACUUGUUAAUUUAACAAUGUAAAAAAAUGGAAUAGGCUAAAUUAUUGAUAGAAAAUUUUAUUCACUAUCUAGAUAAAAAUCAAUAAUUCUGAUCGUAAAUUGAAAAAUCUGAUCAAUUAUUUUUAUGACGUCAUUUGAUUUUGAUCGUUCAUUUUAUACCCGCUUAAUAGAUUUUAUUAUGAUUUCGAAAAAUUACGAAAUUUAUUUUUUACAAGUUUCAAAUAGUCUAGAUCAUAUCUAAUGAAAUAAACCGUCGAUUAAGAAGCUUCAUCAUCAAAAAUAAUUUAUAAGUAUGAAAGGCUCUAUACUUAUAAAAAUAUAGUAGCCCCUCUCUCUCUCUCUCUCUCUCUCUCUCUCUAUAUAUAUAUAUAUAUAUACACGCACACUCAAAUUGGAUGCGGUGCAUGAGGAUAUUUGGAUACACCGGGUACAGGCAACUAUAUCUCCCCAAUCACGCAGAAGGAACCUCGUAACGGACGAUUCUGACCCUCCCAACUCUCCACCUAACCGCGCACAGCAACGAGCAAGUUAAUUCAUCUCACAGGGGCAAAAUCGGAAUAGAAAAGUAAGUAUGGUUUUACGAGCUUCGAGCGCCAAUUGUAUGCGCGGAGAUGGUGAGCCAUAAAAGGAAAGCGCUAAGUGCGCCCACAAAAGCCCACGAAACGAUAACAAGGAAAGAGAGACUGAGAGAGAGAGUGUCGAGAGGUCCGCUUAAACGGGUUAUCGGGUACAGCUUAGGGUCCGCGAAGCUCGAAAACCAAAGCACCUCGAGCUCCUACGGCUCUCUCUCUCUAUAUAUAUAUGGAACCAAAGAAACCAACCGAAGGCAUCGUCCCCUUAUUGUUUCCUCGUGAGCGAACGCCGCAUCGUCCGAUCGAGCGAACUGAGGUACGAACACAAUGUGUUUGCGUGCACGGUCGAUCGAUCUCUAAUGCGAACAAAAUUUUAUGACUCAUUUUAUUUAUUUAUUUAUUUAUUUAUUAUAUUUAUUUAUUUAUUUAUUUAUUUAUUUAUUUAUUAUAAUAUAAUGUUUGUGGAUCGAAGGUGAAUGGAUCGUGAGAGCAAGAAGAAGCGAGGGAGGGAGGAGGACGCGGCGAGGGAGUCGAAGAACGCGAAGAAGCGCUAUGAGGACGUGGCGGCGGAGGGGGUCCAAUCGUGGGGCGACGCGUGUCGGCCGCCGCCGGGGGUGUUCGAGUUCCCGUGGGAGGGGAAGGGGGCGCGGGAGGGGCUGGUGGCGCUGGAAUCGGACGGCUGGGACCUGCGCCACGUGUUCUUCUCGUCGCUCGUCGACGGCCAGCGCGCCACCAUCGGCAUCCCCGGGGACCGCCUCUGUCGGCCGAAGCCGGCCCCGAUCGCCAUCCCUGAUGGCGAUCCUCGGCCGUCCAAUGACGCCGACGCCGACGCGGAGUGCAUCUGGGCCGCCGCGCUCCGCGAGCCCCUCGUCCCUAUCGUGUGCACCGGAGGAGAGAGAAAGAUGGGCUAAGCGAAUGUGGCUGCAGUGGCGGCGGCGGCGGUGAAGUGAUAGAGGUCAUCAUUCCUCUCUCUCUCUCUUUCUAUUCUUAUCAUAAAAUUAUCAUAAAAUUAGGAAAAAUAGUCCAAGUGUCGUCAUAUAGUGGAGAUAUAUAAGUGCUAAAUAGUUUUGAAAAUGUCAAUUGGAGCAUUUCUGUAGAAUACCAAACAAUAUAUAUUUGAGUUACAAACAAAAACUGUUUUAGAUUUUUUUUUUUUUUUUUUUUUUUUUUUUUUGGGAGGGGUGGUGGGGAGGAGGAGUAAAGCAGAAGCUCUAGCCAACAGGAACAUGGAAAAUCUAUCGACACUGUAAGAUGACAAUGAAGGAAACAAAUUAAUGUUUUCCUCUUUAGUUGCAUUCUGAGUAUUUUGCAUGAAAUGUUGAGUUUUAUAGAUUGUAAUAUUGUUUGCAGUGAGUAGAUCAAUUAUUUUUACUGCACAAUUUUGCAUCAGGUCGUAGCGUAUCUGUUGCAUUCUUAGUAAUUGGAUAAUAGAGAAAAUAUUGGUUCAAUGUGCGUGCAGUUUGGGCAAAUGGACGGAUCAAAUUUCUUAUCAAUCGUGACACAUCGAAUGGCCAUGCACGUUUAUACGUUAUUCGACGUGCUAAAUCUGCUGUGCAAAGAUAAGGAAGGCUAUAUCUGCUGUGCGAAGAUAUCGAAGUAUUUAAUGACUGAAUCAUUUUCGAAUCAUUGGCGGCACGUCCAAUGAAUGCACGGCUGCACGUAUCUUCGAGGUUCAGUAACGCAAAUGCGCAUAUUUGGUCUUUCUCUAUCAAAUAUAUAUAUAUAUACCUAUUUAUAAAUAAGUUCAUACGUGUGUGUACGUAGUACACCGUGGACGAUUAACGGUAAUAACGGUUAAAUUGAAGAGCUUUGUGCAGUAGAUCUCCUGGCUAUAAAUAAGUGAAUUUGCGCGAACGAUAGCUGCAGUUAAUGAAAGGCAAGAAACGACUUCGUUAUCCAUGAAAUAAUUACGAUAAGCGGCGGCACGUCCAAUGAACGCACCUCUGUGCGUAUCUUUGAGGCUCAGUGACGUAAAUGCGCAUUUUUUUGUCGCUUCCAAAAAUAACCUAGCUAUAAAAGAAGUGAAUAUGCGUGUUUAGUACACCGUGGAGGAAUAACGGUAUUAACGAUUUAACUGUGGCACUUUGCAUAUAUAUCUCCAAAUAUAAAUGUGCAAAAUGGGCAUAACAAGCAUCUUUGAUCAUUCUACUCAAGUAGUCACUUAUGAUCAAUAACUUGUGAAUUUCCUCUUGUUACUGUUGAUAUAGGUCAUUUUCAUAAUUCGAUAUUGAGAGAUCAUUAGAGCCUCGCUUAUUUGGGAGAAAAUGACUUCAACAAAAAGAAACUCAACCUUAAAAAGCCUUUGGGGGCCACUUAGAUGCAGUUUUUGAUUAUUCUAGCUAGGAGUUGGCUCCUAUUCCAAGUUCAUAUAUAGUGUCUUAUAUAGUUCCUAGUUUAUCCUCACUUUUGUGCAAAGAAGAGAUAACCUUCACUAUUGAGAAUGAUAAAAUAUUACGAACUAACAAAAGUAACUUCCUCAACUAUUCAGGGGAGAAUUGGUUGAUUGUAAUAAAAAAGAUUCUUCGUUUUGGAUUAUAUUGUACAGAUAAGUAAUCAUCGGAGAGGAAGAUGAUCGUUGAGUAAUAGAGUGUAAAACCUCUUGUUUUAGACGUACUAUAUAUCAUGCGCCUACGUACGCACUACACCAAAAGGAACUUUUUGUGGCAAUUAUUUAGCGGUGAUUAUCAAACGGCCGCUAUUACUAUUAUUUUAUUACCCUUUAGCGGCAAUUAUUUUCAAAUAUAUAGUUUUAACCUACUCAUGUUUAUAUAUUAAAUAUAAUCCUAACCCAACCUAAACCUAACCCAACUCACCCGAACCCUCGCCCUCUCUCUAUCGCGAGCGUAUCUCCCCCACCCCGCCCNCUGUGCCCUGUCGCUUGGCCUCCCCUUCUUCUUCUUCGCCGUUGUCUUCUUCUCCGCAUCCAGCCCGACCCCGUUCGCCGCGGCCGCUGCCGCCGCGGUGACGGGAUCGGGCUGGGGGCCCGCGGCGGCGGAGGAGAAGAGGAGGGGGUCGCGGGCGGUGGAGAGGAGUGUGAGGAGGGGGGCGACGGUGAAGAAGAAUGGUGAGGAGGGAGACGACGGUGAAAAAUACAUUUUAAGGAUUAAAUCUUAUCUAUGUUGUUACAUCAAUAAUUUAUAAAAAUAAUAUAUUUGUGGGGGGACUGUUGCAGUAGAGGCUAAAAUAAGUGAUUUUAUAUUUUUAACGUCCAAAUUUUUAUUCUUGUUAAUUUUAUUGCUAUUGAAAAUUUUUUUUAUAAUAAUUAUUUCAUCUGUGAUACAUGUAUAUCUCUCAAAUCAAUUCAUGGUUACAACUAAUUAAGGAUAUAAUAUAAUUAAUUUAAAUUUAUACAAUUUUAAAAUAUUAUUUACAUAUGUUUAUACAAAGAUAAGAAUUCAAUUAACUGUUAUUUAUUUCUAUUAAGUUUACAUACGAGAUGAAAAUUUUAGCCCACUUGUUAUCCUCUUGUGGUCUUUAUAAGCAAUCUAGUGGAAUGCCCAAAACACCCUCAAAAUUCCACAAAAGACAAGCGCUCAACGGAGGAUAAGGUAGUAAAUCUAACAUCGAAGCCACGUGGCACCCGAUCCUUUUCCCACGUCACAUCUCAGUCGCUCAUUUCGCGAUCUUAAAACGUUAAGCAAAGCGCGGCGUUUUCGCUAAAAUAGCAAGGAAAUUUAAUUUCCUCUCAUAAAAAGGGACAAAAAAAAAGAAAAGAAAAUUGCAGUACAACGUAGAUCCAGAGAGAGAGAGAGAGAGAGAGAGAGAGAGAGAUGUAGAGAGCAGCUACUCGCAACAACGAAGAAGAAACAGAGCUCGAGAAGCGAUUUGUAGAAGCAAUUUUGGGGGGCAUUAUUUACCGCUUUUGCGUCGCCAAGAAGCGCUUCUGGGGGUCGUCGGGAGCGGAGGAGAUGAGGUGCUAACAUGGCGACGAGGAAGAGCAAGAGGAGGACGGUUUUGGGCUUUCUCCUUCUCUCCGUUCUCGCCCCCAUCGUUCUCUACACCGAUAGGAUCACCAAGUUCUCCAAUUCAAUCCGUAAGUGUUCGAUUCGAUUGGAAGAGGCCGAAAAGUACGAUCUCGAUCGGUGUUCUCUUUCUUUUUUGGUGUUAAAUGGUGGUUUUUAUUUUUAAAUUUAAAUUUUAUUUUAUUUUUUGCAGCAAAUAGCGAUUUUGGUCGUGAAAUUCCGAAUCGGGUAAGUUCCCUUUUUUUUUUUUUUUUCCCUGCUCUUUAAUUUUGUUACAUUCGCUCUCUGUUUUUAAAAUCGUGAAGAAAAUGCUGUUCUUUUUUUGGUCUAUUUCCUCUAGGUUUCCGUGAAAUUUUAGUUGAUUAUUCUACUAGUUUAUGCUAAAAAUGUAUUCAUUUGGGUGGUUAAUUUUGAUGCGAACGAUCUGGUUGUAGGUGUCCUUUGAUUCUCUUCAAGAACCCGUUCGGAUUGUUCAUUCUAAGAGCAAUGCCGAUGCGAUCUCAGCUCGAUCGGUGAUCGGAUUCACUGCAUUAACAGCUAACGGUGAGGUUCCCUCUUUCCCUCAUUAUCAAGUAAUUAGUUUCCCCCAAAUUAUGACGCUUCAUUCUAAUUUGUGGUUUUUGACGAGAAUAGAACAGUAAAAGGGCGUUUUUUUAACGGAGUAAGGGUUAAGGUUUGAUUGAGUGCCACGUUUUCUGUAUAGAAUUGCCACGUGGGAUCUCAGACGAGCAUAAGAGCCGAGUAUUAUCGGCUACCUACGAUGAAGGGAAGCAGUUGGAAAGAGACAGCUCAGAUGAGAAAGUCGAUGCAACAGAUCAGGAAAAGGAGAGGGGAUUAGACAAAGUCGGAGAUCAAGAACAUAAGAGUCGGGCUUUAUCGGUGAUGGAUGAGGGGAUUCAAUUGGAAAAGGAGGGCAUAAUUGAGCAAGUGGUAAGAUCGGCGAAUCUUGCAGAGGGGGAGAAGAAUAUGGAGAAUAAUGAGGGCACUCAAUCAGAAAACAAGGGCAUGAUUGAGCAAGCGGCAAGCCGAGAAAGCGACAAGAAGCCUGAGAUGGAAGAAAAGAACAAAGAGAAGAAGAUUGAAGCUCCGACUUUUCCAUGGAAGCAGGUAAUUGGGCCUAUCAAAUUUCAUUAUAGUCUUUAGCUUCUAUGCGGAUGGAACUUUUAACUAAUUCCUUGGACUAAGAUGAAAGAAUGAGAUUUCCGAAUUUGACUAUAGUUAUGUGACUUGGUCAUCAAAGCUAAAUAAUUUCAUGUACCUGUCUUUGCAGAGAUAACUUCAUCAUAUUAUAGUUUCUCUUUUUUAUUUGGGUAAACACUAAACACUAUAUUUGUGUAAUAUUGGAGAUAUGUCAUCAUAUUUUUGCGUCAUUUGUUUCAAGAUUUGAUUGUAGAAUUUCAAUACAACCAGUGAAGAUAAUUUGGAAGUAAAAUUAUUUUCUUUUUACUGGAGGUUGCUCUGAGCGCCAUUUAUUAUCCUUUUUCUGAUGGACUUAUCCCUUAAAAUUUAAUUUUGUUAUUUGAUGAGUCAAUGACUACAAAGAGGACGUGAAAGGUAUCUUAAUUAGCUGCCCUAUUGUCUUAGAAGAGAGGCAAACUGUUGUUGCAUUUAUGUUCUGUGUCAAUUUAGCCCCUUCAGCAAAUUAUGCCAACUCUGCGGUGAUUAAGACCCUUUGAAUGUCUCUAAAGGGGUUUCCAGAAAAAUAUUGUUGGGGGUGGUGAGAAUUGUAUUUUGACCCAAGGUUUUGUUCUAUUCUCCUGUCAUGCAUAUUUUCUUAUUAUCUAAUCACUAUCCGUAUUAUAUUUGUUAGUCUUUACUUUCUGGAUUGACCAAUUGAUGUGGUUUAAUUGAAUCUUUAUCAGUUUUUGACCAUUCAUCUACUCAUUGAGGAAAUAUAGCUUUCGGCUUAGGGGUUUUUUUUUUUUUUUGUCCUGGAGAAUUGGCCUACAUCUUGUCUCUCCUGAUGCUUGAUUUCUUCUUUUUUUCCCCCUUUUUUUGGCUUUUGAAAUCUGUUGCUUGAAUACCCUCUUUUUCUUUCCUAAUUUAUUCAUUACUACAUUUUGCUCUAUUAUCCAGGGAAAUAAGGAUGGAAAGCCAUCUGAACUAGUUCCUUCUCAAGUUCGUACUCGAAAGCAUAGGAGGAGAUCCACUAAUAAUGACCGUAGUGGUGCCACGACUUUACCUGAUGUUAGAGUGCGCCAACUUAAGGAUCAAUUAGUAAAGGCAAAGGUUUAUCUUGGCCUUUGUAGAAGCAAUACCAACUUCGUCAGGGAGCUUCAAGCUCGGAUAAGAGAUGUUGAACGAGCACUUGGCGAUGCAACCAAGGACUCAGAAUUACAUAAGAAGUACGUUUUUUGGUUUCACUAAUUAGUGUUUUGACCUUGUAACCUUACAUCGCCUGUUAUUGGUUUGCUUUGUUGUGAAAAAAUUUCACUAAUUGUCAUUGGUUUGCUAUGACCUAGUAACCUUUUAUCCCUCCUUUUCCCCUUUGAUCAACGUGCUGUUUGACUUCAGAUAAUUCUUUCCAAACUUAACCAUCAUUGUAACUUUUCUGAUGGAAUAUCUACAGCUUAAUAAUAGAAUUUUUCAAAGUUUUUGACAGGAACUUUUUGAGGGAACUUUUAAAAUUGAAUAAAAAAAAUUUAGUUGAGAAGUUUAGAUCCAAAAAAUUUAGUUGGAGGUUCUGUUUGAAAAUGCAGUUGUGGAUGUAUACGCAAAUUUUGCAUUUUCUAUAGUUUGCUAGUUUAGAAUAUGUUUAGUCUGAUUAACAAGUUAAAACAUUUGAGAUUAGUUUUAACAUUUACACCUAGUAGCUCUUUUUUAUAUUGUGUUGCAUUAAUCAGUUCACGUGUACACCUAGUAGCUCUUUUUUAUAUUGUGUUGCAUUAAUCAGUUCACGUGAGAAACUUCGGGCGAUGGAGGAAACAUUGGCCAAGGGGAAGCAAAUUCAAGAAAACUGCUCUGCUGUUAUCAACAAACUCCAGGCGAUUCUUCACUCCACUGAGGAACAGCUCAAUGCACAUAAGAAACAGGCUAUCUAUUUAACACAGCUAGCAGCAAAAACUCUACCAAAAGGCCUCCACUGUCUUCCCCUGAGACUCACCACCGAAUUUUAUAUUUCAAAUGUCAGCCAGGAGGAGUUUCCAACUCAAGAAAAGUUGGAAGACCCCAAACUCUAUCAUUAUGCACUCUUCUCUGACAAUGUUUUAGCUGCAGCAGUGGUUGUGAAUUCUACUGUCUUGCAUGCUAAGGUAAGCUAUAUGACUUAUACAGCUACAAACGAACCAGACCAGAUCCAAGUUGAGCCAAAAACUGUGCUGCUUAGUGUUUUUUUUACCGUGGCGUCUAAUAUAGCUUCUCCUUCAAAAAGCAUGAACUUCUAGAAACUAGGUGUUUUGGCUGAUAAUAAUUUUGAAGCUUUUGUGGUGAUGAAAAGCUAAAAUGAGAUUUUGAGCCCCUAAAGUAGAAGGUCUAAUUUGAGGCAUCUCCUUUGUCUACGGGCAAGUAGCUUUUGAAUAGGUUGUAAUGAAAAACUUGUUACUGCUUCUUCAGACAGCUUUAUUUAAAUUGUGCUUCUACUUGGACGCUCCAGUGGAGCUAAGCUUUAGAAUUUGGGGAUAUUUGAACUCUGCCUGAAGCUUAUAAACUAUGCUUAGUCUUGUCUUGUUAAUUUUUGAAUUGAGCCUUUCGAUCUGGAAUUAGUGUGAAUUUCUUGCUUGUGUUCAUCUUGCUUAUUGGGUUAAGGCUUAAAAUAUAGGUUGACAUUGUCUUCUCCUACAAGCUAUUCAAGCUACACAGAGCUUUUACGAGUCAAAGUCCUAGUUGCUCACUAUCAGCUUUACUUGUUCCCAGCGUUAUUGAUUGCGCUUUUCUUACCAUUUCCAUCAAUAAGAGAUGAUAUUUAUUUAUGAUUUGACCUUUAUUUUCUUGCAGAACCCAGAGAACCAUGUCUUCCACAUUGUCACUGAUAGACUUAAUUAUGCAGCCAUGAAAAUGUGGUUUUUAGCUAACCCGCCAGGCAAAGCGACCAUCCAGAUUCGGAAUGUUGAAGAGUUCACAUGGCUAAAUUCCAGCUAUAGUCCGGUUCUGAAGCAGCUUGGGUCAAAAUCCAUGAUUGAUUACUACUUUAAGACUCAUCGAGCUAUCUCUGAUGAAAACUUGAAGUUCCGAAACCCUAAAUACCUCUCCAUCCUGAAUCAUCUUAGAUUUUAUUUACCCGAGAUAUUCCCUAAGCUUGAUAAAGUGCUUUUCUUAGACGAUGAUGUUGUAGUCCAACGGGACCUUACUGCCCUUUGGUCUAUUGAUCUCAAAGGGAAAGUUAAUGGUGCGGUUGAGACUUGUGGCGAGAGCUUUCACAGGUUUGAUAGAUAUCUCAACUUCUCAAAUCCUCUCAUUGCCGAAAAUUUCAACCCUCGGGCUUGUGGAUGGGCUUAUGGCAUGAAUAUAUUUGACUUGGUUGAGUGGAGAAAGCAGAACAUAACUGAUGUCUACCACUCUUGGCAGAAGCUGGUAAAUUGCAUUAAUCGCUUACAUAACCAUGCAACUAGUUACUAUCUUUUGUACGUUUUUGUCCUUUUUGUGUGCAUUUCCUGGGUUUUGGUGGAAAAUUCUUUGCUUAUGGUCAUGUCUCACACUUAAAUUUCAACUGAGUUACUCAAACCUUUUUUUAAUCUUUUAUUAGGUAUAAUUUAUGCUUGUCAUUACAUCAUGCUUUGAACCUGAAUUCUGGUGUUUACUAUAUGCAGAACCAGGACAGACUAUUGUGGAAAUUGGGAACUCUUCCUGCUGGUCUUGUUACUUUCUGGAAUCGCACUUUGCCCCUCGAUCGGUCGUGGCAUGUUUUGGGUCUUGGUUAUAACCCAAACAUUCGCCAAGAGGAUAUCAAAAAGGCGGCAGUAAUACACUAUAAUGGCAACAUGAAACCUUGGUUAGAGAUUGGAUUGCCCAAGUAUCGCAGUUACUGGUCCAAGUAUGUGGAUUUCAACCAAGUUUUCCUAAGGGAAUGCAACGUAAAUUUCUAAAAAGUUGAGGGUGUCCUUAUAUUUCUUUCUUAGUAGGCCUUGUGGAUGUAUAUUCAGCGGAAGGUUUAGUUCUUUCCCUCAGCUUUUCUUUUCUCCACUUUCAAUAACAUGUUUAGAUUUAUUCUUUGUGCUCUAGAAAUGUAAAUUUGCUAGAGCUUCUAUUCUUGUCAUCCUUUGCUCUUCUCCUUUGCAGAGAUGCAUGCAGCAGAAAUUGUACAUUGUACAUUAAAUCAUAAUAGCGAUAAAAACAUGUAGGAUUUAUAACUUAUAGUACAGUAUCUUUGAAUCCUUUUAAAGUUGGUGUUGCUGCUGCUUUGCAAUAAUUAGUAACUCCUCUUAUUCUGCUAUUAUUCCUUUCCUACUCUGCUUUGCCUUUUUGCGAGCCGUGAAGCAUCAAAGUGGCUGUGCAUUUUCAAACUAGGCCUAAGUAGUAUAAAGUGAGUAAGUGACCGUUCGCCUGUUCUCCCAACUUGGCAUCUUUGAUUACGGUGGCCAUUUAUCGGAGUGGGCGCCGGUUUGGCUGCAGGAAUUGUGAUCGAGGAGGCGAUCAGUGCUGUGGAAAGUGGCCGAGGGAGUGGCAGUGACAGCAGUGACAGCAGCGGCGGUGGCGGCGGCGCUGGCGGCUGUGGUGGUGGAUAUGAUGGUGGCAACGGCGACGGCGGUGGAUGUGGAGGCGGUGGUGGAUGUAGCAGCGGCGGAGGAUGUGGUGGUUGAGACUUGAGAAUCGAGCAGUGCAUUUAUAUCUAUUAUUAUUAUUUGAAAAUACUUUUUACGGUUUUUUCUCUCUUUUUUGCAUGGAUUAUUUCUGUACCAGCAGUAAGAUUGGGGCUGGAUUUUUGAGUGUUGAUGCUUUGACGCUGUUUCUGAAAUUUGAGGAUGCUUCUUUUUUAUUUUGUAACUUAAAUUUGAUUAAUUCAUCUCGACAAAUGAAAGUUAUUUUUUUUAAUUUUUUUAAUGAACGAAAUUGCACUAGUAAGCAGAGAAAUUAUUUUCAUAAAUUUGAAAAGUUCCUGGGUAUAAUGUUGCACCAAAUAUGCCCUCUUAAUGAGGACCCAAAAAUGACUGUUUCUUUUUAUAAUUACAUGUUCCAAAGUGUUAUAUUGACUCGAGGGAUUGUGGGCAUUGUCCAAAAGUUUAUGUAAUUAUGGUAAUAAACUUAGAGAUUGUUACAUUUGAUAUGAUCUGUAUUAUUUAAAAUAUGCAGAAAAGUAAAUCACAAAUGUCAGAGCACUUUAGUCCUAAGAUCAACUGUUUCAAUAUUUUAAGAACUAGGCUAAUAUACUAUUAAUAGCACCAAGUCAUUGGUGCUAUCAAGUUUUUGGCCAUUGGAUUAAGAGAUGUGCGGUUAGGAUGAUGCGGGCCCCUUAGGGUUGAGUGGGUGGUUGGUUGAAUAGUAUGAUCUAACGGAUGAAAACAAUCAAAAGGGUAGAUCUAACGGCGGAAAACUUGGUAACAUCAAGUGCUUCGUGCUAUUGAUAGCAUAGCAGCCAGACUCAUAUUUUAAUGUCAAAUUUCUUUUACUUUAAGACCAGAUGGUGUUACGCUUUUUGAAACUUUUUCACAUUAAAUAAUUAAAUUAUUUAGUUGCAAACGUAAUUAGCUGCCGAAAGGUAACAUAAUUUAUAUUGAGUAUCAUAUGUAUAAAGAAUUCUUAUAAAAAUAUAUUACUAUCAUUUCACGCACCCUCACUAAUCCCCCAAAAUUAUAAUAUUUUUAGAAGUAUUUCAGUAUAAUUUCGCAUAUAAUAUAUUAACCUAAGUAUGCCUCCCCUCUCUCUCUCUCUCUCUCUCUCUCUCUCCCUCUCUCUCUCUUAAGUAUGCAGCCCCCCAAUUUUCAUAAUUUGCAUAAGGAUACUUUAUAUAUAAAAAAUAUAGUGCUCUCUCAACUCUUGAGUUUUUUCUUUUAAAUUUAGUAUCUUCAUAACUUUUAAUUAUUUUAAAUAAAUUUUUUAUUUAAUUAAAUUAAAGAUUAUAUUAAAAUUAAUAGUUCGGUCAACUAAUAGUCAUUUAUUGUCACAAUUAUAUUUAGUAAAAAUUAAGAAAUUAAAUUAUUUAUUGAAUUACUAUUAGAUUUAAUAAAUUUCAAAGUUAUUUGAGUGAAAUAAUAUAAAUAAAAUAAUUAGAAGUUAACUAAGUAUAAAUAAAACAGGGGUAAUGCUUUUUUACACUAAUUAUUUAGCCAAUAUAUUUUUUCAUCAAAAUUUUGACUAGGUAAAUUUUGUUUAUUUGUUAAAAUUUUGAUUUGUAUAUAUUUUGGUCCCCUCAUAAUCAAGUGCUAGUUUCGUCCCUGUAAGUGCGAUCGCCCUUAUGCUUAUAAGUCGUUUUCGAUGAUAGAGCUUCCGAAUCGACGAUUCAUAUCAUUAAACGUUAUCUAGAGUAUUUAAAACUUCUAUAAAUCAAAUUUUAUAAUUUUUUGAUAUUAUUUAUUACGAUCAAAAAAUUUCAAAAUUGAUAAUUUUUAACGGCCAGUAUGAAAUACUUACUAGUUUAACGGUAUAAAAGAAUCGAAAUCAAUUGAAUUUUUGAUAAAAAAUUUUAUUUACUAUCUAAAUAGAGAUCAAUAACUCAAAUCUUAAAUUAAAGGAUCCGAUUAUCUAUUUUUAGGACAUCAUUCGAUUUUGACCAUUCAUUUUAUGUCGGUUUGAUAGAUUUUAUUAUGAUUUCGAAAAAUUACGAAACAUAUUUUUUAAAAAUUUCAAAUAUCGUAUAUCAUAUUUAACCGAAUGAAUCGUCAAUUCGAAAGUUCUAUUAUUAAUAAAUAACUUAUAAGUACGAAAAAGUUUGAUACUCAUAAAAGUAUAGUAGUCUUACUUUAUAUAUAUAUAUAUAUAUAUAUAGUCCGUUUUCAGUGUCUCUCUGUAUAUUGAUACAGAGCGAUAGCAUAAAAUUUCUCUGACUUUGAGCGAAAUUUGUGUAAAAUUCACAAGCUGAAGCAAUUUCAAUUUAAAUAGGAGAAAUUAAGAUGGCUAGGUUUCUUGCUGAUCGAGUUGGUUGACUACAACAACAAUUCGAGCACGGUAAAAAUGCGCAAUACAUGUUAAAAUUAGGCCAUCAAUUCACGAAGGUUAUCAAAAUAUUUAAAAUAAUAAUAAAAAAUAAAAAAAUAGGACUUGUCAACGCAAGGAUUGUCCCUUUCAAAAGACUUGGACAAUAUACUAUGACAAAAUAUCUUGACCAACUCUAUUUUAUUCCCAUUCCACGCGUCAUUGGCAAGGAAGCUUAACAAUUACGGAACAGGGAGACCACUAAUUCAGGCGAAGACUUUGAGGGCCAAUAACACUAUCCCCUUUUUCUUCUAAGACUUUUUAUUUUUAAUGUUGUUCAAUUUGUGUAUUUAUAACAAUAUUUUGAACAGUAUAUACUUGGGGAAAAAUUGCAUGGAUCAACUUGGCAAACUUAGAUCUUAAUUUUUUCCUUCUUCUUGUUGGCAUUCGGUUAAAUCAAAUCGGGUGCGUCCAUGAUCGAGCUCAAUCCGACAGUUACUAUAUUAUCUCAUUAUAUUAAAAUUAAUCUUGCUUUUAAAUUGAAAAACUAUUUAGAGAUAAAUUCUACUCAUAGGAUAACAAUUAAUAAUUGAUUUGGCCUUAUCUCUUACGCAUCUAUUAGAAUUUUGAAAUUCCUUAUAAAUAUGCGGGCGAUCUCAUAUAAAAUAAAUAAGAGAACGAAAGAAUAAGAAAACCAAGUGAGAAAAAUUUAAAAACCACAUUUUCUAUCAACUUAUUACUUAUUAUUCUAGAGGGUCUUGAACGAUGGAUUUGCGAUCGUGCUUGUUUGUAGUUCGAUCCAUCGCGAGUUUUGAGCGAUAGAAGAUUUUCAAGGACAAUCCGAAGAGACGUGAAUCAACCUUUACGAUCCUGACUCGUCGCAUUCUAGCGCGAAUCACUUUCGUAAAAAGGUACGAACAAAUACUUCUGCUGCAUUCUACACUUCUUAUUCAAAUUUAUAUACUCCCUAAAUUUCUAAUUAUUUUGACUUGAAUUAUUUUUAUAUACUGAGUUCAAGUUUCAUUAAUUGCAAUUUGCAGUUCUCAAAAUUCACAAUUCCAUGGCUAGAAAAUUCUUUCAUUAUAGUUAAAUUUUAUAAAAUCAGUAUUAAAUUAUAUACAUUUUUUUAAUUUAUUUGAUGACACUACUUAAACUAAAAAAAAUUAAAAAAAUAGAAUUGAAAAAUAAAAAAUAAAAACAAUUGAGAGCAUAUUGUAGAGGGUGUCUCUGUACACUUUCUUCUAUAAUAUGCUUUUUGAAAUUUUAAUUUUGAAAUCUAAUUAUUUUAUAUUUUUAAUUUUAUAUAAGAAUUGAGGUAGAAUACUUUUAGAAGUACCGACCUCUUGGUGCUUCUAAGUUUCUAGCUCUUGGAUCCACUCAUUGAUUACUAAUAGCUUUUAGAUCAAACACUAUUCCAGCUAACACCAUCUAUCACUAUCAUCUCAACCCUACAUCUCUCCAUCCAAUGGCUAAAAAUUCAAAAGCACUAUCCUCUUGGUGCUUUUGAGAGUAUUCUAAUUCAACUCUCUCUCUUUAUAUAUAUAUACUAGUUGAAUGUACGUACAAAUGCACGUAACAAUUAAUUAUUUAAUAAUUAUUUUAAAUUAAUAUGAAAUUGUACAUCAUAUUUAUUAAAAAAAAAUAUAAUUGUUUAAAUAAGUAAAUUUAUUUAUUAUAAGCUAUUAGAAAAUACCUACCAAUAAAUUUGUCAACAAUAAUUAUAGUGUUUUUUUAUUUUAUAAAAUACUAUAUAUAAGUGUAGAUAUAGAUAACAUUAAAUAUUUUCUGAUAAAAUUUUACAUAAUAGUGUAGAUAUGAUAUAAAUUAAAUAUUUUUUUGAUAAAUAGAUACUAGUGGUAAGUAUAAAUAUACAUAAAUAUAGAUAUAACAAUUAAAAAUUUUGUAUAUCUAAUAAAUUUAAAAUUUAAAUAAAUAUUUUAACUAAAGUAUCAAAAUAAACAUUAAUAUGAAUAAUAAAGUAUUAUAAUAGAAUAAGAGAUAGAUAAUAUAAUAUUAUUAUAACAUAUAUUAUAUAUAUGUAGAUAGAUAUACAGGAGAUAAUUUUUCGGUAGGCAAAAUUUGGAUAAAUAUAAUUUUUUACUGUUGUGAAAACAAAGAGAUUAAUAAAAUUUGUUUAAUUCUUUAUUUAUUUACGUAAGAAAAAGUAAUUAAUUUUUUUUUUUUCGCCAAAUAAAUGGUCUGAUCGACAGAUCCCGAAAUUGAAUACAUGCUUUAUAUAAUACGAUAAAAUGUACGUGCAAAUACACUUAAUAAUUUAGAAAAAGUUUAUAUUUUUAAAUUAUUUUUAUAUUUAGGCCAUAUUUUAUAUGAUUGCCAAAUAUGUAUGCUGAAAUAAUUUAAAUAAUAAAUCACGCUAUUUUAAUACGAUAUUAUCUUUAAAUGAAUAAAUAAUUAACAGGGAAUAAUCUUAAUGAAAAAAUUAGUCUUAAAUAAUAAAAAAUAAAACCAUCUGUUAGAAUAAAAUUUGAAAUUAAAUAAGAAAAAGAAAAUCCGUUAUCGUUAAAGAAUAUAUAAUUGAAAUAAAUAGAUUAAAUCUAAAAAAGAUAUUAAAAAUAAAAUGAAAAAUACUUUUAUAGAUUUCACAGCCUGUAAAUCUGUUAUAGAGAAGCUCUAUUUUUGAAAUUAAAAUAGAAAAAUUUAUGUUAUUAGGAUUUCACAUGACAGCACUAAUCUGUUAUAGGAGAACGUUACGUAUUGCAUUGCUGUUUCUAUUUUUAUUCUAUAUUUAAAAUUUUCGUAACGGAGAGAUGAGGGCGCUAAUUUCCCACCGAAAAAAUGGUUUGUCGAAAGACCAAAUUUGAUAUAGACGUGCUUUUAAUAUCAGUGUAUAGUAUAUAUAAUAUAUAUAUUAUAUAUAUAUAUAUAUUAUAUAUAUAUAUAUAUAUUUAAUAGGCUAGGGCUACUAUCCUAUAAUAGGAUAGUAGCACUUGUCCUUCAAAUUGUUCUUCAUGAUAGAGAUUCUGAAUCGAUGAUCGGAGCUUUGAAGUUGAAUCAAGAGAUUCGAAAUAUCUAGAAACUAAAUUUCAUAAAUUCUAAAAUUAUUUACAUGGUGAUGAGAGGUCGCAAAAAUCGACAAUUUUUUGAACUGGCAUAUUAUGAUCGUUCUUGUUUAACGUGAUGAGUAAUCUAAAUUAUUUGAAUUUUUUGAUAGAAAAUUUUUUAUACUAUUUAAAUAAUAUUUGAUAAUUCUGAUUAUGAAUUGAAAAAGUCUAACCUCUAUUUUAAGAAGGUUAUUCAUUUAUAACCAUUCAUUUUUCAACUCUUAAGAUGAACUUGAUAAUAAUUUUUAAAUAUUACAAAAUUUGGUUUCUAAACAUUUAGAUCAAUUUCUCUUCUCUCUUUCAAUUUGAUGGGCGGUUAAGAACUUAGGAGCACAAGGGCUGCUGUGUUUCUAAUAGCACAGUAGCCCUACUCUAUAUAUAUAUAUAUAUAUAUAUAUAUAUAAUAUAUAUAUAUGCAGCGUGUUGCAAGCCGACUAAGCAGUUUAUAAAGAGAUAAUUGAUGGAGACGACUUAGCCAAAGAUGAAUAUAAUAAAGAGCUAUAAAAUGAAUAUUCGGAGUUGCAAUAUCUUUUUAAAGCGCAUUUAUCUUGUCAGGUAACUAUUGGGUCAAACUUCACAUCGCACAAGAAAAGAAGAGGUCCAUUUGGAUAUAUAUAUGUAAGCAAGAUAUUUGUAAAGUUCGCCCUACAAAGCUUAAAAUAUAUAAUAAUAAAUAAACACCUCUUUGAAGAAGAAGAAGAAGAAGAAGAAGAAGAAGGAAAAAUGGCUAGGGCUUUAGCCCUCUUGAUUUCCGGCGAUGUCGGCGGCGAAUCCGUUUCUCAAUUCUCCGGGAUUCUUCUUAUGAUAUGCAUGGUUUUGUUGACGGUCUCCGUCUUGGCCAUCGUCGCGUUCAAUUGCGGCGUCAAGAAGCCGAAGCCGAAGAAUAAUGUGUACUACUACGGCGCCGGGAACCCUCCGCCUUACUACGGAGGCGGUCCGACCUACGCAAGUGGCGGCGGCGGCGGCCGUGGUGGCGGUGGCGUCGGUGCAGGCCUGGCGGUCGGAGCUGGCGUAGGCUUGGCCGCCGGUUUGGCCACUGGCCUGGUCGUCGACGCCGCUAUCGACAGCGCUCAUGGCGGCGGCUGUGGUGGCGGUGGCUGUGGUGGCGGUGGCUGCGGCGGCGGCGGCUGCGGCGGCGGUUGUGGUGGUUAACUAUUAUAGUUUUCUAUGUAUUCAUUCUUGGUAUCUGUUUAAGUAAAGCACAUAACCAAUCCUUUUUAAAUCAUUCGAGGAUUAAUUCUUAAUUUGUGCUGUGUGUUAAAACAAACGUUGUGUUGGUAUUUUGAUUGCUUCUAAUGAUCUCUUAAUUGUACACAUUGAUUUAAGUUUACUUUUCUGUGCACGUGGACUAAAUGAUAUUUGAAAGCUGACUCUGCACCUACGACGCCACAUAGUUAUGAUAAACUUGGUCGAAUGGAUAAGCUUUGUGUUAAUUUAAGAGUAAUUUUUCGAGCCUCAUAAAUACUUUCUAUAUAUCUAUGUGCACCCAUGGCCUCGGGAAUGGUUUCGAGAUAAUUCCACCGCACCCCCUGUUUUCUCUCUUGGAUCCUCGUUGAAGAUCUUUUUCGAUAUUUUAAAAAAAGGGGGGUGGGGAUGGGGAAUUUUCGUGAGAGAAUUUUCGAAAUUUUAAAAAACGGCCGUUUAACGAAUAACACGAAUUUUAUCAUCACGAUCCAAGAGUAAACUACAUGAAAUAUCCGAUUUUUCUAAAUAUUUGAAUAAUUAAAGAAUAAAUUUCCCCAAAAAAAGGGUUUAAUCCCUCUUCUCUCUUUCUUAUCACAAUGCAGUAGCGUGCGAAUGGCCUAAAAAAUCGGACCACAGUAGGCUUUGGCCCAAUUUGGGCCGGAUGUGUAGCCCAAUUCAGGCCGGCCAUGUGGGCCCAUCUUCGAUAAAUUGUGUAACAUGAUCUCUUUGAUUUUUUUUUCCCCCCAUUUUGCGAUAUAUUUUGUAAUAUCCCCUAGAGAUGAUAAUUAAAUUUUAUCUUUCUCUUUAUUCAUUAAAUUAUUCAUCUACUUUGUCAUCAAUUAUUCUUUUUAAAUUUUACUUGAAUUUUAUGUGGAUGAAUUGCCAGAUAGAUUAAAUAGAAAAGAAUUUGAAUUUGUAAAAGAAAAGUACACACGCUUUUAUUUUUUUAUAUUUUUUCGUUGCCAAGUACAAACCCAUAUUUAAUGGAAAAGAAUUUGAAUCUGAAAAAUAGAAAACAAAAAUAAACAUAACCAAAGAAGUCUUAGUCAAGAGCUAUUUAAAUAAUAAUAAUAAUAAUAAUAAUAAUANUUUCUCUCUCUUAAUUAAGUUGGAUUUGGCCUUUAAUGGUUUCAGAUUCCCACCUUCCAGAUAAUGGUUUGCAGAUCCGCCAACCUGUUAGCGCAAACCGGUUUGGUAGUUUUUGGAUUCGGGUUUGGGACUUGUUAUGAUUCGCCCAAUACCAGAUUACUUUAUUGGAUUUGAUUUCUAAACCCUAAACCCUAAAAUCCUAUUCUAAUCUACUUAUGAAUUGAUUGCCACAUCCUUCGUGUCAGAAGUUGAAAAUGAACUUAUGAACUUCAAAGAGCUUCCUUUUUUUUGUUUUCACACUGGUCUUAUUAAUUUUUUAUUUUAAUUUUUUUUUUGAGAGAGAAAGGUAACACGCUAUCCGCUUUAUUUAUUUAGCAGAUGAAUUUAGCUAUAGAGAUUGAGACAACCCGGCCUCGAAAAAUAUUAAAGGCAACCAAAACAAAAAAACCAAAUAAAAACUAAAAUUAAUAUUAAAGGCAACCAAAACAAAAAAACCAAAUAAAAACUAAAAUUAAAAAACUAUAGAAAAUUGACACUUGUACUCUUCAUUUAAAACCAAGACACUAAUAAGAGUUGCAAAACUUAGUCCAAUCUCUCCCAUAUUCAUCUAAUAGUCAAAAGAGGGUCAAAUGAUUGACUCCUAAAAAUAAUAUUAUUUUUUUUUCGCCGUAUCAUUUACCAACAGAUUACGUUGCCCCUUGGUGGUGGUCCCAGCCAGAAGCUCCCAAACACUCCUCACUUCCAUCCCAAGCCUAAGGACGUCCCUACUUUCUAGGAUGUUGUACAUAAAAAAUCUGUUGAUUACGCAUCCAAUCAGCAGAUGAUUAACAGUCUCUAAAUCGUUGCCGCACGUCACACAUUGUUGAUUCUCAGACCAACAUCUUUUUAAAUAUUGGAAUAAUUAAAAAAUAAAUUUCCCAAAAAAAAAAAGGUUUAAUCCCUCUUCUCUCUUUCUUAUCACAAUGCAGUAGCGUGCGAAUGGGAAAAAAAAUCGGACCAGAGUAGGCUUAGGCCCAAUUUGGGCCGGAUGAGUAGCCCAAUUCAAACCGAGACCAUGUAAGUUUGGCCGGCCAUGUGGGCGCAUCUUCGAUAAAUUGUGUAACAUGAUCUCUUUGAUUUUUUUUUCCCCAUUUUGCGAUAUAUUUUGUAAUAUCCCCUAGAGAUGAUAAUUAAAUUUUAUCUUUCUCUUUAUUCAUUAAAUUAUUCAUCUACUUUGUCAUCAAUUAUUCUUUUUAAAUUUUACUUGAAUUUUAUGUGGAUGAAUUGCCAGAUAGAUUAAAUAGAAAAGAAUUUGAAUUUGUAAAAGAAAAGUACACACGCUUUUAUUUUUUUAUAUUUUUUCGUUGCCAAGUACAAACCCAUAUUUAAUGGAAAAGAAUUUGAAUCUGAAAAAUAGAAAACAAAAAUAAACAUAACCAAAGAAGUCUUAGUCAAGAGCUAUUUAAAUAAUAAUAAUAAUAAUAAUAAUAAUAAUAAUAAUAGAAUCUACAGUUCAUCUGCUAAGCAACUUCUCAAUAUUUGCAUAGGCAAUUUAAAAAAGUGUACUUUCGCCUUCAUUCACCUUAGAAAUAGCACUAUUCCUAUUCUACUACUCUUGUGUACAGCUCAGAACAGCUAUAAACNUACCGUCUUUUAGAAGACGGUAAACAGUUAACCGUCUUAUAUAGGCACCUUGUGCCACGCGGGGAAUUGCUGAGAAGGUGGUAGGGUGCGCGGGGAAUUGCUGAAAAGGCGGCAUGCUACGCCUAGAGAAGACGGUUAACGAUUUACCGUCUGAAUAAGACGGUUAACCAUUUACCGUCUUCAAGAGCUAUACUUAUAGACGGUGAACGAAUCACCGUCUUUAUGAGAAAUGCUGAUCUGGCCGCUGAGGUGGCGAGAGGAAUGUUAGUUUCACAAAUAAAAUUUUCACAGGGUUAGUUUGGCAAAUAUGAAAUUUCACAGGGUUAGUUUCGAAAAAAGUCCCAGUGUACAAUUCUCCAAGCUUCCCUGACCAGGUGCCAGAUGAAAACAAUGAAAACAUCUACUUACAAACAAGAGGGAAUACUAUAAGCCACAACUUUAUUUAUUUAUUUAUUUAUUUAUUCCAUGAUAGCACCUUGUGUUGAAAUUAACUAGGGGGUGAAGGGUGAGUACAUGUAGAUCGGUACGGUUUGAUUUUUGUGCAGCAGUUUUUAAAAUUGAACCAAACUGAAUUAAUUUGUUUUGAGGAAAUCAACAAAAAGUGGCUAUAAGUAUGAUUAAUUUUAUAGUAAAAUCUGUAAUUAAUAUGAAAAUAGUGGUCAAAUUUUCUAAUAAUUUGACUAUUACAUCAAGAUAAUAUAUAUAUAUUUUUUAAAAAAUUAUAAGAUUAAAUAUAUAUUAAAUUAUUGAAAGUUUGGUUAAUUUGAAUUUUCCGGUAUUCAAAUUUCAAGAUCAAAUUUAAUAGAAUUUCUUAUAAUUAGAGCUAGCUAAGAUGAAAAUAAGCGGAUUCGAUUCAAUAAUUCCAUUUAAACCAAAGAGUUCUCACCCUAUCUAUAACUGUGGAUUCGCAUUUUGAUCACAUAUAUGAAUCCUAAAAUCUAAUGCUAUGUCAUUUUCACAUCCAUAUGUCAAGUAAAUUUCUAUAACUUUUCGUGGUUACGUGCUUGGAAAAAACAUUGGAAAAAUCAAGGGAAAAUUUCAAUUGGCCCCUAUAUAUGUGAUUUAACAUAUUUUAAUUUGGCUAUUUAAAAGUAAUAUUUUACUAUCUUAUAUUUUGAUUUUCAUUUGAUUAUAAUAAUCUAUUAUUAAAUAAGAUAGUAAAAUAAUACAAUUUACAGCCGAUAAGAUAGUAAAGUAAAAUUUACAAUUGAAUAGUAUACUAUAUUUUAUUAUUCUGUAAUUUACAAUUAUUAGUUGUGAUUUUUUAAUUGUAUUACUUUACUAUCUUAUUGAACCGUAAAUUUCUACAAUAAAAUAAAAAUAAAAUCACAAAAAAGCAAAAUGACACUUUUCAAACUAUGAAAUAACAAAAUAAUAAUACACUAAACCCUAUUGGACAACUCAAAAGUCUUUCCCAAAAAAUCAAUUUACAACAGGUAAUAGUAUUAGUCCCCAUAUAUAUAUAUAUAUAUAUAUAUAUAUAUAUAUAUAUAUAUAUANGCGUUGCAAGUAUCCUUUCAUAUUUUGACUCACAUAUUCGCAAGCCUACAUAUAAGGAACUCACAGUCCUAAUACAGGAACCAUGAAUACAUUCACAACAUUACGUAUUUGCAACCUCAAUUAACUAAUUGAAGAGAGAAGGAGGGAGAGAGAUGGCAAGGAUUCUGGGAGCUUUAGGGCAUCCUAUUUCUAUGGUUUAUGCCACUCCAGGUGUGUUAUUGUUUUGUGCUAUUGCAGCAUCACUUGCGGUGAUAACCAUGGCCAUUUUCAUUUGUGGCGGCGAUCAUGGAUCAAACAAACGUAGGCGGAAACGUUCGCACUAUGCAUCGGGUGGUGGUGGCGCCGCCGCUGGCAGUGUCGCCGCCGGUGGCGGCUGUGGCGGAGGAGGAGGCGGCGGUGGCGGUGGGGGCUGUGGUGGAGGAGGAGGUGGUGGUGGCGGAGGAUGUUGAUUGUGUACCUGCGCAUAUAUGGGACCUAUGAAAAACCAAUAGCAGUUUUCUCUACAAUAUUAUUCUGCUUGUUGAAUAAUUUUAUUCGUGGUUUGGAUUUUCUGAAAUAGUACAAAAUAAUGUUUUGAUGAUCUUGUUUAUAUAUAUAUAUAUAUAUAUAUAUAUAUUCUUUUCGAUUAGGAUGAUUUGGAUUGACCGUGAGUUUAUACUGUAUGUUUUAUUUAUAUAUAUAUAUAUUUCUUUAAUGAAUCGUGCAGAAAAAAAACAGUAAUAAGUUCUAUAUCUUUUCUUUCUGAAUUGUUUGAUUGUAAGAGAAAGCAAAAAAACAAUUUACUAUAGAUCAUCGAAAGCGUUCCCAUUUUCAGAAUUUCUUAUUUAAUUUGACUUUUAUUAUAUUUGUCUAGUAAGAAGAGAAACAAUAAGAACUCAUAUAUUUUUCUCUUUCUCGAUUGUUUUGUUAUUAGAGAACUCUAAAAAUAUAUUUUACUAUUUAUCAUUUAAAACAUUCUCUCUUAUUAAAUUUAUAUUGAUACCCUCUAUAUGACAAAGCGAUUUGUAAAUAACAUUGCACGCUGCUUCAAAAUUUAAGCUCUGUAUGUGAUAGUAGAAGAUCAGAGUACCACGUCAGCCAUAGGUCAGUCCAUAAUUUUAGAUGCCUAUAUACGAAAUAUCGUAAUACUUCACAAAAAAAAUAGAUAUAUAAGAAAAAAAUUAUGAUAGAUUAGAAGUUUUUAUGAAAAUAAGCGGAUUCGAUUCAAUAAUUCCAUUUAAACCAAAGAGUUCAGUUCUCACCCUAUCUAUAACUGCGGAUUCGCAUUCCAAUCACAUAUAUGAAUCCUGAUAUAUAUGAAACCUAAAAUCUCAUGCUGUGUCAUUUUCACAUCCAUAUGUCAAGUAAAAUUUCUAUGAGUUUUCGUGGUUACGUGCAUGCUUGGGAAAAUCACUGGAAAAAUCAAGCGAAAAUUUCAAUUGGCCCCUAUGUGAUUUAACAUAUUUUAAUUUGGCUAUUUUUAAAAUAAUAUUUUACUAUCUUGUAUUUUGAUUUUUAUUUUAUUAUAAUAAUCUAUUAUUAAAUAAGAUAGUAAAAUAAUAUAGUUUACAGCCCAUAAAAUAGUAAAGUAAAAUUUACAGUUGAGUUUUGCCGGCUCGGUUUGUAGGCUCUAACUGCUUCCGUCAUGUACGCCUAAUUCAUUUUGCUUAAUGAAUGAAGCAGGUAGCUUGCUAUCUAUUUCUCAAAAAAAAAAAAAAAAAUACAGUCGAAUAGUAUACUAUAUUUUAUUAUUAUGUGAUUUACAAUUACUUGUGAUUUUAUUUGAUUUUUUCUUUCUUUCCUUUUUUGGCUCCUGACUCCCUUAAAUUUUUCUGUCUCUUUUACUCAAUUUUUUCCUCGGAAGCUUCAGCUGCUUCCAUUCUGUAAGCUUAGUUUAUCUUCCUAAUGAAUAAAGCGGAUAGCUCGCUAUCUAUUUCUAAAAAAAAAAAAUAGUUGUGAUUUGUUAAUUGUAUUACUUUGAACACACUUUUCAAACUAUAAAUAACAAAAUUUGGAUAAAUUGAAAGUCUUUCCGUCCCAAAAAGUCAACUAACAACAACAGGUAAUAGUGUUAGCCACGACAUAUAUAUAUAUAUAUAUUAACUAACUCCGCAAUAACGCGUGGCAAGUGUCCUUUCAUAUUUGGACUCACAUAUUUGCAAGUCUACAUAUAAGGAACUCACAGUCCUAAUGCAGGAACCAUGAAUACCUACACAAUAUUACGUAUUUGCAACCUCAAUUAACUAAUUGAAGAGAGAGGGAGGGAGAGAGAUGGCAAGGAUUCUGGGAGCUUUAGGGCAUCCUAUUUCUACGGUUUAUGCCACUCCAGGUGUGUUAUUGUUUUGUGCUAUUGCAGCAUCUCUUGCGGUCAUAACCGUGGCGGUUUUCAUUUGCGGCGACAAUCAUGGAUCAAGUAGGCGGAAAGGGGAUGUCGGAGGGGGCGGGGAUGGUGGCGGAGGAGGCGGGGAUGGUGGCGGAGGAGGAGGAGGAGGAGGUGGCGGUGGCUGUGGUGGCGGCGGCGGCGGCGGCGGAUGAUGUUGAUUGUGUGCGCAUGGGACUUAUGAAAAACCAAUAGCAGUUUUCUGUAUAUUAUAUAUUCUGCUUGUUGAAUAAUUUUAUUCGUGGUUUGGAUUUUCUGAAAUAGUACAAAAUAAUGUUCUGAUAAUCUUGUUUGAAUAUUUUCUUUUUUUUUUUUUCCUUUUCGAUUAGGAUGAUUUGAAAAAAAAUAAAAACAAUAAAAAACAUUCUACGCUGCUUCAAAAAUUAAGCGCUGUGUGUGACAGUAGAAGAUUAGAGUACCACGCAGUAUCAGAUUAGAUCCGGUAUCUAAACCANUUUUUUUUUUUUUUUUUUUGAGAGAGAUAGAUAGCACGCUACCCUCCAAUCAAACACUCUACUAUUCUAAUUCAUACAUAUAAUCGGUUCAUGACCACAACUCACAAAAAUGUAGUGCACAUAUAUAAUUCACUGGCAAUAUAAACGAAUUUUACCGACCGUCCCUAAAGCAAAUGGCAAUGAAUUUGAUGGUUGGUAUUCGAGAUCCAAGUUCGAAUCCUAGUUGAUUCACAUUUCUAGCCAAGUUUAUUUUUAAAUAAAAUAAACGAAGCGGGUAGCGUGUUACCUAUUUCUCAAAAAAAAAAAAAAAAAAACGAAUUUCCUAGCUAAUAACUAAUUCUUUUUUUUAAUAACUAAUUUAUUAAGACAAACAAUUCUGGUAAUAAUAUCAACAUCAUAUAUUUCACAUUGAGCAAUCAUGCAUUCAAGUUUCCGCGUGUUUCCGUAGCUUAAAAAAAAAAAAGAACCGUGCUUCACGACAAGAGCAAUAAUGGAAAGAAAAAUCAAAGUAACUAGAGGUAAUAAUAACAACCGCUACUUUUCUGAGGCCAGAAUAUAUCGCGUGCGCGUUGUAACUAUGCGUUCAUAUAUAUCUUGGACUUGAUGUAUUCAUAUUUUGUACUAUAUAUAAUUGCAACCUUAUCUAUAAGGAACUAAAGAACAUAUUUAUUUGAUGUAUUCAUAUUUUGGACUAUAUAUAAUUGCAACCUUAUCUAUAAGGAACUAAAGAACGUUCGGUAGUUUCUAAGGAAAAAAAUCACACUGAAAAUUUGAUUAUAUUAAUUAUUUAAUUAAUUUUAUGAUAAAAAUUAAAUUAAAUUUACAGAUAAAUACUAAAAUCUAAAUAAAAAAUUGUUGAAGAAAAAUGCCAAAAUAUUUAUUCCGGAAGCAUGCGUAGCAUUGCGAGAUUAAUCAAAAAUAUUAUCCCAAAGUACGACCAAAAUUUCUUCUCAUGUGAACACGAACGCAAAAGAUCUUUCAACACCCGGAAUCUCUCUCUGCCAUGUCCAUCUCAUGAACAGUGAAAAGAAUACUAUAAAUAGUGGUGUAAAUAGAACGUUGGAAUCAAACCCAAUGUUCCACUCCAAGGCAAUACAAAAUAAUAAUAAAAGUGAUUGAAAAUUUUUGAAUUUUUUCACCAACAUAGUUAACUUGAUCGAAGAGAGAGGGAGAGAGAUGGCAAGGAUCCUGGGAGCUUUAGGGCAUCCAAUUUCUACAGUUUAUGCUACUCCAAGUGUUUUGUUGUUUUGUGCUAUUAAUUGUAGCAUCUUUUGCAAUCAUAGCCGUGGCGGUUUUCAUUUGUGGUGGUCAUGGAUCAAACGAACGUAAGAGGAGACCUCGGAAUGAUUCAGCCUUAGUACACGGAGGCAGCAGUGGCGGGGCGGUGGCUGCGGUCGUGCCGGUGGGCGCGGGCACGGGCACGGAGGUGGCAGCUGCGGGCACGGAGGAGGCGGCUGCGGGCACGGAGGAGGCGGCUGCGGCGGUGGUUGUGGCGGCGGAGGCAGUUGCUUGUGUGCAUGGGACAUGCAUGCAGGACCAAAAUACGUAGAAAUAUGUACCUACAGCGUAACCAUUUUCUAUUUUUCUACUUGUUGAAUAAAUUUUUGGUUAAGAUUUUCUGAAACAGUAGAAAAGUAGUGUUUUAAUUUUUUAUUUUUUUGGGUCUUAGUUUUAUUAUAAUAAUAAUUAUCUAGUGUGUGUGUGUGUCUAUAUAUAUAUAUAUAGAAAAAUAAGAAGCCAUAUACUUCGUUUUUCUUUCUCUUUCUCAAUGCUUGACUUGGUUCGCACGAUUUAAAAUUUAACUUUUUAGAAAUUAUAACCCUAAACUUGAAUUUCAAUAUUCUAGUAUCUUAGAAUACCUAGGAUUAUGCCUUGUUCCACAUGUUUGGUUCAAGAUGGAAAAAUAACUAUAUUAUAUUGAUAAGUUUGCUGUUAAGUCUAUAAUAUCUUUUUUUUGAUUAAACAGUCCUAUUUGAGUCUAUAAUCUAAAAUGAUAUUAAUAAAGAUGAUAUUAUAUAUUAUUCGAUCUAUACUAAAAUGAUGAUUAAUAUCAAACUUAAGUAGAAUAUUUUAUUUCAUUAAGAUCAAUUCUCGUGGAAAAAUAAAAAAAACCAAGAGAGGGUGCGUUUUGAAUUCCCAUUUUUUGGUGGGGUUAGAAGAUUUUUUUAAAUCCCAUAUUUUGUUGGAUUAGAAGAUGAAUUUUUCUGCCACGUUAGAUUUUUUGACUAACCAAACAUAAAUCCUAACCCUAAUUCCUAGAAAUUUAAAAGUAUACUUCCAACCAAACAUACUCUAAUAGAUAGUUAGAAUUAAUUUACCUAUAAGAUCAUUUUGAAGCAUUUUGUAUAUUGAACAAAAAUCAUUUGACUAACCAAACAUGACUAAUUCCUAAGAAUAUUAAUUAAAAACUAUCGCAAACCAAGCAUGCCUUAAGUGAUAGUUAGAAUCAAUUACCUAUAAGAUUAUUUGAACAAAAAAUCAAAUGAUGAUCAUCUCCACGGUAAAAAUGCUAUGUAAAAUGCAUCUACUCUAUCAUUCACGAAAUUGUUGGGGAAAGGCGCCCCAAUUAUCCCUGACAACACCUUUCUGAUUUUUGAUAUUAAAUAUUAUAAGUUUAUUCGCUAAAAUAAUUAGAAUAGGACUAAUAAUUUAUCAAAAUAAAUUGAUCAUGUUUUUUCUUGUAAUUUUCUUCUAUAGUAGCACACCAAUGCCCCUCCAAUAGUUGGUCUAUUGAGUAAGUUAUCUAAUGUGAUAAUUUAACGCUAGAAGUAGGAUCUAAAAAGAAUGAAGCGGAUAGCAUACUAUCUUUUUUCUCAAAAAAAAAAAAAUGCUAACAGUAGGAUAUAAAUUUUGCGUCUAUCUAUCUUUUAAUGUAAGUAAGGAGAAAAUAAAAAAUAUCAAAAAAUUUUUUUUAAAAAAUGGCUAAAUUACAUAAAAUCUCCGUGUCAAAACCUGAUUUUUCACUUCCCCCCCUAUCAUUUAAAAACGGAUUAAUUACACCAUUAGUCCCCAACCUUUGCACUAAUUUUUACUUGGGUCCCCAACUUUUUUUUUUUUGCAAUUGAGUCCCUAAUCUCUUAAUUUUAUUACAAUUAUGUUCCAACCGUUAAAAAAACUAUUAAAAUUAACGGAAUCGCCACGUCAGCGCCUAUUUGGCAUUCUUUUGCAUUUUAAUUUAGGUCCCUAAACUUUGCACAUUUUCCACUUUAGUCCCUAAAAUUCAAAAUUCAAAAUUUUAAAUUUAAAUUCAAAAAUAAUAUUAAAAUUAAAAUUUUAAACUAACGAGAAAUUAGAAUUUUGAAUUUGAAUUUAAAGCUGAAUUUAAAUUUUGAAUUGAAAUUCAAAUUUUAAAUUUAAAUUUUUAAUUGAAUCUAAAUUUUGAAUUCAAACUUAAAAUUUUGAUUUUGAUAUUUCAAUUUACAUUUAAAAUGAAAGUUUUGAAACCGAAAUUUAAAUUUAAAAUCUGAAUUUAAAUUUAAAAUCAUAGGUAAAAAUUUGAUAUUAAAUUUUAAAUUUGAAUUUAAGAUUUGAUUUCAUUAAAUUUGAAUUUAAACUUCGAAUUCAAAUUCACAUUUUGAAUUUAAAAUUUCAAAUCGAAGUUUGAAAUUAAAUUAGAAUUUAUAAUUCGAAAUGUGAAUUUGAAUUUAAAAUUUAAAAUUUAAAAUUAAAUACAAAAUCGAAAUUUGAAUUCCAAUUUAAAUCUAAAUUCAAAAUCAAAAUUUAAAUUUAAAAUUUAAAUCUUAAAUUAAAAAUCUUAUUUUGAAUUUAUAAAUUUAAUGGGUUAAUUACACCAUUGGUCUCCAAUCUUUAUACUGUUUUUCAAUUUGGUCCCCAACCUUUCUUUUUUUUGCAAUCCGCUGACAUAGCGCCACCAUGGUGCUGACACGACGCCUCCGUGGCGCUGACAUGGCACCUCUGUGGUGUUGGCUUAAAUGGGCCAACAUCCUGCCCUGUGGCGGGAGCCCAUGUGGGCCGAGUCAUGUUCGAAAUGGCGUGAGGUUGGGUUCGGCCGAGUCAUGUUCGAAGUGGCGUGAGGCCAGGUGGGCCGAGUCACAAUCGAGAUCCGUGGGCGCUGUUUCUGUACGCUUUAAGUGAAUUGAUUGCGUAUUUCUAACAGCUCGAGCUUUUGGGAUUAAUGGUUAGCGCCAACGAUCCGACACGUGGCACUGACAUGGUGCUGACGUGGCAUUUUUCGUCAAUUUUAUUAUCUAUCUAACGGCUGGGACUUAAUUAUAAUGAAAUCAAGAGAUUAAGGACUUGAUUGCAAAAAAAAAGGUUGGGGACUAAACUGAAAAACGGUGUAAAGGUUAGGGACUAAUGGUGUAAUUAACCCUUUAAAAACCUACACUUUGUCCCCUUGUAAAAUGAAAAAUGUUCACAGAGGUACGGUGUGAACUGUAAUGACAAAAUGACCAUUUUACCCCUCACCAUUUUCAUCUCCUUCAUCCUCUUCCUCAUCAGCCGCCUCGAUGGCGGCCGAUCGUCCGCGAUUCAUGCCUCGAUCGGCCGUGGUUUCUCUCCAUUUUUUUCUCCACCUGCUCCCUUUCUCCUCCUGCACCCUCGUUGCCCCUCGAUUUCGGUGACAGUGGGGAGGAAAUCGAGGUGGGUGUGGAUGGAAAGGUGGGCAAGGACAACGAGGGCGAAGGCGAGGCCGUAAAGAAGGGUGAGGGAAUGUUUGUGGGCGCGGACGGAGAUGUUGACGAGGGCGAGGCAGUGGAGGAGGGCGAGGCGGCGAGGCGAAGGAAGGCGAAGCAACAGGAGAAAGGGCGGAAGGGUAUUUUUGGCAUAAAAAAUAUAUAAUAAUAUUUUUUUAACGGAACCCUAACAAUUCACUAAUGGUAGGGGGUAAAGUGAACAUUUUUUAUUUUACAAGGGGGCAAAGUGUAGGUUUUUAAAUGACAGGGGGGGAAUGUGAAAAAUCAAAUUUUGAGGGAGAUUUUCUGUAAUUUAGCCAAUAUAUAUAUAUAUUAUAUAUAUAUAUAUAUAUAUUAUAUAUAUAUAUAUAAUAUAUAUAUAUAUAUAUAUAAUUAUAUUAUAUAUAUAAUUUUUUGCAUUUUUCGAUAUCUUUACCUAGCAAUCGAAGGAUUUUAAAAUCAAUAAUUUUAACAGUUGAAAAUAAAAAUCCUAUAAAAAGUGGUGAUAUAGCACUAAAUUUCGAUCAGAAAUAUUGAUCUUGUUGUAGAUAGUUUAAAGAUUUUGUAUCAAAAUUUCAUCUGAUUUGAAUACUUCUACACAUUAAACUUGAAAACGGCAGAUAUCAAUAAUUAAAAUUAUUGAUUUUAAAUCAUUUCGAUCACUAGAUAAAUGAUAUAAAAAAAUCGCAAAAAUUAUUUUCUAAAAACUUCAAAUGCACUAGAUCAAAGUCUAACGGAGCCGAUCGUCGAUUUGAAAAUUUCAUCAUCAAAAACGGCUCAGGAGCACGAGGCCUCGUGCUCCUGAGAGCACAGCAGCCCUGCUAUAUAUUUAUAUAUAAUAUAAUUAUAUAUAUAUAAUAUAUAUAAUAUAUAUAUAUAACGUUUGAUGGAUCAAUUUAUAAAAUGGUCAAUAGUGGAGGAGUCGCUCUGCAUUUUUCACCCUUUUCCCUCAUAAUUUCAAACCCGAGGAAUUUGGGGGCGUACCGUUCCUAAAAUCCUGCGCACGAGCAAGUAAACUACACCAACAGAAAGAACAAGAAGAGGAGACGCAAUGGAUCCGAGCGGCGACGGAUCCCCUCCUCCUCCUCCUCCGGCGAUCGUCGGCGCCGCCGCGGUGGUGCCGUACGCGCCGUUCCCAGCUCCGCCGCCGCCGAGGGAGGCGUUCUGGGCGGAGCAGUGGCGGGAGGUGGAGCGCACGGUGGACGUGAGGGAGCACAUCCUCCCCCUGGCCCGGAUCAAGCGCAUCAUGAAGGCCGACGAGGACGUGAGGAUGGUCGCGGCCGAGGCGCCCGCCCUGUUCGCGCGCGCCUGCGAGAUGUUCAUCGUCGACCUCACCUUCCGCGCCUGGGCCCACGCGCACGAGAACCGCCGCCGCACCCUGCAGAGGGCCGACGUCGCCGUCGCCGUCGCCCGCACCGACGUCUUCGACUUCCUCCUCGACGUCGUCUCGCUCCACGACCACCCCGCCCCCUACGCCGACUACUACAUCCACCCGUAGAUCUCCUCUCUCUCCUUUUUUUUUUUUUUUUUUUUUUUUGGUUUUAAGUUUUAGGGUUUAGUAGGCAUUCUCAUCCCCCUGUUUUGCUCCUUUUUUCUUUUUCUUUUUGGCAAUGAAUAUAGGUAGUUGAAAAUUGGAUUGUCUUCUUUUUUCUUUUUUUUUUUCCCCCCUUUUGCAGCACGAAAAUGUGUAGGUUUUGGCCUCUGAGGGUUAGCUUCAGAUUUAAUGGGCUUAGAUUGAAUUGAAUUGAAGACCUUUCUUUAUGUGCGUAGUAGUUGCAAAUGGCUCUAUUACGAAGAACACGAGAGAAAAGGAUUUGUAAAAAUGCUCAUUGCUUCUGUGGCGGCAUUGUACGAAUCUUUCUUGCAUAUGCUUAAUUUGAUAAUUUCUCGAUUUCUUUUAGUGUCUAGUUAUGCAGAUUCUCGGAGGUUAUUUGUAGAUUCUGUUGUUUCUGCUAUUUUCAGAUAGAUUGUGUGUUUUGGGAACAAUAGAUAGAUGAGAAGCCUCGUGAGCAGCUCUGUUUGUCACAGAUUGAAAGAUCAAGAACUGCUACCUACUAUAGUAGCACGCUCAUUAAAGGAUCUGAAAUUAGAAAUUGAGCUUCUGUGUAAAAUGUGGUCUUUGGAAGACAUAAACGACCAAAAGUGAGAAGGGCGGGAGAAUUAGUUAGCUUCCAGUGUCGGUGUUUCGUGCUUAUAACAGAGCAUAGCCUCCAGCAUAGAAAUUUUAUAUGAAUCUUUGUUUUAGGUAUUCGUGAUCUGUUAGCAAAUCGAAACACAGAUAACUUUAUCAGUUUUUUUAAUUUUGUAUUCUACUCCUCUUGGCUUGUAUUUUGUGUUUGUAGGUUAACCGUUGUUCUUAGAUUUUCUUCAGAUUUUAUUUUUUAAUCUCCAAUAAGUAUUGUUGUUUGUUAGGUAGCAGAUGUUUACUUUUUUCUAGAGUGGUCCGGGUGUUACAUAGUUCAAGCUCCAACUGCGGGGAUUUGGAUAGGUUGAAGUUGGUAGCAAAUAAGAAAAUAAUGAGGUAAUGAAGAUGUUUUUUUUUUCUUUGAAAUAACUCUUUCCUAAAUUUUAUUUGACCAACUUUUUUUUUUUUUUGCCAACUUAGGACAAGAAUGAGAAAAACGAUGAAUCGUUUAUCAUUUUUAGAUUGUUAUUAUAGUAUAAUUUUUUUUUUGUAUGGAUUGUUGGAAUAUUUGUAAGGUUGUUAGGAUUGGAUAUGAAUUAUUGAAGUUUCAGUUUGAUUGUAUAACUAGGUUGUUAGAAUUUUUUGAAUUAUUUAGAUUGUAUUUUAUUUGUUGAAAUUUUUAUCUAGUUGCUAGAAUUCUAUAUAGGAAAUACAAAGAAACAAUGAAUGCUUUUGUUUCCGAAGAAAAGAUGUUGAGUUGAAAGAAAUAGAAUUAUUUGAUCAAUAAAAUUUUACUAGAAUUAGUUGACAAAUUAUAAAUUUUAAAAAAAAUUAUUUGAAAAAAAGUCCACUAAUGGUGGUUAAGCGAUGCUAUAUUAGUUCAUUUAUUUUUUCUGCCGAAUCAGUAGGCUAUUAUUAGCGGAUGAAUCAUUAGAUGCGUCAAGCUCUAAUAAUUUUCAUAAAAUUAGCUUCGAUUUUCUUGAUUAGCUUAGAACUCUAAUCUUCAGUCUCCACUUAAAUCUUUCUCUAACUAUUCUAACUUUUCCCCAGUUUCAUGGUGUUAUGAAAUUUGGAGUAUUGAUGAUCAAUCAUUCAACGUGAUCAAGUGAUUUAGCCAUAAUAACUUCAUAUCCAAAUUUCCCGGAGCGAGUGGCUUCACAAAACUACGCAGUUAACAGGUACAAUCCAUAUCUUCUUUCCUGUUCUUUUGACGAACCAAUAAUACACCAAUCAACCGUGCAAGAACAGAGACAUCUUACUAUUACAAACAUAUAUAUAUAUAUAUAUAUAUAUAUAAACUAAAGUUCCUAUACACUGAACUACUACGUGGAAUUACUCUCCCAGUGACACAGCUUCCCACCAAAAAUAACGAUUACUGUUUCAAACACAAAACUCAAGCAUAGUGACAUGUUAAUAUUAAAAGAUAUAUAAAUGGCAAACCUCACAAAAACCCAAAACUUGCUCACUUUUGACGUCACAAUAUACAGCAACAUACCCCCACAGCAGAACAUGUACUUCAGAUAAAUAUUGCAGUAGAACAGGCCCUGGUGCCGCUCGCCCAUCAGCUAUCUAAGGCCGUUAUCCAGCAUAUCAACCCCCCAGUGUGGAACUACAUUUUCUGCAGUUCUCAGAAUAUAUACUGGUGCUGACAAAUUUUCAUUCUACCCCCUGGUCUUAGCCCUCUUCAUGCCAAGCCCAUUGUGGAAUGGCGAGACCGAGCCAGACAUGCUCGACCCUUCUUCACGGAGCGUUCCAUUAAGCAUGGCGAGUUCACGAAGCUGCUGCUGCUUGAAGAAAUCAUGUGAUUCAUCCUUCAUAAAAGAGUGAAAAUGAAUUGAUAAAUUAGAUCAUAUAUUGGAUACUAGAUAUAAAUGGCAAAGAAUAAUGAAGCUCAAAAGAUGGUGAUACCACAGGCUUUAGCAGUUCUUCGAGGAUCUCAUGAGCUUGCAUCAGACGGGCGUCAAUGAUUUCUACAGGUAGCUCAGCUUCCACCAGUAUGUGAAGAGGUUCGUUCAGAUGUUCAUACCCUGGCUUGCCUCUCAUCAGUUCCUCCUACAGAAAUAAGCACAAAUUCCAGUAGCCAAGGUGAUUUCAGACUGUUCAGUAGAAUUUUGUUUUCAUAUUCGGAGUAGGUUUGCACCUUUCAAAAGAAAACAUAUUUGUAGUAGGCUCUCUUAUAAAACUUUUAGGUAGAGAUACAAUAAAAGUGCUCCAUCCAGGAUAAAGCAAAGCUGGAAAUUUAUGUCAGUCAGUAAAAUGCAUAAUCUGAUAAUUUUUUUUUUUGGGUAAGAAGUAAUCACAAUAAACUAUGUCACCGAAUAACUUUAUACACAGAUGUAUAGACCCAGCAUGUAUUGUACUACCCAAGUAUCUUUUAUGUCUUUGAUUGCAUAAGAAUGGCCACUAUAUAAAAUUUUAUACAUCAUUAUGCACGCCUAAGGAUCCUGAUUGACCCAAUUUCGUUAACUCUUAUGUUAUACGAAGAUCAUGCAAUGUGUAACUACUUUUAUUUCUCAAGUCAAUACAGGAGGGCAUCUAUAAAUGAUGCAAGCGCAUUAAGCAUGAAUCAUCUAAACAUUAUUACCCUAGCUGGAUCUUUGAUGCUGCCUCGACCUCUUAUCAGAACACGGCAAUCAGUAGUUGCCUCCACUCGCUUAAGAGAAUUUCCCCUGGGACCAAGCAGUCGGCCAACAAAGUUGUACUACACAAAGAAAUAACAGAGUAUCAUAAUGUCUGAUAAAACCAGCCCAGAAACAUAAAAAAGCGGUGACUUACUGUUGGGUAUUUGUCGACAGGAAUAUCAAUUUUGAUUGUUUUCUUCACAAUGAGACCUGAGGAGCUACCUUGGGACCCGAGCCAAGAAUGUACAGAGGAAGGCUACAAAACGACAAUUUAUGCAUGUUACAUCUAAAUUAACUUGAAGGAGCCAAAAGAUAUUCGAAAUUUGUUCUUAGGAUGCAAAUAAUACCACAAGAAGGCCUUCCACUCAAAAUUCUUUUUACGCUCGUAAGGCAUUGCACUUAUGAAAUCUUUAGGAAAGAACAAUGACAUCAACCAUAACAUGAUAACUUACAUUAUAAUCAAUGGCAACAAUAUGUCUAUGCUCUAGUGACACAUUAACAAGGUAGAAGUGAAGGCAAACAAUAUAUGUAUGCUCUAAUGACACAUUAACAAGGUAGAAAUGAAUAAACAAUAUAUGUAUGCUCUAGUGACACAUUAACAAGGUAGAAAUGAAGGUCAGUCCAAAUUUGCCAAACUUUACAUCCUAAAUAUUAACCAUUACAGAUUUCUGCUUCUCUAUUAUAGUUAGUUUUGCUGCAUAAUCUGUGCAAUUGAAGUUUAAGACAAAUGAUAUGCACUAGGUGUAUUCUGUUAAUGGUGAGGUUAUGUUAAUGUAAAGUAAGGUCUACAAAAUUUAAUCAGCAAGAGACUACUUAACUUAGAAUAGUCCAAAUAUUUUAAACACUCUAAAGUUAGAAAGCCCGCAGUUAUUUGGAUAUAUUAGGUACAACAGAAACAUGUAAAAUCACUAGGCGCUGAACCACAGUAUAAAAAAAAAAUUGUCAGGAAUGUAAGCAGUCCAAUAGAAAUCUAAUUAAUUUAGGUUAGAAUGAAACCUAUAGCAAGCCCAUGGAGCAGUAAAUUAGGUACCAAAUGUUAAUGGUUAGUUUCCGUACUUCUGAUUGAAAUGCUGAAGCCCAACUGUUCAUAUCAGCUGCUCCUCCGUUCGAAAAUAAUCCUCCAGUAGUUAGUGGGCUACCAUGUUCAAUCCCACUUUGAUUUAAAAUAGAUGCAUUCUCCAACAGUUUGGAAACACGCAAAAUUUCUGCUUCAAGAUGUCAAUUUCAAGCAUAAGAUGUACCAGUUAGCAGUUGUUAAGAUAUUAGUCAUCAGUAACUGCACAGAUUUAGUGGUUAGGGCGCCAAGAGAUUCUUUUAAAUUGAAUGUAUGUAAAUUUUGCAACCAAGUAGCCAUGAAUAAUUAUUCCUCAUGUUUAAUGUCAAAAAAAACUUUUGUAACAUGCACGUACUAUUAUAUGGAACUACUAAUAAAGUACCAAAAAAGUCUGAUUUACUACAUACGGAAGAAACUUAAAAUAAUUUAGAAUUCAAAGUUAUUCAAAACUAAUGCUUAAGGCACGGCCGGAGCUUUCCCCUCCGUCUUGGGAGUUUGAGUCUCCAAACGAGUGUACCAGCCUGGGGUUCUUUGACUCUUCGAACAUAUAUUUCAAAGCUUCACUAUUUAUAGUUUCCCAUGUAAAUUAAAUUAGCCUGAUGAACAUUUUUCAACAUUUUACAUAUAUAAGCUGUUAGUGAAAACAUAGUGAAACUAAAAUUUGACUCUAAAUUAUGAUAAACUCUAACGGACUAAUCAAAAAGGUAGACUGUGCUUGUACUUUCCUAUAAGGACUUGCUUGUGUAAAUAUCACCAGCUGUAAAACUUGGAGAAGGAAAAAUGAAAGACUAAGUCAUACAAUUAAAAUCAACUAAAGCACUAUCAUCAUCCUCCAUAGAGACAUACAUGAUAACCACAAAUUUGACAUCGUUUUACAAAUAAAAAGGCAUCAAGUCCUAAUUUGCACAAGCAAAUUAUGUUUCUACUGCAUAAAGCUUAGUUUCAAAAUCUGAUUUACUUUGUAUUAGCAUGGUUGGAAGGGCAUCUGGUGUCUUCUUAGAACAUGUCAAAUUUGCAGUAAAUCUAAUGGCUUUAUUAGGAGGGUUACUCCAUCUUUUGCAUUUAAAAUAUACCAGAUUCAACAAUUACAAUCAAGUUUCCAGCCCUUAAGCUGAACAUGCUGCAUGCUACCACAUGGAUAAUGCUCGCUAAAUACUUAAUGUGGUUUUAUUUUAAGACGAAAUCAACCCUAAAUGGUCUUCACAUUUGUUGACCUGACUAUAGCCUGCAGAGGUAUAGCGAACUGUCAACAAUAGCAAAUCAUAAGUCAGUACGAACAAUGUGAAGAAUUAAUUAGCCAAUAAACAAAGUAGAAUGUCGGGUCUAUCGGUGUUAAUAUAAAUUAUUUUUUAAACUCAAAUAUGUAUUAGCUGUAACUGUUUCACAUAUUUCCAGCGAGUUAAAGGAUAUAGAAGAUGUUGCAUUCAUGUUCCCUAGUAGGAUUAGGAAAAGUAAAAACGCCUCUCUUAGCGAAUAGAGAGGUAUGUUUCUUCACUGACAAUGAGCAAUUAAAAUGUUAAGAGCCCAGCGAUUUAGCUUUCAGGAAAGAGCCCACUUUCAUCAGGCAAAAGGCUUAGCAGCUUUCAAAGGGGUGGAUGCCGCAACUAACCAAGGGGAUUAAUGAGCUUGGAAGAGUAGGGUCAUAGUAUCUCUCUUAAAUUAAAAAAUAGCUGUGCAUUAGCAAACAUGAAUCUCUAUGGAUAAUAUGCAAUCAAAAUGAGCUUGAAAGGUGCAGUAUGACAAUUUGCCUUCAAGGAGGGACAGAGAACAAGGAUUGUAGAGACCAUUCAUAUCACAAACCACACUUAGAACAGAGAGGAUCACUAUUUCAGAACAAGAAGGAACUGCUUCAGUAAAGAGCAAACAAAACCCACUUAGUGGUAACAUACAGCUCAAAAAAUCAUCCGACCUUUCACACCAGCAACAUGUCCUAUAAAUACUCUUCCAGAAAAGUAAAAGGACAACAAACCAGACAGAAAAAAAAGAAAAAGAAAAAUGGGAACCACGCGCUGUAUCACACCAAGACAUUGUUGUCAUAGAUUCUCCUCACAAAGGGAUAUCCCAUAUGGCCACAAGAAUGAAUUCAAAAUAAACAGUGAAAAUUGAGAAGCUAAUAAUUGAGAUAUUUAUUUUGCUUCUGAAUCUUAAGCUUACCCUGAUUUAACAACCGAUAACAAUGAGGAAGCACCGGCACAAAGGGAUUGAGCUUGUGACGCUCUGCAAACAACUCCGCAAGAUACCUAUCAAAACACUUCUCACAGUUUAUAAAUCUAUCAUCGAAUCAAACAAUACAUAAGUAUUCACACACAAAAGUUUCAGAUCUUGCACAAAAGAAGCAUCCAAAUCAAUAACCAUGGUAUAAUACGCAAAGGAAACGGAAUAUGGAUCUUAGAUCUCAAAUUACGUAGCAUAAUUCGACUCUAUCAUGAAAACGAAAAAACAAAUCUCGACCGCGUCAUCGUCACGUAACUUUUAACGAGAAAGAAACGAUCGAAAGCUUCUAGAUCGAAUCCGAUCGAAAUCGAAAUGGAUCGAAACAACCUAAAACAUCAGAUCAUGUAGAGAUCCAGCAGUUAUCGAGAUCGAAGAGCGAGAUUUUGGGGAGGGGGAAGAGGAUCGUACUUCUCCUGAUCCGCGACGAGGCCGCUGGCGGCGGAGCGGAGGCCGGAGACGUGGGGAGAGUGGGGGCCGGUGGAGGGAGAAGGGGAGUAGGCCAUGUACCUGCCGGAAGACAUGGCUCCGGCGGGAUCGGCAGCGAGGCUCCGGCCAGGUUAGAUCGGCUCCGGCGAGAUCUAGACGAAACCCUAGAAGCUUCCGUGUGGUGUCGAUGGGGGGAGGGGGAGAGGGAGAGGGAGAGAGAGAGCGCGAAGUAUUAUGAGGGAGAAGUAAGAUGAGGACGAUGAAGAGGGAGAGCGACACAGUGAGAGGCGAUCGUCGUAUUAUCACACUGUUCACUGCCUUAGGACUACGUAAGGAUUAAAAAUCGUAGGCGAAAUUUCAAAAUACCCCUUGUACUUUCACUCGUCUGUUGAUUGCACCUUGCACAUUUUAGUUUAAAAAAAAACAAAAUAAAACAAAAACACAAGGAACCUUUGGUUUCAAAAAUCUUAAUUUUCUAGCAAGAAGAUUGAAUAAAAUUUUUUAAUUAAGAAAACUUAAAACUUCUUGUACCCACUAUCAAGUUUUUAACCAAUUAUGCUAAGUACUCUUAGUUUUUCAGUAUUUCUAGAAAUGUAAAACAACUUCAAUCAUCUUUUUUAAAAUUUAUUAAUGUCCACUUUUUAGUGUUUAAUAACCAUUGAACUAACAUUCAACACAUCACUUAACUACUUCGGUAGUUAAUCACAGAGUUUGAGUUUUAAAUAUCCAAUUUUAAAAUUUAAAUGGCCAUUUAUAUUUGGGAUUAAGAGUUUCAUACCCCUCUAUCCUUUAAAAAGAUAUUUUAGGUGCUUGGCUUAUUUAUUGAAUUAGAUAAUCAUUUAAAGUUUAAAAAGCUAAACUAAUUAAAUGACAUAAUUCUAGUAAUUAUUUUGAUCAAGCUUCUCCUAAAUUUUUGUUAAUAUUUCAUAAUAAUUUAUGGCAAACUUGAUUGUUAAAUAUUUGGUUGUUUUUCAAUAGUUGCAAAAUUUUAGAAAAUAAACUAGUACAAAAUCAAUAACUUACCUGAAUUGAAUGAUUUCUUAAGACAACAAACGAAGCAAUGCCUAAACGCCAAGUUCACAAGUGAACUAUAGUGAAAGAUGAUGAUUUUUCAUUUCAAGUGAAGAAAACGAAUACCAAUGAAAAUAUCGUACAUUAUUAAGCUUUUUUUUUGUAGCUAAUGAUCUGAUGUUGUUUCUUGUGGACACAACUAUUGUUCUGAAACUAAAUUUUUUUUUUUUUUUUUUGAGAGAGAGAUAGGUAGCAUGAAACUAAAAAUUUUGGGUUUUUAUUGCAAAUAGCCCCCUGACAAAUUUUAUUUGUAAAAAUAGCCCCGUCCAAAAAUUAUUUGCAAAAAUGGCCCUGCCCAUGCCACGCCAGCGCCACGUCAGCGCCACGCGGGCAGAGCGGGCCUAGGUGUUUAAGUUGAAUACGGUGAACCAUUCACCGUGUUCAAUACAAAAUUUUUGUAUUGGACACGGUGAAUGAUUCACCGUGUCCAAUACAAAUACCCCAACAAUGACUAAGUUGGAAGUAUUUGUAUUAGACACGGUGAACCAUUCACCGUGUCCAAUUAUUUGUAUUGGACACAGUGAAUGGUUCACCGUGUCCAAUACAAAUAUCUAUUUUGUAUUGGACACGGUGAAUCAUUCACCGUGUCCAAUACAAAUAAUUGGACACGGUGAAUGAUUCACCGUGUCCAAUACAAAUACCCCAACAAUGACUAAGUUGGAAGUAUUUGUAUUGGACACGGUGAAUCAUUCACCGUGUCCAAUACAAAAAUUUUGUAUUGAACACGGUGAAUGGUUCACCGUGUUCAACUUAACCAUCUGGCCCAGCCCCGCCCGCAUGACGCCGACGUGGUGCUUGCGUGGCGAGGCCAGGGCCAAUUUUGCAAAUAAAUUUUUGACAGGGCCAAUUUUAAAAAAAAAAUUUGUAAGGGAGCUAUUUGCAAAAAAAGCCCAAAAAUUUUAACCAAAAAUUUUAACCAAUCUAAUUAGUAGAAGAAACUUGUAAUUACUUAUAAUCACUUGAUACAACUUCAAUCUUAUAAAAUAGAUUAGAAAUCAGUAUUUGGUAGCAGUGGCAUAAAGAUGACAACAUUUUUUUUUGGGCUAUCUCCAGACUCUCCUCUUCUUCUCUCUUUCUUUCUAUAUUCUUCUCUAACCUUCCCCUUCACCAUUUCCUCCGGCCAAAAUCUGGCUAAUAAGCUUGAGUUUUCUGUCCUUUCAUUCUCUAAAUUUUUUUACUUAUAUUUUUCUUUAGGUUUUACAAUAAUUUAGUUUUUUUAUCUCUUUUUUUUUUUUUGCUACUCAGGACUUUUCUUCUCUUUUUUUCAAGGACGGGAUUUAAAUAAUUGUUUUUGUCUAUAGUAUUCUCCACACUUGAUCGAUAUAUUUCUUUAUCUCAGAUUGGGGACUGUCAUUCUUUUUUUUUUUUUCUUUUAUCUUACUUUGAAUAUAUUUCUUUUAAUAUAUAUAUUUCUUUUAUUCUUCAAAAUGGUGUACUAAAAUAAUCAAAAUUUACUUUAAUCAAAAUUUACUUUUUAAAUAAAUCACCUAUGCCUUUAGCAUAAAAAAAAACAGCCUCUGUUUUUUCCUCUCUCCUGCUGCUUUUUUAAUUUACUUUUUGUUUUUGGGUCAUAUAAAUAGGGGGUGAUACCAUGGCACCCAUGUGAGAAACAUGAUGAUGAUUUUUCAAAUAAAGAAUUGGUAGACAAAGCAUCAUGCAAAUCGUUCUUCAGAAAAUACAAAUCAAUCAAACUCAUGAAUUUGAUAUUUUGUCUUUGCUUGUUAUUAAAGGAAAAGAGAGUAAGUAAGAUGCUUUGUUUAAUUAGACUAUUGAUUCGGGUUGGUUUGUCCCCAUCACCACAGCUGUUUGUGAACAAGAUAUAAACCACCUUUAAUUCCCACUUGAAAAACCCAAACAAAAAAAAAAACUAAGAAAAAAAGGUUAGAAUCUUAUUUCUCAUUCAUGUUGUCAUUUGUAAAUUUAUGACUCUCUUGGUUGCCGGGUGGCUUUCUACAGGUGUAUAUAAGUUUGACACGGCUGUUUACGGAUGGUGAUACAUAGAAAAUCACAUGACAAUAAUAAGAUGCUCUUUAGCUCAAGUAAACCUAGAUUUUUAUAGGUGUAAAAAAAUUUAUAAUAAGGUUAAAUUGAUAUGAAGAUUAACAUUCAGAAUUCUGACCCCAAUAAAGACCAGAGACUUGCCCUGUUACUGUGAUUCUGUUUAACAUUUAUCACAGCUAAGAUUGAAACAAGUUAUUACGGUUUCGUAACUAAUUAUAUCUAAUUAUAUCGAUAGCAAAACUAGCAAAAAUAGUUGACCACAUGAUUUUACGCAUAACGACAACUGUUUCACAAACUUUUUUUAAAAAAAACAAAGAAACCCAAUUAAAUUCACUACACAGGUAGAUUAAUAAAAGAUCCUGAUGGGAAUCAUGCACAUUACGAAAUAUUGUGGGCAAAUUGAAAUAGCUCGCUUACACAGAAGAUAGCGAAAAAGGAGUGAUGACUCAGGCAACAUUCGACACUUAGGUGCUAGAAAGGGGUUAUUAUUGGUGAUUGGCUGGUUGUUUUGUUCGCUUUACAAGAUUCAUUAACAAAUUAGCCCAACAGCUCCCUCCAUAAAGUGGUAUUAUAUUGCCCCUUUUUAAGUGAUCAUUUGCCCAUCUGGGCCAACAAGAUUACUUCUUCUCCUACAAGAUGUCUCAGAAUAGGCCUCACCAGAUGAUCAUAAAAAUUAACAAGGAAACACAGGUAAUGAUUAGGAUAUAUGUAGAGAUUCGCCCAAAAAAAGAAAGAAAUAAACAAGGACAUCAAAGGUAAGUUAUGUCUUUGGCUUGAACAUCGAAAUUUCCACCGCAUCAUUAGGCAACAAUUUUUUUUUGUUGUACCAGGCGUAGAUUUGCACCAAGAGAAAUAAUUAUAUGUUGCAAAGCUUUUCUUGAUUCCUUCAUUCGUUUGGCCUCUCGAGAAUGAAAGAUAACCAAGCUCACAUACAUAUAAAGGCUAAGGAAGCAUUUGGAUUAAUGUGAUUGCAGUUUAACCUUAGUUCAAGUUUAGCACGGAUAAAAACAUUAAGUUCUGCUGCUAAACGCAGUGAUAGAGAGGAGAUCCAUACCUAGCCAUGGACCAUAAUUUGGAUUUUAUUUUCCAUGAAAGAAAACUUCAUGCAGUUCUAAUGGAAUGCUGCCUUCAACAAAAUGAGUCUACAGCCAGGCAGUGCAUCUUCGAGGCGUCGUAAUAAUCAACGACGGAAUUAAUAUUUUUACUCUCACUAAACUCGAUUGAUAACUAAAUAGCAAUCACAUCAACCCAAACACUCCCUAAACCAAAUUAUAUGAGCGAUGAUGCUUGGCACCAACAUCAGGAUCGAAAUUUUCCUCUUCGCAAGACACUAAACAAAAAACCACAAAUGUUUUUUUAUAUCACCUAUGCCCAGCCCAGAAUAUACCUCUCUACAGCAUUAACAUCAUAAAAAGGGUGAAUUGUGUAUCAAAUAUACCUCUCCUACUGUUUAAGGGCUUCAGUCUGUGUCAGCAUCUUCAGUCUCAGCAUGAUGGCCACAGUCAUCGGGGAAUGCUGGGGUAUUCGACACGAGAACGGCCUUUCCCUUGCAAUCAGCAGAAAUUCCAUCUCCACCACCCAGUUUGCCUUGAUCGACUUUCUGCUGGUGCUGUAAAACUUUCAACUGGGUCUCCAGAAGCUGGAAAAGAUGUUGAAUAACGUAAACUUCAUUAACUGCUUUAUAGUGAGAGACGAAUCAGUAAACUGAGUGGGAACAGAAGCUGUAUUACCUCAAUCUGGCUGCGGAUGUAAUUUUCCUGCGCCUUCAACAAUGAAACUUGUAGCUCUGAACCACUGGAUUCAGGUGCUUGGAAAGGUAUAGAAGCGGAAGGGUGUCCGUUUAGUUGUGAAGGUUCAGUAUGGCAUGAUUGCCCAUUAGUAUUUGGGUGCUCACUUGACAGCUUGACCGCAUUAUUUGGUGUCUCCAUUUGCGUCACAUUUGUUUGAGGUCGCAAAGGAUAUCCUGAGGGCCUUAAGUGAAUAACAAGAAGAAGAGGUUGGAUUAAGAGAGCGAAAAAGUAAAGGCAAGAGAAUUCAGUUAUAAACCAACUUUCUAUGUGGCUUUAGAUAGGAAGAGGCAUACCUAUAAAACGUAUUUGUCGGAGGAUAAACAAACGACUUUUCAUAUGCAGAAGCAGCCAAUGCAGCAGCUUGAAGCUUUGCCUGAAGAUGGCUUAUAUUUUCACCUGCUGCACCUCCAUCUGAGGGUUGAGGAGAUAAGCCUGUCGCUGCCGGUCCUAAUAAAAUUAAGUUGUUAGUACUUCACAUGAAAAACCUAUAUCAGUGAGGUAAAACAGGAGGAUGUUUACCAGAAAAAUCUACAUCAAUGAGUUGAUGAAACACAAUAGGCACUAAAAACUACUAAAUUCCAUCUAACCAGAACAGUUUCAGGUCAAACUUGAUAUUUUCUUGUUAAAAGAAGCUCAAUUGGCAAUAGAAAGCCACUGCAUGCCAGAUAUGAUGUGAUUUCAAAAAAUUAGCAUUUUAGAUUCACAAAAAGACUAACUGCAUGCAGUACAGGUAACUCAUCAUUCACAGCUCAAUCUUUUUUCCUGAAGGUUUCAGCUUAUGGUUCAUCAAAGAAAAUCUAUGACUGACCCAUCUAACCAGGAUAUCUAGCAGGAUAAAAGAAGAAGAAACAACAAAGAUCAUAACUUCCAAAUAUUCUAAAAAGGAUGGACAUAUAAUAUGAAUAGUCUGGCUUUUACGUCUGUAAAUGACCACAGAUUGAUCUUUCGAGCAUGUCCAGAGUCCAGACCAAUACUACCUUUGUCCUCGACAUUAAACAAUGUUACAGUUCCAAAGGGGCAAAGAGAUCAAAUGCAGCACAUUCUUCUUUAAUAUUAAAACCAAGGAUUAAAAUGCCCAUCGGCACGGGUCGUAUCCACCGCGCUGUAUCAUGCCAGCAAGAUAUCGGCGCGAUACAGCUCCCAUGCCGAUGGCACAACUCAAAAGUCAAAACCCUCUAUUUUGAAAUUAAUAAAUAAUUUUCUCAAUAAAAUUCAAAAGAUUUGAUAAAAAUACAUAAUAAAUAAUUGACAUAUUUUGUUGCUAAAGAAAAUAAAUAUUUCAUGCCAUCACGUGUAGGGCUGUAGGCACAUAUAUAUUUUUUGUGACCGACACGCAUCGGUAUGGCCCGGCACGCACUGUGCCGUACCGUGCCAGCAAGUUUCCAACACGACUCCGUGCCACGGCACUUAAAUUCUUAGUUAAAACUGCCAACGAGCUGAGUGGAACUGAGUCAUUGACUCAUAAAAAUUUAAACUUUAAAUUUAAAAUUUUGAAUUUAAAUUUAAAAUUUAAAAUUUGAAUUCAAAAUUAAAAUAAAAUUUUAAAAUUUAAGUCUAAAAUCAGAAUCAGAUUGCAAGAAGCAAAUUUUAGCUGCUUCUAAUUUUGGGACUUGAAAAUAAUAAAAUUGAUGUUAAAUAUAAGAACCAAAUUCUGAAAAUGAGAUUGCCAAAUGGUCUAUUAAGCUAAAAAUUACUUUUGAGUCCAAAAUCACNUUGACGCUCCAACCAUGAACGCAGACAAUGCACGUGAAAAAGGUGUCCACAUAGCAGCUUUUUGGCAGUCACCAUCUCCUCCCGGCAUAUAAUGCAUGUUGCAUCACUUCUGUCUCCAAAAAUAGGUGAAAACAUUAGCUAUUGUAGUAGUUACAUACUAACACAAAUUAGAAAUGAGAACGAUAAUUUAAUUAAAGGGCUUACGCAUUAAGCUCCUCAGGGGUUGCAUCUGGGAAGCGUUCAUUCAUAUUAGAUGUGAUCUUGCGGUAACGAAUAUAGUCAGCAAUACGAAUCCUGAAGUUGCGGAAUGUUUCAUACAGUUCACGGAUCAAGUGCAGCGGGAUACCAUAGUUCCUAAUAUUAGCAUUACCAACGAAAAUAAGUCAUUUACGAUUAACACUAAUUGCCAACAAUAAUUUCGAUGUUCUAACAAGUUAAAAACGUCCGGUUAUAGCAAGUGAACUUAAUUGUUAAGUAUGUUGAUCAACAAUAUAAUCUUCAUAUAGCUAGACACAUCAAUGAAAGCACCCAUUUGUUAUUCUUUUUUUUCAUUUAUCUUAUGUUGUGAAAUUAAACUUUAUAAUAGUAACCAAUGUGGUGAAAAAAAUAACUUAAUCUAAUCAGUUGGUAAUGAUACUUCAACAAUACAUUAUUUAAUUUGGGCAUCUAACCCUGUGGUUGAAUGUUCGUGUGUCUAACAACAUUUACAUCUUCGAAAUACCAACAGUACCAGAGACUUUCUAAAAAGACGAUAAGAUGAAUGCCUCGUUCCAUAUGUAUUAAGUAUAGAAUCUAUUUACAAUGCAGCCGAUCAAUUCUCAAAAUCUCAGUAUGCUUACAGCAAAGUUUGGUCAGUGAUGAUGCACUUAGUAUAUGACUAGCAAAUGCAUACUUCUUGUAGCAAACAACAUAUCACUAAAUACAAAGAUUGUGCAAGAUGGUAUAGCAAGAAGAAGAUGUACUUUAACCAUAUGACACUUAAGUAACAUUUAUAACGUAUUUUGAUAAAUUUGAUUACGUAGAAUGCAAUGCAUGGGGGUUGUCAUCAUACAUAAUAAUAAUAAAAAAGUAAGUAGCAAAGGCAUAAGACACUUACACAAAGAUCACAAGGAAAAAGAAUAUAUACAAAGACAGGUGCAGGAGGUCGCGAACAAGUUCCAGGUAAAAUGUGUACACAGCCUUUCUCUCCCAUUGCCCUUCCAUAAGCAUGUCACUUACAUAGAAAACAUACUUGACAAAUGUUGAAACUGUUGUUGUAGCCAGAAUUGUGUAUCUGAAAUGAAUUUUCACUCACCAUAUUAAACAUGAAGUCAAAAUAAUUACAUAACAUUCUUGGAAUGAAGUCCACAGGUCAUUCGAUACAAGUUGAGUAACUAGGCAAUUCCUAGCAACAGUCUCACUAGGAAAUACAUAUUCUACAAGAAUACAAAUAUAAAGAGAAUCUUGGUGCUUGAGGCUUCUCCAUCUUUGCUAAUGGCUCCAGAACAUCAUUACCCCCCAUAAGAAGAAAAAAAGUAUCUUUAACAGCAAAUGAAAGUCUAAUUUAUUAAUCAAAACAAUAUUAUUUAGAAAAAAAAAUCAAUUAGUACCCAGAGGUAUGAACCAGGGGUCUAUAUCGCAGAUUACCAUGGAUUGCAGUAUGAGUAUAGUUUCAUGAUAUAUCAACAAUCUUUAUUACUUGUUACUGCUUUAUAACAUUUGAAUGCAGGAAAACUCUUGCACAUAAAACAAAAAACCAAAACAAGAGCAGUAAAUAAAGAAAAUUAGCACUUACUUUCAGAGUUCAAAAAAGAAUGAUACACAAACAGAUCAAAGUUGUAAUUCAUAAAAGUCUCACAGUUCUGCAUAUCCCUUAUCAUCAUGCUAUAUAAGAUGAUGAAGAGUUUUCAUAAAGAAUUAGUUGAACAAAUUGGGAUUUUAGAGGGGUCAACUUAUUUUAUAAAAUUACAGAUAAACUGCAGCAUACGGAUAAAUGACAUAGAAGCUUUUUUCAAAAAAAAAAAAAAGAAAGCAAAAAGAGGCAAAUUGAUCGAUUGACUUACUCAAAUAAAAAGAAGAGUGCAACCGAUGCCUGUCGGGUUCGUAUGAGAGAUUUCAAGGAGCUGGACAAGAAAAGGCAAUCGAUGACAAGAAGGAACCCCAUAAAAGAGACGAUCCGCAUGUGAGAGAGAAUAGGGACAGAUGGGGUCGUCUCAAUAUACUCAACCCUCUUCUGAGCCAACCAAUGCAAAGCUUUAAUCAGUAGCAGAGCAGUUACCAUAGCAAGAAAGGUAACUGAGAAGUCCUGACGGAAUAUGGUGACCGCAAAAAGGAUCUCCAUCACCUCCCUCCAAGAUUGCUCAUUAAGCCUUUCGACCUCUGCUUCACGAAGGGAGCCGAGGAACAAACGCUUUACUAGUUGCCACAUUAUGCACAUGAUGACCAGACCCGUGUUCAAAAGAAGAACGAAGCAGAUCUUGGAAGUCGAGAGGUACACCAUAGCCGGGUAGAACUGCCCUCGGCUGCUAAAUGCAUAAUAAAUCGCCAUAAUGGUCGCUAAGAAACUAAAUCCGGCGUAUGUUUGGAGCUUCAUCCUUUAAAAACAGGAAGCUUUGCCAAUGAUUUUCCGGAUUUCAAAUUGAACCCAAUUUUCUCCACAAGAAAAUUACAAUGACAGCUUUUCUUUUAGACACCUGGAAAAUUGAAAAAUUGCACAACCGUAAGCAACAACAUAUAAAGAACUAUUCAACAAUAUGAAAAACCUUCAAUAUGUAAUCUUUCUCGCAGCUUAGAGAUGAAGUUAUGCGAAAUGUAAACCCUAAGUUCUAUUGAUCAUCUUCUACCUUAUUCACCGAAACAAAUCUCCCAGCUCAAUUUCUGAAUAAUUUUUUUUAAAAAAAAUUCUCCUCAAAAUUGAAGGAUAAAGGAGAGAUUUUGCGAAAGCAACCACUAAUUCAGCCCCAAAAUUCAAAGCAUGCCAAUAAAAACCAAGAAUUACGAUGAAAAACCUAGUCGAAAACGAGGAGUGUCGAUUGAGACGGAGACGAAACCCUAGAAACCGGUCCAAAAUAAUGGAAUCGGAGAUUUGGAAUAGGAGAGAGGCAUCACGUAGAUCAUUACCUCAGCAAAGGGUUUCCGAUGGUGAUCCGAGCGAGGAUCCAAAAAUCGAAAGCUCCGCGCGACGAAACGAGGGAACGAGAAGGAAAAUGGGAUUAAGGACGGUGGAGAAGGUCUACGCUCGGACGCAGGAGUCUACUGCGUGUCCCCGCCAAUGGAAGGUAAACACGUGUCCGAUCAGGGCACCGGACAAGGACCUGAUUUGAACCCAAUCCAAUGUCUCUGGGCUCGGUGCACAGUUCCCGAACCGGAAGCGAGCAACAAAGCCUACCUUGUAGGGGUUUUUAGUUCAAUAAUCCACUUCCAAAAUUUUAUUUUAAAAAUAAAUCUAUUAAAAUUUUAUUUGUUGAUAUAGUCUUAUAAAAGCGGUGAAUGAUUCACCGCUUUCUUUCUUUUUCUCCCUUUUUAUUAUAAUUUUAUAAUGGUAAAAGCGGUGAAUGGUUCACCGUUUUUAUUAUUUUUAGAAGUUAUGAAUACAGUGAAUGAUUCACCGCAUUUAAAGAUCUAUUUUUAUAAUUAUUUUUUUAAAAAAAUUAUUUUUAUAAUUAUAAAAAUUGAUAAGAUUGGUUAUAAAAAAUAUUCUACCUCGUACCCGUGGCUUUGUAAAUAAAUUUUUAAUAUUUUUAAUUUAAAAACUUUAUGACAAAUUAAUUAUUUAUUAUAAAUAGAAAUUUUAUCUAAAAUGUCAAAUAAUAAAGUUAUUAAAAAUUUUUAACUCAUAUGGUUGAAAAACUUUAGAUCGCAGUAACUAAAAUUCAAAAAAAAAUUAACUAAUAAAAAAAAAGUUUAGCGGUCUAUUUUAGAAUAACCUCAAUAGUAGACGAAUUCUCUCAUAUUUAAACUUCAUUUCUAUUCGUGUGUUACCGUAUUAGCCUAUAAUAUUGAGUUUGGAUCCAAUUAAUUAUUGGAUCCUUUUGAUGUUCUAGUUGGAUCCAAACUAAUGCACAAUUUUAGGAAUUAAACCAUUGUCAUAAAAAAAAACAAUACAGUAUCUCUAAGUAAGUAAGUAACUUUGGCAAUUGCCCUUAUUACAAAUAAUGAAAGAAUGCCCUCGGCUCGCCUGCCCGCGCCACUCGCACAUGCGUCCGCGCGCCGGCGCCCGCUCGCCCACCCGGCCCUGCUCGCGCAGAUCGCGGGGGCCCUGCCGUACCAUUUAGUACCCACGAUUCAAGAGUUAUAUAGAUUGUUAUAGUCAGGAAAAAAAAAAGAGAAUAAAAAAAAUAAAUGUCGCCAAUCACUUUUGCUUUCCGAGUAGUGAAAAAUUCUAGAAUGCAACGGGUUUAUUAGUGACGUGGCAUAACAAACCAAUCAAAUUAAUCCUUUUAAGAAUAUAUGUCCCAUCAUGAUUGUAAAAAAGUAUUUUUAUUUUACUUUUGUUUGAAAAGAAGGAAUGUAAUUGGCUUGUUAUUGAUGACGUGGUGCAAGUGUGACAGUGUAGAAUUCCUCCCGAGUAGUAGUGAGAUAGAAUUUAAGAAAGUAAAAAGGUAGAUAACAAGAACGUUUUGAGUGAAUACUAGAGCACAAGCAGUGAUCUCUCAAAUUGCGAGUGAUUCUUCAAGUAGAUGAUUUUCUCCGCUCUUCAUUUCUCAAUGGGUACCUGGAAUUUACAUGGGUAAAUAAAUCAGGUUCAAAAUUCUUUUACAUUGAAAAAUCAAAAUGACAUCGACAAUUUUGAAAAAAUGUGUGUAUAUCCAAAAGUUGUUUGUGUGUGCACACAAAUAUGCGCACUCUUUGAUUUUUGAUGCACGGAACAAUCAAAUCUUUGCCAACAAAGAUCAAACAGUAAUUUUGCUUUGUUAAGAGAGAAAUUUAGGAGUUUUCAAUCAAACUUGCAAUUUACUUUUGGCCACACAGAAUCUUAAAAUAGAGGGUACCUUUCGUUCUCUACUUUUAAUCUGCAGGUAAAUAAAUACACAGUAUAAAUUUCCAACGGAACAAACACUGCACACGGUUGUAAUAUGUAUUACGUUCCCUCUUGCAAUUACUUUUUCAAGCAAACAUAAUUCAAAGCUCUACAUAAAUGGAAAAGAAUCAAAAUUUAUCAUCCACAAUAUGCAAGGGGGAAAAAAAAAAAUCAAAAAACCUUGCGAAAAAAGAGAGUAUAAAAAAGUCGCACCUACAAAAAAAAGAAAAAAAAGAAAAAAUAAGUUACGGUGUCAGCCGCAUAGGAUGAACUUGCAACAGGGGACGACGACUCCGGCGACGCAAAGCAGGGCGAUGGUGACGAGAUUGCGCGAGACCCACGCGAUCGGGCGCCACGUAACCUCCACGCUGGAGCUCUUCAUCCGCUUCGUCGACGCGGCCGCAUGCGGUUGCUUCGACAGGUCGAAGCUCGCGCCCUUCAUCCGCAGCUCCUGCAUGCACCGCGCGAGCGCCCUCCCCUCCCCGCGCUCCCUCGUCAACCUCCGCGACGCGUCCCAGUAGCCCGAAACCCUAGCGUGCACGGCGCACGCGAGCACGAGCGAGGUGGAGAGGGAGAGGGCUGCGGGGACCCACCACGUGUGGCGGCACGCGCGGUGGGGGAGGUGCGCGGAGGAGGCGAAGAGGAGGGUGAGGGAGAGGCCGUGGAAGGCGAAGAAGAGGGAGGAGAGCUCGAAGGCGCCGCGCUUGGCCGCGUCCAUGCGCGACUCGAGGGCGGCGGCGCGGCGCCCGUGGAGGUCCUCCUCGCGCUGCCACAGCUUGAGGAGGAGGAGGUGGCCGGGGCUCUCCGAGAUCUGGGUCAGCGGGUGGUGCUGGAUCGCGGCGGAGGCGGCGACGAUGCUCGGCAGCGCCGGCGACUGCGGCGGAGCGUCGCUGGGGAUUUCCACGACGUGCGCGUCUCUUGGAUCCGCGGCCAUUGGCGUGGAUUGGUGGACGAAUUGGGAAAGAAUCAAGAAAAUGGGGAUUUUUAUUUUUUUUUUUUGGUGGGGGGUUUUGUGGGUUCUUCUUUUCUUAAAAAAAAAGAAAAAAGAAAAAUGGGGAAGUUUGGAGUUUCUGGGGUUGCGAAAAGGAAAUUAUCUGAGAGGGGGAGAUGGGUGCAGGAGUGGAAGAGGAGAGAUUGGGUUUGGGGUGUUUGGAUUGGAGGCGAGAUAAAGGGGAAGGCGAUACUGGGAGUUCGGAGAACGUACGCGAAGGCCCAACGGUCGAAUUUUUGUGGUUUCUCAUCUCGUGCUCCAACGGUCAAAUUUGGUAAUACGGGAUGCCGAACCGGCGGCAAGUUUCUCUUCUUCUUUCUUUUUGCUGCAAUUUUUUUUUUUCCCCAUGAUGCUUAAACUUCUGGUACUACAAUUUCGUAUCUAGCAGCUGAAAAAAAAAAAAAAAUGAAAUUCUGAUUGUUUCAAAUAAAAUUAUAUAUUCAACCACAUUAUAAGAACACUAACAUCAAAAAAUAAAGUUCUAAAUUAUUAUAAUUUUAUAGAAAAAAUAUGUGGUUUUAUAUUUUACAAUCGUAGAUAGAAUUGUAGUAUUACAAUUUCAUUAAUCUACGAACUAUUCAAUUUGGGUUGCAGGCUUGCAAGAUUGAUGCAUUAACACAGGACAUGUAUCUGCAAUUUAUCCCAUGACCAAUCCAACAUACGAAAUGAAAACGACGAAAUAUACCUGCAAUUUAUUCCAUGACCGAUCCAACAUACGAAAUACAUACUAACAUCUGGUGGAAAAUAGAAUUAUCUCGCGUAACAUAACACGUCCACAAAGUAAAUCACCUACCAAAUUAGCCUCAGAUAUGUGUCAGAUGAAUUCAAGUUAGUGAUUCUCAUUCUAGUCCUUUGGUUUGGGAAGUUCAGGUUCCCAAUUUGUGGUGGAAUGGAAAUAACACAAAUCUUCGGAAACCAAAUCACCUGCAGAGACGUACCACAGCCAUCUAUUUUGCAGCCCUGCUACCACUGUUGCAGCUGCUGGACAUUGCCGCUGCCGCCUCCAAUUCCUCGUGCGCCACCACCCAACCAAUGCCCACAUUCCCUACUGUUUUUAUUUUUCUAGAAGGAUUUUCAAAGCCUCUUAUCAAUUGUGAAUUGAAACAGCUAGUUAUAAGUGAACAGCCGAUAAACUGCAGCAUACGAGCACACAGGAGAAUAACUGAUCUUCCAGGACAAAGAUAUUCCUCAGAUUUGAGUCAUUAGACAUACAACAUAGGGACAUAGGGUCGAACGAAAAUAGAAAAAAAAAAACUAAAAUUAUACAAUAAAAGCAUAUAGAAGAUCUACACAAACUGCUUAUAGAAGAUCUGCAUGAAGAGGAGCAUUCUUCCUGAGCUAGGAUGGCGAAGCUGCUGCAAGCUUCUGCUUCUUUGGUGGUGGAUUUCCUCCAGCAAGCAUCACAUACGUAUAGAAACAAAGCAUUGCACCACUGCAUCAUGUUACCAUUAACAAGAAACUGAGUAAAAUUUUUAGCGAACAAAAUGAAAUUUACACAGAGGAUAGGAGGAAAUGAAGUACCUUAAGAAAGCAUAAAACCCCCAAGGCAGUAUUUUCUUAGUCUACAACCAGAAGAAACAGGGUCAGCAAUUAGAAAAUAGAAGUGGAUAAUUUAGUCAAUAGAAAGCAAGGGAUAGAGUACUUACCAUGUUGUAUGCCUUAGAGUACUGCCAUGUAAGUAUGCUAGAUAAUGCUGCAUACAAAACCAGCAGAAUCAUUAAUGAUAGCAUACAGCAAGCCUCAAACAGUAAUCAUCUGUAUCAUCGGUUGGGUGUGGUUGCUUAAUAUGACCUUGCUCUCAUAGGAAAAGUGUCGAGUCACACAUUGUCAGGGCCAAAAUGAAGGAUACAAAUAUUAUACUGCUAUAGAAAAAAAAGUUAUUUAUAAUGUAGUCCCCUCUAUUAUGAGGACACCAAUACAAUCCUUAAAUUCUUCCUGUAACAAUUCAGUCAUAUCAACUUAUCAAGUACAGUAAAUUAUCAUUGCCACCCUUUUGUCAAAUAAAUUCAUUUCGAAUUUCAUCUUCCAUUCAUAUAUUAGCAAAUUUGCCCACAUGGACAAUUAAAAGUGAUGGGGUAAUCAACAGGCAUGCAACUGAUUUUGAGCUUAUAGACCAAAAGUGUAGUAAAAAAAAUGUUAUUUGGCUGGGAAAGAAGAGCAUGAUAAAAUUUUUAAAACUGGGUAGACUUGCUAUAUUUUAAAAUAUAUAUAUACACACACUGACCACAUCGGUUGCUAGACAAAAAGAAGAGAUAUUUCUAAUUAUCAUACUGUAUAACAGAACUUACAACGGUUCUAGUGCUUUAUCAUAGAACUUCAUACAUCUAUCCAGUGAUAAAUGAUAGAAGAGAAAUUUUCCAAUUUCUCCAGUUAGUUAACCAUUUCAAAACAAAAAAUUUACAUAACAGAUUCUUUUGAUGAUGAGCCCAAUCUAGAGGAACGCAUUUAAAAGUAAAUUCUAUAGUACUAUUACUCGCUCAAGAAUAACAAGAUCUACGCACCUGCUUGCCCCAGUAUGAAUGGUACACUGGAUAUUCCACUCCUCCAAACCUUCAGGCUAAGUACACCCAGCAAAAAUAUAGUAAAGCCAGGUGCAACACCUAAAACAAGACUUACAGGGCUUCUCCAUAAAAGGUAUCCGAUAAGUCCCAUAGAAAAUAAGAAACCACCUGUAAAAGAAAAUUUCAACAAUCUUUAAGCAGAAAGCUGCAAUUUAUAUUCUCCAUCACAGCUUCUAAAGUUUCACCUGUCAAUUGAAAACUUUCAAAGAAGUUUAUGGACAAAAGUUGUUGAAAAGACUUUUUUGAGUUCAAAACCUCUAAUAAUCAGAAGAAAAGUCGCAUGACUAAGUAGACAGCUUUGGUCACGGUAAUUAAAGGUGGUAUUGACCAAAGGUGAAUCACCUAUUUGUUAUUCACACAAUCUUCUGCAAGAGAAAGCCACGACUAGUGAGGCCAAUAGUGGCUAGUCAACAACCUUAGCUGAAACUUCCACACUAUAGUUUGAAAGAGAAUUUGAUGAUUUUGGUUAUUGUAUAAUUUCGACUUUGGUCCAACCUUUGGUCAAAACAAUAUAAAACUAUUCAAAUGUAGAGCAAAUGCAGUCUAACGAAUUUGUUUUGCAUAAUUAUAUAUGCUAAACUAAUACAUUAGUCUAGUAUAACCACAAAAGUUUUCUCUAAUUAUUUAAAAGAGGAAAAGCAAUCAAAAGAGAGGCUGAGGGAUCAAUACUUAAUGAACUAAUUCUCUACACACACACAAAAAAAAAAAAGAAAAAAAUGAAAGAAAAGACGGCGUAAGUUGCAUAAACAAAGAUGGCAAUUUUACGAUUCAUAAAUCAAAAAUUAGUAAUGAAGAAUCGAAACUAUCUAAGGCUCUGACACUUUCUAGUUUCCAAUAUUGUCCAAUGGGAACAUGACAAGAUAUUUGAACAUGAAACAAGACUUACAUCACAAAAGAAUUUUAUGGCGUAAAUUGAAAUGCAGAGGAGAUUUGCAUGUUUGCUGUUUUUCAAACUUACCAAAAGGAAUGCCUAAACAAAAAUCAUGAAUUUUUGCACUUCUUUUUGGUGGUGGAGCGACUGCUUUAUCCAUCGUCAUCGUUUCAUCCACUGGUUCGGCAGUGAAAUUUGUCUUCGGUGAUUCAUGAGUUUGAUCCUCAUUAUAAGUUACCGCAGUAUUAGCCUCAAAACCAGGAGAUUUUGUACUAUUUUCUCUAAUACACAUGGAAACUGACAGCUGCAAUAAUUUAAAAAGAAAAAAAAAAGUGAACAAGUUAAUGCACACCAUACAGCUCAUUAACAUCAAGCUUCAAUAUAAUUCUUCACUGUCGUUAUCCAUUCCGAUUCCUUUCCAAACAAAAAGUUUAAUCAGCAUAGAACAGGAUUAUGAACAAUCAAGGAACGACAAAGGCACUAUAGAGAAUUAAAAAUGUUUCAAAACAUUAUAGUCUACACAAUACGUGGAAGAUAACUCUAAAUAAAUUAGACGUCAGGAAAUAAUGAAACUUAUUUGCAGUCGCAUGAAGAUCUCACUUGACAUAAAACUUUUUAAAUGGUAGCAAGAUAACAAAACGGUAAAUCACCAACACUGAAAAGCCAAAACAAGAUAUAAUCGUACAUAUUCCUAAAAACAUUUUUUCAAAAUUUUCUUCAAUCUCGGUUCCAUUUUUUUACACUCAACAUGAGAUUGAUCUUAUUGAGACGUUUCUUAGAAUUUGAUGCAAUUAUAGUGAAGUGCAGAAACAGAUAUUUCGAUUCAACAAACAAGCCCAACAAAAUUAAGAUCACACAGCAAAAAUAACAGUUGCGGCAGAAAUAUUCCAUCUCCAACACCAUCUUCUCGGGUGCCAUCAAUAUGAUUCCGAUUAUGAAGAGAAAUAAUAAAAAAAAAGAAACAAACAAUAAAAUCGUGCAGUAAAUUCAUAUAUUAGCGAGAACGAGGGUUUAAGAGUGAUGCCCCGAUCCAAUGCACACAUACCUUUGGGGCGCCAUGACUAGGGUUUUUGAAAGUCCUUUCGAUCCCCAUCGGGAGGUAACGCAAAACCCUAGGGGUGGAGAGCGAGAGGCCGAGACCAUUAGAGGGGACGAAGGACCUCCUCGGCGCCGCUACCGACGCGUAAAGCUGCGCCGCCGCCAUGGCCAUGACGAAGAGAAAAUCGCAAAAUCAAAGAGCAAUUUCACACUAACGACCAGAAUAUUUGGUGACAAGAGAUCGCGAAAGCUCCCGAAUGGUUUCUCGAGUAGGCGUGUCGGAUUCGUGCGACAACGACGCGAGUCGUGGACGCUUCAUUUCGACCGUUGGGUUGAAGGUCCAGUGGAAUGGCCGGUUCGAAACGCGCUGGCGGAACGGAGGUCGGCGAACCGGGUUGAGUUCAGAAGCUGGACCGGGUGCAACUCGCUUCGGGCCAUCCUCUAAGAAGGCCCGCUCUUUAUUUAUGGGCCUUGGUACUUUCUUGCUUAGACUCCGAGCUAGUUUAGUAAUCCCAUAUUUUGAAUCUUUACAUGCUACAAUUUUUUUAUGUGAAAAGCCUGUAUUCAUUUGAUAUUUUAAAUACACUACCCCUUGGUGAGAUCUCUUUUAGGGACGGUAUAAAAUAAAAAGACUCUUGUGUCAUGGAUUAAGAAUAAAGCGUGUAAUACAUAAAUAAUGGCCCCCACAAUACUUAAAUGCCUAAAUGUCACAAAAAAAUAAACCAUGUAGCUAAACUAGCCACAUCAGACACUCAUUACACAGUCACGCUUGCCAUUUCUAAUUCACGAUGACGACACCAUAGAGUAAAGCAAAGUUAUUCACAAUUAAAAAAAUAAUUAUAUGGGGAGCCGCUCCAAGGCUGUAAAUGACGAUAAUACGCGUGGCCAAUUAUAAGGGACUAAAUUUUCGGAGGCUAAACCGUAAAAAAAUGAAAAAGAAAAAGAAAAAAAAGGCAUAUAAUAAGGACCAUGGCUUUUUUUGCAAAUAGCUCCCUAAUAAAUUUUAUUUACAAAAAUAGCCCUGUCCAAAAAUUAUUUAUAAAAAUGGCCCUACCCCUGCCAUGCCAGCGCCACGUCAGCGCCACGCGGGCAGGGCAAUGUUUAAGUUGAACACGGUGAACCAUUCACCGUGUUCAAUACAAGAUUUUUGUAUUAAACAUGAUAAAUGAUUCACCGUGUCCAAUACAAAUACCCCAACAAUGGCUAAGUUGGAGGUAUUUGUAUUAGACACGGUAAACCAUUCACCGUGUCCAAUAAUUCGAUCUUAGCUAUUUUGUAUUGGACACGGUGAAUCAUUCACCGUGUCCAAUAUAUAAAUUUUAUAUUGAACACAGUGAAUGGUUCACCGUGUUCAACUUAACCAUCUGGCCCAGCCCCGCCCGCGUGGCGCUGACAUGGUGCUUGCGUGGCGGGACCAGGGCCAUUUUUGCAAAUAAAUUUUUGACAGGAUCAAUUUAAAAAAAAAAAAUUGUAACUGGGCAAUUUGCAAAAAAAAGCCCUAAGGACCACUUGUACCCCCAUUUUUCCGUACUCCUCGUCUCCAUUACUUUAUUUUAUUUUAUUAUUAUUUUUAAAGACUUUCGGGACUUUAGGGCAUAUUGUCGGAGCAACUACACCGGGAGGUGAUUCGACCGCGCUCCAACACAACACGGGGACUCGCGUUUGCCAUGUGCGACGUCAACAAGUCAUCCGAAACCUAUUCCCUGGACACGGUGUAGGUGUACAGUAUUCCAUUAAUUCGAUUUAGCCGUCCAUAUCACUUUACCGUUUUAAGUCAAGAAACUGUCGAGAUUCGAUAGUCGGUGCAGAUGGAAUUAUGAGAUGAGAUGUAGGGUUGGGAGUGUGCCGGUUCAUGAGAUAUCUUCAUGCACCAGGUGCACGAUAUUGUUUUUCCAAGUCUUCGAACGUCUUCGCGAGGAAGGUGUGGAAAGAAGGGUAUAAAUAGCCCAGUGGUCUCUUGUUCACGGAAACUUCCAAGGAGAGUGUGAGAGCAAAGAGAGAAGAGGAAAAGAAAAGCGGAGGAAGAGAGAGAGAGAGAGAGAGAGAGAGAGAGAGAGAGAGGAGGAGGAGGAGAGGGGAUGCAUCUCUACAACGCAUGGCUACCGCCGAUGGUGGCAGAGGAGACGAAGAAGGAGGCGGAGUCCUUCGCAUCGGUGGUGCGAUCGGUGAAGGGUUCGUGGCGCCCUGACGAUCCCAACUCCGUCUACGACACCCUCAAGUGGAUCCCAAUCAUCGAUCUGUGAGAGUUCUUGAUCCUUCCCCGUUUUUUGGAGUCCGAAGGGAUUUGAUAGUUUAAUUCCCUUUAAUCUUGUUAUUGAGCACCUGGGAUCGGAUCGUGUUCUUGUUACGUGGUGAUUCUAAUCAUGUGAUUGUCCUCAAUUAUCUAGUCUUGAUGAUUUCUUCUUAGUUUCUUAAAUGAUAUGCUACACUGUAUCCGCGAUUACUGUUUGUUGGUUUAGAUCGUUUAUAUUAACUCCCAUUUAGUUCUUUAUGUGAUGUAAUGGGAAUCGUUCUUGUUCUUGAUUGUCAGAGAACUAUUGUUAGGAAUUAUGAUUUUGUAAUGUUCAUUCUCAGACUUGAUGAAUUCAAUGAUUUCUUGUUCGACAGAGUCAAGGCCAGCUUUCUGAUGAGAUUGAUCGAUGGUAUAUAAUGCGGUCAUCAUGUAGCAUCGCAUUCUUGGAUAACAGUGUGUUCUCCUGUUUUAGUACUACUUUUUUGUUAGUUUUAUAAAAACAGUGAGUGAUACAUUGCUCUAGGUUCUUGAUUUUGAAAUGUUGGGAGCUAAAACCAGGUUUAUUGGGAACUACUAUUAGGAGUAUUAUUGCUCUUGUUCUCGAUUGCUGAAAUCAAUCAUUGCUGCUUCUUAAGCGUUGAGACUAAGAUUCUUGAUGAAGUAGAUGGCAUAUAAUUCUAUAAUUCUAUAACAUUUUAUUGCCUCUGUUUGCUGAAUAUUAAUUCAUUGUUCUGUCUUAGCAUUUCUAAUGUUCUACUUGUGUUAAUUUCACACAUUAUCCUAAUACGAUGAUUGUUGUUCUGUAGUUUUUUAAAAGCUAAGAGUGAUAUAUCUCCUGGAGAUGUGAAAAACCUUGUGGAGUUUGGGUUGGAAUUAUUUCAUGCAUCACAAGGCAAAUUGUAUCCUCAGGUAAGGGUAUGUAAUUUACUAUUGGUGCAUCGGCAUUCUUGUUGUUUGUUUGUCUCCUGAGGUAUAUCAUUCUGAUUAGGUUAUGUGGGGACGUAUCUUAAUCACACUUCUGAAGAAGCAUGGGAAAAGGUUGUCAAUUGAUAUUCACUGGAGACCGUUUUAUGACAAUUUGAUGCUUACGCACUUUAAGAGGUUAACAUUUCCCUGUCACCCUUAAAUUUUGGACAACUUUACUAUUGACAAGAAGAUAGACCUAUGUUAUUAAAGUCAUGCUAGAUAUAAUGGCUAUUGACUAUUAUUUAGGUAGUGCUAAUUUUGCUACCCUCUUACUAUAAGACCUCUUGCCAAAUAUUUUUCCUACCUUUUUCUCAAUUUUGUUCAUUUCAGAGAACUCUUGCAAGCUAUUUGCUUUACUAUUUUUGUUAUGUGUCAGGUCUCUAAAACCUUCCUAUUUUACUAAUUUCUAGCCAGAUUUGAGGCAGUGAUCUCCUAGGCUAUUCAGUUUAGUUUUUCCCUUUCCAGUUAUUACAUACUGAAUCAUGUGGAUGCUUACAGUUGAGUAAAACCCUUGAUGUGGCUGAAUUUCAGUGGAGAAAAUAGCUCAGUGCAACUACAUUGAUUCUCUUCUUCUCCUCUUUCCAAUAACUUUCAUGUUGUUAGAUGCUUUUUGAAACUUUUGUAAGAUGUAGACAUGUAGUUGGUUAAUGACAUGUUGGAGUUUUCUCCUUUUAUAUUACCUUUUGACCAGAGUUUUUCAUAUAUUGAGCAGAAACACAGGACCCGAAGGGUGGAGAUUGAAACAAAAGCACAUAGAAACUGUCACUUCCCUUGUUCAAUCUUGUCGAAAGUUUUUCCCUGCAGGUUCUUCUUCUGAGAUAUGGUCGGAAUUCAGGUAUUCUUUCUCCCUGUUUGUUUUUUUCUGCUAGUAAAAGACAUUAAACUACAAAGAACAUUAAAGUUCCUUGUACCAUCUGAUGUGCAAGGUAUGUAUCUUGCUUGCUUCGCUGAUGAUUAUACUGGUCCAAGAAAUUCCAAACAUCAUUAUCACAUUUAUCCUGGCAAUAUUGCUUUUUCUGUUUCCUGGCAUAUAAACUACUGUAAAAAUGCGUCAGCUCCGUCCGAAAAUUUCUUUGUCCUUAAUUUUAAAUGCUCCUCUGCUACUAAGGAUAUAGAAUAUGGAUGGUCCGAUCUACCCCCUGCCUUCCCCUUUUUCUUGACUUUUUUAUGCUUAUAAGGAGAUCUACUUGUAUAGUACUAUAGUUCCAUCCAUACUUGAUUUCUUGCAUAACCUCUCAUCGAACCAUUAAUACUUUAAUUAAAAACCAUCUAAAGAAGGUACAAGAUCAUAGCAUUUCUGCGACAUAUUCUUGUAUAUGAUCCUAUUGAAAUAGUGAGACUCAUUUGUUAUACAUGUUUCUUUCUCUUGACAAAUUUGCAGGCCUUUUUUGGACAAUCCAUGGCACUACUCAGCUUUCGAAGGUUCUGGGUUUCUAAGGCUGUUUCUUACCAUGAACUCGGAGAAUCAGAAUUACUUUACCGGGUAUAUAUACUAUGUUCUCAUGUAGGACCUAUGUAAAUUUUUCUUCUUCUGUUCUCAGAACUAAUAAUUUAUUCUGCCUUCCCUUAUUCCCUGUAACCUGAUGGCAGAGACUGGGUGGAAAAGAGCCUUAAUAUAUGGGACUCUAUGCCAAAUUGUCAGUUUUGGGAUAUUCAGUGGGCUUCUAUUAUUGCUCGAUGCAUAAAAAACUGCAAAUCAAUUGAUUGGGAAGGUUUUCUGCCAACACUUUUUACAAAAUAUUUAAACAUGUUCGAGGUGAGACUAUUUUAUUUAUAUGGAUUGUGUGGCAGUAAUCAUGUCGGAUGUGUAAUAAGUUACACCUUAACGAUCAGCAUUUACUUCGCGAUCUUGUCCAUGGAUUACUUCUAUACAUAUUCUCUAGAGAUCAAAAGCUAAAAACUUCAUACGGUUUUCAGUUUUAUUCCAUUUUUUUUGAUACCUGGUUUCUAGAAAGGCUAAUACUAUCGUUAGUUUAAAUUGAUUAAUUCUAGUGACCGUUUUGUGGAUAUCUUCAAACAUGCUUGAUUUGUUUGACAUUUUCUAAACUGAGCUCAAGCAAUAACUGAAAUCCUAAAGUGUGGCUUUAGUUAGUGUAUUUGUACUUGCUUCUUCUCAGAAGCUUUAUACAUACAGGACUUUUUUUUGUUUGAUGGAAAUAUUUCUAAGAUUCUUUCCUUUAAUCUCUUUAGUUAAACCUCCUCUUUUAUACAAUUGUCGACUUGUCGUUAUAUGGGCUGAACUUCAAACCUUGUCUCCUGCAACAAGUUUAGUCUAUUGAGCUCGUGAACUUGAUAUAAAGCACAAUGGUACAUAUUAGCAGUGUGUAUGAGUGUUCUAUAUUUGUGUGUAUUUGUAUGUAUAUUCCAGAAGUUUAUUUUAUUUUAUUGUUCAUUUUUUUAUAUAAGAUGGACAGAAGUAACUUAUUUGUUUCUUUAUUUGUUUCUUGUUUUGUUAUUUACUCAUUUAUAAUUUAUGAGUUGCAAUCUAACCUCUAUGUCACACUUUUCUUCAUAUACUAUGUUUGCUUUUGAAACCUAGAAAGUUUCCACACUUCUAAAUUAACUACAAAAUAGAUUUUUUUUUUUUUCCGAAACAGUCAACAUUUUUUUUAGUCUUUUGUUGAGAAUUACCCAAAAGAAUUAGAUUUUAUUCCAUCAAAACGGGGCUUCGCUUAUGCAAAUUUAAACUGGCCAAGAAAUUGGUCAAUAUUAAUUCAUUGCGGAUAUAAUGUGUGGUAACAUCAUGUCUCUAAUGAUGCCAUCUAUAUUUAGGUUCCUGUCUCAAAUGGAGUAGAAUCGUAUUCUUUCCCUAUAUAUGUUCCUUGGAGUGUGAGAUUCUUGUUUUCAAGCAACAUGCGGACACCUUGUAAGGCUAUAGCAAAGUCAAUUGUAAGUGUACUUUCUUGGUUUGUGUUUAUCUGUAUUUGGACGUGCACAGCAUCUAUUUGGUUGUUUGUUUUCACGUACACAGGGGUAAAAGGAUUUAUUUUAUUUAGUGUAUCUGUAUCAGGGUAAAUGAAAAGUGCCUAUUGUUGUCUUUUAUCGAGUUUUAUGUUAUGAUCUCUUCUCUGGUACAUCAUACUUCUGCAGGUUUAUCUCCUGAAGCCUCAGGGUUCGGCUCAAGAAUACUUUGAGAGAUUAGCAAAUCUAUUAGAACAGUUUGGUUUCUGACCAUUUACAUCACUUUGUUAUCUUCUCACAGUUUUAUGCCGCCAGUAAGGAACUAAUAAUUUUAUUGCUGAAUUUGUUUGCAUUCUAGAUAUUACCAUCCUUCUAAUGAAGGUCACUGGACUGACUCAUUGACGUACUUCUUGUGGCAUUUAGUAAUUACUUUCCAGAAACGCCUUCAGCAUGAGCUGCAGUAAGACAUUAAUCUAUAAGCUCUUUCAAAGAAACUCAAGCCCGGUAAACUUUCUGGAUAGUUAUUCAUCUCAUAAAAGUACUAUGCAGUAACACAAAUAAUUGCAUUCCGGAGGAAUUUUGUUUGGGGAAGUUGGAACGAGCUUCUUUUGUGAAUGUGGUACUAAAGUUGAUUGCUCAUGGUCAGUAUAGCAAGGAUGAGGAUCUUUCUGAUACAGUUACUUUCGUCACUUCAAUUUUGUCAUAUGUGGAGCCUUCUUUGGUUCUUCCGUUCAUCGCAUCUAGGUUUGAGAUGGCCUUACAAACAGUAAGUUCUUAAUAUUGUCUUUCUUUGUUUAAUUUAUUGAUGAUGGGUAAAUUGAUUUCUUCUUAAAACUUCAACACUUGCAAUUAAAUGAUUGUGUUGUUGUACAUCCUCAAGAAAUGACAAAAAAAUUGUUCUCAUGACUGCUUUCUGUCUAAACAGAUGACAGCAACUCACCAGUUGAAAACUGCUCUGACAUCAGUUGCCUUUGCUGGUCGUGCAAUUUUUCUUGUUUCCACUUUUGCCCAGACUGAUAAGUGUGACACUGCUGAUGUUUCGUUGGCUCUUGUACUUAACUCACUGUCCAAUGCAUUGCUUGGCAUAGAUGCCAAUGAUCCUCCAAAAACGCUAGCUUCCAUGCAGUUGAUUUGUUCCAUAUAUUCGAGUGUAAGUGAGGAUGCACUUGUUUCUACAUGCACCAUGAUGAAUGUUUACCCUAAUGUUUUAUUCGUACUUUCAGUUAACUAUAAUUGGAAGCAGUGAUAGUGAGCCUGUAUUCCAGCAAACUAUCAGCUUAUCUGAAUGGUUGGAUUGCUUCUUUUCUCGCUUAUUUUCCCUGCUACGUCAUGCAGAAUCAACCGGUGUUAUGUGAGUUCUUGCAUUUAGACAUUAGGGUUUCACUUAUCUUUUGGUUAACUCUUCUUUCAUAUCUUUUCAUAGUGUCUAUCUGGAUGUUGUAGCAAUGAUGUUCUCCCGAGUUCGACCAUGGAAGAAACAUUUCUUAUUGAAGAUGAUCCUUACUACUUCUGCAUGCUUGAAAUUCUUCUUGGGAAGUUAUCUAAAGUUCUUUUUAAUCAGGUUUUAUCUUAAUUUCACACUUUUUAAUUUAUCAUGGAUAUCAGUGUAAUGCAUUUAGGUUUUUAUCAUCCUUUUUCAAACUGUUCAGUCACUGGAGAAAAUUUCCAAGUUCGUCAACACAAAUAUCCUUCCAGGAGCUACAAAGGAGGUUGGACUUCUCUGUUGUGCCUGUGUAAAAUCUAAGCCAGAAGAGGCUGCAACCUACCUUAUUAAACCGAUAUUGGAGACCAUAACCUCGUCCUUGAGAGGGACACCUAUUUCAGGUUUGUGGGGAAGCACCACAUCUGAUACUUCAUCUUUUGCAAAGGUAUGUUCUGCAACCUGGCAUGAGUUAUCUCCAUUUCCGGUGAUUAUCUUUGAACAGUGCAAUAUCUAUGCAGGCUGCUCUUUCACCAACUCUGGAAAUUGUCGCAGAAUACCUUCUAAAAGUUUUAGCCAGAGCCAUUAGAUUUGCAGGAACUGUGCUACUUCAUUACCGGGAGGAACUAAAAGAAGCAAUUGCACUUGCAUUUCAGGCUCCUUCGUGGAAGGUUCUUGAGCUUGGUUAUUAUUUUGCUGUAGCCAGUUAAUCUUCAGUUUACAUAACUUUUUCCCCCCUUCUUAUAACUCCUUUUUUAGGGUUUUUUCUGAGAUGGUUUUGUAAUGAUAGGUUAAUGUAGCUGGUGGUCACGUUCUUUGCUCUCUUCUUGGUAGCUUGGUGCUCUAUUACCCAGUCAAUCAGUUCAUGUAUGUAGGCUACUAAUUUUCAUUCUCAUAGCUUGUUGGGCAUUCAUUACCUUAGAUACUGUGCUAGUGGAUGUCAUUUUUGCACUCUGAUAAGAAUAUUUUGGCUUUCUAGGCCUUUACUUUGUCAGCCUGCUAGUGCUGCUUUUGAACCAUGGGGAUGCUCAAAAGAUUACAAUGUUGGAAGAAAUGAACCACUUAAUCUCCCCCCAAAAUGGCAUAUUUCUAGUCAAGAUGAGCUCUCUUUUGCAAAUGAACUCUUAGAGCUUCAUUUUCAGUCUGCUUUGGAUGAUCUUUCUAGGAUUUGUGAGACAAGAAUCCAUACUAAUGCAGGUGAAUAUGCCAUGAGAUUUUUAGCAGCUCUGUUAUCAGAUGAUUUUACAUUCUUGAAAAGUUUCUGCUCCAUAUAUUCUAUAAAGCCACAGGUGUUGAUGGGCUGUCCUUUUUUAAUUGACUGGCAGCCGGGUACUCCAUAGCCUUAAUUAAAUUAGACAUCAGUUAUGUAUUUGCCAAAUGGACUAGGGUAGAUCUUUGAGACUCGCCAUCUAAUAUUUUGAUGAUAUGGCUGUUUUGGAAAUGUAAAGGAUCUAGAGCUUUCAUCUUUUCCUUGUACCAAACUUUUGCCAUAUUUUAACGAGUCCAGUCAAAUCAAUCUGUUUCAUCUAUUGUUUUAUUGUAAUUUAUAGGCUCUUUCUCUGCUUCUUUUUCAUCACUUAAGAUUAUCAAUGAUCACUUUUGUUAUUGUAGAAAUGCAUUUUAUCAACAAAUGUCUUCUUUUACAUUUGAUAUUGCAGGAACUGAGAAGGAACACUUGAAAAUCACGCUGUUGCGCAUUAAAUCUUCACUACAGGGUGUAAUGUCAUGCUUGCCAGAUAUGCGCCCAUGCGACAAAAGAACUGGCGUCAUAACUGUGGAGCAUAGUUACUUUGUAAUUGCUGGGGCAGUUGGUUCCUCUGUUGGUAGUCCAGAAUUACGGGAAAGAGCUGCUAAUAUUAUACACCAGUCUUGCAAGUAGUGUAAAUGUUUGAUGGUGCUUCUUUAAGAUGAUAUACUCUCUCGAUUAGUCUUGGUUAGUCUUGAUUAGUCUCAUUAGAUGCAUCAUAUUUGACAGGUUUUUACUGGAACAAAGAGCUGAUGACAGCAUUCUUCUCAUCCUUAUUAUACGUGUCAUAGAUGCAUUGGGGAAUUUUGGUAUGGACACUUCACCUAAUGAAUCAUAUUCUCAAAGUUUUUUAAUAUGGCUUUCUUAUGGUAUUUAUGUAGGAAGCUUUGAAUAUGAAGAAUGGCUAGACUACAUUCAAGACCACAAUCUAAAUUCUGCUGUCAUUACUGAGCCGCCAUGUAAUUUCAUUGUUUCUUCUCAUGCUCAAGGGAAAAAAUGGUGAGGCCCUUUUUCACACACAAACACAUAUAUAUGUAUGCAUGUUUGCAUGUAUGCCGGUGAUUCUAUUUUAGCUAGAGCUCACAAUACUAUAAUUUCUGCUGUGAGAGAUUUCUCUGUUUUUGCAGGCCCAGGUGGGCGUUUGUUGACAAAUCAUACAUGCACAACAUGUGGCGAUCUUCACAGUCAUCUUAUCACAAAUUUUGUUUAGAUUCUGACAUUGUCCCAUCUCAGAAUAUGAAUCUCCUGAUGGAGAACCUUCUGGAUCUCGCAUUGCACAGCUAUGAAAGAGUUCGCUUGUGAGUUUUCAAUAGGUAAAAAUGUAUGGAGAAUCCCCUCAACAACUGGACAUUUUAAAAUAGGCCCCCAACCUCUUUUUUUUUUCUUGGUUGGACACCCUGUCAACUUUUGGUUAAUUUGAUUGGAGUUAUUAUAGUCAUUUAGGAAUUGUGUUUAAAUUUUACAUUUUCUUGUUGGCAAAUUAGUCAUUAACUAUAAAUAGAAUCUGCAAUUUUUGUUUGCCAAAGAAGGUUAGAGCAGCUAAUUUAAUUGAGUCACCACUAAGUCAACAAAAUUCCCAAUUUAGCUUACACUAUAAUACCUCAAAUCAAAGAAACCAAAUUGAGUGGGUGCAAUUAGGAAACUAAAGUGUGGGAUCUAUUUAAAAUGGCAUAUACUUGAGGUCCCUCCAUACAAUAUUACCUUUCCAACUGCAGCUGUUUUGCCUUCUAAAGAUAUUAUUGUUAAAUUUGUCGUCUUUAUAAAUUAUAACUCCAUUAUAGCUCAGACGUUUCUCAAAUAAAUAUACAUUACAUGAAAAAUCUUGAUAAGUUCAGUUUGAACUACUGCAAGUCUCAAUCAGCACUGCAAAGGGAGAUUUGUUGUUAUAUGAUGCUGAAACGUUCACUAUAAAUUUAAUAAAGCAUUUUUCAGUUUCUCUUUUGCUGUAACUUUUCCGAGUAACACAAAACUGUUUAUUUUACUUUAGGCUUGCUGGAAGAUCUCUUUCACGGAUGCUUAAACGAUGCCCAUCAUUCAUUGCUAGUUCUGUUCUCACAUUGAUUGGGAACUUAAAUGAUCCAAAGGUUCCAGAACAUGUAGUUCUAGGUUCUUGCAGACUUCUCGAAAAACAGAAUUUUCUUAAUCACUUGACAAUGGUAAUUACUAUUCAACAACAUAUUGGUAUAGUCUAUUCUAUAUAUGUUCCUUUAAUGACGUCUUUCUUUUAUUAGGAGGAUGCUAAACUGUUCCCUUCGUUUAUCCAGAGUCUUUUGGCAAGGUAACUAGUUAAACUACUUUGAUUUUUUUCAGUUACCAUUUGUCAUAAAUCAUACAUUAUUGCUACCUGAAGUUUGCUACUAACUUGGUUCGUGUCGAUUUGAAGCUCCCAUUUCGAAUCACUGAAGGCUCAAAAAGCUGUUAUUAAGGUAUCUAUGAAAGUUAAGUAUAUAUGGAAUGUGAAAAGAAAAUUUUACUAAUUUUUUGCUUGUUUGACUGUAACAGCUGUUCUUAGCAUUUAACAAGCACUUUUCGGUGAUAUCAAGGAGCUUUUUCAAGACUUCAGAUGCUCAAUCACGUGAUUCAAGAAUUGCAGAUUUGGUUUCUCAGAUCAGUUUGCUGAGUUCUGGCACAACUGGACGACAUUGGCGGUACUCUCUGUUGUCCCUUGUUAAACUGGCCUAAUAGCUUUCAUGUCAAGUUCCUCUUAUGUAAUUUUGCUAUGAGAAUUUGGAUAUUGCUUUUGAGAUUCUAUCCUGUUGUAGAUGUUUCAUGUUUCUUACUUCUUUCGGAACCUUUUCAUUUUUCUUUUGUGGCCUAGCUGACUCAAUAUUGUUGGGGAAGACCCACGGAGGAAGAACUCGAUGUUCUACAUGAAGUGUAAUCUUGCAUAUGUUUUGUAAUGUUAUGUUUAUCUGAAAUUAAUUCAGAUAAAUUUUGUAGGUAUAAUUUGAUGGCCAACAGAGUACUGCUCUUGCUAACUUUAUCUUCUAGGAAUCAUUCAUCUUUGACCUCAAAUAUGCUCGGGGAAGCUGUUGGUGAGUGUACAUCUAGCUACUAAUGAAAGAGUUCUAGUUUGAUAAGUGUCUUGCAGCUUUCUAUUCCCAAAUAUUUGAACUUAAAUAGGAUUCUGGUUAUCUGAUGUCAGGACAUUUUUUGAGGGAUUUGAAAAGUAAGCUUCCUCAUUCAAGGAUACUUGCAAUCUCUGCAUUGAAUGCCCUGUUAGAAGGAACACGAUGUCAAGAUUCAAGUCAGGAUGAGCAGUUUUACUUUUACCAUAACAAACAACUUGGUAAUUCAUCCAUUGGAAGAAUAUUGAAUCAGAUAAUACAGGAGGAGGGACUCUUAAGUGAGGCACUAAACAGUCUCUCCCUUUUACAUAUUGAUGAUGAUAGUGAGACUUCUGCUUCUAAAGGAUAUAUAGAAUCUUCGUUCUUUCAGAGUGUGACUGAUGAAGAACUAACUUCAUUCUACUUUGACUUCCUGGCACAAUGGCCACGUACCCCAUGUUGGAUACCUUUUCCAGGAGUUGAUAAAUUUCACCCCAACUUUGCAAGAAUAUUUCAGCGGCUUGCACAAGAAUGUGGAACACCAAUUUUGCAUGCUCUUAUGAAUAUCAUAGAACAAUUUUCUAGUGCGAAAGAGAGAUCAAAGCAGUCAGUUGCUGCUGAAGUCUUGGCUGGGAUACUUCACUCAGAUGUUAGUGGUCUUCCUGGAGCGUGGGAUAGUUGGAUGAUGCUUCAGCUGCAGAAAAUUAUGGUAGCACCAUCUUUGGAAUCAAUUCCAGAAUGGGCAUCUUGUAUUCAAUAUGCAGUCACAGGAAAAGGAAAAAAUGGCACCCAAAUUCCUGUUUUAAGGCAGAGAAUUUUUAAUUGUUUAGAAAAAACUUCAGCUCAAUCUGCCUCAACCAGUGCAAUAGUGGCUAGGAGGUAUUUUUUCCUUUCAGUUGCACUUACUGAAAUCUCUCCACCUACAAUGCCUGUUGAAGAGUUCCAAUACCACAAAGAACUUCUCAAGGAAUUGCUUUGUAAUAUGAGCCAUUCAUCUGCCAAGGUAUAUGUUAUUUUACAAUUUCUUUUCCAUUUAACAGCAUUUAUACUGAUUCUCCUUCUAUUGUUGCAAAUUUAUGUGGUAGAUGGAGUCAUUCGUGUCAAUUUAUUUUGUCUUUUUUGUAAUUGUGAGUUUGCUUUUGAUUUCGAAAUAAAAACUUUGAAUAUAAUUAUAUUGUUAUUCACAUUAUGACAUUAGAAUUGCUGUUAGAGUGGCGAUGGACUUGUAAGAGUGGCAAUGGACUUGGUGGGGCAGCCAGUCCUUGUAACUGACCAUGAGAGAAAUUUGGGCCUGAUACCAGCCUCAUGCCCUCUACAGGUUAAAAUACAUCGACCUAUUUACAGAUCUCUGUCUCCAUCCUGCCACAUAUUCCUGUCUAUCGUCCAACUUGCUCCACUACCCUACAUCACCCAGCUCACAACCAUUGGAUUUGUAGAGUACUUAGAAUUUUAAUACCCUAAUUAUAGAUCUUUAUUUGGAGUGAGACGUUUUCCGUGCCCCUUUUAGCUUGCCCAAAAAUCUACCGUAUAUACUAAGUCAUCCCUAUUGCCAGGGUCCAAAAUGGGAUAAACCCAGUCAUGAAAUGCUUUGGCCUAGUCUCAGCCUACAUCAUCAAAUUGAGAGCUAAUGGAACACACUGAUUCUUUCAACUCAAUGGAUCUUAGUACAAUUUUCUAUGUAGAUAUAAAAAUGUAGCUAUUUUUAUUGGUAGAACUACAAAUAAAUGUGACUGUAUGUGCUUACUCCAUUUUCUUGUCUUUGGUAAUUUAAUUUACUGCAAAAUCGUCUAGGCUGAUGUUGACUGUUAUUAUUAGCUCAUCAAUGUCUACAUUAGUGCUGUAGACAAGCUGGCCAUGCAUUUUGUAUUAACCUUGAGACAUCUUAUUCACAUGUCCUUCUUUAUAUAUCAAGAAAUAGUUUACUUCUUUACAACAUGCAAUUAGGUCUAGUGGUCUGCAAAUUCAUUUGUUAUACAUAUCUUGAACAAGUUUAUCUGGAUAUAGUUCUGUGACUUAUGAAACGAAUUGGUAUAAUUUCAUGUUACGAAUUUGUUAGAUUAUUCCAUAUUGUCAAACAAGUUUCUAGAGGAAUCUUGGAAAUUGGGCUCAUGAAUUUAAGAAUAAAUGAUUGUCCCAAAAUUUUUCUCUUUUCAUUUUUAAAUCCAGAAAUAAUAAAUAAUAUUCGAAGUAAAUCAAAGUUAUUACUAGGCUUUAGACUCCACUUUCUGAUUUUUCAUCUCCUUCUAUUACUCACCACAAGUGGAAGCUACUUAUUCUAUAUCUACUGAUCAUGCAAAAUCUUUAUUGCUGCACACAUAUUGUCUCAGAUUAUACCAAUAAGUAUUCAGUUUAUUGUCAUGCUUGCAUCGCUUAUUGAGACAUGAAUGAUAGGUCAGGGAAUCUGUUGGUACUACACUAUCUAUAAUAUGUUCAAACAUGCGUCUUUUUGCAUUAUUUGGGGAUAAGCACUUAAAAGAAGCUGCAGAGGACAUUAACAUGGUUGAACCACCUGAGAAGGAAAAUUGGGCUAAAAUUUUGAUGGAGGGAACUUUUGAGUUGUCUAAAAAUAUAAUUGCUAAUUUACAUACUAAGGCAAAUAGUGAUUCAAGUCAUGGAAUCAUGAAUACGGCGGUGGAGGCUGAUAUUAGAAGGAUGGAGACGGUACUUGUUCUAAUUUUGCUUGUAUUUACACUGUUGAUUUUACUGCAGUUGCUAAUUUGAUCUUAUUUAUGGCAGAUAUUCCAUUUUAUUAUUUCAUCUCUGAAGUCUGGGAGAUCUUCCUUUUUGUUGGACAUACUUGUUGGAAACCUUUAUCCCAUUCUUUCUUUGCAGGUAUGGAGAUCAGUAAAUUAAAUACUGAAUGCUCUAUUUCACUAGCAGUUUUGUAUAUCUACCAAUUUUGCAAAAGAAGUCGGAGAAUCUAGAUAUUUGUUUAUAUGAAAGAGUAUCGUAUUUAAUUGGUUAAUUUCUUUAGUAUAUACUAUGUAGAGUUUGUUACAUGCAUUCACUAUGACUACUUUGGUACAAUAUAUUUCUGGUUAUCUUCUAUAAGAAAGCCUGGGGAGUAAUAUUUGGCUUAAUUAAUAUCAGAAUGUUGCAUAGUCUUUUAGGGUUGUUUGGAUGAAUGAACAUCUCAUUUAGCACCUUUUUUUAUUUACUCAAGAAACUUAUAGUAGUUGGUAGAUGAGGAGUGCGAUGAAAUGUCUAGAAAGACAUACUAUAUUCGGUCUCCUAGUCAUUCUCACGAUAAGACAAAUACAUUAUCCAAACAUAUCAUGGCUGUCAAGACUUUACAAGAAGCUAAAAUCAACCUCCUAGCUUACAAUCACAAAGAAAAUCCUUACAGAGUACAAAUUAUUACUGAAUAGCUUAGUCUGACAUCCAGACAAGCCCUUGAUGUAUUGGUAUAUUUUACAUUUCAAGAUAGCUUGACACCUGUGUUCUUGCUUACAUUCUAUACUCUGAAGGCAUAUCUUACAUUUCAUAAUAACUUGACACUUGUCUACCUGCAUACAUAGUAUAAUUUUAUGUAAAAUCACAGUGUGAUCCUAGCUUGUUCAUGGCAGAGGGGAUUCAUGUACGUCAAUUUGAGACAGAAGGAGGGGAAGGUCAGUGAGUUGAGAAGAAUAAGUCUUGUAAACGAUUUUAAUAACCGCCUUUUCAUUUAAACUAAGGAAAAACUAAGGAGAGCACUAUACCAGAAACCUAGUGCCAGAUGUUUUACAUUCUUUUUCUAGUGAGCCUUAAAACCAGUAUUUUUUCAAUUCUAGAUGCACUGAGUGUGCUUCUAUUCAAAUUGGUUUGUCAAUUAUAUUAUCAUCCAAAUGAACCUAUCCCAAUUUUCUGGGUUUGAUUUUCACGCAAAAUUCUAAAUAAGAAAAAGAAACUUUAUUAAAAGUUUGAGAAGAAUUUAGUUACAUCCAAAUUACAAUUUAAUAGGAAAGGGUAUAGCUGGACCCUGAGCUCUAAAAAUUUGAAAUUCUGUUCCUAUAUCAGAACAUUUGGUUUUUGUCUGUUUUUGAUCAUGUAGUUUGCUUUUUGUUUUUGCUUUUGUUUUUUCUCAUUCAGAUGAAUUUCCUGAAUGCAGUAUAUAAAAAGAGAGAGUAGAAGCUCUAAUGAGUUCACAUGCCAAGGAAAGGCAUCAAUGUACUUACAUAGUACAUACAAUUUCUAACCUAGUACAUAGUCUAUAAAAACACAAUGAGUAAAAGCUCUAAUAAGUUCACAUGCCAAGGACAGUAUCAAUAUACUUGCAUCACGGUUUAAGGUGCCGUGGCACAGGGGUGUGCUACUGUCUGCUUGGUACGGUACGGCAUCAGCAUGCUUCCGUGCCAACACAUGGUACACUUGCGUGCCGAUGGAUACGCAUGACGCCAUGACCUCCUACUGGCACACUUUGGCACGGAUUUAUUUUAGUUUUUUUGUUUCUAAUAAGGUCCAAUAAUAUUAUUUUGAAAAUUUUAAUCAAAUAAUUAUGAAUAUUUGCUAUGUAUAGCUUACUAUACUCAUCAAUUAAUAUACUUGUAAGCUUUUUUGUAUGUAAAGUAUAACUACACCUUAUGCAGAAUAGAAAUUUUUAUAGAUUAGAAUUUUAAAAAUGCAAAGUCAUUUUUCUUUCUUUCUUUUGACCAUAUUAUAGUCUUUUUUUAUAAAAUACAAAAAAAUAAUUUUUAAAAUUAUUUUAAAAUUAUUUGAAAAAUUAUUUUAAAAAGUAUUUGAAAAAAUUAUUUUUUAAUUAAAUUUUUCAAAAAAUUAUUAGAUCUAUCAAAAAAAUUAAGCAAUAAAUUAUAUGACAAAUAAAUUAAAUAAAUUUAAGUAUCAAUUGUUUUAAUCUAGCUUUUAAUUUUAUCAGUAUUUUUAAUCUUCUAACGCAAAAAUAAAAUUCUAUAUUUGAUGUGCCUCAAAAUUUGUUUAUUGAGUUCGAUUUUGUUCCCUUAAUUCGCCAAAAGUUUCGCGGUGUGACAAAUUUUGAUAAAAUAAUUUAUGAAAAAAAAUUGAUGUCUAUGAUAGAAGCGGAGGGAUCAGAUAUGCAAAUUAAAAAUUUGGCCGUAUAUUGAUAAAUAAAAAUAUUAAAUUAUAACAUUUUUGACUUAUCUAACAAGUAGAUUUUCGAUUUACAAUGUCUUUGGAGGGUGUGGGAUACUCCGGAUGCUUCUUGGUACCCAAAGAACAAAGCAAAAAGAAAAAAAGCAAAAAAAAAAGUGUGCCGGCACGGCACAGUGCCAUGGCAUAGACCUGCGUAUCACGCUGUCUCGCGCGAUACGCAGGUCCGUGCUGCCGCAUGAAGGGGGGGUCCGAGACCCCCCAUGUACCGGCACGGUACGUGUCGCCCCAUGCCGUAUGGCACGGGGCGAUACUUUAAACCUUGACUUGCAUAAUGCAAAUAAAAUUUCUUACACAAAUUUCAAUCUUUUAUAGAGUUGAGGUGGCUUUCUUUUGAGUUUGCUAUUGACUGUGAGUUUGCUUGGUGCUCUUUAGCUGAUGGCAUUUACUGAUGCUCACAGGAUAUAUCAAAUAAAGAUUUGUCCGCAUUGGCUAAAGCUGCUUUUAAGUUACUAAGCUGGAGAAUUCUACCACGGCCUUUUUUGGAACGUUUUGUUUCAGUGAUCCUUUCUUCAAUCAAUGAUUCUAAUUGGAGAACUCGAUAUGAAUCUAUCACUUUUCUUGGUAUCUUUAUGUACAGGUUUGAAUUUUAGUUAUCUCUCAUUUUGUUUUGAAAAUGUGAUUUUACCUGUCAGAAUAAACAUUUGGUUUAUAAUGUUUUAGUUUUUCAUAUUGUUCUUUAGGCUGCUAAACUUUUAACACAUCUCAGUCUAUCUUUAAUGAUAUCUCGUUUUGCCCUGCCAAAUCUCCUCUUUCACUUAUUGCUAUUGUUUCUCAACAACUGAUCACAAAUUAGGGAGAGCAUGGGCAAAUAUUUACCUAGCAGAAUAUUCCCACCCUUUGGUACUUUAUUCUUAGUUUUUGUUUUGUAUCUUCUGAAGUGAUAUGUGUGAUAUCUUAUGGUGUAAAUAUUUUCUAAAUAUUUGUAUGAUUAUACCGAAUCAUCAGUGAUGCAUUUCAUUUUAUUGCUAUCGUGAAUGCCACAAAAUAUGUACCUAUAAAGUAUAAACCGAUGUUGCAUCCAUCCUGAACAAGAAUUAUAAUGAUGGGUUUUCUGGCAUAUUUGUACAAUGACCACUUCAUCCUAAUUACCCUCAUCUCCAACAAUAGUAGCCAAGGAUGGGGUGAGAUUCUCAUUUUGCAUUAGGUUAUUGUAGAUGAUACAGCAUCCUUAGUAUGAUGUCAUGUCAUCUUAAUAUUUGCUUUUGCAUCGACCUUUUUCUUUUCAUUACUUCUAUGGAGAUUCAUGGUGGUAUUUGAUUCAAAGUAGGACUAGUUUGGAAGUUAAAUCCUUUAGAUAGUAGUUGUUCAGGCAGGAAUAUUGAGUAUUUUGUAGAUGUCUAGAUUAAUUCCUCCUUUCUUAUUUCUCUGUGCAUGGAAGUAUCUUUGCGUAGGAGAGAAAGUUCUUAGAGUUAUUACUUAUGAGAUGCUUCAUGACACGUCAUUGACUUCACCAAUAACUUUUUUUUUGUGUAUUUCUAAAUUUUAUUCUUCAGGAAAAUAUGAUUUAUAUUUUUACAUUGCAAAAUUCAGAAGAAAAAUGACAAAAGGUUUCAAUUCUUGAUUACUCAGUGUUUCAUAAGGGCUUUUUUCUAUUCUGCUAGUGAACUCUACUUUCUUGACACGAUGACAAGACUAAAAAAAAAAAAAAACUUAACUCCAAGAAAAGUGUCUCGCAGACUAUGAUUCUAACACUUCGCCAGCGUUUUAACAGGCACACUUUCACUCUAUCUAGAUUGGAAAAAUCACAAAUAUGGCAGAACAUUGAGAAGCUACUUGUUGACAAACAAGUUGAGGCAAGUCCAUCUAUUUGGUUUUCAUUCUCUCAAAAUGCUCUCUUGAAUUUCUAUUUCAUAAUUUUUUCUGGAAUUGGAAAAGGACGUAUUGAAAAAUUUAAAGGAAAAAAAGAAGCUAAAAAUUUGAUUUUUUUUUUUAAUGGCAAACUGCUUGAAGCCCUUACACUAGUAAAAGCACAUACUUGUAACUAUUUUGCUACUCUUUUAUCAUGUGAUUCUAUUCACUAUGUCAAAAUUUUGAUUACAUUAGAACGUACUUUCACAAUUUUAGAAGGGGAAAAAAAUCCAGACUCACCUAAACUUGGCCAGAUCACGAGUACAAAUUGCCGUCCAAAGUUUAAAAAUUUGAAGUUUACUACAUUGAUAAUUAGUUUGUUUCAACUCGCUUACCUGAAUUUCCGGCCUGAUUUCACCCAUAGUUUGGCACUAUUACAAAACUUAAAAAAGUAAUAUAAAGAACAUGUUGCGAAAAAAAAGAAAAGAAUAAUGCACGGAUGUCCACGCAUGUUUUCAAUGGUUGGAAAGUGUGAAAGAAAAUUACAUUUAUUUUCUGAACUCAGGCACAUGUUUUUUCAAUGGUUGGAAAGUGUGAAAGAAAAUUACAUUUAUUUUCUUAACUCAGGCACAUGUUUCGAAAAUAUACUGCACAUUAUCUGCUAUUCUUUUCUCUGCAUGAAAGCUCAGGUGAGAGAGCAUGCUGCAUUAAUUCUUGCAAGCUUAAUGAAGGGCGGAGACCGUGAUCUAUAUAGGGAGUUUCGUGAUCGAUCAUAUGCCAAAGCACAAUCAGUUAUGCAGAAGGGAAAACCGAGGUUUAAUAUUGACUUCUAAAAUUUUUUUUUGUGAUUAUUUUACAUUAGCUGAACUUCCUCCUUUUUUCUCGUUACUUAGUGCCUGAAUUCUCUGUUCUUUACCUGCUUAAGUGGAUAGAUAUCUGUUAUGCCUAUUGUAGUGGAUUAAAUGAAAAUUAUGCUACUGCAGAAAAACUUCUCAUCAUUCGGUAGCUUCUAUACAUGGUGUGGUCCUUGCUCUCGCUGCUUCAAUACUAUCAGUUCCAUAUGAUAUGCCCAGGUCUGUGGUGCGACAAAAAGUUCCUAUCUUAAGCCCACAAUAAAACAGAGGCAUUUAGUUUCAGUUAUCUAUAUUCUUUCAGCUGAAAAAUGUCAACCUGUUAAAUUAUAUAAAACAACUGCUAUUCUCCAAUAGCUUAAAAUAUCAAGGAACAUUUAUAUUCAACACUCCUCCUCCCGUUUGGACUCAAGACAUUUUGAUAAGCUCAAGACUUGGACUUGAAUUAAAUGAGAGAAAAUUAGUUAUAUUAAAAGCCUGGUGGGAGUUGACCUCAUGACCUCUGGCUCUGAUACUAUAUUAAAUUGUGUGAAACAAUUGUUGUUCUCCGAUUGCUUAAGCUACCAGAGAACGGUAUUUUUAAUUUUUUGUAUUCAACACAACCAAAUAUAGAUGCCAGUUUGGGCUUAUUAUAUUUCAGGAGUUAUUGCUUAUAUGUUCUCUGGUUUAUAAGUUGAUGUCGUAGUGUCUAAAUCACCUGCAACAUUAACUUUAAUGUCUAAAUGACCUGCAACAUGAACUUAAUUUUGAAAUUUGAACAAUGAAGUUCUCUUCUAUGUAAUUAGAAACUUAGUAUAAUAAGCUAAUCUAGAGCUAUCAGUAUUUGACUAGAAUGCUUUUCUUCAUGUCUUUUGGAUGGAUGGUAGGAGAUUGUGUUAAAUUGUACGAAAUAACCGUUAUUCUCCAAAAGCUUAAGUUGUUAGAUAAUAGUGUUUUACUAUUUAUAUUCGACACUCCCUCUCACGUCUCUGCUCGAGACUUUUUUUAUAGACUCAAGACAUGGACUUGAAUUACAUGGAGGAAAUUAAAUAAUACUAGGAGCCUGGUGGGACUCGAACUCCGUACCUCUUGUUCUGAUACCAUAUUAAAUUAUACAAAAUUACCGUAAUUCUCCAAAAGGAGCAAAUGAAAUAUAAAAAAAUACCAUUCUCUAGUUGUUUAAGCUUUUAGAGCAAACAGUUGUUUUACAUGAUUUAACAUAUUGCAAUAGAAAAAUUUUUUAAAAAAAAUUCCUGUCUAUGACUAGUCAUAGAUAAACUAAUCCACAUCCUAAGAAAGGUGGCUGAAAACUCUGAGAUGGAUUGUUUUUUAAAAAAAAAACAAAGUUAAAAAGAGCUUACGAGGAUAAGGUCUUUGAAUCAUCAUAGUGGAAGUAUAGAAAAUACAAAGAGUGUUGAUUAAGAUAAUGGCUUGCCCUCUGCUUAUUUUUAAAUGGGAUGCCUGUGUAGCUACUGUGAGAUAUGGAUCCCAAGGAUCUAAAAGGUGAAAAACACCUAGAGGGGGGUGAAUAGGUGUAAACGGUAAAAUAAAAUAAACUCGAUGCGAAUAUGAAAUAAAUGCGGAAAAUAAAAUCAGCACACCGAGAAUUAACGUGGGAAAACCCCAAAUCGGAGAGAAAAACCCACGGGACCGAUCACACAAAGAAAUCCACUAAGAAAACAUGAGUACAAGUGAUUUAGCAAAAAUACAAGACUCAAAAUACCGAAUCCUCGUUGUAGAUUAUCUUUGCUGGUCCACGAUCGCUUGGAACCCUCCAACCGAUCACACUGCAAGUCCUUGCAGCUGCACACGCCUCGAUUCCACGAAACGCCCACCGAAUCCACGGUCUCCACGCGAGAUCCACGCGCUAAAGCUCCAUCUGAAGCUCGUAGAAGUUCAACAAUUUGUGGUGAUUAAAGGUCUUUGAAAGCACAUAUAAUAUGAGGAGAAACUCGAAUUAAAACAUCAUCAAUUUGAUCCUUAACUAAAAUUUGAAUCAAAACGAAGAAUCACUAAAAUUUGAAUCAAAACGAAGAAUCAAAUUGAUGAUCUAAUGCUUGAUGUUUUAAAAACAUAGAACCGAAACUCCGAAUCAAGCCGUUAGGGUUUUUAAAAAGUUAUCUCGCUCAACUCUCUUCAAAUAGAGAUCCUCAUAUCAUAUUUAUAGGUUUAGAAGACUUCUAGAUAGAUUAGGAUUCCAAAAACUCAAUUUUAAAAACUGACGUCGGUCUCAGGGUCCGGUCCUUUCGAGGAGACCGGUUCUUGGGAGACCGGUCCUCCAAGGUGAGGUCCGGUCUUUCGCUGCGUAGAUGUCAAAAUAUGCGUACAGGGACCGGUCCUCAAUUCAGAGACCGAUCCUUCCCUGCGCAACAAGGAAAACCACGUACGGGGACCGGUCCUCAUGAUCAGAGACCGGUCCUUCCCUGCGCAAAAAGGAAAACCACGUACGGGGACCGGUCCUCAUGAUCAGAGACCGGUCUCCCAAACCUUCUACGCAGAGAAGCUUGAUGGGUCCGGUCCCUCUGAUCAAGGACCGGUCCCCAACCCCUGAGUUUUUCCAGAAAACUUAAGUUUGAAUAAACAAAAAGGAAACCAAGUCUUCUAAACAUCUUUUAACAAUGAAAACUUCACCACAAUUUAUUUAUAAUCAUACCUGAGUUCUCAAGGGUCUUUGAUCACAAAAACUUCAAUUCUUUUCGUCAAUCUUCAUCUUCUAAUUCUUCGAGACUCCAUCCAAACCAUCACGAAAUUCGCCAACUUAUAAAAUCCUUAACAGCUACCACAACUACUGCAAUGAGAAAAUGAAAAUAUAUUGGACUUUUUUUUCCAAUACAUGUAACCUCUUUUCCUAGUUCCUACUUAUCACAAAAAUAUUUUGAAACUCUUAAUUUACAUCGGAAAUCUUAAAAAAAAAAAAAAAAACCUUUUUGGUAUGGCGCAUGCCUCGCUUGCAUUUUAUCACCCUUUGGUUCAAAAUGUUGUAAUUUGCUACCCUAUGAUUUUUGUUUUACUCUCCAUAAGGGCCUGUCCUUUAGUAGGGUAGCAAAGUGAUGCAUAGUACAACCAAAGUAUGCAAAAUGUAGCAUUUUAUUAUGCUGUGGUUAUUAAAUAACGUGUGACGCUGUCUUAUAACAGCAGGUCCUCACAGCAAAUAAAAACAAAAACCACAUGGCAGUAAAGUGCUAUAUUUUGAACCACCAGGUAGUAAACUACAAAUGCACUGAAAGCAAAGGGUGGAUUUUUGAAGUUUCCUUUUUCUCUUUUUACCUUGAUUCCUUUAACAUGAAUCAUAUUCCUGUUUUGGCAUUUUCUUCAGCUGGCUACCCAAUCAUGUAACCUUGCUAGCCCAAUUUGUUGAUGAACCUUACCCCACCAGAUCAACAGUUACCAAAACGGUUGCAGAGUUCCGGAGAACGCAUGCAGAUACUUGGGACAUUCAAAAGCAUGUAUUCACAGAAGAGCAACUUGAGGCAAGCCCAAUCGUUUCUUUCUUGGAAUCAUAUAGAGUCUCACCGAGGAAACAUUGGUUAGACAUGUUCUAUCAUGUCAACAAUAACAAAUGACAUGAGCGCUAAACAUGCAACACAAGCCCUUCAAUCCUCACAGGGCUGUGAUUGCAUUUUUGUCGGCCCAGUAUGAGAGCCUUGAUCAAGGAAUGUUUUCUCUUCAUUUUUAUUGCAUUGAAGUAUCUUCUAUCCUCUAAUAAAUCCUUAUUUAUAUUUGCAGGUCCUUGCAGAUACCUCAUUUUCUUUCUCAUACUUUGCUUAGUUAAUCCAUUAUCUCAUCUUGCAGUAGUCCAUAGGUACCUUUAAUUUGGAGAAGUCGUCCCAAAAUUACACUUUCAUGUUAUUUUGUUUUAUUUAGCAAAUAAUUGGUUGUAUUUGUAUCAUCAUAAUUGUAACAUUGUGUUAUAUCCUUGAUAUAUUUAAUUUGGUUUCUAUUCAAGAGUUCAGAUUGCCAAAUAAAUAGGCCAAAUUUUUUAGCAUUGUUUUUUCCCAUUGAUUCCUUGAGCCUUGGAUACCAUUAGCUUGCAAUGGGGCUACCUACUCAAUAUAUGUAAUGAAUUUAGGAACUCAUCAACAUGAACAUACCAAUUUUCACCAUUACUUAGUUUACCUUCUUUCUGUGCACAUGAUACUUCUUCCGAAGAGUCACUUGAAAAUGAGUCUUGUUGCAAUGAGUAUUGACGAUAUGAUUCAAAUGGUAUUUUCAAAUAAAUUUGUAAGAUUAUCAGUGCACUAGCUUUCUUACCGUUGGCUCCUGAGGUGAUUCACCUUUGUCUUCCAAAAAUCUUGGGGAAACUGCUGGUGACUGUUCAUGUGUGGUCAAAUCUCUUUAUAAUCCAAGGGUACAUGCCAAGUGGAUAUUUAAUGAGGCACUAAACCAUCCACCGAGCCAGGGAGACCUUAUUCUUUCAGAGCAUGUUUGGUAAGGCAACUCUUUCUUUUAUUUGGACUUACUCAGUGUGAUAACCUGGCAGCCUAAGUUGGAUAAUUUUUUCUUUUUUUUUUUUUCGUUCUCCUCAGAUGCGAUACUGUGUCCAACUUUGAUACUAGAAUGUGAAGUAGCUGAUACUAGAAUGUGCAGCAAAGAGGUCAAAGCUGUGAGUCUGUACUGGAGCCAUGAAUGAUAUAUGGUCCACUCAGGUACCAUGUGGCUUUGAUUUUUGAAAGCAUGAGACAAUUGAAUGAUGUUUUAGCUGCAAAACUAUCUGUGGGAAUAAUUUUUGACCGGGACUGCUUUUAUUUGAUACAUGGUUGUGGAUGGCUAGGCUGGACCAUUGCAUCUAAUGAACCAGUAUAACUAUUCCUUGUGGUUGAUCUUAUUGAAAUUUAUUUAACUAGGAUGGCACCUUUGGAGAUCAAAUACCAUGCCAUUCAUCCUUUCAAAUUAAAUUAAUUUUAUUUUGAUAAUGCUCGCCCCAUUAAUAUUUUCUAGUUAUCUAAAGAUGAUGCUUUUAUUAUUUCUCUUUUAUUUCUCUGUCUAAUUCCUCUGAAGCUUUUAAAUCAUGGCUCAUAUGCAUGUAUCUCCACAACCCCUUCGAGUCAAAAUUUGCAGAUUGCUUAGCUUGGCGAGCAUUUAAUCAAGUUUGCUGAGAGUUAAUCCUUCCUUUUGGUUGCUCUUACUGAGAUCUCUUCAUUUAGGAUGACUUCUUUGGAGGUCAGAUAUCGCACCAUUCAUCUGCCUAUAUUGUUUAGUUUGCAGUACACAUAAUACCCCAGGCGGAAUUCUUUUAAUUGCUUUGAAGUAUGUUGUGAAGCUAAUAUAUAUAAUAAUUAUGCAUGAUUCACUGGUUGUGUAACUAUGUUUUAGGAAAACUCCUCUCUGACCUGAACUUGCUCCAACUUCUUCGGGAUUGACAUCAAGUUGACUUCUGUUGGAAGUUUGUAAGUUCCUCGCCAAACUUUCUCAACCUUUUUUAAUUCUGCUAUCGCCAAUUUCGUAGACUCGGAUGAAUGGAUUGAGCAGCAACGCUAUUCUAGUGCCUCUUUGGCACGUCAUGCACCUUCACUUAAAGUUCUUUUUAGAAAUAUAAUUUUAUCUAAUUAUGUGCCUAAGACAUAUUCUUACAGUUUUUCAAAUGUUUUUGCUUGACAUUUUCACUUUAGUUCAAGCCUUAAUUAGCAUGUUGAUCAUGAAAAUACGUGAUGGGCAUUUAUUAUACCAAGAAAGAAGUUUCUUCCUUCUUCUAUAAUUGUUCUUGGGGUAACGGAGAAAUCGCCUUUAUAACAUAUCAUAUAUGAGCUUAUCAAAUUAAUGUUUCUGUUGAGAAUUAUUAUCCAAUUCAUCACAUACUUAGAUGUUAUUAGAGCUCAUUCAGUGUAAUUUUACGAAGUACUGACCCAUCUAUCUGUAUUCUUGAGCUACUUCGGCAGUUCCUUUAUAAAUCUUUGCCAGAGUUAAUCAUUGUGUGUGACCUUUGUAUUUUCAUGAGCAAGUAAAUCGACAGUGGUUGUGUUCUUCACAUAACCAAUCGCCCGGUGUGUUCUCACUUUUUGUCUAGUAAUUCUCAGAAUGCCAGCAAUUCAUGGGGAUUACUAGAGGUACCUCUCAUAAUUAGAUUGCUUUUUGUUUCGAAAUUGUGACUUAGUUUUUUGUUAUUCAUUUAUACAGGCAGUUUCUUGCAUAUACGCUUUCCCCUCAUUGUGUAAUUCUAUUACAAAUGCUCUUAUAUUCUAACCCUGUACUCUUUUAUUGCGGGCUUAUAAUUAUUUUUCUUUUCUUUUUCUGUUCCAUUUCAGCUGUACCAUUUGUCCCUUUCUCAAGCCAGAGGAUUCAUCAGAUCCUCAGGUAAGUCCCAGAGAACGCAGUCAGCACCAAAUAUACCACCGUCCCUUUUUCUGUCAUCUUUCCUGCCCUCGGCCUCUUCCCCAUCGUCAUCCUCCCCUUUCUCCCGCAAUAUGCCGGGCUUCUGUUCCGCCGCUCCCCCCGUGCACGUGCUGCCCGUGCAAAUGCUCUGGCUCCACGCGGACGCCUCCCCGUCGUUCCCGUACGAGGUCUCAUCGUAUCCGAAACCCUCUUCGCCCAGUUCCGGGAAUGCUCCGCACAUCCCAGCAAGCCCACUGGACGGCUCCCCAGCGGGCCCCACCAUCGCACUCCACGCCUUGUCGGAGCUAUUGGGCUCAUGCAUGACCGCCCGGGAGAGCCCCAGCUUGAUCCUCCGGAUGGUCUCAUCCUUGACCUCGUCCGGAUUCGUUGGGGGAAAGGCCGUGAUGGUCGGACCGCCGGCGGCUAGCUGCGGCAUCGGCGGCGGAGGGGGUCCGCCGGAGAAGUCGGUGCGCUUCUUGGUGAGGAGGUGGAGCAUCUCGUCCUUGAAGCAGCCGAGGGCGGCCUCCGCAAGGUGGGCCACUUGGGGUGGGGCGAGGGUCGUGGCGAUCUCGGCCAUGAGGUGGGAGAAGGGCUUGUGGGUCACAGGAUCGAUACCCAUCCCGGAGAGCUUCUUCUUCAGCUUGGUGUUCCAGUGGUUCUUCACGUCGUUGUCCGUGCGCCCUGGCAACUGCGCGGCUAUCAAGGACCACCUAUAGUGCCCCAAACCAGGUGUGACUGAGAAAUUCAAAUUAUGUUUUGCAAUUCAAUCAAAAGAAAAUUCUUUCUUUGGUGUGUUAAUCAGAAGAGAUCAGCUUUGGUAUUGUGCAAUUUGCAGUAAAAUUGUCACUGCCAACCGCUACAGCACCUUAGGUUGUGGGGCCAGCUAACCUUUCUGUGCUAGAAGUUUGAACAGCUAUUGCAGAAUUUAUGCCAAACAAGGCUUAUGCUAUAGAAAAACUAUAAUGAAUAAUUUUAAGUACCCAGAAGGGGUUUGCGCGUGAAGAUGCAGGUUUAAGUUGCAGUGGGAUGAUACAAGAAGCAUGAAGAAGAGCAUUGCCUGUUUCCAACAACAGAGUGCAGUUUGACUAUGGUUUGCUCUUCACACUCGGAGAACUCUCCAUGCUUGAGAUCAGGGCGGAGGUAGUUUGUCCACCGGAGCCGGCAACUCUUUCCACAUCGCUGCAGACCUAUUGCCCACGUUUGGCAAGUCACGGGUAAGUUACAUGCAACAAGUUUGUAAUUCUCACAUAUAGAAACUUCACCAGGAAACAGCUAAAUGCCUACUUGGCCUUGCUUAGAGAAUAUCUUCUUACUAAGAAGCAACAGCCGCAGUUUUGACGAACAAAAGAAUCCUAAAAAAUCUAGAGCUUCUGGUAUUUGGAAGCCAAAAUGAGUUUCCAGUCCAAUGAAUAGAAGCUACGAAAAUUUUUCAUGUAGUGGUUACUAGAAAUUCUACUUUUACAGCAUCCAAGCUAAACAGGCUUCUGAGCACAAAUCAAUUAAAGCUUUAGUAGGCACAUAGUCUACAGUAUAGGGCUGUGGAAUUAAUACGCCUGGGAUGAGGUUUGUGUAGCUACCAGCGUUCUUAGGGAUGAGACGCCAGUUGCGGGUUCCAUGUUGCGCGAUAUAGGAGGAUAGCUUGUUGUCUUCCUCCGGGGUCCACUGUCCUCUUUUUACGUUGUCCUUCUCACAACACGGGAUCCUGCCCAUUCUUAUCUUGCUGGCUUUAUCUCUCUUUAUAUCUAAUCUUAAUCUUACUACUCCCCUCUUCGGGCCUCUCUCUCUCUCUCUCUCUCUCUCUCUCUCUCUCUCUCUCUGGAGAUUCGCUGCACCUAACUAAUUAACCCACUCUGGAAAAGGUAAAGACUAGGAGAAAGAGGUUUCACCGUUCCUUCUUUUUCCCUAUUCUAUCUUUUGCUCGUCUUUGUAUUGUAUAAGGCGGUAGCUAUUAAUAUUAUUUGUCCAUGUAGAGAGAGAUGUGAGGAGGGAAGUGGGGGUUCACGUGUGGAUGCAUGGAAGGCUCAAUGAGCAUGAUUUGUAUAAAGAAUUCAACGCCCGUUGAGUGCGUGAGGCUCGGGGCAGGUGGCUCACCCACAAGAUGCCUGGUCAACCCUCACGUCUCUCUCUCUCUCCUCGUUGACCUCUGAAAUUGAGCAUCUGAACGGAAGUGCAGGUUGUUUCUACCCUUAAUUAUUAGCAUUUACUAACUCUUUGAUUGUGCGCGGAGCUUAUUAAGGUAUCUUAUGUGUGCUCGCUUUCGACGCCUGAGAUGAUUCUGCUAUAUUUUUCUUUUGCCCAUUUAUCUUGCUAUUGUGAUCAAUAAUAUUUGAAUAUGACAAUGCGUUCCGAGCUCACAAACUCUAGGCCUAAGAUGCAUGGGCUCGCAACUCCAAUGUUUAUAUUCAAGCAAAAGACGUGAUCUGGGAUUCACAUUGCAAAGAAGGCUUGGUCUUUAAACAUGCUAUGCUAUUAUUUCAUUAUUUUAGGAUGUGCAAAUGAAAUAUCCCAAAUCUUUUAUAUGGCCUGAUGAAACCGACUACCUAUGUGGGUAGUGCCGUAGUGGGCUCGGAGUUUGGUCUGGAUUUUUGUCCGAUUGAAUAACCCUAACCUAAGAUUUUCUAAGUACUACAUUAAUAUAGCUCAAACUCUUUUUUUUUUUUUUCAUAUUUUAUGUUCUCAAGUUUAGUUAAGCCAAUCACAGGCGAGCUAUAUCUGUCUAAUAAACAUACCAAAUUAGUGAGCCACACCAUUAAAUCCUAAACAGUAAGCACGGCCCUAAUCUUACCACAAGAAAUUGAUGUCUUUUGUCUAACUUACUAAAAUUAAUUGAAUGAAAUAACGAAGUUGAUAUAUCUAUUAAAAAAACAAUGUAGUGUUUUUCCUCUUGAAAGAGAUGCUUAAUUUGUAGCCUAAUUUAAAAACAGUUAAGCGUAGACUUUUUGCACAGGGAGAGAGCGAGAGAGAGAGGGAGAGGGAGACCAGUGUUAGAGAAGAUUUAAUAACUUAAUUUUUAAGAAGAUACCAGUAAUGGAGAAGGAGAUUUAAUUACCUGAACUCAUAAGAAGACUAUUGCUGACCCAAUUUCAACUGGUUAACAAGAAAUGUUCCAAACAACCUUGGCUAGCCUCACAAGUUUUUGGAGAUCACUAUGCUGUGCUCAGGUGAGCCAUCCGUUAGGAGCUAAGCUACUGAUGCCAUGCACGGUGAAAAAUAUAUAACACAAGCAGGCAAUCAUACCUGAUAAAUAUCUAUGUUGUUCUUUGUUGCGCAAAAUGCCAAUUCCAAAUGCAUUAGCUGCAUAAACUGCAGAACGCAAUCACCACCAUCAUGGAGUAAAGAGAACUUCAAAAUAUUGCUCUUUUCUAGGAAAAGAAACAACCUCCACCAUAAAUCCAGAAUAUUGAUAGAACUUGGAAGCUACAUUAAAUAUUGCUAAAAGCACAUAAGCAGCAAGCCUGAAUUACAAAAGUUUAUGCAUGAAUCUGAGAGAAAUGCAACAAAAGAAUACAGAGUAUGAAAAGGUACAGGUUGAUUAAUGGUAAAUUUCAGCUGUAAUAAUAGGUAGACUCUGGAGUAGAUUAAUUUACUAAACUUAUGGCAUCAAGAGAUGGAGAAGAGUACCUUCAAUCAAUCUUUACGGAUGAGAAAAGAUAGUAAACAAAAGAAAAUGACAUCAAAAAGCCGAUUGUGCCGGUCGAUAGCAUGAUAGCAAAAGCCAUGAUCAGUGAAUAACCAAGGUAGAGUAUAGCAGAAACAGGCCCACUCAAGCUUCUAAGGUCAAACACCAGGUAGUUGAUCGAGUAUAGGAGCACAUAAAGGGCAACCGAGCCAGAAGCAAAGAAAGCUUUCCACCACCAUUUCCAGUCCUCCACGCAGAGAUGCAUGUAAGUCAAAACGACCGACACUUCGGCACAGACAAUCACAAGCAAUAGGAAAACGAUAAGUAGGAAUCCAAACACAUAAUAGAACCUCCCAAGCCAUAUACUAGAGAGAAUGAAGAAGAGCUCAAUGAAGAGGGUGCCAAAGGGAAGUGUUCCAGCACCAAGAACAAGAAGCCAAGAUGGGUAUUUCCCUUCAGGAAUUUCUCUUGGGAUCUGAUUAGUACGAACUGGGAAUUCUAUAUGUUCAGCCCUUGUGCCCAGAAACCCACCAAAAAGGGUAAGCGGCACCGAGAUGCAGAACCAAAGGGCCAGAAGAGUGAAAAAGAGUGAGAUGGGUAAAGCCCCAGUACUCUUGUUCUUCCACAGUAUAAAAUUUAGUGUGGUGAGAAUUACGAAUAUUAUUCCAGGGAAAAAGCAGGCAAUUGACCAAGAAAGCGACCUCCAUCCUUCAGAGCUACCCUUUAUAGUCCUGUAGAGGCGAACACCAACAUAUCCAGCUGCAAUACCAAGGAAGAGAUAGAGAAUGAUCAUGCCUGUCAACAGCAUUCCUCUCGAGGCAGGAGACAUGAAUCCUAGAGCAGCAAAGAUGAUUGCGACUAUGCCCAUUCCCAAAAUCUGAACUCCAUCCCCAACCAUGACGCAUAGUAGCUUUGAGCAAGCAGGCUCUCUGAAUACAUCGCCCACAACGAGUUUCCACCCUGAAAGCUCCUCAUUCAUCUGAGCUUGGGCUUCUUUAUCCAGCUCCUCAUAUUUAGUUAGAUCUCUCCUAACAGUCCUUAGGAAUAUAACAAAUACAAUCCCCGCCAAGAAGAGGAUAACCAUCAAAGAAUUCAUUAUCGAGAACCAAUGGACCUUUGAGCCCUCCAUUUUUAAAUAAGCAUCCCACCGUGAGGGCCAUCUGAUAUCGCUUUUCACAAACUCGACUUCAUAAGUAAACGAGAUCCUUUCUCGUUCGCGAAUCAUCUGAGAUUUCUCAAUCUCCAGUGGGCAGUUCACAGAAUCAAUUUUAUCAUACAUGUUUUUCUUCAACAUGGAUUCUGGGUCCCGCUUCACACUGCACGGGACAACUUCAAACCCUACAAUCUCAUACCCCGACAUCUUCUUCUUAUCGGUAUCUGAGAUCACUCCAAAGCCCUCUUCCCCCGUGCUAAUAAUCUCCACGUUACUUCCUUCAUACUCAUGAACCAAGACCUUAAACUUCAAGUGGUUGAUAAUAUAAUCUUCUGAACUACCAACUGGAGUGUACCCAACAGGGAACCCAGUCCACUGAACUGUAAGCCCAUUCUGCUCAGUGAACCGCAGUACAGGAAGGUUGUCGAGAAUCAUGUUGACCUGAUAAAGAUCACGGGUCCUCUGCUUCAAAAGCUUCACUUCAUUCUCAUUUAAUGGGUUUGUGGUGCAGAGGUAGAGGGACUCACUAACAUUAACACGAAAUCUAUACGGAGAGUUAUCAAUCUGAUCGCCCAUGAGAAGCUCCCCUAAAUUCUCAGCACUCUUCUUGAUCCCGCCCUGCGGCCAGCAGUAGGGGAGGCUGUAGUAACUGAAAGGGAGCUCGGUCUCGAUGGAAGUAAGGGAGUUGACUUUGACCCAAAUGGUUUCGCCUUGUGCGUAUGUGUGCAUAUAACUACCAGGGAGAUAGAAGGCAUUGCCAGGAGAGACGAUUAAGAGCAGAUACAACAAAGCAGAGAGGAUCAGAGAGUAAGAUCCAUCUGAGAUCCGAGAUCUCGCCAUAUUGACUUCAGCUAUAGCAAAAUUUACACUGCCAGAUCUGUUUGCUCAGACCCUAAUUUAUUCUACAAAUUAACGUCAUCUACUGCGAAUCCUGAAACCAAACAAAUUGAGAGGAAAUACCCCAAAUCAGGCCUAAAAAUAAGAUUUAUAUAGCUAAACACAGUCCAAAUCCGAUCAAUACGACAAAUAAACCCUAAUCCGAACACAACAACGAGCUCUUCAUCAUCCAAAUGUAUGAAAACCAAGACAAAUCAGAUGAAAACAACAGUAAAAUUACCAGAUUACAAGCCCUAACCAACACAAAGUGAGUGGUUCAACCUAAAACACCCUCGAUCAAAGAACAAACCCUGGAUUCCUCCAUUUUCGAUCCGAAAAAACAACGAAACGAUGAAUAGAGAGUGAAUGGAACGGAUCUAGGAAUGGGAGAGUUACCUGAUUCGCAGGACUAGGGCAAGCAGAAGCCAGAACGGGAGGAUAACGAGGAGGGAUCUAGAAGCGAAACAAGGAGAAAUGGGGAGAGGAGGAGGAGUUAAUAAAGAGGACGAGAUUCGAGAUUCGAGAAGCACCCUCUCCGGAUCCGUCUCAGCGUUCGAGGGAGAAGAUGAGUGAUUGAGUGAGGAGAGGGAGUUGGGAGCGCAAAACGAACUACAUUUUAUAUUUUUUUUUAUUAUUAUUAUUAUUAUUAUAUAUAUAUAUAUAUAUAAGCGGAUAGUUAUUGAGAGAUGAAUCUACGGUGUAACAGUUUUUGUGCCAUUGUAACUAUGUGACAUGUGGGCCGGGGCUUUUCCGAAUCCAACAUUUACGGAGUAAGCUAUUGACGGGCCCAUUCUUUAAAAGUAUGAUCUCCAAUUGCGUCUCGUGUAGAACUUUGGUGUUGUGGAUCAUAUUUUAUAUUUCUUAGUUUUAGAAUUUUAGAUUAGAAAAUAUGAGUUUGUUUUUAAAUUAAUGUAACGAAUUGAUUUCUCGAGUAUAAAAGACCCUUGACUUUGCCAAGGGCUGGAUCCCACAAGUAAGCCUAGGAACCAUGAUAAGCACCGUAACUUCAAAAGCAGUACAUGUCAUAGGAAAGUAUGAUUUUCAUAAUAUCACAUUUUGCAUAUCAUAAUAAAUCAGUUAUUAUAUAUUUUUUAUAAUUCUGUCGGAAAACAGAGAAAUAUACCUCUAUAUGCUUUGUUUAAACUCUGUUUUGCCUUGUAGUGUCAGUGAGAUAGAUUACAUGUUAUUUUUAACUGUGCAUUGUGGGCUCCAAAUGUAAUUACAGUCCAACACGCUGUGAUGCGCUCUUCUCUUUUACUCGGCCCAGAACCCUAUUUAAUUUGAUUGGCCCAUUAGAAGGCCCAUUGGGCCUUGCCAAUUGCCCCAUCAUCGCUUCAGUAUUGGCCCACCCAAGAGACCUCGGUUGGCUCCUGCAACCUCCGUCGGCAACGGACCGCGUCGAACCACCGCCCCGUUUUGGCACGGCCUUUUUGGUGCAAUGCGGCCCUCUGCUAAAAAAAAAAAAAUAAAAUAAAAAAAAAGCCCAUUUGCAGGCAUCUUUUGGCACUGCAGUUCAACAAAUUUAUUAUUCAGAUAAUAAAUUUAAAACUCAAACAGUUCGAAAGUUUUUUUGGAACAAAAAUUACACAAUCAACACUUUUUUUAUAUAUUUAUCUGUUCUUUUCUAGAAAGUGAAGGGACCAAUAUUAUAUAUGUCUCAUCAAAGGACAACUAAUAAGGACAGGAUGGUCAACGAUGCAACCAUGCACAGAGAGAAAACACUAUACACUCUGCAACCUACACAACCACCUAAGAAGAAAAAGUUAACCUAAUAUGCUCUAUAUAUAUAUAUAUAUAUAUAUAAAAUAUAUAUACAAGGAAACCUACAUUGAUUAGCAUCAUCAUGGAGAAACAAAGAAACCACGGUAUGGCUUUCCUGAUGUACUAAAAACACACGCAGCUCCAAGCUAUCACGAGACCCGUGCCUGACCCUUCGUCGAUAUCACAUUCCCCGACUAGUCAAAGCAAAGCAAAACAAAACGAAUGCUUAUAAUAUAAACGCACAAUAUAAUGCACUACCAAACACCUAAUCAUCACCACCACCCACGUUAUUUGUUGUCCUAACUCUCCCCAAGAAACCCACCAUUUUUUGUGUCUCUUGAAAUACAAGGUGUUAGUAGUAGAUAAGAGAGAUUCCGGAGAUAACAUCGCUCUCGCUGAGUUUCAAACUCGAUAUCUUAGUGCCCUCUGUGUGAUUUGUCGUAUAAAUAGCCAUCCAAGUGAUUUUUCUUAAUUUUUUUUUAAAACAAAAGAGUAACAUCCUUUCGUUUAGUACUGUUUAGAAAUAAACUCAGCAUAACGAAGUAACUGGAUCUCAGAACCUGAAAUCGCAAAUAGCGAUCAUUAAAUUCUUAGCCAUCGAAAAUUUUUAAUUGGAAAAAACGAAAAAGACAGAGGACAUGCAAACUGUUGGACAAGGCCUGGCACAUUUAUUACUCCGCUCAGAGUGCCGCAUUAUAUAUUCUUUGUCGAAUUUUGUCACGCAUGCUUUAAAUACUAAAGCAGAUACAAGUGGAACCAGCAUUUUGAUUAAGAUGAUUUCCUUUUUGACCUGUCCAAGGGUGGAUAUAUAUUCAAUUAUAACUUGUAUAUAUGUACCAGUAAUAUAAAUCUUCUCCCACCACAUGAAAGAUAUAUAUAUAUAUAUGUAUAUAUGUAUGUAUGUAUUGCCUCUAAAAGUGAACUCAUUUACUAUUCAUUUAGGAAAGAGAGAGAGAGAGAGCAUGAUGCCCCCAUGAUCAGUAUAUGGUUGGUGACGUUGAUUCCCCACCUCUCCAGCGAUCACAUGGGAGGAGUUGGAAAUAGAACAGUUUUUUUCUGUUUUCUUUUAAAAAAAGAAAGGAGAAAUAGGUGUAGGUUACUUGAACUCAUCAUGUUGUGACUUGUGAACAAGGGAGUAGUUUUCCAUACUUUGUCCUUAAAAUCUUUGCAUUUUAAGGUAAGCUGUCCAACUUAUAAAGCUAGUGGUAUGCAAAAAAAAUUUCUCUGAUUUUAAUUUGAAUUAUGAUUUGAUUGAAAAUUAUCAUCCAAAAAAAAAAAUAAAAUAAAGUUAUCAUAUAUGUAACCAAUUAAUUCAUUACUUCAAUAUAUAUUUUAUAGAUCUAGUCUUAGUUAAGAAAAUGUUUGGUUUCCCGUGAAAGUGUACACUUUUUUGCAAUAAACACGAAUUCAAUAAAAACGACUAGGAAUCAAAAAGUUGCACAUAUGUGUCAAUGCAUAAACAAUAUAUAGAUUUUAUUUGGAUACAUGAAAGUUUUAUUUGAUUUAACUUUUCAUUUGACUUAAGAUUGUAGCAUUUAGUUGAUAAGAAACGCGAUCAAAUAUCUCAAAUGAAUAUCAUAUUUUGUCUUUAAAAUCAUUAUUUCAGAAUAAAUAAAUUGUCCCGUAGAUAGAAUAUGUUUUCUUACUAAAUUAUAAAUGCCGAUUUUUAACUUCCAAUUACGUAAAACAAUUUACUUACUGAAUAUGUUAUUAUUAAAGAUUUAAUUCUGAUACCCAAAUUGGUCCUUAGCAAACUUAAAUCCAAUCAAAUAUUAUAAACGAUAUAUGACCAAAUUAUAGGAGAGCUCUUUAUAUGUUUAAUAAAUACGGAUCCAAUCAAUGAUCCAAUGAUAUCCAAGGUACGCAUUGCAGUCCGGUCAUAGUCCGGUCCAAUUUAGAUACAACUACGCUAAAGCUCCAUGUGCUAAAUUGUACGGCCAUAUUAAUAAAUAUGUGCAAAUGUCAACCAACUGAGCAAAUAAUAAAUGGUGUAACCAUGCAUGUGACAUCCCUGACUACAUAUAUAUCUAUUUUUGGGGGGAUCAAAAUAAAUGAGGGGAAAAAAAAAAAAAAAAAAGUAGGUCGUUCACAUGCUCGUUGCUGGGCCAUUGAAACGUACGCUAAUGCAUAAUUUUGCUUAACAUAUUUAUACUGCAAUUAAUCCAUCUCCAUGCGCAUCUCAAAUAUAAAAAAUUAUAUAAUGUACAAGUUAUAUUGCCGGUACUGUAUUCUCAAUCAAUAGAAUUGUCCCCUUUAAUUUUACUGUCCCGCCAUGAUUAAUAAAAAAUAUAUUAUAAUUUUCGCUCAAGAAGAGAGAUAUGACUUGCUUGUUAUUGAUGAUGUGGUGUAAGUAUGACACUAUAACCUUUCUCCUGAUAAAAAAUACACAAGCCCCUCUCGGUUUAUUAUUUUGUAUAAGACUCUGCAUAUGUGUGUUUUCUUACUUGAAUCUAGAAAUACAAAAUAAAAAAGAUGUUGUGUUAUUUGAGGAGGUGAGUUGUUUUGUUUUCAUAUAAUUUUUCUUACUGAUUCACUAAGAGUGCGUUUGUUUCAAACAUAGAAAAAAACUGGCGUAAUUUAUAUCGUGUGGGAUAUAUCUUUUAAACACAGAAAAACGCUACCUACCGACUAUCAAAAGGUGCGAGCUAAUGAUCAACGGCAGUGCCUAAGAUGCACGCAACAAUUUCUAUUCAUACAUAAGGUGGGCAUAUGGUUCUUGCUUAAUUUCAUUAAAUUCCACAUGCCAUUCCCAACAUGAUCUCUUUUCUCACCAACAUAUAUAUAUAUAUAUUGACCUUUACUCACCUCUAUAAACAGGUUAUGUUUAAUAAGAAAAGUUAUUUGACUUUAUAGUUGUUUCAUUAUAUAUUAAGUCACCUUUUGAUGCAUCCACGUCCAAACCUAACUUCAAUUGUCUUAAAAGCAAGAUGCGUUUUUCACUUAAUUCCUGCGUAUCUGGACCAUAACCACCACCUUGACUAUGAAAGAUUUGAAAAAUGAACACUAAAUUUUUAAAUUUUGAAUAUGAACUUUCAAAUUACUCUAUUAUAUGUUUAUAAAAUUUUAUCCAGAAUAUAUAUAAUUUAGAAUCGGAUAAAACAAGUUAUCCAAAGUUUCUUUUUUUUUUUUUUUGAGAGAUAAGUAGUAUGCUACCCCCUUCGUUUAUUUCAUUUAGAAAUAAACUUAGCUGGAAAUAUAAAUCAACUAGAACUCGAACUUGGGUCUCGGAUAUCAACCACCAAACCCUUUGCCACUUACUUUAGGGACGGUCGGUAGUUAUCCAAAGUUUCACAUGCUAAACGACGUACUCUUUUCACAAGCAGCUCUGUACAGCAACAAUAUUAAUAGUUGGACUCACUCUCAAACAAGCCCCCUCUCUAAAUAUAUUCAACAUCCUGCAUAAAUUUUCACCACCUAAUGGAAUGUUCUGUAAUUAACUUUUAAAUAUAUAGAAGUUUUCAUUAAAAAUCAAAUAAAACUUGAGUAAAGAUUUUUUUUUUUUUUUAAAGGUUGUAGGGUGUGUCCAUGCAUUUUAGUCCAUGCUAUAUAUACUAUUCCCAGCACAAAAACAAGUUCCAUAGUGCUGUACAUGUCACGCCCCUCAUUGCCCGCGGUCACGAGCAAAUUAUGUACUGAUUUUGAUUGGAUAUAAUUAAAAAUACAGUCAAAAUGUAACAACUAUAACUAUUAACAUUUUAUUUGAUUGAACGUAGUAAAAAAUAUUAUAACUAUAAAUAAUUUAUUUAGUUACAUGCACUUGAGAAGUGCAUUUCUAAUUAAAAAAUAGUUCUUCGAAUAUGUGGCGAUUAUGAAGAAGAGAUUAUCCGUAGCUCAAAAAAAAAAAAUUCAAACUGCUGUAACUAGAAUUGUGACCAAUUUAAGAAUAGUACUAAUUGCUGCAGUUAAUUAUAUAUAUAUAUAUAUAUAAUUUUUACUGUAACAAUUAAAAUUAAAUAUUUUGGAUCAAAUACCAAAUUAAAUUUUACAUAGGCGCAGUGGAACAAUCAAGUGGCACACACGUAAACGGUGGCAACAGCCGCAGCUAAAAAAAAAAAGAAAAAAGAAAAAAAGAAAAGAUUGUGACGAGACAAGUCUAUAAGACCCAUUGUGAAUGUCCCCUUAUGAGAAUUACAGCUGGACCCAUUAAUGUCGUUUAUACGGACCUGGCCCAUGCCGUUUUAUUAAUGGGCCUAAUGGUAGCAGGCAUAGGCCCAGAGGCGUCACUGGGCCCAAUUUUCGUAUCAGGGAUCAGAUUGUGCCUGGCCUUCGCUUCUCUAAUGCGUACUCGUAAAUAUUUUUAAUGAUCUUCCGAGUUAUAUUUUGAACUUUCACCUGUAAAAAAAAAGAAUACCCCAUUAACUUUUAUGAAGGAACAACGAAGAGAAAUUAAGAUUAUGAUAAUCUGUUCUCUGGGAGUAGCACUACAAGGAUGUCGCAUUGCCUCGCCAUAUCAAAUAUAAUUAAGAUUUCUGAAUUACAGCCAAGCAAACAAUGUGAAUAAAAAAAAAACAAAAUUGUAGGCUUUUUGUUUUUUGUUAUUUUAGAAAAAAUAAUACAAAGAAUGUCACGUUGAAUCUCAGUUUCUCUUGGAUGCUAUAAACUUUAAUGCUAUCCUCAAGGUGCAUCAAGGAGAGAUUCUUACUAAACACAACACCUUCCAUUGAAGGACUCGUAGCUUUUUUCCGCAAUNUUUUAAUUUGUUAGAAUUAAAAAAAAAAAAGAGAGGUGAAAAUUUACCGUAUAACACUUACACCGUAUCAUCUAUUUCUAACCAAUCAUCUUUUUUUUUCUAAAAAAAAUAUAAUAAAAAUAUUUUUUAAAAAAUUACAAUGGAAUGAGUAAUAUUAAUGUUGCCAAGAGAGAGAGAGAGAGAGAGAGCAGCAGCUGUACGGCAGAGUUGGGGGGCCAAAUCAAAGUCGACAAAUUGUAAAAGGGAAUAUUGGGAAGUGCAUAUGACAAAAAGGACUUUAUAAUCCAACUUUGCUCCUGCGCUUUUUUUGGCCCCUUAUAAUUGGAAUUGUUGAAAGAAAUUGACUAAGGUCCUGUUUGGUUGUGGAAUAAAAGGGUAAUAACCCUUUUUAUCCCACUAUUCUUGUCAAAUAUAAAGCAAAAUUGGCAUGUUAAUUUAUACCUACGUUAAUAGGUUAUUCUCGAAUAACCCGUUAAGAGGAAGAAUAGUAGUUCCAUGUAUUGGGUGGAACAAGCUAUUCUCUAAUUUAUUCCUUCACUAAGUUGUAAAUAAUUAUAAAUUAUAAUUAUUUAAUACAAUUAUUUUUUUUAAUAAUUGACUAAUUAAUUUUUUGAGUUAUUAAAUUAAUAAAUAUUUAAAUAAUAAUCUAUUUAUAAUUUAUUAUUAUUUAUCUAAUUAAAUAGUUAAAUUUUAAAAAUUUAAAAUUUUAAAAUUUAUAAUUUGUAAUGUCACGCCCCGGAUUACAUAUUUUUCUGGGCACAGCAACAGACCCACUGUAUAAAUAGGAAUUUUUUCUGUAUACGAAGCGAUAGCUGUACUAGUAAACAAAUCGAAGCUACAACCACAAGGUAAAGAGCUGCUAAAUAGANUAAUUUCAAAUUUUAAAAUUUCAAAGUUAAAAUUUUAAAUUUAAAAAUAUAAAUUUAAAAAUUUAAAAAUUCAAAUUCAAAUAUAAUAAGCGUAUAAUAUCAUUAUUUUUUAUUUAUAAAACCUACUAUCCUUAUUAUUUCAUCUUACCUAACCAAACGCUAUUUUUUUACUCCCAGGAAUAGUCCAAUUUUCAUCCAAACGUAAAAUUGAUCUAAUCCCCGCCCAUACCUCAACCUAUUCUUGGAAUAGUCAUUUUUUGCUUAUUCUCGAACCAAACGAUACCUAAGUAUAUAUCUAGUGGCCUCAAAGCUCGGCUCCCCAGUACUUAGUACUUACACACAAAUGCUCCUACUACUUAUUUCCCCUUUAUUAUUAUCCAUGCCCUAUAUAAUUUUAUCGAAUAAAAAAUUUUAAAUAAAAAAUUACCAUAAUUCAUUUUAUUUUAAUUUUUGCAACGCAAUAUAUUUAAUUUGGAGAACCAAAUAUCCUUCCAACAAUCUCAAAUGCAGACUAACUUAUCGUUAGGCUGAUAAUAGUUCGGUAAAAAUAUAUUAAAAAUUAUAACAAUUGCUCUUUCUAUUUUAUUGGUUAUUUCUUUGUAGGUAGAGGCCAGUGUCUGUAAUAUCAACAUAAUGUCACUCUCUAUUUUUUUUUUUUUUUCAUGAAAUAGGGCAUAUCAUUUUCUGUUUUAAUUUUGAAAAAAAAUUGGCUAACCAAAAGUAAAUUUUUUUAUCUUUGAAACGAUAAACUAUAAAAGGUGACAGAAAAGAAUCAUGUUCAACUCUUUUCAGCAAAGUACACACAAGACAAUUUUUUGAAAUAGCGAGGGCACCAACUGCCAAUGCAAACUUUUGAUCACAUAAAUUUUAGAUAUUCUAAAAUCGACCAGCCUUAUCUUUGGAGGUGAAAAGUGUACAAUUUGGAAUCUAGCUAGGUGAGGAGAAAGUUUACUAUAUAAUACUUACACUAUAUGAUCAAUAAUAAGUCAAUUAUUUUUUUACUGACUGGCCCUAGAGUAAUUGGCAAAAGGCUUGGUGGUUGGUACCCGAGAUCCAAGUUCGAAUCCUAGUUGAUUCACAUUUCCAGCUGAGUUUAUUUCUAAAUGAAAUAAACGAAACGGGUAACGUGCUACCUAUCUCUCAAAAAAAAAAAAAAGUUGAUUAUUUUUUAUUUAAGAGAAGAGUACAAUAAAAAUAAAUUUAAUAAUCAAAAUAAAAUUUGUGAACCCAAUAAAAUAAUCUGAUUAGUUGAGAACACCACAUCAGCAACAUAACUGACGCACUUUAGAUCUUUUUCUUUCUUUUUUUUUGAGAGAAAGGUAGCGCGCUACCUGCUUCAUUCAGUUAAAAAAUGAAUUAAGCUACAUGGGUAAGACAGUACAGGCCUCAAUGGAUGGCGAAACGAAAAAAAAAAAAAAAAAACUAUUUACAGUUGGGUCACCCUCAAAAGUUUACAGUGGUUCACUUCUCCGACCUAAUUUUUUUCUAAUAAUGGCUGUCGUGGGAAUGUAUUAUAUAUAGAUCUAUGUGUUAGGUAUUUUCCGUAUCCCACAGUGGAGACAAAAAGGAGAAUAUAUAGACGGAGAGAGAGAGAGAGAGAGAAUUUAUCUUAGCACGGCGAUAGCGACCCAACGGAGGCGUUAUGAAAAGGAAAGCGACUCCACUAUGCACCCUUCUUGGCCCCUUCUUUUCACUAUUUUCUUUGGUCGAACAAUUCUCAUUCUCUUCUUCUCUUUUCUCUCUCUCUCUCUCUCUCUCUCUCUCUCUAUAUCUCUUUUGUUGGGAAUUCUCUGCCAAAACAGAACAAAAAAAGUGCAAGUGGUGAGUGAAUAGGCUACUGAUAAGUCAUUCACCGGUCUUUAUUUUCAAGAUAAUUGUUAUUUUCAAGAUAAUUGUUACCGUUAACAAGAGUAUGUUUUUUAACAGAAUAUAAGUAAAAUAAUAAUUUUAUUAUCACAAAUAUAUCUAUCCAAAAGUUUCCAUCUGUUAAAAUUAUGUAAAAACAUCUUUUCAAAAAUUUCAAUGGUCAUCUUUCUACCAUCACAAAUAAUAUAAGAGAGAUAAAAAGGUCAAUUUGUCUUAUUAUCUAUCAUAGUUAAAUAUUUUACUUAAUUAACUAUAUUUUUCUAACGAAUCCUAAUAAUAGAAGUACAUUUGAAAAUUUAAAAUUUUUACCUGAAUAAGUAUAAAAAUUUAAAUUUUAUAGAGCUAUAUCUACUAUUUGAUAUAUUUACAAAAAAAAUUAUAUAUAAUUAAUCCUAUUUUAAAUGAUAUCUAAAUAAAUGGUUCCGUGUACACUUUUUCUCUCUCAGUUUUCAUUAUAAUUUUGAAAUAUUGAAAAAACAAAUUGAAAUUUAUUUAUAAAAUAAAAAUGAUGCUAUUAAUUGUUGCAUUAUUGAUUUGUUUUUUUUUUUGGAGAAAGGUUGCAUUAUUGAUUUGUAAAAUCUUAAUUGGUGCGAUAAGUUGGACAAACGCAUCAAGUUAAAAUCAAACGAAUUUGGACGGUGGUUUACGAGGCGGGCCUAGCGAUCCUACGGCGUAGAGUAGGGGUGUCAUUAUUCGACAUGGUCUUGUCGCUCAAGUACACUGUAAUGUUAUGCGCACGCAAACCCAGCCUUUUCUCUCUCACUCUUUUUCUUUUUUUUUAUUUUUUUGCCCUUUACAGCGCUUUUUGGGGGCUUUUUUGGGUACCCUUUAUUAUCCUAUCUCUCCCUAGGAGGUAGGCGUAGGUUAGUUACCCAAGGCGCAUGUUAGCUCAGGCCUUUAUCUUAUGUGGGGCCUCUCUCAAACCAACCGAACAUGCCGUGACGUGUCGCUCUCUCAUUGGUUGAGGAAAAAAUCUGCUAUCGUACGAAACGUCGUUCUGAGCCUCGCGUAACCAAAAAUGUACCCAAAAGAGUACCAUCGUUCACAAGUUUUGUUUCAGUUGUAUUUUUUUAAAAUUUUUUAAUUACCAUUGCAAGAAAAAUAUGCGACUGGAAUAAAAUAUAUAAUAUUAGAUAAUUUUUUAAUGAAUAAUUAUAUGUUUAUUAGCUCGCUCUGGAUCCGCGAUAUUUUAUUUUGAUAGUCUUAGUUAAAAAUAAAAAAUAUAUUUUGUAUAUACAGUCAUAUCGUUUUUUUUUUAAUCUAAUGUUGUUUGUCAAUUCUCAAUAUCUAACUUAUCCCACAAAAUUAUUAUAUUAUCUUUGUAGUAGAAAUAAAAAUAUUAAAUUGGAGAUUUUGUUUUGGUCAUUACAAUUUUAUUUAAUAAUUAUUAUAGUAAAGCUAUUAGUUUCUUUUAUAAUUGUUACAUACUCCAUCAUAUAAAAUAAUAUAUAUAUAUAUAUAUAGAGUCCGGCUACUAUGCUAUUANUAAUUAAUUUAGUUUCUAUACUUUUAAAAUUAAGAUAGGUGUUUGUAAUUUUUUGAUCUUUGGAUUAAGAGAUAUGCAGUUAUGAUGAUAAUAGUCUUCUAUGAUUGAAUGAAUAGUUGGUUGAAUAGUAUAAUUUAACGAAUAAAAAUAAUUAAAAAAUUAUAUCUAAUGAUAAAAAUUUUAUAAAUACCAAAUGAUUUAUAUAAGAAAAAUGAAAAAUAAAUUGGACCCAUGGUAAGGAGGAAUUCUACACUGUCACACUUGCACCAUGUCAUCAAUAACAAGCCAAUCAUAUUCAUUCUUUUCAAACAAAAGUAUAAUAAAAAUAUUUUUUACAAUCAUGAUAGGACAUAUAUCUCUAAAAAAAAUAUUUAAUUGAUAUGUUACGUCACGUCACCAAUAUACCCGUUGCAUUCUAGAAUUUUUUCAUGGUAACAGGAGGUAUUCAUUUAUUUGCCAACAUCUCGCGCUCUGCCUCCUUCUGAUGACGUGGAAGGUUCUCAGCCGUUACUAGACCGUUGAAUCUUGAUCGGCACACGAGACAAAAGGGAAUUACACAUUUUACACCAUCAUCAUAAUUGCCAAAUUAUUGGCGCAUUAAUUGCAACACAGAGAUUUUCUCUACAGUGUCGAUUUAUUAUUUCUCCCCCCCGACACAACAGUGACUUGUCACUUAUUGGUAACUGCUCCGAUCUAGUAAAUAAAUUUAGGAAAAACUUCAAAAAAUCCCCCUGUGGUUUUAUGCAUUCUCACUUUACUAUCCUGUGGUUUAAAACGUAUCAAUUUGCCUCCCUGUGGUUUCAUUUUUAUCUUUUCGGAAGCUUUUUCGUUAACAUUUUGUUAAAUUAUAUACAAAAAACUUCAGAUAACCAUUUAUAUUUAUCGAAUAUUCACUUUAGUAUCCUUUAAUUUUAACUUUGUCACUAAUUUAAGAAAAAAAUAAUAAUAAAAUUGAUAACAAAAAGAGAAAAACGAAACCACAGGGGGGCAAAUUGAUACGUUUUAAACCACAGGGUACUAAAGUGAGAAAGCACGAAACCACAGGGGGGUUUUUGAAGUUUUCCCAUAAAUUUAUUUGUUU
Molecule: long non-coding RNA, 190670 nt
Filed under: Ananas comosus (pineapple)
Lineage: Eukaryota; Viridiplantae; Streptophyta; Magnoliopsida; Poales; Bromeliaceae
Description: long non-coding RNA (ACOM_LNC004575)
Source: RNAcentral